This 224765-nucleotide long non-coding RNA is filed under the name Gossypium barbadense (sea-island cotton). RNAcentral describes it as "long non-coding RNA (GBAR_LNC020722)". Lineage: Eukaryota; Viridiplantae; Streptophyta; Magnoliopsida; Malvales; Malvaceae. The record is from RNAcentral.
AGAUCUGGUGAGAUGCGAGAGAGGCAGUCAUAAAACAGUGUAACACUGGCAAAGCCGGGACCAGGAGUAAACACCGGAGAAUCUUGGAUCCAAUCUUCAUCUGGAAAUGGAGGCGGACAAAUGCCUUUGUUGAUCACCUUCUCACUCAAAAUUCUUAGGAUUUGACGAUCAGGUAGGAUCUCAAGCACGCGAUACCGUACAUCGCGAAUUUUCAUCGUGGUAAUGUCACCGCCACACUCAAGCUCUAAAUCUGGAUGUCCGCAUUCUUUUUCUCGAUCACCUCCAUGGAAAGGAAAUCCAGCAGUGAUAUUCCCACAUUUGAACUUGCUAUCACGGCAGUUCUCGAACUCAGGCUCAAACCAGGCAGUGGUUAGUGAAACAGGGGUCCCAAGCAUGAUAAAUAAUAAACAAAACAGAGGAAGAGGAAGAGGAAGAGGCAGAGGCAGAGGCAGAGAUGAUGAGAAAGAAGGAGAAAUCAUUUUGAGGGCAGAGAGAUGGAGGAAGAAAGGGUUGAUUGCCUGCCUCAGCUCUAAUGAAAUACAAUUAAAACCAAGCUGAAAGAAAGACUUGGAAUAUAGAGUAGGAGAGUUGACUUGCAAAGACUUUGAGCAUCCAUAAGUCGUGUCGUGUCGUGUGGGUGUGGGUGUAGCAGUGAGUAAAUGGAAAUGCAAGAGUUCAAAGAUGGAGACACUUUAACAAGCUUUCGCUCCUUGCCCUCAACUUUCUCAUCACUUGGAAAUUGCUGUGUCGAUACGCCACUCAUAGGCCUUGUUUGUAGUAGGGUUUAAAAGUGAUUUUUUUUUAAAAAUAUAUGCUUUAAUUUUUUGUAUUUUAAAAAAAAAUUACAUUUUGGUCAUUCAGUCACUAUCAUUAACAUUGUAGCAGCAAGCUAAUAUGGCACAUUAUAUUGUCAUUUUAGACAAAAAAAAAUUACACCAAACUAAACAACUAAUCUCUAUACUUUUUUUUAGAGCAAAUUUAAUUAUUUUUAAUUUUAUUUUUUUCAAAUAAAAAAGAAUAGAGAUAAAUUGCAUAAUUUGACCUAAAAUUUUCGUCUGAAAUGAUGAUAUAACAUGUCAUAUAAGUUAUCGUUACACCAUUAACAGUAAUUAAUAACUCAAUAACUAAAAUGUAACAUAUUGAUAACAUUAGUAAUCCUAUCAUAAUUUUUUUUUUCAAAUUUAGUGACCAAAAUGUAUUUUUUUUAAACUAUACAUAGUGACUAAAUUUAUAAUUUUGACUUAUAGUGAAAAAUAAUUGAGCUAUUAUUCUCUAAAAUUUUUUAUAGAUAAAAUUUCAAAAAAUAUAUUAUAAAAAAAUUUCAAUGAAAUAGUUAUAUAUAUAAUUUAAAAUAAUUGAUCUCAAAGUUUAAAAAUCUUGACCUAAAAAAUGUCAAUUAUAAGGAUAGAGAGAUUAUAAAAAAUAUUGUGAAUCUUAAUUAAUAUUAUAAUCUUCAAAAUCUCAAAAGUUUGUUGAAAAUGUAAUUGAACUCAAUUGUUAAAGUAAACUCCUAAAUUCAAGCUUUUAAUUAUUUGUGGUUUGAGUUGAGUGAACAAUAAUAAAACUAAAUUGGAGCAGAAAUAUUUUGUUUAAAGCUGUGAAAUUGUUUUAUUUAGAUAAUAAAAGUUAUCCAUAAAAUGUAUGCUACUCUUAAUAAUAAUAAUAAUAAUAAUAAUAAUAAAAGGAUGAGAGUAUUAGAGUGAUGCUGUUAUCCAAUUCUUAUCUAAAAAAGAUAACAUGAUACAUCAAAUUAACCCAUUCACUUCAACUAUUUUCCAUUAAAAACUUUCCCAAACUCCAUUUCUUCUAUACUUAUAUACAAACUCAUCAUCUUACUCAUUCUUUGUUAGGGUGUGUAGGUUUCAACAAAAGAUUUCUUAAUUUCACUCAACUCCAAACUCACGUGAUUUUCUUUAUUAAAUUUGAAAAUGAUGUUGCUUGAAUACGAUAUUUUUGUUAGAUAUAAUAAAGAUGUUAAAUAGAGAUAUUAAAUUGAUUAAAAAUUUAUACAUGUAUUGUAAAUAUGAUUAUGCUAUUAGAUUUAUCAAUUGAAAUUCUAAAAUAUUAAUAUUUAAAAAAGUAUAAAAAUUACUUUAAUUUUAAAACAACGUAAUAUAUACUUUACUAAUACUAAGAUAAGCACAAGUAUUUGGUCUGAUAUAUAUUAAAUAUUCCAUCAAAAUAAUAGACAUGUCUGCAAUGCAAGUCUACAUCUAUCAAAUGCUUAUUUUGUUUAAAAGUUAUUUUAAAAAACUGAUGUUAGAUUUUAAUUAUGUAUUCAAGUUUAAUCCAAUGGAAAAUUAAUUAUUGAUUUAAUUCACAAGAGUCCUCUGCUACUAUAGCACGUUUUCUAGGGUUUUGUUUUGUUUUUUUUUAUUAUUGGUGGUCUGGGUUUUGGGAGAGUUUUGGGUUCUUAGAUGGUUGAUGUGGAAGGGGACUUUCAAGGGCAAUCGCUGGAAGAUGCUGAAGAAGAGGAAGCUGUUAGAUUGGAAGCAUCUGUUUUUAGUACCAAAGAAUCGUUGGAGACUUGCCUCAUCGGAACAUUUCUAACAUAUAACGUGAUUAAUUUUCCGUCAAUGAGAGCCACUUUGGUGAAUGUUUGGCAUCUUAUAGGAGGGAUCAUGAUUUUUGAUUUAUUUGAUGGGAGAUUUCUGUAUAAACUAUUUCUUAAGGUAGAUGCUGAUCGUAUAGAAGCGGAAGGACCAUGGAAUUUUAAUUCACAUCUUUUGAUUCUACGAAGGCUACAUGAUAGAGAUGAUCCUAAGACUAUUCCAUUAAACACUGUUGAUUUUUAGGUUCUAGUGCAAGAUCUUCCUCAUGGAUUUAGUUCGAAAUUGGUGGCUAGACAAAUGGGGAAUUUCAUUGGGCAGUUUAUCAAUUAUGAUUGUAAAGCUAUUAAUCUUGGCUAUAUCGGGGUUUUGAGGGUAAGGGUUAGGGUGGAUGUAGAGAAAUCGCUAAAACAUAAAAAGAAAAUAGUUUUAUUGAAUGGAACGAUGAGAUAUGUGAAAUUUGUUUAUGAAAAGCUAUCCCCAUUUUGUUUCCUUUGUGGAAAAUUAGGCCACGGAGAGAGCUUUUGUCUGCUACAUGUUUUGCAGGAUGAUCAGGAGCUUUCUUUUGGCUAGGAUGUUUCUUUGAAGGCUCUAUUUAGGCAUGCGACAGCCCUUUCCAGCAGGUGGUUGAGAGAGGAGGGUGCUGGUGCGCCAGGUAUAGAAUGGAGGAAUUUAGGGGGAACACCCUUGUAAUGGGUAAUAUGUAGGAGAGACUGGUGUGACCUAGUAAUGGGCAAUUAAGGCCAAAUCUUGGGGGAGGUAGAUGAGGAAAAUUUGAAUCUAAAUGGUCAGAAUCGGGGUUUAAUUCGGAUGAGUAAAAUAGAUUUGGUUAUAGCGUAAGAUGGGCCAUCAAAUGGGCUUUUAGGUGGUGGUUUUGAUGAUACUAUGGAGGAGGAGAUCCAACAUUUAAUAGGGAAGGCUUGAAGCGGCCUCACCUUUACUUGGCUAAUAGUGAAGGAAAUAACAAUGGAAAUGGUGAUGAAUACUAAAAUAAAAUAUCGACAGGUCUCGCUAAAUGGGCCAGCCGAAAGUAAUAAGGCUCAUUAGAUGGAACGUCUAGGGCUUGGGUAACCCCAGGACGGUUCGUUGUCUUUGGCACAUGCUGAAUGACAUUAACCCCUUUGUAAUUUUUCUGGUAGAAAUGAAAUUACAGAGUAGGUGGAUGGAGGAAGUUUGUAGACCACAUGGUUAUUUGAAUGGUAUUGAUAUGCCUUCGGUGGGGAACAGUGGGGGGCUAUCUCUUGGAUGGAAAUCGAGUAUUUAUAUUACUUUGAGGUCGUUUUCUAAUAGUCAUAUUGAUGUCUUGAUUAAUGAAGAUACUAGUGGGAAGUGUUGGCAAUGCACUGGAUUGUAUGGAGUGCCACAAAAGACUCGUAGAGAAGAAUCAUGGUAACUAUUACGGUAAUUAAAUGAUUGUCCUACUAUUCCGUAGCUUGUAUUCAGGGAUUUCAAUGAAAUAUUAUUUUCAUUCGAAAAGAAAGGUGGCUUGCUACGUAGUGAUAGACAGAUGAGAGCUUUCAGUGCUGCCCCUGAGGAUUGUGAGCUUGAGGAUAUGGGGUAUGAGGGUGUAUGGUAUACAUAGGAACGUGGGUGGUUUGCUAGCAAUAACAUUAUGGAGAGGUUGGAUAGGGCUAUUGCUAAUGGCGUGUGGAGUACAACUUUCCAGCUUUACAAGGUAUCUCAAUUUACACAUUCUUUUUCAGAUCAUUGUCCAAUUAUUGUAGAUACGGAGGAUGAUGGCCAUAGAAAUCAGAUGUAACAUUUCAAAUUUGAGACAGCUUGGCUUCUUGAGGAAACAUGUGAAACUGAGGUGGCACAUCUAAAAGAUUGAGCUAUGUUUGUCUUAGUCUUGAUAAGUGGUUUAAACGGGUUUGUAGAGAAAAAAGAAUUAAGGUGUCCUUUUUGCGCUCUUGUAUUGUUCAUUUGGGUUCAUUAACCUCGUCAGAUACUGUGUUGAAAGAGGUGGUGAAUGCUAAAUUACAGAUAAAUAUGGAGGUUGAUAGAGAAGAAAUCUAUUGGAAACAACGGGCACGAGCAAAUUGGUUAAAAAAAUGAGGACAUGAAUACUAUAUUUUUUCACAAGUUUGCAGGAAGCGGUUAAAUCAAAUUAAUUGCCUUAAAGAUAGUGAUGGCCAGAUUGUUGAAGGGGAUGUGAGAAUGGGAAGGAUUGCACAUGAUUAUUUUGUUAAUUUGUGUUCAAUGCAAUGUGCCAUUGAUGAGGAGGAUAUUCUCUUGGGCGUUGAUAAGUGAAUUACAGACUCUAUGAAUGCCGAUUUAGAUAGACCAUUCACUAAAGAGAAAAUUUUCAGUGCUUUGUUGUCAAUGUCGCCUCUAAAAGCUUCGGGUGAGGAUGGUCUAGGAACGAUUUUCUAUCAGUGUUUUUAGCAUAUUUUGGGAGAUGUUGUGGCUAUUAUUUCAUUGGUCUUUUAAACGGUGAGGUUCCUAUAAACCUUAUUAAUCAUACGCAUAUUGUUUUAAUUCCAAAAGUAAAGAGUCCUCGCAAUAUGAUGAAUUUUCGUCCCAUAAGCCUUUGCAACGUACUUUAUAUGAUUGCUUCAAAGAAUUUAGUGAAUAGGUUUCAAGAAGUUCUUCGAUUUUGCAUUGCUGAGGCACAAAGACAAUUUGUAUCAGGGCAUCUUAUUUCUGAUUAUAAUGUGGUCAUUUAUGAGAUUCUUCAUUCUAUGAAAAAUAAAAAUUUUGGUAAAGAAGGGUCAUUUGCUCUUAAGUUGGAUAUAAGCAAGGUAUAUGAUCGUGUUGAAUGGCGGUUCAUUAAGGAGAUGUUAUUAAAAAUGGCUUUCUCGGUCAAUUGGAUGGAACAGAUUAUGUUGUUCAUCACGUCAGUUACUUACUUAGUUGUGGUUAAUAGAAGGGUGGGGGAUAAGUUUACGCCAUCUCGGGGUCUUAAGCAAGGAGAUCAUUUGAGUCCGUAUCCUUUCUUAGUUUAUGGUAAAGGCUUUCGGCUUUGAAGGGUUGUGAGGAUUUACUUUUUGAAAACUCCAUUUCUUGUUUUGGUUGCUCUAUAUUCAGUAUUGUUAAUGUUUUUGUUGAGCAACUGCCGAUCGGAAUCCCAUGGCUGAGGGUUCUUUUUCGUGUUUUCUUUUUAGUUGUUGGUUUAUUUAUUCGUCUUUUUUCUUUGCUCUAUUCAUCAAUUAAGAGGUCAACUUUUGAGUUCAAAAAAUUUUAAUCCAAUGGGAAAAUAAUAAUAAUAAUAAUAAUAAUAAUAAUAAUAAUAGAAAAUUUUGUUUAGUUGUAAAAAGGGAUAAUACAUAUCUGGUAGAGGAUGAUAUUCUUUGCCUUCUAGCUGUAACACCCCGCACCCAGCCUAAAAGUUUAAGUCGAAUCUGGAGGAGUUACACCAACGUAAUGAAAAUUGAUUCAGUAAAUAUUUAGAAAAUACGAUUUUCGCAACAGUCAAUAGAAAACUAUUUGUUCACUUUCAGAAAACACUUAAGAAAUUACUUAUCUUGCUGUGAAAAACUUUUUCAGAGUUUUAGUGUUGAAAGCCGAAAUCUAUUUUGUUGACUUAAGUGAUUUUGUAGUUUAGUAAAAACCAAGACGAGUUCAGAAACAAAUUACAAACCCAAAAGAUCAAACAUAUUUACAUCAGUGCAAAAAUAAUCUGAGCUCCCACACGUCGUUCGGUCCUAAGUCGGAGGUUUACCUAAACAAAUAAAUAUAAGACAAAGGGGUGAGCUACAAAACACUUUGUAUAACCAACCUCAAGUACAAAUUUACAUGAUACAAUUUAUAUAAAUCAGAGUAACACAGAGAAUUUAAUAGCAAUCAUAUAACCAGAACGGAACAGAUCGGAGUAUCACAAAACCCUUAUAGCAAUCAUACAAUAGAACAAACCAAAACAAAACAGAGGGUAUAUGUUAUGUCAAUGCAGUACUUUCCAAAACAAAUCAGAAUGCAAAUUUAUCAAAAAAUAUCUUACCCAAUUUCGCUACAUACCAAAAUAGAGUUUCUCAGCACUCGUCCAACUAGAUUACACCAGCAGAUAACUAUGGCAGUUUCACUGGAAUUUGCAGUUUAAACUGCCAAAUUAGAUUCAUGUGGUUAAGCCACUAUAUUGUAGCCAAGCUACCAUAAUAGAAUUGUGGAUAAACCACCAGAUAAUACAGAUCAUUAACUACUAGAAACUUCCUCCUUUCACAUCAUCCCAAAUCUCAUGCAAUGCGUCAUGUCAGACAUAUACUGAAUCAGAGUGAUAAACAUGUUGGUCAUGCUAUCGUACAAUAACAGAAUCAAUAGGCAUGGGAGUCCAUGCUUUGUAAAAUUAAGUUAUCAAACCUCAACAAGUCAUAUCAAAUUCGCCAUGAAGACACAUGCAUAGUUACAAAUCAAAAUCAGUACCAAUCAAUUCAACAUAUUCGGAUAUCACAUAUUUUUAAUCAACAGAGUAACACAGAGGCAUACCAUCAAACUUAACAGAAUACAGGUUGUAUCGGGAUAAAUCACAUACCUUAACACAUCCAUCUUUAGUUUAUAUCAAAACAUACAUACGUACAAAUAGCAAAUUAUACACUAAUAGAUUAAUAAUUAGUGAGUUUUAUAGCUUAUUACAGAUCAUACAGACCCUACAAAAAGCCUACGUUCGAUCUGGACAAUGUUCAUGGUCUUAGGGAAAAUUUCAAAAUGUUGACCCACACGCUCGUGUGGAUCCAAACGACCUGGGUGUCUGGCCCAUGUGGCCUGCACGACCUAACAUAUUCCUGUGUGACCCUCUUAAUUUCGUACACGAUACAUCACAUAGUCUAGCACAUGGUCGUGUGGCUCAAAAUAAUGAGUUACAUGGUCUAGCAUACAGCCUUAUACACGCUCGUAUGACCUAAGACCCAAAAUAUCUCUCACAUGGUCUGAACACACGUCCGUUUCCCGAGCUCGUGUGACUUUAAAGUAAAACAGUUUCGAGCACGGCCUGAACACACAUCAUUGUCCCUGACCCAUGUGACCCAAACAGUGCCUUACAUGGUCUACCACACGGCCUGACACACAGUCGUAUAGCAUCAAAAGCGAUGUUUUUUGACAUUCGUAAAUUUUAGAAAUUUGGGUUUUUAUUACCCACAUAAUACAGUUUUGACGUAAAAGUAACCGAAAUGAUCUCGAAACCUAAAAACAACAUUCAAUUGACUAUUUAGACGAAAUAAUUAAACCAAAUUGCUAACUAGCAUACCAACCGAAACUAUGUCAAAGACCUUCAACUCAAAAACUCCAAAUGAGACCACACUUAGCAAUAACCAAACAAUAAUUACGUAGACCUUAAGUUGUCAGGAGAACGUUAAACAUGAGACCUUCAACUAACAAAGAUUUUCACAAGUCAACGUUUACGUUACACAAAACGAAAAAUAACCCCGCCCAACAACAAAACUUAUGCAAGUAUUGGACAGAGAAUACUUACACAAUUGAUUACAGAUUAACCAUGCAAGGAAGUUAGAAGAGCAAAUGCUACAGAGAUUCAACAAAUAAAAAGAAAUGAAAAAAAUGGUAGUAAAAAAUAAAAAGAAACAGAAAGAAACACAACAUGCGAAUGGGAAGUUGAAAGAAUUUUGAUUAAUUUAAAAACAAAAUGAAACUAUCUCACGAGUCAGCAAAAUAAAAACAUUUUUAUAUUGCUUUCACAAAGAUUCAAACACAAGAUCAGAGAGUAUACAGAAGCAUAACCAUUAAACCACUAGGCUCAUCAUUAUCAACAGUUGAGCGAAAAUAAUACUUAUGUCAGAUGUUCAAGAAUAGGGGUUUAGACUAAAAUUGCUAAAAUUCAAAGAAAGGAUUUGAACCUAGAACCUCACACAUACAAACAUAGCACCAAGCCACAACCAAAACAAUCAUUUGUCAUAAAUUUCAAUAUUUUAACUCAACUCAGGACGUAACCAUUCUGGGUUUCACUAAUUCAAUUUCUUCUAACAUGAUUUUUAGGAUGUUACACCGACCAACUCCAAUAUCCAUGUGGGUAGUAGUAAAGGAAUGUUUGAUCUUUAAAACCAUAGGCUUUGCAGGAAGAAAUGCACUCCCCAUAUACUUCUACAUCCUCCUUCCUUCAUUGUUUCCCAGGCUCCUUUCAAAUCCAAUGAUAGAUUGCAAAGUCCUUCCAAGGAAGUUUGAAGAAUUGAAACAUUGACAAUAUAUGAAUUUUCAUGUUGAUGGAUAUUGCUAUCAUUUGCUAUUGCUAGACAUUUAUCAGGUCUAAGUUGCAAUUUUUAUCCAAAGAUCUUAAAUUUGGGAAUUUUUUUUGCAUUUCAACUUUAUUCCACUUUGUGAAUCUUUACAUAUUUCUUUCCUAUAUUAGCUCCGUAGGAAAAACUAAUAAAAAAAAUGUUGUUUUUCCUUUCAAUGUUUAGUGAAAUUGAAAAAUAAGAGAAAUAAUAAGUUUUAAAAAAAUACAUAAUUUUAUAAAAUAGACACUUAACUUUUACCUUAUCGUUUCCUCUCCUAUUUUAUUCUAAGUUAAAGUGAUUAUUUUUUUAGAAAUAAUCAUUUUUUAUUUAAAAUUUAUAUUCCUUUCAUAUUUUAUUAUGCUCUUUUUUAUUUUGUCGUUUUUCUCACUCUAGCAAGCAAAUCAAUGAUUUCUUAAUCUCUCUCAAAUUAAUACAAAAAAAUGAUUCAAAUUCAUCGUUAUUAUUUAUUUAUCAAUAAUCAUUGUUCCAACUGAUAAUCUAUCAUAAUGCUUUAUAUAAUUUUAUAUGAAACAAAAUGUAUUGAUUAAAAUCAAUUUAAUUCAUACGAUAAAAAAAAGAGAGGAUUAUUUCAUCAUCUAAAAUUGUCAGCACAUUUUGAAUUGUUGCAACCUUUUUUACUAAGCCUAAAUUACUGUUGAUGUUCUAAACUUUUAGGAGAUCUUACAGGAGAAGAUACAAAAGGUCUAGGUGGAAUUAUCAAUGAUUGAAGAUUUUCUUGUAACAUUUCUAUCACUUUAGUCAUCGAUGGUCGAUCAGAUGGAUAAGAUUGAAUGCACCAAAGGCUCACAAUAAUCAACUUCCUUGCUAUUUCUUCUUCUUCUUCUUCAAGUAUUACUCCAUUAAGAUUCAAGUUCAUAGACUGAUCAAGAUGCUUAUAAAUCCAAGACGGAAAAUAUACUUCACUAGUUUGAGACACUCCAACAUCAAUAUUUUUUCUUCCUCCCACCAUUUCAAGGACCAUCAUUCCACAACUAUAGACAUCAGAUUUAUAAGAAACUCCACCAAAGUUUCGACAAACCACUUCUGGAGCAAUAUAACCUAUUGUUCCCCUAGCACAAGUCAUGGAAAUGAUACUCUCCUUUCUUUCACAUAAUUUAGACAAACCGAAAUCAGAGAUUUUGGGACAAAAGUUCUCAUCUAAAAGGAUGUUGUGAGGUUUUAUGUCGAAAUGUAAGAUCCUUGUGUUGCAACCUUGAUGCAAGUAUUCGAGUCCUCUAGCGAUGCCAAGUGCAAUGUCAUACAAAGUUCUCCACUCCAAUUGGCAACUUUGAUGAUGCAAUCUUCUAUCAUAAAUAAACCUGUCUAAGGAUCCAUGGGGCAUAAAUUCAUAAACUAAAGCUCUCUUUGAUCUCUCAAAACAAAAGCCAAGUAGACUCACGAUAUUAACAUGAGAAGUUCUACUAAUGCUAGCCACUUCAUUCAUGAAAUCCUCCCCGUUUCCUUUUGAUUCACUUAAAAUUUUGACUGCCACAAAACGAUCUUCAGACAAUUUCCCUUUGUAUACACUGCCAUAUCCUCCUUGACCUAGUUUAUCAUUAAACUUAUUUGUCAUUUUUUUUUAUUUCUGCAUAAGAAUACCGCCUUGGUGUAAGAGAACCAAAGUUUUUGAUGAAUGCCUCAAUCCUACCAUCCUGAUUCUUGUUUCCUUGAUUCGGUAACCAUUUUCUUUUGAGCCACAAGACAACGAAGCAUAUGGCAAUGGUUAUAGCCGCUGCCAAUCCUGCUCAUGGAAUUGGGUCAAAUAAACAAUCAAUUGGAGAUAUAAUAUAUAGAGAAAGUAAGUGAAACAUUUAAGAUAAGAGAAAAAUAAUAGAGCAGUGGAAAACACUGAAAUAAUAACAACAUGCAUAGUUUGUUAGAAAUCUAGAAAAAUGUUAAUAAAUAAUUAGAUAAAUUUUUAUUUAAAAAAAAAAACUAAAACACCAAAGUAGUCUCAUAAAGAUUUAUUAUUUGUUUUAAUGGGUUUUUAUGUAUUAUUUUUUGUUGAACUAAUGUUACUUGAUAAAUAAUACUAAAUUCAAAUAGGGUAAUUUUUUUUAAAGUGUUACAAGUACAAUAUAAAUAUAUGUCUAAGUAAUCAUGAGUAUCAAACUAUUUCAACACAGACUGUCGAGUAACCACAAAAUUAAAUCAAAUAUUUAUAAGUACAAAUGGACUAAGAACUUGUACAAUUUAAACUAAAGCUAACAAACUGAAUUAAAACACACACAUGGCAAUCGCAUGUAAUGAAACUCAGAUACCCGCAUAUACAAUUACACAUGAUGAAUCUCGAACCUUGGUACUCAAAACCACAAUAACGAGUAUUAAUAGAUGCUAAUUGUAACAAAUAAAAAAUCGCUAUUAAUUUAUAAGGAAAAAUAUAAGUUAUUCAAUCAAUGAUACAUAUUUUCAUUAUUACUUUGAAAUCCAGUUAAACUGUAGUAAAAAUGAGUUAAUAUUAUCCGAAGAAAAAGAUUACUUUGGAAUUUUGAAAAAAAAAAGAGAGUAAAAUAAACAAUAAUCCUAUAAUUUUAAUAAUGGCUAACAUAUGAAAUGAUAAUGAAGGGGAGAUUGUGUCAUUAACCUCCGCCCUAUGAUGGCAUGGAUAUUUAAAAACAUCCAGAUUGUUUCAUCCAUUUCUUCUAUUUUGAUUUUUCAAUUUAAUAUCCUAAAAUUAUCUAAUAUUCAAAUGUAAGUAAAGCAUGAGUGUCUAUAAAAAUAUAUGGGGACAGAAUACGUAUUGAUUACAACUGUUGCAUGCACUCAUCCUUUUUUUAACAAAUCUCUUUAUUCAGAGCGCAUCAAUUAAAAUCUUGAAGUUUGUUAUAUGUAAUUAGUAAUAUUUUUGUAAUUUCAAGUUUUGUGUACGUAAGAGAGAGAAAGUAAAAAUCCAGCAAAUUGUUUCAUACCUAUGAAUAGCUUCCACUUGAAUUUGAAUUUGGAUUUGGAGUCUGUAAAUGAAAUAUGCAAUACACUUAUUAUUGGUUGAUGAAUAAACAACAUUUAUGAAAUAUAGCUUGAUGAGUAAGAAGUGAAGGUGGUAUUUUUGGAGUAGGUCAAUGGGUAGGGAAAAACAAAUGGGAAAUGGGUCAACUUUAAUGGCAUCCAAUUCCCAAGUUUCUGGCUUGGGGUUUCCCCAAAACACUGGGUUCUGGGAACCGAAAUCGUACCACUUAAAUCCCACUCCAAGAGAUAUUUGAACAGGUACAGCAAAGAACAAAGAUUGUACCUGGGGAACAAACGUCGCCAUCUGAGCAGUAACAUUCAAAUCCACCUGAGACGAGGUUACGCCCGCACUGCCCACCUUUGUUUACACAAUUAUUACAACGGGUAUCAUCUGCAGACCACCACAGCUGAAACCCAAUUUUAGCCGCUUCUUCCAAAUCAUCUGGAUCCCGGCCUUCCUCCAGUGACGGAACUUGGGAAUUCGGGACUGGAAUAAUCACACUGUUACUGCAAGAUCUCAGGAAAUUGCCGGUGACAGUUCCCGCGAAUUCCCUUGUCACAUAAUAACCUACGAUAUUUGUAUUGUUUAUUGUGCAGUCGAAUUGAUUGGAAAUCCCGAGAAUUGAUGUGAGAUUUUGUGGAGCUGUGAGAGGCUGACAACCAUAAUACAGCCUUAUAUCCUGACUAUCCCCGUUUUGUUGAAAAGGACUGGUUUCACUUUCAAAAGUGGAGUUGAUGAGAUGAGUGGGACAAAGAUUCUCACUGUAAUCCGUUCUAGAGACAUGAAGGGUUUGUGAUUCCUUGUUUAUUGCAAGAACUCGGUAUGUUGCAGAGCUGAUUGUGAUUUCUAGCUCACUUUCACUGCAGCUGAGCUUGAAUCCAGGAUAUCCACAACUUUCCGGCCGAUCCAAUCCCCAGAAAGGGUAACCGAUAUCCGAAAUAUUUCCGCAACUGGACCGAACACUGCAGCUCAAAUAAUUAUUCGAAAACACUGGUUUUGGAGAAAGAAUCAGGACCAAGCUUAUGAUGAUGUUGAUGAAGAACAAAAACUUGGAUGGCAUUUUCGGAGAGGAUGGAGAGCAUUAGUGGAAGAAACUGAGAGUAGUUGAAUAUAAAAUGAGCAUCUGAAAAUGAAUUGGUAUUGAUUGAUCUUCAUGAUCAAAUAGUCGGUAUUUGACUAAUUCAAAGUUGAAAUUUCUCUAUAGGAAACUUCUGUUAUAUGCCACCAUUAAGUGCCAGUCAAAGGAAAUUUAGGUUGCCUACCAUGGCAAUAAUAUAUUAUUAAGCGUGAACUUACAGUGUUGAAACUAUUUUAUUAAAGUAAAUGAGAGUGAUACUUCAAGUCUGGAAAUAUACAGGAAAUUGCAAGCGGAUACAUGGAAUUUCUAGAUUAACAUCUUGGAAACUUGACUUCACAGUGUUGCCAAAGUCUAUGUAUAUAAGCUAUUGGAAGAAGACGAAAAAGUUGAAAUGGAGAAUUAGAUGAAAACUGCAGGGAGAUGAUUGGAGUAUGCUAUAACAUGGAUCAGGUGUAAGCCAGACAUUUAUGCAAAAUAUUUGAAUUCAGGUUGGGCAUUAGUGGAGUCUCAUUCGAGUAUCCCACUAUCAUGGGAACCAAAUUCAUUCUUUAUUAACUAAAGAGUUUAAUUCAACAUAAUCAAGCAGUUUAAUCUUUAUUCCCAACUGAUCUCACGCAUUGAAACUAAGGCAACAUUAAAUAAACUAUUAUUAGUAUUUAAAACAAUUACAAAAUCAUCACUUAAUUACUCAAAAGUUUUUAUUUAAAUCAUUAAGUUGUUAAUUUUUUUUUAAAGUCCGGCUAGUGAGCUUCAAGCUAUAAUUCGAUGACUGGUACGAUAGAUCAAUACCUAUUGACGAGUAAAAGAAUAUAUUUUAAAUCCAAGUCAACCCAUCAAUUGGUGUCAAAGAUCGGAGAAUAAAGUUGUUUGGAUUUUAGCUCGGAGAUUCAUGAUGUUCAAAACUAUUUCAUGAAAAAAAAGACUCGAAUUAUUGUAAAAGAGAAGAAGAAAAAGAGCUCUCAAUUGGUGCGGACAAUUGAACGGAGAAGGUUGUACAACAACGAUUUUUAAUAGUCCAGUAACUUAAAUGAAAACUUUUGAAUAAUUUAAUGGUUAUUUUGUAACUUUUAAAGUUAAAUAAUCAUAAUGUAAGCUGACUAAUAAUUUAGUGAUUGAAUAUAGUUUGCCCUUAAAACUAAAACUCAAUGGAGCUUAAACCGAACCAACUUCCAAACUUUUAAUUUUGUAGGACGAAUCAUUAUAUAGCUUUCCUAAAUGGUAUUUGAUUUAACAAAAUCAAAUUGCCCCCCACACUUGUUAAAAGUGCAGUAUAUAAUGCCUAAAAUUAUCUAUAAUUAAUUCCUAACUCUUAAAUAAGAGGAUAAAUGUGUUUUAACAUGCUCAAACCCCAUCCUUUUUCAUUAGCAACAAUGUCAAUAUCAACUAAGCUAAGACGCAAUCGAAAAUCAGAUUAUUUAAAUUUCUAUUAUUGCUAUUGUUUAUGAAUGUAAUAAUUAAUUUUAAUUAUAAGAUUUCGUAUAAUUAUAACAUGUAAUCUUAAAAUAUAUUUUAUAAUUGGUAAUUUCGUCCUUUUAGUUAUAUAUAUUAAUUAAAAUAUAUUAUAUAUAUUUGUCAAAAAAUGGUUACAAAAACUGUAACCUUUCAAAAAUAUUAUGAUAUUGAGAAAUUAAAAACAUAACAAUAUAAAUAUAUAGUAUGUAGAAUCUUGAUAGUUUUUAAAACAAUAUAAAUGCAUUGUCAAUAUAAAUUAAAAACCAAAAAGAAAUUAAUAACUAAAAUAAUUUUAAAUUAAUACAUAAAACAAUAUUUUAAGUUAGUUUUAAAACAUGAAUUAAUUUUAUAUUUGUAAAUAUAGUUAUUUAACAAUUUUAAAAAGUGCUUAAAAUUAUCAAAUUUUUAAUAAACAUUUACGCAAUUUGAGUCUUUAACUAAUAUUUAUUUAAUUUCAUUUUUUAAUAAAUGUUUAUAAGAUUAUGGCGAGGUUGUGAAUGAAUAAUUAAUAGUUCUAAUAUAAAUUGGAGUUCUAUGAUAAAAGCAAUAAUUAAAAAAAUCAAAAUAUGUUUAAAAGGUAUUGAAUUUUUAAUCAAUGUUUAAUACAUUUUUAAUAAUAUAUUAUUUAAGAAAUAAGUAUAAUUUUUUUAGAUUAUCCAUGUAUGAGAGCAGUGGCGAAUCCACUAAGUUCUAAAAUGGAAAGUUUUCAGUUUAAAAAAUUUUAAAUUAGUAAUGAUAAAAUUAAACUUUAGGCACUCCAAAAAAUGAUAAAAAAUUGAUUUAAUCAUUUAAAUUUUAUAAAUAUAUAAGUUAUUAAAAUGAUAAAAUUGUAUUUCUACUAUCGUAAAAAUAUACAAUUUAGUUGUGUCCCCCAAAAAAUUUUGUUUGGCUUUGCCCCUGUAUGAUAGGGUACUAUUCAUAAAUUUGAAAUUUAGUUUUUUAUAUUUUUAUUUAUAAGAAUUAUAGUUUUUUUUUACUUUUUAGAUUUUAAAAUUCAAGUCCAACCGUUAACACUCUUAAAUUUAUUUGUGGUUAUUUUUUGAAAAUAUUUGUUUUUGAAUUAGAAGUUAUUUUACUAUUUUAUUGAAUAUUAUUUAAGACGAAAAUAAAAAUGUUAAAAUAGAAAGUACUUUUAAAAGAAAUAAUACCAAAAAAUCAAGUAGAGCAUGUGUUGAGUCGAACCCGAAUUAUGCAACAAACACAAACGAAAAUCGAGAAAAUUAGAUAUAAAUAUCUAUUGGAUAAAACAAAUCACGGGUAAAGAAAACUUGACAGCAAAAAUCAAAAUACAAAAAUUUCUCGAAAUUCUCAUAAAUUCUCCCUUAAUUUUGUUGUUGUUAUUCUUAAUAGGCUUAUUUAUAGGUUGAAUUUCGUGUACAAAUAUGACUAAAAUAUCUCUGGAAUAAUCAGAGUUAAAUAGGAAAAAUAUAACAAAGUUUAACUAAGAGAAGAAAUCAGAUUAAGUAUGGAAUAUGUCGUCACGUCGUGACGUGGCAUGCGAGGCGCCCUUCAUCAUGUCGUCGAGACAUGGAAAAUCCUCUUGUCAUGAUGUAGGUGUCGUGUCAUCAAGAUGUUGGCUCUUCUUCGUUCCGACAUCAACCCUAUUUUAUCCAAAAUAUGAAGGAAACUCCACAACAUGUCUCCUUUUGAACAAAUACAAUUUAAAUUAAUAUUUGAAAUUUUCACAUUAUUGAAAAUAUGGUAAAUAAAAUAAUUAUGUUAUUGCAGUAUGCAUUACUGAAAAUGAGAAACAUAAAUUUAGAUGGGAACACAGUUUCUGAUAGAUUGAAGAAUGGCAUUUAUAGUUGAUUUUGUCAUGUGGGAUUAAAUAAAUAAUCAAUAUAAAGGGAAUGAGAUACCAUUAGCAAUUUAAUUGUAUGCUAUAAAAAUCGUUAAUUAUGUUGCAAACUGGUAAAACCUGCCACUUUUGUAGUGCAUGAAGAACCCACAAUUCCAGCGACGUGUGUUUAAAUAAAUUUAUUUGUCAAAUGUAAUAUAACUCUUUUUAGUGCUAUAAUUUUGAUUUCUUGCCAUUUAAUUUGGAAUUUCAUAAACGUUAUAAAUUUUACUUGCUUAAUAUAAAAAUACGUGUUAAAUAUUAUACAAUGCCGUCAAACUUGAGAAGCUGAGAAUUGGGCUAAAACUCAAGAAGUUUCCAUGUUUGAUUAAAACCCACCUAUAGAAUAUAUUCAAUUUCAAUAAAAUCAUUAUUCUCACUGUCCAUCCUAGUGUCUCCUCAAGAGUAAAACUAUCACUAAUGACUGCAGUUUUAACUCCCUCUUUACUAACGCCAUUUGCUUCUUUUGCUCUACGAGUAGAGUUCUGAGUAUAAGAAUUCACCCAAAUCCAACAUAAAAGACAAUUCAAUAUCCAUCGUAAUCAUAAUUAUCCUCAUACUCAUAUUCAGUGUCACCGUAAAAAAUUCCUCCAUAUCCAUCAUCAUCAUUGUCGUUAUAUUCAUCUUCUAAAUCACCUUCUUUGCCAAUUUUAGAAGCCUUCUCCUCCUUUUCAUCUGAAUUUGAUUCUAUUCUUUGUUUCUUGGGUUUCUCUGUAACCUGUUAUACCAAAGAAAUCCUAAGAUAACUUCAUGAAGUUUUUUUGUUUUUUAAAAAACAAAUCCCUCUAAAGCAACCCUAUGUUAGUCCGACUCUGAAGUAUCCAGGUUGAUGCGUUGAGAAUAAUCAUAUCCAACACUUCCAAGUCGGAGUAACAUAGGUAUCAUACCACCCAAAUGAAUAAGUCUUUGUCAAAUACAAUAAGGGAUACAAAAGAAAUUACCAAGUAUUUGUUUGUAAGUUCGUGUCUACGGUCUAACAAUCAAUUUGAAACAUUAAAACAAAUUAGGCAUAAACAUACCGGGUCAUCAAAGAGCUUCUCCAAUGCAUCAUAGUUUAUUUUUGAACUUAAUCUCUGCACAGAACCAAUACAAGUAUAAGCAUUCAAGGCAAAAGUUAAGCAAUUCGGUUAGUAGAAUCCAUAUAAAGUACUAAAAUGACAGUUUUACUAGUAAACAUCCAUACGUGCAUGAAACACUUGAAAAAUUAUAGAACCUAAACAAAUGCAUGAUUAUGACAACAACUGUAGAUUGCAGAAAUGCGUGAAUGCUAGGCCUGUCAAAUGGAUCCAAGCAAAAUCAGCAUUUUAUUUUCAGGAUCACUUUGUUCGACUCCGGGGUGGUUAUCAAGGCAUAGCUAAUCUGUCUACUAACUUUUAAAUCUCAUUGAGAUUGUCUGCAAAAGGAGUAUCAGAUUAAUCUCCUGUUCAAGGUUUCCAUUUCAGUUAGGUAAUUGCCUGAUGGGAUUAAAUAAGAAGCCAACUUUUGACAUUAUUUUAACAAACAAAUUCCAGGCAUCCUAAAAUUUUUGAAUUGCAUAAUGUUUAUACAUGCCAAGAAAGUGAUAUAUUAACAAAUUUUGAUGUCUUCUGGUGAAAAAACAAGAGACAAUAUUGUAGUAUUUAGUUUCUUAACCUGUUCAACCAUAUUCUUCCAACAAAGAUGAAGCUCUUUUCAGUAAAGUCUUGUGUAAAAGGGAUUUCCUUUUUUCUUUUUUAAAAAAAGACCUAAAUCUUUUGAUUGCUUAUUAUUUUAAAAUUACAGAAUAAUGAGGCAAUUUUACAGCCAUCUGGAGAGAUUAUUAUUAGUUUUAGUUUCAUUAACCCAAAAUUACUUUAGAUCUUAAUUACUAUAACACUACAAUGUUCCCAUUUCAAAGUGCAGUUUCAUCAUAAUCACAAAUCUAUUCAGCCACGCGGUACCCCUUAGGCCAAAACAAGAAAGAAAGGCUAUCUAAUACCUUCCUAACCAGCAUUCGCCGGGUUGCCUCGGCAGCAGUCUGAGCAGGACCUGCAUCUUUUUCUUCAGCAGCUCGCUUUUGUUGCCUCUCCUGUUAAUAUAACAAAAGCAAACCAAAAAAAAAGAAGAGAAAAACAAGCUAAAAUAGAGGAAAGAUUUCUGGAAACAAUAUAUCUUAAAAAGAUAAGUACCAUAAUCUAAAGACGAUCAUGGUUGGACAUAAGAAUUACAUCUUGCAACAUGCUAAUUGCUAAGCUUAGAACAAUGCUCAUAAUUAAAAAAGAAAGACAAACUUUGCAUCAAGCCAUAGUGGCAAAAGUCAGCUGAAAUAGAGAUCAAGAAUUAAGUGCAUGCAAUCCAGCUAUUACGUGUGGUACCAUUUAUAGUUUGUUUUGCAUUUUCAUUUUAGCCUUUUAGAUAUUGCCUUCCAUGUCUAUCUUAACAAUAAGUAAUAAAGUACAAGAGGUGGCUUGCAUUUCUCUUGAUAUAAUUUUCAGAAAUCAGGAAACUUCCAAUUUUUCUUGAUAUUCAAGAAUCACCUUUCUAGAUUUUGCCACUAGUUCUGCAACAUCUGCAGCAAGCUUCUGUGCAGCUUGGAGAUCCUCUGGGCAUUUAUCAUAGUUGGCCAUGCAAGCCUCCUUAGCUGCUGCUGCAGCUGCUUCCUUGGCUGCUUGUUCCUGCAAAGAUUGCAGUAUGAUUAAGUUCCUGUAACUAGCUAGGUUUAUUUAUUUAUUCAAUAAAUUCAUGAAAGGAAAGUCGAGUUGCAUUUUCCAUUUACCUUCUAACACACAAAUGCACUGAGACUCAAAUAAAUUAUAUCAAACAAUUUCACAGAUUCAGGGCUCAAUUUGACCAAAAGUAUGAGAAAAACCAUCUAAAAGUCCGUCUUUUCAAUAGUCAAAUAUAUCUGAAUUGUUCUUCAAGGAGAAAUCAUCCUCUUAUGUAUGUUUUUAACUAGAAAGAUACAAAAUGCUUUUCCAAUGCCCUUACUUGAGCACAUGCCAAUGCAUGAAUAUUGCAUUUAAUCUGUGAGAUUAGAGUAGAGGAGGCCAAAAUAAUGUUGUACUUAACAAAGUCAUGGUUCAAAUCACCUCAACAUAUUCCCGGUUCAUUUCUUCCCAAAUGAUCUUUUUGAAAUGCUUCUCCUCCUCAUUGUGAAGGUAACCAUCAACCUGAAAAUGUAAUAAUGAGUAGUUCCCAAGAGUGAUAAGAAAAUGAAAGUAAGAAGAUAAAAUUUAAUGCACAUAUACAUAAAUGCAUGCAUGCAUUAAUAAAGACAUAACAGUUUAAAAGGCAUGAAAAUAUUGUUGAGAAAAGGUGUACACUGAAGGCUAUUUAUAUGACUAGAUCUCAGGAUGGUUGAUUCUGUACCAGACCAACCAAACUCACCUCCUAAGAAAGUUAUGAAGAACCAAACUCUAAAUACUGAAGAGUAGACCUGAACAAUAAACUGAGAGUAGACCUGAACAAUAAACUUAGUUUAGGUAAAUUGUAGUCAGUUCUUGAACAUUUUUCCCUUUCAAAUUGACAAUUUUGUAUUCUGAAGACUCAACUUUACAGAUCAACCAUUAUUUAGACCUAGAGUAGCUCAGAAGAAACUAUAACAAUAGCGGUGCUGAUUGCAUAAGACAGACAACCACCCAAACGUUCAGGAUUACUUUGGUAGCAGUGAUCAAAGCUGAAUUUAAGCCCAGUUGACUUCAAAUCAAGUGUAGAGCAUCUUAGAUGGUUUAUGAAUGCAAGGAAAAAAGAUGAUAUGCAAGUAAAAGAAGCAAAACAGUUAAGCUAGUCAAAGCUCAAGAAACUUGAUGUAAUUUACAUAAUUCUAUAUACAUCUUAAAACAAUAUUCCAUUAGACUAGGAAAUAUAACCAAUGUAGUUAGUUUAGCACUUGGGUAGAGUAUGAAGUACUUUUGUUUGUUGAAGUUCCUAUGGACAAUGCAAUGUCAAAAUACAAGAAAGCAGACUUAUUCUGCACCUCAAUAUCAUCAAUAUCAGAAAAGUUAUCCGAUCCAUCAUCACUAUCAUCAACUCCAGGUAACUUAUCAUUGUCACCCUCACCAAUGGCUGCCUUGUUAGUAGCAUCCUCUAAAAACCCUGAAAAAUACCUUUUCUAAUAAAAGAUCUAGGGCAUUUAGAUAAAAAAGUCCAAUUAUUAAACCAUGUCAUGCAUGAUUACUCAUGAUAAUAAAACUUACCACUAUUUUCAGGUAUUUCAGAUCCACUUGCAAACGUGCUGCUAGAUAUGCUCUGGGUUAUCAAAAACAACCACAACAAUGAAAUAUCGUGCUAAAGAAUGAAAGUUAAAACUAUGCAGAAGAUAACCUCAUAAUAAAUAAUAAAAAGAUUCAAGUGUCCUGUCACAAAAAUUUGAGAGAGGUUAAUCUCUCAUAAUUAAGCAACAGAACAAUUAAUAAAGUCUUCAUUACUAAGUUUUUAAACUAAAAAGAAGACAGCACCAAAUUAUGAGAUCAGUUGGCACAUGAGGAUGGAGGAGAGAAUAAUUCUGCAUGCUCACAUGAAUCUCACAAUCCAGAAGAUAACCUUAUGAUAAAUAAAGGUAAAAAAAAAUCCAAGAGAAGAAAGGACUCAAGCGUCCUGUGACAAGAUUUUGAGAGUUCAGUCUGUCAUAGUUAAUCAACAUAACAAUAAAUAAAUUCUUUACCAUUAAGUGUUUAAACUGAAAAGAAUGACAGCACAUUAAGAGAUCAGUUAGCACAUGAGGGGGGGAGGGGGGCAUUGUGAGAGAAUAACCUUUUUGCAUGCCCAUGAUGUGAAUCUUGCAAUCCAAAAUAUAUGAAGUGUCUACAAUUCAGAUUCUCAACAUUCACUGUCCUUAAGCCUUUAAAAAGGUAUAAUUACAGAACUUACUUUAUUAUUUUCCUCAAUAGAUAAUUUUGCCAUUCUCUCUUUCUCAGCCCGUUGGAAUGCAGGUGGAUCUGACCCUCCAUCAAUCCCUCCUGAAACCUUCAUGAACUGCACGAGCCAGUAACAGCAUGAACUUCAGCUUCAAUGAUAAAACAGUUUCCAGUAGUACAAUUGUAGUGGGUCAAAGAAUAUAAAAAGGUACAAAAAAAACAUGGGUGCCACCUCUUCAUAACAUUCAUUACAAAGUCCAUAGGCAAAAGGUUUUCUCCCCACAUGCCUACAUAGCACUUCAUCUAAGCUGGUUUCUUUUGACCCAAUAUUUGGGUGUUUUUCAGUUAAUGAACUAGUUCGAAGCUCCCUCUCCUUUUCCGUAAAUUCCUCCAUCUGGUCACAAGUUCAAAACAAAGGAGGUAUUUUCAAGAAAUACGAAGGAGGAAAAGUAACAAGAUGUGGAAUACAACAAAUUCAACAUGACACCUGAGGUAAUGAUGAAAAAUUGGCAUCAAUUUUUUCAUAAAAUUAGUUAGAUACUCUGUAGUGUGAAAAAAAGUAACAUCAACAGUAAUAAUAGUAAAGAUUUAACAAUCAAAUUCUAGCAUAAGAAAAAAAUAAUUGUACUGACACAAGUUACAAUUACAACAACAACAAAGCUUUUUUCGCCCAAGAUACUGCAAGCCUUAUAGAUCGGAUUACGCCAUCAUGCUCUACUUAGGACCAUAUGCAGAUAGAAAGUCAUAUCAACAUCAAAAGGGGAAAAAAAAUUCAAACUACUGUAAGCAUCAGUUGAAUAUGGUUCUUCAUUCCAUAGUUUCUAAUUUACAAUCUUAUUCCAUUACCAAUUUCCUAGCACAAUGUAGUUCUAUUUUACCAUGCACAAGUAAAAAAAUGCAUACCGUUAAGGCUCCAGAGUCGGUAUUCUCAAAUUCAAUCAACCGCUUUGACAAUGUUGCUUCACAAAUGUGAACAACCUCUAUCUGAUAAACAGACCUUAAUUAACCGAACAAUUUAAGAGAGAGAGAGUAUAAUAAGCAAAAGGGGGGAAAAAACAAGAAUCAACAUGAAUCUAAGUAAAGAAGAAAUUGGAAAAACAAAAAAUUAAACUGCCCACAAGCAUAAAUAAAUAAAUAUAAUGAAAUAAAUUAAACUGAAAAAACAAAAAUUCAUUAUCUAGCAGAUGCUAAAUGGUAAUAUCAAGCUAUCCAGUAUUGUUAUGGCUUAAGGCUGUCGUGGAUUUAUUUUGCUUUUGCUUUUUCAUUUUUAUCGUAUUAAACUUCAGUUAUUUUAUGCCUCCACCUUUUAGUACCAUGAUGCUAAAGUUUACUUUACGGAAAAAGAAUAAAAAAUAAAUAAUAAUAAUGACAACAUGGACAUGUGCAUAUUACUACAAUGAAAAUUGUAGAGGGGGUCUUAGACAGGGCAGUGAGGCAUCUAAAACUCUCCCUACUCUAGCUUAGGCCAAGACAUGAACCUAAUCCAACACCACCUAAUAUGAGUUAGGACCUUAUUUAGAAUGUGUAUGAGAACAAUCAUGACAUGGUUGGAAGUUAAAACAUCUACUGAAUUUCAAGCCCCUAUCAUAAAAUUAAAAUUGCAAAGCCUGUCAACCAAAUAGUAUAAAUAAAAAGUAAAAACUUAUAGAUUUUCAAGCAAAAGGAACAACAACAUAUGAUUAUUAAAGAAGGCAAAAAACAAAAAGGUAUGAACUAUAACUUACAAUCUUUGACUUAGAAAACUUCAGACCAUGUGAAAGUGCAGAAAUGUACAGUGCUGCACCACAUAAUCCACUGGGUUUCCGCCCUGUCUGUUAAUUUGUGUUACAGUAAGAUUUUAACUCCAAAAAUUACCUAGAUAAUACACAGAAUCAAAAUAAAGUACUUUUGAAUAAAAUCACACCUGCAUCCAGUCCCGUUUCAUGCUAGCUAAAAUGUCCCGUGCAGUUUUAACAACUUCAUCAUUUCCUUCUGGAAUCAAAGCUGCAAAGUAUAUUGGUUAUUAUGCAUGUCUAUUAUGCAUGUCUAAGUUCAACGCACAAACACUGGGAGCAUGCGAUCAACUAAAAAAUCUCAAGGUACAGAAAUUGAUUAAGCAACUUACCAUUUGUAAAUUUAUGAAUAAAAAUUGAAGGAUCAAUUAGUUUCGGAAGAUCCUUUGAGUCAGCAAGGUACAGCACAUAGCAAAGUUGCAGAUAUACAGAGCCAAGCUCAUAACUGAAGAAGAAACAACAGAACAUCUGUCAAAAAAAAACCUCAUCACGCAGAAACACAGAGAUAAAGAAUUAUCGAGCAAGUUAAAUUUGUUUAAAAGGGGUAGAAAGGGGGAAAAUUGCUUACACAUUUACAUGUAAAUAAUGUGAAAAAUCAAUAAGAAGGAAUGGCUUUCCCUUUUGCCUGCCAAAAAUUAUAUGGUUGAGGAGGGAAAUAGUUCAACAGUUCAAAGAACAAAAAGAAACAAAAAAGUGAUAAAAAGGAGGGUAAACAAUUCAACCCUAAAUUGAAGAAGAAACAAAAAGAAUCAUGUCGCUCAUGAUAGCUCUCCCUCUUUCUCUCUUCCUCUCCCUCUACAGUUCCCUAUCCUGACUCUUUCAUUCACUGACUGAUUUGUGUAUCUCUGCAAUGAUCUAAUUUUCAAGAAAGUAUAGAGCUAAUUUGAAUAUUUAAUAUGGCUCUUACGAGCACAGCAUGAACCUUUUGUGUUUUUUUCAACUAGUGGACCACUAGCUGAAAGAGAUCCCAUCCAAUAUUUUCUUUCUCAAUUCCAGACCAGCAAUAUUCUUUCUGCAUUCCAACCCCAGCCACAAACACAUCUGUUUGACCAAUAUCAAACCCUAAAAUACAAGACUCUUACCCUCGUUCUUGAAAAUCCUAGUCAACAAAAUAAUCUUUAACAAUUACAGUAUUACCCACCUUUUCCUAAGCCAAACUCAAGCAAAAUCCAUGACCAAAAAACAUAUACGAGAAGAUGAAGUAAAGAGUCACAGCUUAUUGUGUUUUGCAGAAGAAAAAGUAGCCAAUACUGCACAAAUUUCAAAAAAGAUUUGAAAGGAAAAAAGAUCAGAUACUUCCCAUAAAUAAAAGGAUAGAAGGUAAAGAAUCACGCUUGUUAUUUUACAAAUGAGAACGAGAGGUUUGAAGUAGUAGAAGUUACUACCAUCUGCAUGACCCUAUAUUUUAGUGAAAAUAUGCAUUUGUAAGUUACAUGAGUGAAAUUUUAUUUUAGCAAGUGCUUAUGCACAUAAUCAGUAGACGUCUACAUGUUUGUUUAUUAAACUGAGAUAUAAACAGCUGAAUCAUCACAUUUAAGUUUAAGACAAUAGACCAUGUUCGAAUUCAGGCAAUAGUAUUUCCAUGUAACCACAUUACAAGUUUAAGAAAGAAGAAAUUCCUCACCGACAGGCAAGGUAAAGACAUGCAGCCUGUACUAGCUCUGAUCUGCGUCCCUUAGUGAAAUUCCGUUCAAGGCCAACCUUCACAGUAAAUAUAAAAAUAGCUUAAAAUAUUGAGGGGGGGGGGAGGACAAAAAUAACAAGCAUGAAAUGAAAGUUCCGAAAAAGAAAACAUACUUCAUAAAACCGUAAAGCAACAUUAGCAACAUCAUCACUAUACUCGUCAAUAAGCAAUCCAGUCUUCAAAGAUCUGAUACCAUCAAGAGCUGUAUCACCAUGAAAUUAAAACCAGAAACAAGAUAUUUACAAGUCACAUUGCAAUAAGUGUGUAAUGCUAACACAUAAUUAGCCACGACAACAAACUGAAAUAACACAUAAAAGUAAAGUUGAGCCUGCAAUAAAGAUGUCAAAAGGUUUUGAAAUCAGAGCACCCUGAAAGAGCGAAUUUGAUGAAAUGUAUAAAUAAUCCUUUAUCAAAAGUUGGCAACAUAUAGCUUCUUGCAUAACAUAGAUGCAACUUAAUAAAGCAUACCUUUAGCUAUGGUAUGCUGGCGUGAAUCUGAAAUGCUUUGCGUAGAUUUCACAAAAUUUCCAGAUAGUUUGCUCUGGGAACAAAGUGAAAUUAGCAACAGAAAUCAAAAUAAAUGCAAGUCAAAAACAAGAAAGCAAAGAUCAAGUUAUCAACAAACUAAACAAAGGGAAACAAAACUUGAACUCCACAAUUCAAUGCACUUCACUCAAUUAAAACACGUCUGACAAUGAGAUUAGCUUGCCAAUUUCUUCUUCUGUUUGAUGGCAUAUUCAGCCAGCCAUUCUCGUAGUUAGGAAACUACAAAUAGCUAGUAAGAAGUAAUUGUCUAUGACAAAAACAAUGAACCUCGCACAAAAUUUAAGAGUACAUAUCACCUAGCUUAAACCUAACUCGCAUCUAUUCAACUAAAUUUUACCAUAACAUAGUUCCAAACAUAAAAAUUACGUAUAAAGAAAGAAACAUUACUUGGCCAGAUGAAUCUUUAACGAAUUGAGGUUCGGUUGCAAAAAUGCAAUCUUCCAACACCUUCCCGCAAAAAGUGCAAGACCUACAGAAGAGAUAAAUAAGUAAAAUAAAUAAUGAAACAAGAAACUGAAAUUUUCUCCAAAAAAGACCCACACUGUUUAUGAGCAAGAAAUCCACUUACAAAAGACCGUCGUCGACGCGUUCUCCAGUAACGUUUCUGGAGCAAUUAUUACAGUAAACCAUCCUGCUCAAUUACGAAUUUAAAAUUCUAAAUAAAAGAAUAGCGCCUUCUUCUUUCCCUUGCCUUCUUUUUCUCAGCAAUCAAAUUGAAACUAUGAAUUUUUCAAAUUUAGAGUAUGAAAUCAAAGUUAGUAAUAAAAAGAAUAAUUUAGAUCAAAAUAGAUUUAUAAAAGCAAUCGGAAGAAGAAAUUUAGGAAGGAAAAACGAAAAAAAAAAAAGAACGAAAGAAAUUGGAGGCUGAGAAGGAGAGGGAAGAGUGAGUCACUGAGUUGGGAAUUAGUGGAACGGUUAAGAGAUGACGUUACGUUUGGAUUUAGGGACGAGAUGAAAAAAACCGGGCCGAUAGGUUUCAAACCUAUCAUUUAAUUUUUUUAAUUAAGGUAGAGAGUUUUUUUUUUUAAUUUAAACUUCAUGAUUUAAUGUCUCAAAUAAGAAAAUAAAAUCAUAUUAGAUAACUUCAGAUUAUCAUUUCUUAGCUAAAUUUCUCCUAAUUAAUCUAAAAAAUUGUUGCCUAAAAUCUCUUAAAAAGAUACUAAAAAAUAAAUAUUUAAUUAAAUCAAAAUACAAUAAUAUAAUAACCAAGUCAACCAACUUAAUUGCAAAAUAAAUUACAAUUAACUAUUGCAAUUUAUAGUAGCAUAAUUAUUAGAUACAUAGAAUAAUUGUAACAUAGCAUGUCACUAUUUGAUUAUUCCAUCAACCAUAUUAAUUUUUGACUGCACAAAUAUAUGAAUUUUUUUAACAAAAAGGACAAAUUUUUUUUAAUCUAAUGUGCAAUGACUAGUUUGUCCAUUUUCUGAGUAGCAAGGACAAAAUGCAAUUCAACUAUAAGUAUAGGGACUUCCAUGAUACUUUUACCCUCUAUUAAAUAUACAAAUAUAACACAUUUAAAGAACUCAAAGUUAAUACUGAUAAAUACAAAAAAAUUUAUUUGAUUUUUUAUGCAUUUAAUAAUUUAUGUUUACACAAUAAACAUUUAAAAUAUAUUUAAAAAAUAUCAAUUAAAAAAUUUAUGAAAUCAAAAUAUAUAAUUUAUUAAAUUUACUUAUGAUUGCUUCAAUGUGAACAAGUUACUCAAGUUAACAAAUAUUUGCAACAUCUUAAGUGGGUCGUGGCGGCAGUUCUAAUGAUUGAAGGCUCCCUUGCAACAUUUCUAUUACUUUAGCCAUUGGCAGCCGAUCUAAUGGAUUGGUUUGAAUGCACCAAAGGCUCACUGCAAUCAACUUCUUUGUUAUUUUUUCUUCCUCUUUUGUUCUUUCUUCGUUAAUAUUCAAGUUCAUAGAUUGAUCAAGAUGCUUAUAAAUCCAUGAGGGGAAAUAUGUUUCACUAGUUUGGGACACUUCGACAUUGAUAUUUUUUCUUACUCCGACCAUUUCAAGAACCAUCGUUCCGUAACUAUAGACAUCGAAUUUAUGAGAAACUCCCCCAAGAUUUCAAAAAAACACUUCUGGAGCAAUAUAACCCGUUCCAACUGACGACUUCGAUUAUCUGAUCCUUGACUAUAAAUGAACUUGUCCAAUGAUCCUUUCGGCAUGAAUUCAUAGAUCAAAGCUCUCUUCGAUCUUUCAAAGCAAAAACCAAUUAAAGUCACUAUAUUAACAUGAGAAGUUCUGCUAAUGCUAGCUACUUCAUUUAUAAAAUCCUCUCCAUUUCCCUUCAUUUUUCUUAAGAAUUUAACCGCCACAAGAUGAUUGUUGGAUAAUUUUCCUUUGUAUACACUUCCGAAACCUCCUUGACCUAAUUUAUCAUUGAAUUUAUUUGUCAUUUUCUUGAUUUCUUCGUAAGAGUAUCGCUUUGGAGCAAAAGGACCAAACUUUGUGAUGAAUUCCUCAAUCCUAGCAUUGUCGUUCAUCUUUCCUUGGCGGAGAUAAUUUGAAAAUAAUUUUCCUUUGAAACUUAAGACAAUGAAGCAUAUAGUAGAAAUCGAUACAACUCCCAUUUAUUAAGUGAUCAUUGAUGUUAAUUAAUAUUAUGUUUGUUAAAAUUUGCUCAAUCAAUAUUUUAAUUAAUUAUAUUAUUGUCAUACAUUUUUAUAUUAUGUCAUUAUCAUUAUCCUUAUCCUUAUUAUAAUGUAGUAUUAUUGAUUGAACAUUUUAUUUCAUCAUUCAUGUUGUCGUUUUGUUAAUACCAUCCUUUCGUCAUCAUCAUACAUUGUAAAUAUUGCUACUUAUAUUCAUCCAUUUUUCGGCAUAAACGCAUAAAAAAAUGACUUUGAACCAAGAUGAUAUUAUUUAUUUAGAGAAUUUGACAAAUUGUACCCUUAACUUACGAGGUACAAUUUUUUUCUCUUGAACCGAAAUAAUCAAAUAGCCCUUCCUUUUAAAAAAACAAUAAAUAAUAAAUAAAAAUAUAAGAUUUAAGCAAUAUUUAAAUGGUGAGCAUUCUUAUUUUCAAAAAUUCGAGAUUUUGUGCCCCAACUUACGAAACAUGAUUUUUCGUCUUGAUCAACCCGAAAUGAGAAAAACCUCAUUAAAAAUUCAAUUUAGAUCGGGAUUUUUUUAAUAUCAUCAAAUAACAUCAUGCAAAGAGGGAUCAUAUUUUAAAUUCUCUUCAAAUUUUUAAUUUUCAACAUUGAGACAUUAAGUAAUCAACUAGGUACCAACUUUGGGCUUUAUGAAUGUGUUAACCCUUCCACAUACGUAACCGACUCUCGAACCCAUUUCUUGGAUUUUGUAGACCAAAAACAAUUAUUUUAGUAAAUCUAACAUUUUAUUAAAAUGACCAAAUUUUGAGGUGAUGCAAUCAUAUCUAAAUAAAAAGGAUUUGUGGCAACUCUAUUUUCAUUUUAAAAUAAAAAGUGGAUCUCCAAAGAGGUUUCGACAAUUAUUAUACUAAAAAAAUCAUAAUAUUUGUUUUUAUAGGUUUUUUUGAGGUGACAAAAAAUGGCCGACUAAAUAAGCGGGCAUACUAAAAUAGGAUGGAAGGCGUUUAUAAUUUAUUAACUUUUCAAGGCAUUAGCCUCUCUUGAUUUGUACCAAAAAGAAAACUUAGCAGUAUAAUCAAACUUUCACUUAUUAUUAUUGAAAAUUUUCAAUUCGAGGUUAAGCACAAAUAAUCGACAUGACAAUCAAGCUCAUUUUCUUCUUUAGAUAAAAAAUCAUUAUCUUAAAUCAGAAUUGAGAGAUUGAACUAAAUUUUCAACUUUAAAGAUUAAACUUUAAGUUUGGAGUCAAACUUGGUUGAAGUACACCCUAGUAAUACCACUAUUGAUGUCGUUUUGUACUGACUAUAUAGUCAAAUCAUGGAUAGUAACAAUUUGUUUGGUUUUUCUUAUCAAAACCCAAAUUAUUUGAUUCUAAUACUAUUGUUAUUGUUGAGGAAGUUUUCGAAAUGUCAUUUUCGGGGACAUCGACAAUAGGUCAAGGGGUUCGAAUCUCAUGAAGGGUGAGACACUCACAUCGCCUCUUGAUGGGUGGUUGUACAUCGACAUAUGGUCGAGCGUUUCCCUCUGUGAACUGUAAAUGGCUCUCUGCAUAGCGGGAGAUAAAACCCUCCCCUAGGGGACAAUACUUUCUACUGUUGAGAAACUUGAUUGACAUUUUUAAAGACAAGACUUCGAAAACUUCUCUAAAUAUAUUCAAUCUCAUUUUCACCUAUAUUUUCACUUUCAACAAAAUCAUACACAUUGUCCAUGUGAAUAAACACCAAGCCAUAAGCAUUAGUUAAUUUUCCAAUUUGGCAGGUAGUAUUAAAAAGUAUUGUAAAAAAAAACGUAUCAAAUUUUAUGUUACGUUUCGAACGAUUGUUUGUUUAAUCAAUUUUUGAUUCUAUUAGAAAUCAUCAAAUAGAUCCUCAUAUAUUCUGCAUGCCCUUAUUUGCAUUUUUUCAUAUUUAUAACUCUCUUAAAUUCACGAACACUACAUGUUUAAUAGAUUUAAAAAAAUAGACACGUGUUUAAUGAACAAUUUCCACAAAAAUGUUUAAGUAGGUCGUGGGGGAAGUUCCAAUGAUUGAAUGCUUCCUUGCAACAUUUCUAAUACUCUAGUCAUUGAUGGUCGAUCUAAUGGAUUGGUUUGAAUGCACCAAAGGCUUACUGCAAUCAAUUUCCUUGUUAUUUCUGCUUCCUCUCCUGUUAUUUCUUCAUUAAUAUUCAAGUUUGUAGACUGAUCGAGAUGCUUAUAAAUCCAUGACGGAAAAUAUAUUUCACUAGUUUGGGACGCUUCAACAUUAACACUUUUUCUCCCUCCAACCAUUUCAAGCACCAUCAUUCCAUAACUAUAGACAUCGGAUUUAUGAGAAACUCCUCCUAGAUUUCGAAAAAACACUUCUGGAGCAAUAUAUCCCGCAGUUCCUCUAGCACCUGUCAUUGAUACAAUACUCUUCUUUCUUUCACAUAAUUUCGACAAGCCAAAAUCAGAGAUCUUGGGACAAAAAUUCUCAUCUAAAAGGAUAUUUUGAGGCUUUAUGUCAAAGUGCAAGAUCCUUGUGUUACAACCUUGAUGCAAGUACUCAAGUCCUCUAGCGAUGCCGAGUACAAUGUCAUACAAUGUUACCCAUUCCAAUUGACGACUUUGAUUAUCCGAUCCUUGUCCAUAAAUGAACUUGUCCAAUGAUCCUUUGGGCAUGAAUUCAUAGAUCAAAGCUCUCUUCGAUCUUUCAAAGCAAAAACCAAGUAAAGUCACUAUAUUAACAUGAGAAGUUCUGCUAAUGCUAGCUACUUCAUUCAUAAAAUCCUCUCUAUUUCCCUUCAUUUCACUUAAGAAUUUAACUGCCACAAGAUGACCAUCAGGUAGUUUUCCUUUAUAUACACUUCCAAAACCUCCUUGGCCUAAUUUAUCAUUGAAUUUGUUUGUCAUUUUCUUGAUUUCUUCGUAAGAGUAUCUCUUUGGAGCAAAAGGACCAAACUUUGUGAUGAAUUCCUCAAUCCUAGCAUCGUCGUUCUUCUUUCCUUGGCGGGGAUAAUUUGAUAAUAAUUUUCCUUUGAACCUUAAGACAGUGAAGCAUAUAGUAGAAAUCGAUACAACUCCAACAACAGAUCCUGUUUAUGAACUAUUAAUCAAUUUUUGCUAGCUCAAUAGAUAAGAUUCAAUUAAAGUGAAAACAUUGGUUAAAAUAAAAAGAAAGUAGUGAAUAAAAUCGAACAAGAAACUUAAAAACAAAGGGUAAAUUAUCAAAAUAGUUACUUUUGUUUAUCUCGGGUUACAUUUUAAUCACUUAUGUUUGAAAUAUUACAUUUUCGUUACUUACCUUAAUGUGUUGUAACAUGUUAGUCACUAAGCUGUUAAUUAUCGUUAACAAUGUAACAAUAAGUUGACUUGACAUGUUAAAUCAUCAUUUCGAACAAAAAUUGUAGAUUAAAUUGUACAAUUGGUCCCUAUAUUUUUUCGUUUAGAGCUAAAUUUUAACCUAAAAUUUUCAUUUGAAAUGAUGAUUUAACGUGCCACCUCAGCUUACCGUUACACUGUUGACUACAAUUAACACUCAGUGACUAAAAUGUUACAACACGAUAACGUAAGUGCCUAAAAUGUAAUUUUUCAAACAUAAGUGAUUAAAAUGUAACCUGAAACCAAAAAAAAAGAAGACUAUUUUAAUAGUUUACCCUAAAAAUUAUAAAAGUUAAAAAAAAAGGAUGAUUAUUAAUUUAAAAGAAAAGCAUUAAAAGAUAUAGAAAGAGUAUAUAUAUUUAUUUAAAAUCAACUUAAUUAAAAGCUAUUUCAACACUACAAUUAUAGUAGUUGUGAUGUAUUUAGUGUGUGCUUAGAAUAUAUGCAGUUAAUUCAAACCACAUUAUUACCCAACAAACAGUUUCAUAUCUAUGAUUAUUGGAGUCAGCUUCAACUUGGAUUUGGACCCACCUAUUCAAUUACAAUAUACCACACAAAGCAAUCAAUUAGUUACUGUACGAUUUCAAUUAUUUAAAUAAUUUCAACUCCUUUUUUUUUUCUUCUUGAGUUAAACAUUCACAUCAAAUUAAUAUUACUAUCUUAAAACAGAAAAUAAAUAACAUGUUGAAUUGUAUAAAUGGAAAGUACAUACAUACCUCUGGCAUUGCACUUCCGGCAGGCUUCCGCAUCUUCCUUCCAUUGCACCUCGAAUCCUGUUUCCAAUGCUUCUUCCAAAUCCAGGGAAUCAUUUCGAAGUCUUUCCCAGGAAGAUUGAAGAAUCGGGACUCUAACAUUAGCUGAACAUCCAUCUGGACGAAUGUUAUCUGUAGUUAUGGAAACAUUGUUGUAAUUUGAAGAAUCGCAAGGGAAGAUUCCAAGACUCGAUGAAGAUUGGCAGUCAUAAGACAUAGUAAGAUUGGUAUUUCCAGAACCGAGAACGAAUGGCUCAGAAUUCAGGAUCGAAUCUUGAAUUGGAAUUUGAGGAUGACAAGAGCCAUUCUUGAUGAAGUCCUCCCUCGCAAUCCUUAGAAUUUGAUUUUCAUGACGGAUGUCCAGCACCUCAUACUUUACACCAACAAUUUCAAUCUUAGUAGUAUUAGUAAAAACUUCACAGUGAAGCUCCAAACCAGGAUGUCCACAUUCUGGAUCUCGAUCACCUCCGGAGAAAGGAUAUCCAAUGGAGAUAUCCCCACAUUUAAACACUGCAUCGCGGCACUUCUCGUACAGUUGAUCGGGACUGGGUAGUGAAACAGGAAACCCAAGAAUAAGCAAAACAGAAGUAGAAGCAGAAAGAAAGAGAAUCAUUUUCUUUUCCAAAAAUUUUCAGAGCAGAGAUGGAAGAAAGGGUUGGCAAUUGAUUGCCAUUGCCACCGCGGACCGGUGACAUCAGCAGACACCAUUGCCUUGGGAUCGCCCGUUCUCUAUAUUGAAAUUGGCAUGCAUUUGUUACCUGGUGGAAGGGGUAGGGCAGAAAGUAAUAUCAUAAUCAGCUUCAACACAAUGGAACAUACUGGUUGCAUCAUCAUCAAAGGCGUAGCUAUAAGCUGUAGGACACGCAGUCUUGAAGAAUUGUGAGUAAGAAGUGGGCUGGCACGUAGCUGGAGAAUAAUAUUCUCCAGAGCAGCAAUACUGGGGUUCCCCAAGAGCAGAGCAAGCACUCUUACAUGCAACUGUCUCACUCCCAUUGACAACCUUAAGCUCCGAAGGACAGUCACCAUUCAAAUCCGCAACACAUCCAGUUGAGUUACAGUCACCUCCAGUUCCACCAUGUGGGGAUAUCAUCAAUGGUAGAUUGUAUCCACCAACAAGGCUAACAUCAUAGAAAUCUCCCAGAUCAUUGAAUCCAAACUCUGCAAGGGUGGCCUGGAUGGAACUACUACCAGAACACUCUGGUCUAGAUGUGCCGCAGUCGCCGGUGAGGCAAGAGAAAUUGCCAGAAGAGUCUUGAGUGCAAAGAGUUCGACCCCAUAUCCGACCUGUCCAAGAUCUUGGAAUAGAAAUAGAUGUUGAUUCGCCGGGAUUAAGACUGAAACCUGUAGUAGGAAAACUCUGUGAGCCUCCGGCCAAUGUUAUCAUCCCUGGCCAAACUGUAUAGCUGCAAUUAUUUACAAUAGUAAACAUCGAUAGACGAGCAUCUGUGCACAGGAAAAUGAAUUUAAAUCUACACAAAACAUAUAUACACACACACAAAAAGAGGUAUAUGAACAGGGACAAGACAAGCAAAGGAUCCAAGCCGAGUUUCAAACAGAAGAGUUUAUAAGUUAAACUGAGAGAGGCCUUGAAACAGAACAUACUUGUGUUAACCACCCAACCCAAGAGGAAGUUAUUAAACUGGCAGAUGCACGCAACACUAAUCUUCAUCUUAUUACCAUUACCCAAAAAGAAUAGUUCUAAAAUGGAAAGUACAUGCAUACAUACCUCUGGUAUUAUUCCUUUGUGAAACAGCAACCCCAAGCAUCAUGAAUGAUAAGGAAAGCAAAAGAAGAGCAAGAUCUGAUGAUGCUGAUGCUGGUGCUGAUGAUUUCAUUUUCAAUUUGUUUUUAGAAAAAAUUCAGAGAAGAGAUAGUAGGAUAACCAGUCAAAUGAUGAUAAAAAGAAACCAUUGAUUUUUAUCUCAGCUCAGCUCAAAUGAAUUACGAGGAAAUUGUCAAAACAAAAGGGUUUGACUAUAAAGUCGGCAGUCGGCCUUUAAGACGUAACUGUCCAAAGGAAAUUUCUCUUCUUUUAUCGACUAAACUUCCAAGGGAAAUUGUUGAAAUUGUCGCAUAGAUGGACAUGGCUCAUGUUAUUAGUUUCUGUUUCUGUUGGAUUUUGGAUAAAUUAUUUUGUAUUUUGGGCCGAUCCAGUUUGGCCUUAUUUUUUUUAUGUAUUAAUUAAAAAUAUCGUUUGUUAUUUAAAAUUUAAAGUAUAAAAAUAUAAAAAUUUUAAUAUAUUUCUUUAAUUAUAAAAUUAUUUAAUAAAAUUUAAUGGUGAAUUCAAAUUUAUUUUCAAAAUGUAUGAUUUUUAUAAUUUUAUAAUUAGUUUUAAAUAUAUAUAAAAAAAAUAUAAAAAUUUUAAUAGGAGAAUCAAAAACCGUAUAACUAAACAACCAAAGAUCUAAUUAAAACAUGAAUCAAAUGCCAUUAAGAGAUAGCUGCUCGCAGUUUUCUUUGUCCAUCUCAAAGAAAAAAAAUUAAAUUCAAUUUAGUCAUUCUCGAAUUGAGUUCAAAUUUAAAUAACUUAAACUAUCGAGUAGGUCACAUUUAAAAUUUCCAUAAUUCUACAAUAAACGCCUUCCCUUUCAACAAUUUGUAGAAUCCUCAAUCAAGAAUUCAAAUAUCGGAUCUCAUUGAAAGUCCCCUCUCCAACUGGACUUUCUCUUUUUGCAUUGUCCACUGCGGGUGAAAUAGCAUGACUGGCGGAGCUGCCAUCAUUCAAGACCAUAGAGCCUCUCAGUUUCUGUCCAUUUGAAGCUACAAAAUUGCCAAUAAAAUUCAGGCCAGACAUCUCACUCUUUGUUCUAUCCUUAUUAUACUAAAAAAAUCAUAAUAUUUCUUUUUGUAGGUUUUUUGGAGGUAACAAAAAAUGUCCGGGCAUACUGAAAUAGGAUAGAAGGCGUUUAUAAUUUAUUAACUUUUCAAGGCAUUAACCCCUCUUGAUUUGUACCAGAAAACUUAGUAGUAUAAUCAAACAUUCACUUAUUAUUAUUGAAAAUUUUCAAUUCGAGGUUAAGCACGAAUAAUUUACAUGACAAUCAAGCUCAUUUUCUUCUUUAGAUAAAAAAUCAUUAUCUUAAAUCAGAGUUGAGAGAUUGAACCAAAAUUUUAACUUGUAAAGAUUAAACUUUAAAUUUGGAGUCAAACUUGGUUGAAGUACACCCUACGAAUGCCACUAUUGAUGUCAUUUUAUACUGAAUAUAUAGUCAAAUCAUGGAUGGUAACAAUUUGUUUGAUUUUUCUUAUCAAAACCCAAAUUAUUUGAUUCUAAUACUAUCGUUAUUGUUGAGGAGGGACUUUAAGAGAAGUUUUCGAAAUGUCAUUUUCGGAGACAACGACAAUAGUUCAAGGGUUCGAAUCUCAUGAAGGGUGAGACACUCACGUCGUCUUUUGAUGGGUGGUCGUACGUCCACAUAUGGUUGGACUUUUGCCUUUGUGAACGGUAAAUGGCUCUCUGCAUAGCGGGAGACAAAACCCACUCCUGAGAGACAAAACUUUCCAUUAUUGAGAAACUUGGUUGGCAUUCCUAAAGACAACAUUUCGAAAACUUCUCCUAAUAUUUUCAAUCUCAUUUUCACCGAUAUUUUCGCCUUCAACAAAAUCAUACAUAUUUUCCACGUGAAUAAACACCAAGCCAUAAGCAUUUGUUAAUUUUCCAAUUUGGCAGGUAGUAUUAAAAAGUGUUGUAAAAAAGCCUAUCAAAUUUUAUGUUACCUUUCGAACGAUUGUUUGUUUAAUCAAUUAUUGAUUCUAUUAGAAAUCAUCAAAUAGAUCCUCAUAUCUUUUGUAUGCCUUUAUUUGCAUUUUCCCAUAUUUAUAACUCUCUUAAAUUCACGAACACUACAUGUUUAAUAAAUUAAAAAUAAUAAUAAACACAUGUUUAAUGAACAAUUUCCACAAAAAUGUUUAAGUAGGUCGUGGGGGAAGUUCCAAUGAUUGAAUGCUUCCUUGCAACAUUUCUAAUACUCUAGUCAUUGAUGGUCGAUCUAAUGGAUUGGUUUGAAUGCACCAAAGGCUCACUGCAAUCAAUUUCCUUGUUAUUUCUGCUUCCUCUUCUGUUACUUCUUCAUUAAUAUUCAAGUUUGAAGACUGAUCGAGAUGCUUAUAAAUCCAUGACGGAAAAUAUAUUUCACUAGUUCGGGACGCUUCAACAUUAACAUUUUUUCUACCUCCGACCAUUUCAAGCACCAUCAUUCCAUAACUAUAGACAUCGGAUUUAUUAGAAACUCCUCCUAGAUUUCGAAAAAACACUUCUGGAGCAAUAUAUCCCGCAGUUCCUCUAGCACCUGUCAUUGAUACAAUACUCUUCUUUCCUUCACAUAAUUUCGACAAGCCAAAAUCGGAGAUCUUGGGACAAAAAUUCUCAUCCAAAAGGAUAUUGUGAGGCUUUAUGUCAAAGUGCAAGAUCCUUGUGUUACAACCUUGAUGCAAGUACUCGAGUCCUCUAGCGAUGCCGAGUGCAAUGUCAUACAAAGUUACCCAUUCCAAUUGACGGCUUUGAUUAUCCGAUCCUUGUCCAUAAAUGAACUUGUCCAAUGAUCCUUUGGGCAUGAAUUCAUAGAUCAAAGCUCUCUUCGAUCUUUCAAAGCAAAAACCAAAUAAAGUCACUAUAUUAACAUGGGAAGUUCUGCUAAUGCUAGCUACUUCAUUCAUAAAAUCCUCUCCAUUUCCCUUCAUUUCACUUAAGAAUUUAACUGCCACAAGAUGACCAUCAGGUAGUUUUCCUUUAUAUACACUUCCAAAACCUCCUUGACCUAAUUUAUCAUUGAAUUUAUUUGUCAUUUUCUUGAUUUCUUCGUAAGAGUAUCGCUUUGGAGCAAAAAGACCAAACUUUGUGAUGAAUGCCUCAAUCCUAGCAUCGUCGUUUAUCUUUCCUUGGAGAUAAUUCGAUAAUGAUUUUCCUUUGAACCUUAGGACAAUGAAGCAAACGGGAAAAACCAAUACAAUUCCAGCAACUGUUAAGCCUGUUUAUUAACACAUAUGUAAUAUUUAAUUAAGUAAAAGAACGUAAUGAAUAAAAUUAAAGAAAAAUCUUGAGGGAAACCCUUAAACUUCUGUUGGCUAUAACACAUAAAGUAUCAUUGUUAAUUUAAAAGAAAAGCAUGCGGUGGCUUUGACAUUCCCGCCUUAGCUAAAAGGUAAAAUAUUUAUUUUAACCCGUUUUAUUUGUGAGAUAUUUAAUUUAAGUCUCUUUUAAACUUUUAUUUUGGCACUCAAUAAUGAAUUGCUGGAUUUGCCCUGAUUAUAUUUGUUUAAAACCAAUUAAGUUAUAUUAAUUAAAACCUAGUUAAUCCUAAAAGUUUAAUUGUAGUAUAUCUUAAUUAAUAGUGAGUACGUGAAAAUAUUACUUUGGAUUAGACACGUUGAUUUUGAUUCCAGCUUUAAAAAAUUGAUUAUAGUAGCAAUAAAACCACAUAGUAUUACCCAAUAAGACAUUAUAGUAGAAGGUAUAUAAUUAAUUCAAACCACAAAAAAAUGUUUCAUACCUGUUAAAAUUGGAGCCAGCUUCAACUUGGAUUUGGACCCACCUAUUCAAUACAAUAUACCACACAUUAGUUACUUACAAUUUCAAUCAUUCAAAUAAUUUCAACAAUUUUAUUCUUUGGGUUAAAACAUUCACACCAAAUUAAUAUUACUACCUUUUUCUUUAAGAAAGAAAGAAUAUGAAAAACAGAAAAUAAAUAAAUGCCAUGUUGAAUUUGUCAAAUUAUAAUAAAACCAAAUCAUCUGGUACUCCAAUGGGUUGACAUAGUUGAAAUAGGAAGAAGCUUUUAAUAAUAAUAAUAAUAAUAAUAAUAAUAAUGUCAUAUCCCUCUGUCGAUCAAACACAUGUCAGCACUAAAGGCAUCGUUGACUCCACGUUGGCUUUCUUUAAGAUAACAUUUCGACAAACCUCUCAUCCAUUAUUUCUGAAUGUGAUCACCCAUUCUACCUUAAAGAGUCACUUACACAAACUUAAAUGUGAAUACUAUUCUAAUAAGAAGUCUAUUUAGGCUUAACUAUCUUAUAUCGAUAGAGUCUCAUGAUAUAUGUCUAUUAUGCAUUUAAUGGGAUCAAAUCUAUAUUCUGACACAUCAUACCUGCGAACAAGGGGACCUUUCCUAUAAAUACUCUCUGAAACGACGAAUAAAAGAUCGACCUUUUAGCAUCCUAAGGUUAUUCUCUAUAUUCAUCUAUUUGUUCAACUUGUCCCAUUGUUCUUGUUCCAGCUCUUGACCUUUAUAGGUGAAUCAAUCUCCAUUGCACCACUUGAUCUCCUUCUUAUUCCCUCUCGUCUUCAUCCCUUGUGUACCCAUUGGUGAAGAAGUUUUUUAAUUUUACAAGUAGGAUAAAAAACCCGCCAUGUACAGCUCAUCUAGUUUUAAAUUUUUUUAAAUACUAAUUAAGGACAAAAGACAAUUUCUUAAUUUCGUUUGUGUAGUUAAAAAAAUCACCAUAAAUAUACCAAAUAAUAAUACUAUUAAUAAACUCUUAUUGGUUCCACUCUUCUAAAAAACCCUAUUGAAAAAACAAUUACUUCAAUGCUUUCAACCAUUAUUUAUUAUUAUUGUAAAAUUAUUAAUUAACUCAAUUAAUUUUUUAUAUUAGUAUACAUUGAUUGAAUAAUUGAUUAGUCAAUAAUUUUACAUGGUAAAAUAACUCGAUUCCAUCAAGUUUCAAGUUUCACCCUCACCUAAUAAGGGCAGGUUUGAGAGCAAGUUUUAUCCCGUCCAAAAAAGUUUACUAAAAUAUCUAUAUUUUUUAUUUUACAACUAUUUUUAAUAUAUAUACUACUAUUUAAAUCUCUUAUUAAGUUCGUGUCACUUGGCAUCAACUCAACAUUAAUAACACCAAUAUAAUAAUUAAUAAAUAGUUACAUUAAAUUUAAUAUUGUUAAUUUUAUAUAUUUACGUGUUUAAAUUUUGUUUUACCUACUAUUUAAUAUAAUUUUUUCAUUGUAAUUUCGUACACAUUGUAUGUGCUAUUAUUAUUUAGUUUCAAAUUAUAUGUUUAAUUGUUUAUUAUAUAUUCUUUUAAUUAAAAGUUUUUGUAUUUUUGAGAUUUUAUAACAUUUCGACUAUUAUAUAUAAUAAUUAAUUUUUAUAAGAUUUUAUAAUAAGUAAUUCAUUUAAUUUUGUAAAAAUUAAAAUAAUAUAAAAAUUAUGUAAUAUUUCAUAUUAGAUAACCAAAAUUGUUUAAUUGCAUAAAUGGAAAGUACAUACAUACCUUUGGUAUUAUUGUUGUUUUUGGUAUAUGCUGGAGAUGGUGGGAGAUGGGAUCGAUGGCAUUUGUUAGUAUGCGAUGAACUCUCAAAUCCUGAUGGGCAGUAGCAGACUGUUUGAUUGUUUGAAUCGUUAAAACCACAGCUUCCACCCGAAGCAUUGCACUUCCCGCAGGCUUCCAUAUCCUCCUCCCAUAGCACCUCGAAUCCUGUUUCCAGUGCCUCUUCCAAAUCCAAGGUUUUAUUUCGAAAUCUUUCCCAGGAAGAUUGAAGAACAGGAACUCUAACAUUAGCUGAACAUCCAUCUCCACGGAUAUUAUCUGUAGUUAUGGAAACAUUGUUGUAAUUUGAAGAAUUGCAAGGGAAGAUUCCAAGACUCGAUGAAGAUUGGCAAUCAUAUAACAGAGUAAGAUUGGUAUUCCGAGAACCGGGAACAAACGGCUCAGAAUUCAGGAUCGAAUCUUGAAUUGGAAUUUGAGGACGACAAGAGCCAUUGUUGAUGAAGUCCUCCCUCGCAAUCCUUAGAAUCCGACUUUCAUGAUGAAUGUCCAACACCUUAUACUUAAUACCAACAAUUUCAAUCUUAGUAGUAUUAGUAAAAUCACAGCGAAGCUCCAAAUUAGGAUGUCCGCAUUCUGGUUCUCGAUCACCUCCGGAGAAAGGAUAUCCAAUGGAGAUAUUCCCACAUUUGAACACUGCAUCACGACACUUCUCGUACAGUUGACUAGGACUGGGUGGUGAAACAAGAAACGCAAGAUUAAGCAAAACAGAAGAAGAGGCAGAAAGAAAUAGAAUCCAAUUUCUUUUUCAAAAAUUUUCAGAGAAGAGAUAUAAGGGUUGAUUGCUAAUGUCACCUAUCAUGGUGACAUCAACAAUCACCACUACCUUGAGAUCGUCGGUUCGUAUAGGACUUUAUGUUGAAAUUGACAUGCAUUUAUUACCUACGUUGGGAUCGUCCGCUUGUAUGAGGCCUUUGGUUAUAGCAAUCCAAGUUGCUCCCGUAGCUUACACCUAAUAUGUCACAGUACCUCCGAUAGAAACCAAUCCUAUCUGCCACUCUGUCAUCAGGACCAUGACCGCACUCUAGCUCACCAUUGAUUAUGUUAGUGAUGACUCCAUAGCCAGGGAGCCAACCUGCAUCCCUUUCUGCAGCAGACGGUGUCCAUUGCCCGACAAGUACGUUAUGGCUUGAUGGUUUGUUUCCUUGCGGGGUCAUCCAAAACCAAAUGGCCGUCUUGAAGGAUAUAGUCGGGUUGGUGGCUACGAGGUCUGGAUUAUUUAUUAGGUCUACUCCAAUGUCUCUUCCAGCUGGCCCAUAGUUGAAGUUGCUGAGGAAAUUAAAUUGUGAAAGUUGUGUUGAGUCAGUCAACAACAUCAUGAACUAGUACUUCAUUAGUCGAGCGACUGAGAAACUUACUAAGCCAAUUGGAAGGGUCCUCGUCCAUAAUACAAUCUUCCACGAGGACACGGCCAGACACCAGGAAGACAAUAUGCUUGGUCGUUGUUUUGUUCCCUUAUAAAGCAAUAUCCCCAUGCAUAUGGGCCAUCUGGUGCACUUGGCCAUCCUCCUGUUGUUUCAUGAGAGGUUUGAGCUAAGAAAGCUGCGAGUUCCCUCUUUCUGGUUGUAAGAUCUCCGGUUGUGCCAAAUCCGUUAAAAGAUCGAGCAGCGGUAAUGAAAGCACUAUAAGUGUAGAAACCAUUGCCAGGACAACGUGAAUCAUUUAGAUAUUUAAGCAUAUUAUUAAAGAGGUGUUGAGUGAUAAUGCUGCCAAUAUCAUUGCCACUACACUGGCUCUGGCAGCCAGAUCCGCAGUAGUCAGACGUGCUGCCACACAUCCCAAAUUGACUGCAACACAGUCCAUUUGGACAUAGAGCACCUCCUGCUUGUCUUCCGCACACUUCUGCUGCAAGAAUAUUGCUAGACUACUUAGCGUCAAAGAGCCUACAACUUUUUCGUAUCCAUUGAAACUUGGUGUGGGUUUUCAGUUUUGGAUUGAGCAAUUACUAGAGGGUAUAUAUCCAUUUAAUGUAUAAAUUUUGUAAUUUCAUGAAUUAGACUUUCCGGCUGAAUUAGAAAUUAAAAUGAAGAAAAGGUUCCAGCUCCCGAAUCUAUCCAAUCUGAUCUGUGGACAAAUAUGAUUAUUUUAUUUCAUCAUUCUGUCCAUUAAAAUAAUUUUGUGGUUAGAUUUUCAGAAUAGAUUUGACUAAAUAACACAGAAAACUAAUGCUGAUUGCGGCGAAAUUACUCCUUUAAUUUUUUUUUAUUAAUUUUGUCACUGUUAUAAUAUUCUUUUAAUUCUUUUUAAAAUUACAAAAUUUUAAGUUAAUCUUUUAAGAUUCAGCGUGAAAGAAAAUUGAAGCUUGCAUCAAUGGGUGCCUCUGAACCUGCCCUAUUAGGUUCUUCAUCGGUAUGUUUUUUAAUUUUCUCGAAGUUAAAAAUUUUCAAAAAUCCCAUUGAAGUUCAACAGGUACCCAUUUCAAAUCAGCGAAUUCAACGAAAUGAGAACAAAAGAAAAAACCCAAAAUGGAAAUGGACAUUUUGUUUUCUCGAGAAACAAGCUGAAAUUGAAAUUUGUUAACAAUACAAAUAAUCUAAUUUAUUAAGGUCGGUUGAAGAAAUCCCCCCAAACGACCCAACCUAUCACAAUGGAUAGAGUUUUCCCCGUUGAAGAAAUCCCCGAUCACUACUGAUCUUCAUCCGCCGUCACUUCCGCUGCCGGUGGUGGCGACGAAAAUAGAAAUAAAAACCUCGGUUCUGAAAUGAACCGAAAUGCUUCAGAGUGGGCUUUUCAGCAGUUCCUUAGAGAAGAAUUUAAUAUGAAAGGUGAAAAUAACGAAGAGGAGGAAGCUAAGGAGGAGCUGAAGAAUGGGUGUUUAGAAAAUAAUAACAACAACACCAACAAUAUUCCUGCAGAUGUAGAAGGUUAUCAGGCUUUUCUUAAGAAGAAGCUUAACUUGGCUUGUGUGUGUAGUUGGGUGAUGAGAAAGGUGGAGAGGAUAAAGGAUAAGGAAGGAAAAGUUUAGAUCUUGAAUAGUUUUUCUUUUCUUUUCAAAAAGAUGGGAUUCCUUUUCUGGGUUAUGUUUGGCUUCUAAGAAAACUUGAAGGGAAAUUUGCAUGUCUGGAUUUUGAUUUUUUUUAAUUACAUUCUGGUUUAGCAAUUUGGGUUCUUUAAAAAUCUAGACUGUUUCUCUUUCUUUUUAAAUAUUUUUUUUUAUAUUUAUCAGUUCAAAAGAUCUACGUAAGUUCUAAAAUCUGAAACUGUUCUUUUUCCAUUGAUGCAAGCUUCAAUUUUUUUCACGUUAAUGGGUCAAAACUCAAAAGAUUAACUUGAAGCGUUGGUAAUUGGAUCAAAGAGUGGAUUGAGGAUGGAAAGAAUGAUAGGGAUGGUUGGCAAUGGUUCUACGAGGAAUAUGGAAAACGAGGGAAAAACAGAGAAAUUUCAAGUCAGAAAUCAUAAUGCAGGCCAAAACUUCCAGAAUAACCUCCCGCAGCUAAUGGCGUGGAAAAGGGGCAUCUGAACAGGGACAAGACAUCCAAAGGGUCCAAGCAGACGGUGAAUGGGUAAACUGAGAGAGGCCUUGAAACAGGAAAGGACAUUAUCUUCAUCUUAUUAAACUGUGUUAAGCACCCAAAUUAUUAAACUGGCAGAUGCAUGCAACCAUUAUCUUCAUCUUAUUACCAUUACCCAGAAAGAAAAGCUCUAAAAUGGAAAGUACAUGCAGACAUACCUCUGGUAUUAUUACUUUGUGAAGCAGCAACCCCAAGCAUCAUGAAUGAUAAGGAAAGCAAAAGAAGAGCAAGUUCAGAUGAUGAUGAAGUCAUUUUGUUUUUAGAUUUUCAGAGAACAAGUCAAAUGAUGAAUAAAGAGAAAGGAUUGAUUAUUGUCUGAGCUCAACUCAAAUGAAUUUCGAGGAAAUUAUCAAAACGAAGGCUUUGACCACACACUCUACCUUUUAAGACUUUUAGCUUCCAACAACAGUAAGGCAUUGUCUCAUCUUUGAAUUUCCAAUGAAAAAUGUUGUAUACAGCGACGUAAGUAAAUAGUAGCCGAGCCCCAACGUAGUACCAUGUAAUCUAAUUUUGUAAUUUACAUAUGAAUCGGCUUUGGAAUUAAAUUUACAUGCUAAAUUUGUUAUUCUAAACAUGAAUCUUAAAUCUAAUUAUAUUCAACUCUAAUUUAUUUAUUUAUUUAUUAUUUCUACCUCAUAUUUCUUUUGAAAAAAGAACCAUUUUUUUUGAGAUAACUAUUCGAUAUUAAACAGUACAUUUUUUAUAUAUAUAACCAUUUAUUUAUACUCCACGUCAUCACCUCAAUCCUAUUGAGGACCACCAUUAAGUUACGAUCACGUCGUUUGGAAUGGACGUACCGGCGAAGAAGUGGUUCUGAUGAAUGCAAAGGAGACAAAUAGUCGAGUGUAGUGGAUGCUAAUUUGUUUGGACGGAAAUUGAGUCGCUUGAAUGCCAAUUAACUAAAAUAAUGUAGACGUUAAUUGUCAAAGAGUACCAAGCACGGUUUGAAGAAAUGGUACUCCAUACAAUGAGUCUCUCUGAACCUUUCCUAACUCAAUGCUUCUUAUCUGGGUAGAGAUCAAACAUAAAAAAUGAGGUAUUAGUGCUCGUGCCCACUAUGAUGCAUGAAUCGAUUUCACUAUCCCAUUUGAAGGAGACAAAAAUUAACGAGGCUGGCGUUGGCAGCACUAGAUUUCAGGGUCAAGUUACAAGAAAAGCAGGCAGUAGCUCAACUGCUGGUGCAAUGGAAUAGUGCAAAUGAGAGCCAAGCUACAUGAGAAGAUGAGGACGAAAUUUUGAAGAAUUUUCCAGCUUGGAACCUUGUGGAGAAGGUUUCUUUACCAGGGGAAGGCAAUGUAACAAAUUUUGGGUCCAAUCAGCAGCCCAUGCAACAAUAUAUACCAGUUUAGAUUUGUAAAGGAACACAUGAAAGAAGGAACCCAAAAUAUUGGGAGACUACGUGCGUUUUAGUAGCAACUUAAUCCACUCGAUUGGAGCUAAAUUUUCUUAAACCAAGACAGUCCGAGUACUAAAUUGACAAGUUCAUGAGUUGACUAGGGAAUAGAAUUAUAAAUGAUUUGUUUGUAGACAGUACAGGGAAAAUUUGUUAGAUGACAAAACUAGAGUGAUUGGAUUAAAGGUAAAAUUUUUGGCCUUUAAUAUGCAAUUCACCUAGGACUUGAGAAUAAUUAAAAACUUGAUAGUGGAUUAACCUUUUAUCUACAAUCCACUUCCACUCACUUAAGCUUGGGUGAAUUAUAGCCAUUGAUUUAUUAUUAAAGAUAAAAACAUACUUAAGUGGGAGACAGAUGGAUCAAAUAUACAUUCAUUCUCAUCUUUUUCUUGUCCACAUACUUUUAUAAAAUGAUGAAAGUUAUAUUUGUAGUUUAAAAAGUCUAAUAUACCUCAACCAUCAAAAUAUGUUUUGUCAUGGCACAUGUAUUUUUAUAAAAAUGUCUUAUACUAUGAAAAUAUAUUAUGUAGUACCUAAAUUAUCAAUAUAUGUUUUAUUAGGAAAUAAAGUGUUAACACCGUUAACGAAUUGUUAAACCAACUAAUUAAAAUUUGACACAUAAAUUUUUUUUCCAAACCAUCAGCUCUACAUUAAUAAUAUAACAUUAUGGGAAAAACUAAAUAAAAAAAUUGAAUUGAAUUGAAUUAAAAAACAAAUAACUAUAUAUAUGAUUAAUAAAAAAAAAAGCAGUAAAUACUAAACUUUAUCUAUCAUUAUAUGAUUCAAGAUACACUAAUCAGAAAAGCUUCGUCUUCAUCCUUCAUCUAUCAUUGUUAAUUUCUUAAAGUGUUUUUAGUAUAUUUCUGUUAGGUUAUGUGAUUGAUAAGUUUUCUUUGAACCUGAACUUACAUAUGAUUUAGUGAGCAUCAAGAAUAAUGAUGUAAAGUGGUUUCAGGUAGAUCGAUCAAUGAUAAUAUCUUGAUCGCCUAGGAGGAUUUUUCAUUCUAUGAAAAUUUAUAAAGGUUUUGUGGGUUGGAUGGCAAUUAAGGUGGACUUUAAGAAGGCAUGCGGCCAGAUUAAGUGAGACUUCUUGUAAGAGUCCCUCAUUGAUGCUCGAAUUCCUCAUCAUUUUGUCCGUGUUACUAUUAACUGUGUUUCUACGAUUAUGCAAAUUCUCUGGAAUGGUUCUAUUGUUGAAAGCUUUAAAUCGAUUCGGGGAAUUCGUCAGGGUAAUCCACUUUCUCCGCAUUUGUUUGUAAAGGUAUGGAGCAGCUUGGGCAAAAGAUUAUCUCAGUUGUUCUGUUGAGUAUGUGGAAGCCUAUUAGAUUGUCAAACGAUGUUCCACCAGUAUCUCACCUUUUUUUCGAUGAUAUCUUAUUUUGUUUUGCAAAGCAGAUGAGGAGCAAGCUAAUUUAAUUAGUGAGAUUUUGUCCGAAUUUGCAGCUUAUUCGGGCCAAAAAGUUAAUGCUAGAAAGAAUCAGAUUUGUUUUUCGGGGAAUGUCAAAGGUAUGUGGCAUGGUCGAUUAGCCAAAGUUUGGGUUUUCAAAGGCUCGAUGCUUUAGGAAUGUAUUUGGGGAUGCCCCUCUUUCAUUAAAGAGUCAUGAAGAGUACCUUUCAGUUCCUUCUUGACAAAAUCCGAGAACGGCUUAGCGGAUGGAACUCAAAGCUCCUUUCGAUGGCUGGUCGUAUUACUUUGGUUAAUUCGAUCAUUUUUGCUAUUCCCAAUUAUUGCAUGUAGACAACUCUGAUCCCUAAAGAACUCUGCGACAUUUUGGAGAAAUUGAUCCGAGGACUUUUUUGGGAUUCUUAAGAUGAAAGGCGAAAACCGCAUCUUGUGAAUUGGAGGGAUUGUUGUCAGUCAAUCUCGUCGGGUGGUCUCGGUCUUUGAAAAUUUUCUUAUAAGAAUGAGUCUUUUCUUCUUAAAAUGGGCUUUAACCUUCUUAAUAAUCCUGAAGCAUUUUGGGUUCUGAUCAUCAAGGCAAGUCUAAGGUUGAUGUUUGGUACCCAGAACAUAUUUGUAGAACAAAAAUGUUCGUUUGUACGGAGAAAUUGUUGGCAAAAAUUUGGGAUGUGUUAAAAACGAAUAUUUGUUGGAGAGUGGGAAAUGGAAGGAGAUUUCGUUUUUGGAGAGACAAUUGAAUUCCGGCUCAUGGGCCUCUUGUAAAUCUUACUCAAUCCAACCCUCCAAAUCAUGAAGUUUGUGUUUCCGAUAUGGUUGAUAUUAAUGGAAAUUGGAGUUGGCAUAAAUUCCAGCAUUUGUUGGAAGCCUCGACCAUGUUGCACGUUGCUGCUAUUCCUCCACCAAAUCCUAUGGCGGAAGAGGACAGGUUUGCUUGGUCAAGUUCUGAAAAUGGCUUGUUCUCUUUAUCUGUACUUAUUCUCUUCUGGCCAACGCAGAUUGGAAUGAUAAGGAUGCUAAAUGGGAAGUAAUUUGGAAGUACGGGUGCCACAAAGAGUUCGGAAUUUUUUGUGGUUAGCUUCACGCAAUAGCCUCCUGACAAAUAUGGAACGGGUAAGGAAAGGCCUGUCGACCGGUUCUUCUUAUAGCCUUUGUGGACAUCAUGAGGAAAGUACGUUACAUGUUCUUCGAGAUUUUCUGAUUGCUAAAUCGAUUUGGUCAAGAUUAGUGCGUAGUAACUUGUAGUGCUAGUUUUUUCAGUUCUUCCUUUGUGAGUUGGAUGAUGAGUAAUACACGGAUGAGCUACAGAUUAAUGUUAAUGAGUGCGAAUGGGGGACUCUCUUUGCAAUACUUUGUUGGAGGCUUUGGAAGUAUAGAUGCAAUUUCCUCUUUUCAAAUUCGACUUGGAGUGCUGAAACUAUUGUUAGCCUCAGUCGGGCUUGCGUGAUAACCAUCUUUUGGACCUGGCUGUCGGAGGAAAAAGCUCGAUCUUUGCAGGGAAGCCAUGACAUUUGGCUACCACCAGCGAAAGGUUGGGUCACUGUUAAUUCUAAUGGCGUUGGCUUAUGGGUUACAACCGCGAUAGACUUUCAGAUUUCGAUUUUCACACUUUUGAGCAACCUCCGGUUAGUGCAGGGAGGCUGUUACGUGAUGAUAGUCUCAAUGGUUCUUCUUUGCUGUAAUUUUGUUAGUCUUCUUUCAGUCUUUGACUGAGCUUUUCUUUUACCAAAAAAUGUGGUGAAGUUAAAUUUUUAUAAAUAGACGAACCAUAAGUCGUCCUCUUCUAGUUUAGGAAGGUGUUAGCCAUGUUGGUGGAUUUCCGAUUAACCUUCACCAACCCCUCUUCCUCUAAUUUCUACUCCUACUGACAACAAAGUUGUUUACAAGGAAAACAUGUCCGGAUUACAAUCUCACUUCAACCAUCUUUGCACCGCUAUUAACCCUUUUAUCACUUCAUCCACAUUUUUGAAAGCACUCAUUUGGAUGAGCACUGCACAGAUCAGUUAUCUUCAAUGGAUUUUAGGGGGAACAUUGUUGAUGAAUAUCCUGGAAACCGCCAUUAUUUUAGAACAGACAACUUAUAAUUGAUUAAGUACUAUGUGUUGAAUUGUAUGGAAUCCAAUUCGAAUUAGUCGAAUUAAUGUAUCUUAUUUUAUUAAUUAAAUUAAUUUUUUAUUCUUUUACGAAUUGGAUUCAAUAAAAUCAAAUUCGAAUUGAGUUGAAUAAAUUUAUUUGGUUUAAAUUUAAAAUAAAAAUAAAAAUAAUCAAAUUAAAACCUUGUUCACAAUACUAGAGUAAAUAAAUUUGAGAGUAUAUAAAUUUGAAAAUUUUGAAAUUUUUUAGAAUGUAAAUAUUAUAUGAUUUUUAUUUUUAUAUAUUUAGUACAAUUCUGGAAAAAAAUUAUAAUUCUUUUUGAAUUUUAAAUAACAAGUUUUUAAGAUUUUUUAUUUUUAUAAUUAAGAUUAUUUUUUUAAAAUUAUGAAUUGUUAUUAAUAUUUUUAAAAUAAAUUUUUAUAUACUUUUUUUUAUUUUUUAGAUUUUUAUAUUAUAUAAAUUUUACUUUUUACUUGUUUUUUUUAUAAUUUUUUGAAUUGAUAAGGACUAAAAAGAGUAUUUACAUCAAAGUGAAACAAAACUAGACCUUAAAACAACAUCGUUUUAGAUAUUAGGAUAUUUUCAAAUUCAACUCGAAUAACUCAAAGUAUUAUUUGAAUUGACCCAAUAACUCAAAUGACUUAUUUAACUUGAAUCAACUAAUUUAAAAUUUGAUUUUUUUUUUCAAAUCGAAAUGAAUUUUACUAACCCUUAAACCUAACUUGAUUCUUAUAUGUAUCAUAUUUGGCAAAAAUCCCUGCACAAUCUCUAUGCUUUUAAAAGUGAUCAACAAAUUGAUCUCAUUACUGAAAAUUGUAUUAAUUAAUUUUCAGUUAAAAUAUGUAAUAGAUUUCGGGACAAUUCAUAAAAAUAAAACUUCCAGAAAUUUAUAUCUAUUCCUCCUAACAAUAUAAUCUGUUUAUAUUUAUAAUGUUUAUUUCCACAAACGAUACAUUUAAUAAGCAUGCCAUCAUAUAUAUGUAUAACAUAUUUAUGUAUAAAAUUUUUGACACAUUUAGUAUGUUCUAUUUGUAUAUACACAACUAACACUAAAAAAACAUGAGAUCAAAAUGUACAUUUUGCCAAAUCUACUUAAGAUUGCUUCAACAUGAGCAAAUUACUCCAGUUAACAAGUCUGCAACAUUUUUAGGUGGGUUUUGGCGGAAGUACCAAUGAUUGAAGGCUUCCUUGUAACAUUUCCAACACUUCAGUUAUUGAUGGUCGAUCUAUUGGAUGGGUUUGAGUACACCAAAGGCUCACUGUGAAUAGUUUUUUUGUUAUUUCUUCUUCCCCUUCAGCUAUUACUUCAUUAAGAUUGAAGUUCAUAGGCUUAUCAAGAUGGUUAUUUAUCCACGAGGGAAAGUAUGUUUCACUAGUUUGGGAACCCUCAAUAUCUAUAUUUUUUCUUCCUCCUAUCAUUUCAAGGAGCAUCAUUCCAUAGCUGUAGACAUCAGAUUUAUGAGAAACACCACCAAAAUUUCGACAAAACACUUCAGGAGCUAUAUAUCCAACAGUUCCUCUUGUACCUGUAUUUGCAAUAAUACUUUCUUUUCGUUCGCAUAACUUAGAUAGACCGAAAUCAGAGAUCUUAGGACAGAAGUUUUCAUCUAAAAGGAUAUUGUGAGGUUUUAUGUCGAAGUGCAAGAUCCGGGUGUUGCAACCUUGAUGCAAGUAUUCGAGUCCUCUAGCGAUGCCUAGUGCAAUGUUAUACAAAGUUUUCCCCUCCAAUUGACGACUUUGAUUAUGUGGUCCUUUAUUAUAAAUAAAUCCAUCCAAAGAUCCGUUGGGCAUGAAUUCAUAGACCAAAGCUCUCUUUGAUCUCUCAAAACAGAAACCAAGAAGAGUCACUAUGUUGACGUGAGAAGUUCUACUAAUGCUAGCUACUUCAUUCAUAAAUUCCUCCCCAUUUUCUUUGAAUUCACUCAGGAUUUUGACCGCCACGAGACGUCCGUCGGGUAAUUUUCCUUUAUAUACACUACCAUAUCCUCCUUCACCUAAUUUAUCUUUAAACUUAUUUGUCAUUUUCUUAAUGUCUCCAUAAAAAUAUCGAUUCGGAGCCAAAGAACCAAACUUUGUGAUGAAUUCCUCGAUCCUAGCAUUGUCAUUCUUUUUUCCCUUCCAUAGAUGACUUGACAGUGAUUUCCCUUUCAACCUUAACACGAAGAAGCAUAGAGCAGAAACCAAAACAAUGGUGAUGGUUACAACAACCGUGAAUCCUGUUCAUGGUGCAUUAUUAAUCAAUUUUUACUAAAUCAUUUAUAAAUGAAGAUGAAUAAGGUGAAGUAAGUAAAAACUUUGAUCAGUUAAAACCAAACAAGAAAUCGUAAAGCAAAUAACAGAAGAUUUCAUGAAUAGAUAAUAUUGUCGUAACAACAAAGUGUUUCAUACCUAUGAAUACUAGAUUCAGCCUCGAUUUGGAUUUGGAUUUGGAUUCGGAUUCAGAUUCUGCAAAUAAAAUAUAGCAAUGAAAAUUUUGAAGGAGUAAAAAAUCAAUUUAAAAGACUUAAUAAAAAAUCUAAUCAACUAAUGAUAACAGAUCAUGGACUAAAUGUGCAAAUAAUUUUACCCUAUCCUAAAUGUGUUUUUAAAAAUGGUUUAAGAUAUAAUUUUUGAAACUAUAAAUGAAAUCUUUUAAAAAGCAAGGAAAUUUUAAUUAAAUUUAAAAAUAUGAAUUAUUGUUAAUACUUGUUUCAUUGCAUAACUUUACGAAUCAUACUGAGUUGAGAUAAUAUUGCAAAGUAUGUUGGACUUUUUUUAAUAUUAAUUUCAUUAUAUGUUCUUAUUAUAUUUGUUCUUUUUGAUACAAUGCUUAGAAUUAUCCAUAACCCCUCUCCAAUCCUUAAAUAGGAGGAUAAUGCGUUUCACCGCACUCGAACCCACAUCCUCCUACACUGACAACAAUGCCGAUCCCAAUGGAGUUAAGACUCAAUUGGUAAGUAUGUUGGAUUUAAAUAUGAAACAAUUAACAUUUUAAAUAAUUUAAAAAAUGGGAAUUUAUUGCUAUUAUUUAUGAUUUCAAAUUAGUAUGUAUAUUUUUACAAUAAUUAUGAAUUAUGAAUUAAUUUUUGUCUAUAAACUCAAUGUGUAUAUCAAAGUUUAUCUUAUAUUUUGCAUGUACAUCACCCUUGAAUUUUCAAUAGAAUAAAACAUUGGUUUUGUUGGAAGCCCAAAUUUAUUUCAUUGACACAUUAAAAUACAUCACUAGUAUUUUGUACAAUUAUGAUAUUUUCUUUUAACCAAUUCUGAUUUAGAAAUUUUAAUUAGUAAUCAUGUUGUGAUAAAAUGUUUGGCAUUGUCACAUAUCAAUUACUCAUUUCAUAUAGAAAUCUAAAACCGUGUAAUAUAAUAUAUAUACGUUUGGCUAAAUAGAUGAUACCACAUCAUAAAAAAAAUUAAAUAUAAUAAUAAAUUUAGUGAAAAAUAUUUAUCUCUAACCUGUUUUCUUAUUUACCCUUAAUCUUUAAAUGUUAGUCUUUUUUUUUUUAAAUAAAAAAAUUGAUUAGGCUAAAAUUUUAACAACGUACAUGAUAAUUCACUUAUACUUUAUUAUUAAUAUUUUUUAAAAAAAUAUGGAAUUUUCUUAAUUUUUACGUUUUUCUUAAAUUUUCUUAUGAUAUACAUGGACUGUUAUACAAAUAAUCACAUCAGUUUUAAAAUUUUAAUAGUUCAAUUACUUUUUAGUUAAAAAUAAUAAUUUAACAAAAAUUUAAAAGUUAAGGAUAAAAGUGAUCCAGUAAAAAGAUAUAAAAAAAUGCUAAAAGAAUUAAAUAUUAAAAACAAAUUUUAUUAUCGUACCAAAAAAUAGAAAAUCUAAAUAACAUCCUUGUCAUUAUCUUAUAAAAAGGACGUAUCAUUGAGAUAUAAAAAGAAUCUAAAUGAAUGGAUCAAAAUUAGAUAUAUCCAAUUUUAGGUGUUGAAUUUUCCUCAAAAAUUAAUGCUGAUUAAUACGUUAUUAUUGCUUUAAAUGAUUGACAAUGACGGAAGAAAUAUAAUUUUUUUUGGGUAAAGUUUUGUAUAUUUCAAAGAUGUUAUUAUUAAGCAUAUUUUUCUUCUCUCUCUUUUUUCUACUCUAUUUUAUAAUUUAUGUUUGAAAUUGUUCUUCUCAAUAAUAUUACCUUUAAAAUUUGAAUGUGCCUUCCCUUAAACAUGUAAUGUCUUUUACCAGCACAUUUAUGAUGAGAUCUGAUUUUUAAAAAUAUUUUCUAUUUUUAUUUUCAAAAAAUAAUUUCCAUUUUCUAUUUUUUAAAAAUUAAAAAGCACGUUUGAUAAAUAAAAAAUUAUUUAUAAUAAUUAAAACAUGAAUAUAUAUAUAUCUAGUAACUAUUUUUCUCAAAUAAAAAUAAAAUAAAAAAAAUUACAUUUCAUCUAGAUUUGAACUAGGAUACCAGAUUUAAUAUUAAAAAAAUAAUUGAAAAAAGAGAGAAUAUUUUUUUGCAUUUAUAUGGGUUUGAACCCGGAUCAAUUCAUCUAAACUUAUUUUUAUUGAACAAUCUCAUGAUAGGUUCUGAUCAUAUGUGUUCUUUUUAACACAAUGUUUAAAACUACCUAUAGUUACUCCCCAAUACAUAAAUAGGAGGAUAAUGCGCUUCAGCGCACUCAAACAUCAUGUCCUCCUGCAUUGGGAAUAAUGUCUAUACCAACUGAGUUAAGACUCAAUCUGUCAAUUCAUCUAAAAUUAAAAACACUUGUAUUUAUCAUUUUGUGUGUUUGGUUUCAAGAAACAAGAGUUGUUUUUAUUUAUUCGACCCCUUUUAACUUUUAAAAGAAAUUCAAAAAUUUUGAAAAUAAUGGGUUUUUUAAGUUUAUUUUUUGCAUUAAUUUAUUAUGAUUCGAAAUCUUUUUAAAAGUAAUUAUUUAUAACAAAAUUUUUAUCAUUGAUAAUAUAUUAAAUUUUCUUUAUAAUAAUGAAGAUUUUGUCCGUUGUUUAUAUAUUCAUAACAAUAUAUUGUUAUAUAAAAUUAGUUAUUAUAAAUUUACAACAAAAUUUAUAACAUGAAUUUCUAUUAAAUAAAGUAAAUGUGAAUUGUGUUAAAAAAGAAAAAAAAGGGAGAAUCAAAUGAACAAAACUAAAAGACAUAUAGUAGAUGCAUGCAUUAUUACUUUUAUGUAUAUUUUAUUUUACAUUCUUUCACAUGAUUAAUUUAAACAAGUUCAAUUAAUCAGUAUGAGUUUUCUAAUUAAAUUAAUGAAUUUAUCAUAAUAUAAUUAAUCAAUUUAUAAGUUAUAAAAUAAGUUUAUAAUGAUCCAAAUUCAUAGUAGAAUAUUUAUUAGGGAACUUAAUAGUUUAUUGAAUUGAUAUCUUUAAUUCACUCAUUAAAGAUUAUUUUCAUUUAAUAAAAUAUUAUUAAUAGGUUUUAAAUGUGAAAUUUAAAUAAUUUAUUAAAAUAUUUUAAUUAUUGUAUUUUUAUUUAAUAAAUUAUAAUUAAUAUAAAAUAACUAUAAUCUUUCUAAAAUUUUCAAUAAAUGCUAUUAUAGAAAAUUAAUUUGAUAAAAAAAUGUAUUCUAUAAUUAUUGUUGUUGCUGAUAUUAUAAGUAAAAAGUUGUUGCAAAUGAUUAAAAUAAAACAUAAAAUAUUAAUUUUACUAAAAAUUUAGUUAUUAUAACGAGGGAUUAUUAUAUAAAAAAUUGAAAGUAUAUAAAAUCAUAAGAUAAUACGUUAUUAAAUGAAUUAAAUUAUUUUACAUGAUUCAUAAUAUAAAAAAUAAAAUAAAAUAAAUUCAAGUUUUAUUAUUAUUUGUCGGAUUAUCUAUCAGGCUUUUGAUAAGAUUAUUUUUAAUGUUUUUGAAAUAGUGAAAUCAAACUUCUAAUAAACUUGAAUAAAGAUUUUUUCUUUUUUCUUUUUUUAAAUUCAGGUUGCAAUCCAGUCUGAUCUUACUUAUCAACACCAAUACAGAUAAAAAGUACAUACCUUGGGCAGACGACGUUGGUGAUGAUGAAGAAACAACGCGAUGGCAUUGUCUGUCAUCGGGCGAAUUCUCGAACAUGAAAGGGCAGUAGCAGAACAUUGUUUGAUUCUCCGCCGGCCCAAAGAAACCGCAGGCUCCGCCGGAAUCAUUGCACUUCCCACAAGCUUUGCUGUCCUUCCAAUUCCAUUGUACCUCCACUCCUUUGUUCAAGGCUUCUUUCAACCUCAACGAAGAAUUCAGUGAUCCCUCCAUGGAAGAUCGAAGAACCGGAACAGUAACAUUAGCCGAACAUCCCUUCGGCUGGAUAUUAUUCGGUAUCCCCACGGAAACGUUACUGUAAGUGGAACCGGCGUUAUCGCAAGGGAAGAACCCGAGAUUGCGUGACGAGAUGGAAGCUUGGCAGUCAUAAAACAAAGUAACGUUGGCAUAACCGGGACCAGGUGAAAACAACUCGGGAUCGAGGACCGAAUUCCGAGUUGCGAUUUGAGGGCUACAAAGGCCAUCGUACUUGAUGAGGUCUUCCCUCGCAAUCUUUAGAAUAUGACGAUCCCAGCCGAUGCCCAGAACCCGAUAUUCUAUGUUACUAAUUACGAUCGUUGUUGUGUUGUUGUUGUUGUCGCAGCGAAGCUCGAGACCGUGUCGUCCACACUCCGACACUCGUUGACCGCCAGAGAAAGGAAAUCCGGCGGAGAUAUUCCCGCAUCGGAACACUGUAUCACGACAGUUCUCGUACAGUUCAUGAUUGCUUAGUGAAAGAGGAAACCCAAACAUGAUGAAUAAUAAGGAAUAGUACAGAAGUGGAAGACAAGGUAAUGGUGAUGAUGAUGAUGAGAACCAAAGAUUAUUCAUUUUUUAAAAAAAAUUUCUGAGAAUUGAUGGAAGAUUGAACAAGGUAAAUGAGAAAGUACAGAAAGGAUUGAUUGGCCCUCAAUAAAGGGAAAGUUUAUCAAAAGAAAGUCCUCGUCAAUGAAGUUUACUUAAAAAGACUCGUGUAAUAUGAUUUACGUUUAUGCUGAAUUUUGCACUGUUCUAAUUUAUCACUGGGUAGUAAAAAGUCUAAAGCUUUAUGUAAAAAAAAGAAAAAAGAAAAAGAAAGUAUAACUCCUAAAAAAACAUAAUUUUAAGGCAUUAAAUUUUGAUCUAUAUUUACCAUCUUCUUCAUUUAUUUAAAAUAAUUAAUAUUUAAAAUUAUAAACAAACAUUUUUUUUAUUUUACAAUUUUUAAUCAUUUUGCUUUUCUUUCAAGUUAUUUAGUUUUUCAAUCAAUUUUCUUAAAAAAAAAUUAGUUUCUAGACAAUGGAUUUUUUUUUCAUUUUAAAUUGUUUUCAAGUUAUUUGAUUUUUUUAUUUUAAUUAUUUAUAUACACUUUUUUUAAAAAAACUUUGGAGUUGGAGAACAGGUUGAAUAUGAAUAAGUGUAUAAUAAUAAUUUCAUGUCUUUAAAAUUUGAUAAUGUGAUGAAAUUUUAUUAAUGCCUAAAAACCUUAAAUUUUAAUAUCAUUCUAAUAUAAGUUAUUCCCUAUGUUUAAAUCUUCCAUUCAUACUUAAUGAUAAAUCUUUAAAUAAUUCUUUAAAGAAAUGAAUAGGAGAAAAAAGAAAGUCGAAAAAAGUAUCUAAUAGGGAAUAUAUAAAAAAUAAAAUAAAUACUGAAAUAGGAUAAGGGCCCUAAUAUUUAUAAAUCUAGGCAAAGCGAAUAGUGUAAAAUCGGUACUGCCUAACCAAUCGGCGACACCCCUGUCCCUUGCCACCGAUGACAUCACAUUUUUAAAAAAAUAAUAAUUUUUUUUGGGUGUCACCUAAGCAAUAGGCAGCACCAGUAUUUCAGACCUAAAAAUACACGAUUUUUUAUAUUGGUAAAACGAAGUAUUCGUUUGACAUUACAUAUCAGCUUAGAGGUCAGCCAGUCUCUAUUUGAACCGAUGUGGUUCCAACUCGUACCUUGAACUGUUACAACAUAUUACGUGUUGUUUCACAAACUCUAAACAUAUGGAAAAAAACUGAGACAGAUAGUUACCCAUCUUUAAAACUUGUUUACACCAAUCCGCAUUUUUGAAUUCCUUGUGGAAGUUCGCCGCAAUGUGCCUGAUGCAAUAGACGGAUCUCCACAAAACACUUGAAUGCCUAAUUGCGGCAAUUAUCCCCUUUGAUCUAUCGAGAAUGAUGCAAACGUUGUCUUGAGUGACAACAUACCUCUACAAGUUCUCUAGGAAAAAUUCUCAUGACUUCAUGUUCUCUUCCUCAACAAUGGCAAACGUUAUCGGUUAGCAAGUUCCAAUUCCCAUCUUGUGCAGUCACAAUGAGAAGGAUUUGCGUAUAUUCCCCGUAUAGCCAGGUUCCACCUAUCUGCACAAACGGGUUAUAGUGGGGAAAGGCUCAAAUGCAUGGAUUAAAUGUCAAAAACAUCUAGUGAAAAGUUCUUUUCCCCUCGGAUGUAGUUGGUUGUCCCAAUCGUAUAAGGCAACGUCUGCAACUCAAUGACUAUCCAUGUAACAUACUCUUGCAUUGCGGCUAUCCACCCUUAGAGUCCAUUGUACGACGCAUCCCAAUCUCUGUGCAACUGAUCCAUGGCUAUAUGUUCAGUCAACCAUGUCUUCCGGUAUGAAACUCGGUAUUAGAACCGUUCUUACAUUUUGACAAUCAGCACUGAUAUAGGAAUGGUGGGCAUAUAUUUAAUUGUUGCCAAUAUACAGUUGCAGAUGGUUUUUGAAUCAAGCUUGCGGUGGUCCUGCAUCAUAAGUGCAGAAGUGCAUGUAUAAAACCUAACAUAUUUUUGUAUCUUCCACUACUAGGACUUCUGGAUAAAUGUAGCUUGUACCCGCCACUUGCACCCUUUUGUCAACUUCCAACACUCACCAACAUAGAUCAUUGAUUUAAAGUCAGCCACCUUGUAGUCAACAGACACCUUUGUUAAGUAUGACUCCUAUUUCAGUCAAAUUUGAGAAAUAAUCUUCUAGUUAAAUUCUAUUUAUUUGUUUCAGUUAAACUCUUAUUAGUCUAUAUUAUUUUAUUAUUAUUUGACCUAUGAAUUUAACCUAUAAAUAGGCUCUUUUACAACAUUAGAAAAUACACUUAUUAGAGAUUAAAACUCAUAACACAUUUAGAGAAUUUUGUGUUUAUGUUUUGAGGGUUUUUUGUUUUUAGGUUUUCGGGGUUUAGUUUUUAUCUCCAUCUUUUGUACUCUUCGUUCUUUUGCCAUUAUAGUAAAAUUAUCUUUGCCCGUAGUUUUUUUUAUCCUCUUUGGAGGGGUUUUUCUAUGUUAAAUUUGUGUGUUCAAUUUCUCAAUUUCUUUCGCUAUUGUUACUUGUUCGUUGUAACACCCCUAACUCAUAACUGUCGUCGAAAUAGGUUAAGAGGCAUUACCGGACUUGCAACUCAUUUCAGAACAGUAAUUCAUCUACAUUUAACUAAUAUCAUAUCAUUUCAGUAAUUAUCAAUCAUUCAUAUUCAUAACAUGCCUAAAUCAAGCAUUUCCAAAAUAUAAAACAUCAUACACAUCACAUACUAUAUACCAUACCAAUUUGCCACAUUCAUAAAGCAUUUUCAAAUCACUUAUUCAUCUCAUAAUAGUAUGGGCAUAUGCAUUAAGACUUUUAUUCAUGAGUUUGUCAAAACAUAUCAUUUUGCACCCAUUUAACUAUUAUGUCACUAAGCCAAAUCUCAUGGCUUACACACAUCAAACAUAUAUACAUAUACUUUAUAAACUAAGUGAUCAAAACACCAUCCUUUCAUCUAGCCUAUACAUGCCAUAUUUACACAAUUUUCUUGAGUUCAAAAGUACCGAGAAGUCGCCUGGAUAGCGUGAUGACAAUCUCUAACUUUGUCCGAAUCGAGCUAGCUAACGAACCUCUAUAAAACACGGAAGAUAAACAGAGUAAGCAUUUAAGCUUAGUAAGCCCCGUAUAAUAGAAUUAAACUUACCACAUUGCAUAAUUUGAGCAAUUAAUCAAUAUGUCCAACUCGAAUAUUCAAAUGCCUAUCACACAUACACCUCAAUAGGUUAGAGUCUCAGACAUGCAUAUAACUAACAUUUCAUCUAUGAAUGUUUCAAUUUAGUAUUCAAAUCACAUAGCAUUUCAUUCAUAAAUUUCAUAAUAUCUCAUUUCCAUUUCCAUAUGUCCAUGUAACACAUAUUACAUUUCAUCUAUAUAAUUCACAUAGCUCAAAUUCCAUUUCAUUCUCCAUUCUAUAAUCGGUAAUAGUAUAAUGCCCGUUGAACCUACCGAAACAUCGAAGGAUACUCGGGUAAUAUACUCUAUGUGCAUUAAUCGGUAAUCCGUCAAUUCAUUAUCAUUUCCAUUCUUUUAUGAGCUGAUAUAUCGAUAAGCUUAUACGAGCUGUGGUGAGUCCGCAACAAAUGUAAGAGCUCGACCAAAACGGUAACCCUAGAGACAUGUCACUCAUAUCCUACGAUUUUCUAUAGUUCAAACGGGGUUCGGUAUUACUCAAUACAUUAAUCUCCAUUCUCACAACAUUUUAAAUAUAAAUUUUUCCAACCAAAUACUAUUAUUUCUGAUCAACCAUAAAUUAAUUAUAGAACACAUUUAACGAUUACGAUAAUAACAUAACUCGAAACACUAUUCCAAUCCAAUUUCCUAUUAGUUUAACAAUUAAAAAAACAUAAAAAGUUAAGGGAAACAUUACCUCAAAGACUUACUCGGAUAACUCUAUUUAUAAAUAAUGUAUAAAGUCAUAAAUAUAAAGUAUACAAUAUUAAUAUACAAGUUUUGGACAGCUUAACCAUUAAAAAUAAGUAGCAUGUAUACAUCAAAUGCUUAAUCAAUUUAAAUGUUAGAAAUCAGACAACAUUAAUAUACAAAUUUUGACAAACAUUAAUUCUUGAAUUUGGACAAGCAUUUAAAUAUGGAAAAACAUAGGUAACAUGUCUUGUUUUGGACAGCUUUAAUACUUCAAUUAAACAAGCAAUUAAUUCAAUCGAACAACAUAAAAAAAAAGUCCAACUUUGAUCGAUUAACAUUCAUACAACCAAAAGUGUAAUGUUAAGCAAUUCAAUAUCAUUUAUUUCAACCAUUUAAUUCACAUAUAUAUACUUAUUCAUUUCAUACAAUUGCAAUUAAAUGAAAGUUCGAUUCUAGUUAUACGAACUUACCUCGAGUUGCUCAAAUAGAAAUUAUCGACUAUUCUUCCACUUUUCCUUUUCCCCAUUCUAAUCCUAAUCUCGACUUAUCUUGAUCUAUAUAUUAUCAAAAUUAGCUUAUUUAAUAAACUAUUUAUUCAAUUUAAUCCAAAACACACAUUAGGGCUAUUUUACACAUUUGCCCCUAAACUUUCACAUUUUUACAAUUUAGUCUUUAUCACAUAAAAUUGCAAAUUCAUGCAAUUUAGUACAAACCCAUGCUUAACCGAAUUUAAUACAUGUUACUAGCAGCCCAUAUUUUCAAUUUAUUCACACUUUUAACCACCACAUUUCAUAUUUUAUCAAUUUAAUCCCUUUUUGACAUCUUUGUCAAAAAUCACUUAACAAAACUUGUAUAUCUAACAUUAAGCCUUCAUAAUCUAUCAUUAAACACUUAAACAACCAAUCAUUCAACAAUGGCAUCAUUUGAAAUCUAUAACAGUUUCAAAAACGAAGGUACGGGCUAGCUAGAUUAAGCUAUAACGAUCCCGAAAACGUAAAAAUAAUUAAAAACGAGACAAAAUAUCUUACCAAUCAAGGAAAACAAGAAUGGCCGAAUGCUAAGCUUCCAUGGCUUUCUUUUUUUCUUUUAUUCUCAGUUGAAAAAAUGGUUAAAGAUGAUAACCUAAUUGUUGUUUUAUUUUAUUUUGUUAUUAUUUACCAAAGUACAUUAUUUACCAAAGUACAUAAUUGAACACUUAAGGACCUUUACUUUAAGGUUUUAUAGCUAUUUAAUAUAUUUAACUAAUAGAACACAAGUUUUUUACUUUACGUGAUUUAGUCCUUUUUGAUAAAUUAAGCAAUCAAAUAGUAAAAUUUCUUUACGAAGCUUUCAUAUAAUAAUUCUAUCAUACUAUAAACCUUAUUAAAAUAAUAAAAUAAAUAUUUUAACUCGGUUUUGUGGUCCCAAAAUUACUGUUCUGAUCUGAUUCAAAAAUAGGCUAUUACAUUCGUUACUUAACUAGGUUGGUUCCCAACAAGUGGUAUAAGAGCAGGUUUAAUUUUCAUAGAUCAGCUCGUUCAGAGAUGGCAGCAACAAGGUUUGAAAUUGAGAAGUUCAAUGGUGUCACAAAUUUCAAUUUAUGGCAAGUUCGGAUGAUGACAAUUCUAGUUCAAACCGGCUUGAAAAAGGUUGUUACAGGGAAAAAAACUUGAGAAUCUAAAUCAAACAGAAUGGGAAGAACUUGAUAAAAAAACCUUAUCUGUAAUCCAGUUGUGUCUCACGAAUACGGUAUUGUAGGAGGUAUUGAUGGAAAAGACCUCAUCCGCCUUGUGGAAUAGGUUAGAAACUCUUUAUGCAACAAAGUCUUUAGCUAACCGUUUAGUGUUGAAACAACAUCUAUUUACGUUUCGCAUGAACGAAUGUGUGUUUGUUAAAGAUCACAUUAGUCAAUUUAUUACUCUUUUAAAUUAUUUAAAGAAUGUUGAGGUUCAGAUUAACGAUGAAGAUCAAACUAUACUAAUAUUGUGCUAUUUACCCCUUUUAUACAAGUCUUUCAGAGAGACCUUGAUUUAUGGCAGAGAUAAACUCUCAUUCGAAGAUGUAAAGGGUCAUUUGUUGAGUAGAGGAAAACUCGAUAAUGAGUUUGGUUCGAAUAACAAGGCAGAUAAGUAAGCUUCUAUUUUGGUAGCAUCAAAGAAGCGUGACAAAAGGUGUCGCUAUUGUAAAAAGUUAGGUCACGUCAAAGCAGAUUGUUAUAAACUGCGAAAUAAAAGAGCUGCUGAGAGUAACGAAGAAGAUGUAGCUGGUGCUAAUUUGCCGAUGAAAGUGGUGAUGAUUUCUUACUAGUGUCAACGAGCGAUAACUCUAAGCUUACUUCCGAGUGGGUCUUAGAUUCGAAAUGUUCUUUCCACAUGUGUCCCAAUAGAGAAUGGUUCUCCACAUAUAAUUCGGUUGAAGGUGGAGUUGUGCGUAUGUGAAACGAUUCAUCCAAUAAGGUAAUUGGUAUUGGUAUUGUGAAAAUUAGGAUACACGAUGGGAUGAUUAGGACAUUCUCAGAUAUCAGGUAUGUACCUAAGUUACGAAAAAAUCUCAUAUCCUUGAGUAUUUUAGACUUAAAAGGAUACAGAAUCAACAUUGAGUCGAGCGGCACUAAAGUAUCUCGUGGAGCUCUCAUUUUGUUAAAAGGUAAAAGAAUUUGCAGUUUUUGUAUUUUAGAAGGUUCUACAAUGACCGGUGAAAUUGGACGUCCCUCAUCCGUUAUGGAGUCGAAGUCAACUCGUUUGGAGCAAAGACAACUUAGUCACAAGAGGGAAAAAUGUAUGAUUAUUUUGUUGAAGAGAUGUUCUCUUUUAGAUGCAGGUUUUGAGAAGUUAGGGUAUUGUAUUCGUGAAAACCAGACCUGAGUUAGUUUUGAUUUAGCAGUGUACAAGUCGAAGGCUAGAAGUCUUCCAGUGAAAAGUUAUUUCCCCCCCGAAUGUAGUUGGUUGUCCCAAUUGUAUAAGGCAACGUCUGCAACUCAACGACUAUCCUUGUAACACACUCUUGCAUUGCGGCUAUCCACCCUUAGAGUUCAUUGUACGACACAUCUCAAUCUCAGUACAACUGAUCUAUGGCUAUAUGUUUAGCAAACCAUGUCUUCCGGUAUGAAACUCAGUACUAGAAUCAUUCUUGUAUUUCGGCAAUCAGCACCGAUACAGGAAUGGUGGGCAUGUCUUUAACCAUUGCCAAUAUGCAGCUGCAGAUGGUUUCUGAAUCAAGCUUGCGGUGGUCCUACAUCAUAAGUGUAGAAGUGCAUGUAUAAAACCCAACAUAUUUUCGUAUCUCCCACUAUUAGGACCUCUAGAUAAAUAUAGCUUAUACCAGCCACUUGUACCCUUUUGUCAACUUCCAACACUCACCAACAUAGAUCAUCGAUUUAAAGUCAGUCACCAUGUAGUCAACAGACACCUUCAUGUUGUAGUGCUUGAUGACAUUGACACACUCAUCUUUGCUCGCGAAUGUUUGACCCACGAAUAAAUCUCUCGAUUCAGGAUCUGCUAACAUCAGCUGAGUAGGUAUUAUGUCUAGGUACUCGGGAAACUCAGAAGCAUGCGUUGCAUCAGGAUCGAUGAUCGACAUGUGGGUCUGGGAUCAUUGCGUAUAACGAUGCCACGACUCAAGUUUCCGACCGAAGGGGCGUGAUCAUUUCCAUUAUCCGGUCAUUCGUCGUCAAUAUCAUUUGGGACAUUGUCUAAAUCAGGGUCACCAAAAAUCUUCACCUUCGUGAUCAAAACAACCAUUAUUACCGAAUCAAUCUUCACCAAACGCAUCAGUUUCAAUAACAACUGGAUGUAUCUCUAACCCACCACCGUACUGAUCUAAACAUCCAACAUUAAGAUCGUUGUCAAAACCGCCCACAGACGACCUCCUAUCGAUGGACGCUCUGGAACUGUUGUACACGGGUUCGCAACUCAUAUUGUUGACUUAACUGAGUUACAUUUUCGACGGGCUCCGCAUAUGCUAACUCAGCAAAUAACUGAACCGGUUCAGUGUUCACCCUCCCUGGCGGGCAAUACAAUGCGACUAUUGUCUCGACGUCAUCAUCAUCUAAAAGUUCCAUCCCGGUAAAAUUGAUAGGAUUUGACGAAACUAGAAAUUUAUAGAAUAGUUUUGUCAUCCUCCUUCCACAACGUUUGAAAAUUUUUUCAUUGACAUUCUCUUUCAUAUCAACGACGGACACAUUUCUAUUGAAUCUUAUUACCAUUUUCUAACGAGUUUCAAAAAUACAACCAACAGUUGUUUCUAAAAUACCAUCAUCGGAAUGAAUGGCUGCAACAAAUUGAUUCUCCAUUUUUUUUAUAAAACUAUAAAAAUACAACAAAACAUCUUAAUAAACGAACAAUAAAAAGUAAACAUACACAGUUAUAAUAAAUUUCAUAAUUAACAUACCUUAAUACUAAAUAAAAGAAACUAUUAACACAAAUAAACUACUACUUAAAAACUAAUUAUACUACUAAAAAGAUAACCUUAAUAGUAAUUAACUAACCUUUUCUUCUUGAUUUUGGGUAGGGGACCUUUAGCUAGAUCUAUUUUUUUUUCCUUUCGUGUGGUGACUGAUCUGGGGGGAAUAAUUAGUACUAACCUUUUUUUUAACAAAAUAACAUUUCUUAAUAUUGAACUACUACUAAUAUAACUAAUUAUACUUAAAAAAAAUACAUACCUUCCUUUUGAUUUUUGGGGUGGGGGGGGGACCUUCAGCAGCUCUUGAUUUUUUUCCCUUUCGAUUGAUAUAUGUAGGGGCGAUUGAUAUAUGUAGGGGAGAAGGUUUGGGGGCCAAACCAAUCCCUUCUAUAAUAAUAAAAAUAAUAUAAUAAUAAUUUUUUUUAUUAAAGCUGAAAAAAAUUGGUAUAUUAAACCUGUCGGUCACGGGUCUGGGUUCCAAUACCCGAAAUUUAAUAUACCAGUUUUUUUCCAGCUUUAAAAAAAUUAUUUAAAAAUAUUCGGGUGUCGCUUGGCACGUCGGCGGUACCAAUAAAAAAUAUAAUUUUUUCGUUUUACCAAUAUAAAAAAAUCAUGUAUUUUUGGGUCUAAAGAUAUCGGCGGCACCCAAAAAAUUAUUUUUUAAAAAAUGUGAUGUCAUCGGUGGCAGGAUAGAAGGGUGUCGCCAAUUGGUCAAGCAGCACCGAUUUUACACUGUUCACUUUGCUUAGAUUUGUAAAUAUUAGGGCCUCAUCCUAUUUCAGUAUUUAUUUUAUUUUUUUAUAUUAUCUAGGUAAAAAAUCCAUAUAUAAAUUAGUGAGUCAAACAAACUUCCUCAAUAAUUAUUUUAUUUUUUACGAUUUUGAUUCGAACUCAAAUUAUUUUUUAAAUAUAUAAAUACUCGAUUAUACACAACUUGAGAUUCUAUUUUUUAAUAUUUAAGAGUAGAAUUUUUAAAAUUUAAAGUUGGAAAUUUUGAAGUUUAAAGAAACAUAUGUUAUUUUAUUUUUGUUUUCUUGAAAAUAAAAAAACAUUAAAAAAAGUAUGUUUGGUUGAAAAUUUUAAAAAUGAUUUUUGGAAAAUGAAAAUGAAAAUGAAAAUAUGUGUGAUAUAAGUUAUACAAUAAGAAAUUAUUUUCAUUGAUUUCACUAAAAAUACUUCAUAAAAAUAAAAAUAAUAAAAAUAAGUGUUUUAACUUUAAAUGAAUUGACCUUGAUUUAAAUACAUAAAAAAAUAGAAAUAUUCUUUUAAAAAAGUAAUUUUUCAAUUUUGAAAUUGUAAAUUAUUUUAUUUUAUUUCUAAAGUUCUUAUUAUAGGAAAACAGUAUCAAUAUGUUUUUCAUUAUUUAAUCAAUUUUUUUAUUAAACUGUAUUUUUUUAAUUUUUAAAAAUAAAAAAUAUUUUUUAAAAUGAAAAUAGGAAGCAUUCUCGAAAAUUAAACGGAGUAUUAAAAAUUCUAUUUUCGUGAAAGGAAAGUAAGUACAAAUAUUUUGGUACCAUCAAUAAUUUUCCGGGGUACAAUUUUUAGAUUUUUAGAUUUAUACCGUAUGAAAUUUUUUUGAGGAAUAGCAUAUGAUUUUUUAGAGUUCCAAAUUAAAAAAAAAAAAGAGAAAAGGGUAAAUUACAUUGCAGGUUACAUUAAAAUAGCAUCAUUUUUCUUUUGAUCACAUAAUUUUUUUUUGUUAAUUUAAUCACUUUAAUUAAGAUAAUUAUUCGAAUUAGUAACUAUAGUUAAAAAUUCUGUUAAUCCACUAACUGAUUGCUGACAUGAUAUUUUUUACUUUUGACAAAAGCUAGGGACUUCUAACAUUUGAAUCCUCUUUAAGAAAAGGAAACCCAAUGACAACGACAGCAAACCAUGACCACCCUAUCCAAUAAGCCCACAUGUCAGUGCGUAACUUCAGUGAGGAAAAUAUCGAACACACGAACGAAACACGAACAAGUUGAAUAGAAAAACAAAGCAAUAGGACAAGGCUCCAAGGCGUGUAUCAAGCCAUUGUCUUUAAGGUUCUAUUUGCCCUCACCUAUACUUGGUAUGCAAAUGAGUUUCAAGCAAAUAAACCUCAAGGAUACAAUGAAACCCAAUGAUUAUUUAUGUUUUGCACUGAUGAAAAUAGCUGACUAAGCAAUGAGCAUGGUAUAACAAGAAAAUCAAUUUUUAUGAAGAACUUCUAUAGUAUUUUUUUAUAGAACAAUCUACGAAAUAUGGAAGAAUAAUAGAAAGAACUUUUGAGAAUUUUUUGAUAUAUUUUCCAAAUAAAAUCUCACUCCUAUUUAUAGGAAUUCUCAUGUAUUUUCAUAGAGACAUAAUUUCUAAUAGGUAUCUUUUUUGAAUAAUCACAUAUUUAAAAAAGACAUAAUUAUUCAACUAAUAUUUUUUAAAUAGAUAUAACUAUUAAAGUAAGAGAUACAAUUUUUCAAGUAACAUCUCUUAAAUAAACAAAACUAUUCAAGUAAUAUUGCUUGAAUAAUUGUAGUUUUUUGUCAAAAAAAUCAAGUGAUAUAACUCUUCUUACUUAAGAGACUUAACUUAUUGUUAUGGAUUGUUAUAAUUCUUGAUCAAUAACAAAAAGAUAUAACUUUUGGUUAAUUACACUUUUUCAUUUAUGGCUAUUAGAACACUAUAAAUAUUUGAAAAUGUUCCAACAAUCUCCCCCAUUUUCAAAAUAUUUUAGAUUUUGAUAAUCUAGGAAAUUAAUUUGCAUAAAUGAGUCUUACGAUUGAAACUCUACUUAAUGAAAACAUGUUAAAGUUAAUCAAAAUUGGAUGGUAGAUUAAGCUUUGAACCAGCUAUUCCGUUUGAUUAGCCAAACACAUCUCACUUAAUGAUUUCAACAUCGAUCAAUGCAUAGUAUCUGCGGACACUAUUAUGGUCAUGUAUUUGUGUCAACUUUUCAUGAAUGUUGUUAGAGCCAAGCCCUUGUGCUCCUAAAAGUGGCCACAGUUUAUACUCAUAUAGGUAGAUCUCAUCAAGAGUGUUUUAGUAAUUAUAACACUUUAACAUAUUUAUGUUAUGGGUCCGUUAAAAGUACAUUACAAAUCACUCUAACAUAUUUAUGUUAUGGGCCCGUUAAAAGUACAUUACAAAUCUUUCCCUUAUCAUCACGGGUACCUAGCACUUUAAUCUUAAGAUGAGUUUAUUUAUAGUGCUAGCAGUCACAUACUAAUUAUGUACUUUGUCUCAUUAAACUCAAGACUUGACGUUAUACUAUGCAUUAAGUCAAGUUUCCAUCAUGGGUGACUCUAAUUAAUAAGCUUGAGUCCUAUCCCUUUUGAGGUCUUAUUGACUACAUCUCUAGCAAGACCUUUUGUCAAAGGAUCCACCAAGUUUUCACUUAACGUCACAUAAUUAAUAGUGAUUACUCAAUCAAAGAUUAAUUGUCAGACAUAGCUGUCUUAAUCUAAUGUGUCUAGACUUUUCAUUAUAUACUUGGCUAUAUGCAUUUACUAGAGUAGUCUCACUAUCACAACGAAUAGAAAUAGGUGAAAUUGGUUUAGGCCAUAGAAGUAAAUCAUAAAACAAAUUUUUUAACCAUUCUGAUUCGCUAAAUGUAGCAACUAAUGCAAUAAAUUUAGUUGUCAUGGUGGAAUCAGUAAUACAUGUUUGUUUCUUAGAACCCCAAAAAAUGACACCUCCACCAAGAAUGAAGAUCCAUCCAUUAAUAGAAGCAUGAUCCUCCAAACUUGUAAUCCAACUAGCAUCCGAAUACCUUUCUAAAACUGAAGGAUACCCACUAUAGCACAACCUGUAGUUAAUAGUUUUCAUUAAGUACCUAAGUACUUAAUUUAAAUCUUGCUAAUGAAAACUACUUGGAUUACUCGUGUACUUACUCAAUUUCCUAAAAGUACAUGCAAUAUUUGGUCUUGUACAAUUCGUUAUGUACAUAAGACAAUCAAUUAGACUUGCAUAAUUCAAUUGAUCAACUUUCCUACCAGUAUUAGAUACUAAUUUUAUUUGAGAAUCUAUGGGUGUAGAUGCUAAUAUAUAAUUGAAAAGAUCAAAUUUUUUAAGCACAUUUUCAAUGUAGUGUGAUUGUGAUAAAGUUAUAGUGCUUUCUUCUCGGGUUAUUUUAAUAUCAAGAACAACAUUUGCUACACCUAUAUCCUUCAUAGCAAAGUUGUUUGACAAGAUUUUUUUAAUUAUUAUGUGUAGUAACACUCGAGAUUUGGACUCGGUGAAUCGGGUCAGGUUAAGGGCAUUACACAAUGCAUAGAUUUGAUUAUAUGCAUCAAUUAAAGUAUAUUACAUUUAUUUAUUAAAAAAAGCUGCAAAUUUUGUAACCUUUUGGAAAUAUUAUAAAUGAAAAGGUAAAAAUAAAAUGAUAUAAAAUUUUUACUUUUAGAAUCUUGAUGGUUUGUAUUGUGAUAAAUUUGUAUUGAUUUUAAUUUUUUUAGGGUCAAGAAUAAAUAAAAUAAAAUAAAAUAAAUUUAUUUGUAACACUAUGCAAUUUCACUAUUUAUAGCGUAAAGAAUGUGAAGUUAUUGAAUAUGUUUGAUUUAUUUUUAUUCAAAAUUCUUUUAAUUUAUUUUUUACUUUUAAAUUGUUGAUUAUGUAAAGUUAUAUUUCAUAUUACUGAAUAUGUUUGCAAUUAAUUCAAAAUUUUGAAGAAAUUUAAUUUAGUCGUGUCACUAAGAAAAAAAUUACAAACUAUUAAUUUAACAAAUUUAUAUCAUUUCAUUAAGUUUUUCUCUAUUUUUUAAUAUAUAAAAAUUAAGAAAAUAAUAUGAAAAGUGAUUUUUUUAAUAUAAUUGUUGUUAUAUAAUAUUCAAACAUUUUGACACAAAACUUUUUUUUUUUCAUUUUAACAUAUAACCAUUGCGAAACCCAUAAAAAUUAUUCACACAAUAUUGAAUACAAAUGUGCCCUAUAUAUAAAUAUAAUGCCACUUGUCAAAUACUGAAGCAUGCCACCUAAGCUUGUUUCUUUUUUCCUUCUAAAACAUUAUAAAUAUAUAUUAGUUUUAGAUUUAAGAUUAUAUAUAAUAAUACUCGAAUAAUUUAUUGAUAAUAAAUAAAUUCAAAUAUUUCAACAUAUUUUCAUAUUUAGAUUUCAAUAAUUCAAAAAAUAUAAGUAUUCGACUUGUUGUCAUUCCUAUAAAAGGGGAACAUUGAAGGAGUUUAGGUUUCUAUUAGGAAUCUUCAAUCAAAUCUUAUCUUUGCUUUUUUUUUUUUAAUGGAAUUCAUGUAUAUUUUGUUUUAUGAUUCAUGGUGACAAAACCUCUUAGGAAUUUUUUCCGUUUCUCUCAACGAUGUUAUCUUUUAAUAUUUAUAAAAUUAUUUCUACAAAAAAUACGUUGAAUAAGAAUAACACCAUUUAGGUAUAUCAUAGAUUUAUGUUUAAAAUUUUACACAUUUAAAUUGUUCUAUUUAUAUAUACACAACUAACAAUAAAAAAACAUGAGAUCAAAAUGAACAUUUUCCUAAAUCUAUUAAAGAUUGCCUCAACAUGAACAAAUUACUCAAGUUAACAACAAAUCUGCAACAGUUUUAGGUGGGUUGCGACGGAAGUGCUAAUGAUUGAAGGUUUCCUUGCAACAUUUCUAAUACUUUAGUCAUUGAUGGUCGGUCUACUGGAUUGGUUUGAGUGCACCAAAGACUCACUAUGAUUAGUUUCCUUGUUAUUUCUUCUUCCUCUAUAGAUAGUACUUCAUUAGGAUUGCAGUUCAUAGGUUGAUCAAGAUGGUUAUAUAUCCAUAAGGGAAAAUAUGUUUCACUAGCUUGGGAACCCUCAAUAUUUUUAUUUUUUCUUCCUCCGAUCAUUUCAAGGAGCAUCAUUCCAUAACUGUAGACAUCUGAUUUAUGAGAAACACCACCAAAAUUUCGAUAAAACACUUCAGGAGCUAUAAAUCCAACAGUUCCUCUAGCACCUGUAUUUGCAAUAGUGCUUUCCUGUCGUUCACAUAACUUAGACAAACCGAAAUCAGAGAUCUUGGGACAAAAGUUCUCAUCUAAAAGGAUAUUGUGAGGUUUAAUGUCAAAGUGCAAGAUCCGGGUACUGCAACCUUGAUGCAAGUAUUCGAGUCCUCUAGCGAUGCCCAUUGCAAUGUCGUACAAAGUUUUCCACUCCAAUUGACAACUUUGACUAUGUGAUCCUUUAUUAUAAAUAAACCCAUCCAAAGAUCCAUUGUGCAUGAAUUCAUAAACCAAAGCUCUUUUUGAUCUCUCAAAACAGAAACCCAAAAGAGUCACUAUGUUGACAUGAGAAGUUCUACUGAUGCUGGCUACUUCAUUCAUAAAUUCCUCUCCAUUAUCUUUGAAUUCACUUAGGAUUUUGACCGCCACGAGACGACCGUCUGGCAAUUUUCCUUUGUAUACACUACCAUAUCCUCCUUCACCUAAUUUAUCUUUAAACUUAUUUGUCAUUUUCUUAAUGUCUCCAUAAAAAUAUCGAUUAGGAGCUAGAGAACCGAACUUUGUGAUGAAUUCCUCAAUCCUAGCAUUGUCGUUCUUCUUCCCCUUCCAUAGAUGACUUGAUGGUGAUUUCCCUUUUAACCUUAACACAAAGAAGCAUAUAGCAGAAACCAAUACAACGGUGAUGGUUACAGCAACCGUCAAUCCUGUUCAUGGUGUAUUAAUCAACUUUUACUUAAUCAUUUAUAAAUGAAUAUCAAUAAGAUUAAUUAAGUAAAAAAUUAUUACUUUAAAAAAACAAUGAAUAGAGUUAAACAAGAAAUCUUAAAAUAAAUAACAGAGGCCUUUUAACUAUGCAUUUUGUUUAGGUUAGGUAUUUAAAUUUUUUUUUUGUCAAACAGGGUAUCUAAACUUUACUCAUAACCACAGUUGGCCUUUACUGAUAGACUCCAUUUUAAAAAAAAAAAGCUACAGCGGAUCAAGAAGUGCCACAUCAGCACCUCAUUAAAAUCUAGUUAAAUAAAAAAUUAUAAUAAUAAUAAUAUUAAAUAAAAUAAAAAAUAUCCCUUCCCUCACCCUCUUCCUCACCUAGAUCUAUUCAUAAGCCGAGCUACUCACCUAGGCCCGAAGGUCUGCCCGAAAUUUGAGAUGGUUUGGAUAAAAUGAUUAGGCUCAAAAAAUUAGAUUGGGUAACAAAAUUAGGCCCGUUUAAAAUAUGGAUCAGGCUCGGGCUCCCAACCCGAUCCACUUUUAAGUUUAUAAUAUUUUAUAUUAUGUUUUUUUAUAUAUUAUGUAAUUUAUAACACAUUGAAAAAAUAAACUUAUAUUAAAGAUAUAAUACUACUCUAAUAUAAAUAUUAAAAUAAUAUUAUAAUGACUAUAUAAAAAUUUUCAAUAAAAAUAUUAAAUAUUAAAUAUUAAAUUAAAAUAAUAUAAAUAUCUUAAAAAUAAUAUGGGUGAGUUUAAAAUGGAUUUGGAUUAGUUUUUUUUUUUUACAAAUAUAAGCAAGUUUGAGUAAAAUUGUAAGCCGAUAUUUUGGGCUGAACCAAUCUUAGACAAACGUAAAAUAUAUUUAUAUUAUAGAUAGACUCAACCCGACCCAAUCCAUGAACACAUUUAAUCUCACCCUUCUCCUUCUCUCCCCCAUUAAUUAAUUGAAGGUUACUAGUUCUUUUUUGGUAGAAUUAAAUUCAAAUCCUUAAUUGAUUCAAGGAAUGAGAGGAACCACUUUCAGAUAAUAGUAAAAAAAAAAACCCUAUAAGGAAACCAAGUUUCAAUAAAUAAAUAAAAAGUAAAAUUACUUAAACAAAAAAAAAACAUAAAUUUAAAACCUUUUAUUCAAUUAAAUUUAAAUAACAAAACAUUUGAUGAAACAAAUUGAUUCAUACCUAUAAAUAUUAGAUUCAGCCUCGAUUUCGAUUUAGCUUUGGAUUCUGCAAGUAAAACAUAUGGCAGAUGUAGUAAAUUAGUUUAUUCUGCAGUUUUAAUCAUUUUAAUAAUUCCACCAUUUAAAUUGCUUCUUUUUUUUUUUUUAACAAAAUUCAAAUGAGUUUCUUGAGGAAAAAGCAAAGUAUGGUUUAUAUUUGAUAAAAUAUUCAAAUAAAAAAUAUUAAUGGAAUGGAUAAAAGUUACAUACAGAAUGCUAGGUGUUGACUUGUCCUCUAAAACCAAUGCAGAUGCGUACCUAACAAAUAUUAGUUUCUCAUAUUAACGGUGUUGUAUAUUUGUCUUAAAAAUAUUAUAAAAGUUACUUUUUAUUGAAAUGGUAAAGUAUUCAUUACAUGCAUUUUUUUUUGGAUUUUAUAUAAAAAAUAUAUAAGAAUUUAAACUAAUAUUUAUUUUUUGUUAAAAUAAUGAUAUUUUAGUAAUUUAAUAAUUGAGACAUGAUUCAAUUAGAUUUGAUCAUGAGUCAGGUCAAAUGUCUAAGUUUAAAGACCAAUAUAAAAAGCGGGAGGAUUUAAAAAUAUAUAUAUGCUCGAAAAAUAAGCUUGGACAAAAAAUAAGACCCGUUUUCCAAACGAGUAACGGGUCGGGCCUCAGACAUAAAUUUUUUGUUUUGGGUCUGGUUCAGCCAGAAUCACAUAUACCUUUUUUUUUUGUAUUUUCAAUUUUUAGGAAACAUUUAUUUUAAUAUUUUUAAUGUAUUUGAUGUCUUAUAUUUUUUAAAUUUUUUAUAUAAAAAUAAUAUGGUUGGGUUGGGUCGGUUUGGCUCGAGUUUAGCAUUUUAAUAUGGGUUGAGCUAGGACAAAAUUUUAGACUCACUUUUCAAGCUGAGGCAGGCCUGAACUUAAAUUUUGCAUCGACCCAACUCGGCCCAUGAUGCAGUCUAGGUCCAGUUACGGGCAACACCAACUCAAUCAAAAUAUUUAUGUAUUCUUAAUCUGAUAUAUUACACGUUUAAAUUUAAUUUUACUUAUAAUUUAAUCUAUUUUUAUUUUAAUAUCAUAUAUAUUUUAUUUGUUACUAUUAAAUAAUAUAUUUAAUUAUUUAUUAUUAUAUGCUAUUUUUAAAAGGAAUCUUGAUGUUUUAAAUGAGUAAUUUUCAGAUGAGAAAUUUUAAUUUAAUAUAAAUAGUUUUGAUGCAUUUGAACCAGACACUCACGGUUGCUAAUGUAUCUGCCAUUGACAAUAAUUUUUAUUUUAAUGCUUCAUCUAUAUAAGAGUUGGAUGCUUUUGAUAACAUCAUUUUUAAUCAUUUUGAAAUAGUGAGACUUGAACAAAGAAUUUUUAAAAAUUUGUCAGGUAUAAAAAUUACAUACCUCGGGCAGUCGUUGGGGAUGGUGAGGAAACAAUGCGAAUGCAUUGUCUGUCAUCGUGCGAAUUGUCAAACAUGAAAGGGCAGUGGCAGAACACUGUUUGAUUCUCCGCCGGCCCAAAGAAACCGCAGGCUCCGCCGGAAUCAUUGCACUUCCCGCAAGCUUCACUGUCCUUCCAAUACCAUUGUACUUCCACUCCUCUUUUCAAGGCUUCUUUCAACCCCAACAAAGAAUUCAGUGAUCCCUCCAGGGAAGAUCGAAGAAUCGGAACAGUAACAUUAGCCGAGCAUCUCUUCGGUCGGAUAUUAUUUCGCGUCGCAACGGAAACGUUACUGUAAGUGGAACCGGCGUUGUCGCAAGGGAAGAACCCGAGAGUACUGCGUGAGGAGAUGGAAGAUUGGCAGUCGUAAAACAAAGUAACGUUGGCAUAACCAAGACCAGGUGAAAACAGCUCGGAAUUGAGGACCGAAUUCCGAGUUGGGAUAAUUUGAGGGCUACAAAGGCCAUCGUACUUGAUGAGGUCUUCCCUCGCAAUCCUUAGAAUAUGACGAUCCCGAUGGAUGGCCAGAACCCGAUAUUCUAUAUCACUAAUUACGAUCGUCGUUGUAUUUUUGUUGUCGCAGCGAAGCUCGAGACCGAGUCGUCCACAGUCCAUCGCUCGUUGGCCUCCAAAGAAAGGAAAUCCAGCGGAGAUAUUCCCGCAUUUGUAGACUGCAUCGCGACAGUUCUGGUACAGUUCAUGAUCGCUUAGUGAAAGAGGAAAACCGAAGAUGAUGAAUAAUAAGGAAAAGUACAGAAGAAGUGGAAGAUCAGGUAUUAAUGAUGAUGAGAAGCAAUGAUAAAUCAUUCUCUUUUUUUCUUUUCUUAGGAUUGAUGGAAAAUAGGACAAGGGAAAUUAGGAAAGUAUAGAUAGAAAGGGUUGAUUGGGUCUAAAUAAAGGGAAAGUUUAUCAAAAGAAAGACUUAGACUAUAAAGUUGACUUGAAAAGACUCAUGCAACGUGAUUUACAUUGUGACCUGAAUUUUGCACUGUUCCAAUUUAUCGUUGUAGUAGUAAAAGCUCCAUUCAUACUACUGACACUGAAUCAUUUUAAAAAAUAAUAUAAAGUGUUAGGUUUAAGACGUACAGAUUUUAGAUUUAUAAUUUUAUUUUAUUUUAUUUUUAAGAUUUAAGACGUAGAGAUUAAAUUUUGUUUUAUUUUCAUACCAAAACCAAUGAUAAUAACAUUAUUUUUUACGAGUAAAAAAUUUAAAAUUUAAAUUUCUACAAAGAGUACGUACCUUAUUAUAAAGAUAUGUUAUAAUUGUGUUGAAAAUUUCAACACAUCUCAUAACUGCACGGCGAACACUAAAAGCAAACACUAGACACAAUACGCGGAUUGCCCGAUUACUCGAGACAACUUCAACAUGAAAAGACACGGACAACACAGAAAGACACCAAUACAAACAUCGUAGUAAAUUAUAGCUUAAGACCUAUAAAUUUUAAUUUAGCAUUGGGAUUGUAGUGAAAGUUUUGUUUCAACUUAAAUUGAACGAUGAAAUUUAACAUCCAAAAAAAGCUCUUUCUUUCUCUCAAGUAAAAUGCUUCUGUCAUGGUCCUUGACCAGGAGCACUCACACUUCUCUCCAUCGAGAUAAGGCUUGUCCUUGUUCUUUUUUUGGUUGGCAUAAUAACCAUCUCUUGCCUUUUUGCUUGCCACCCCUAGGCCGAGGCAUACCAUAGUGGUCGAUUUUCUAGGGUCUCCCCUCUUUCCUAUCCAUCCUCCCUCUAGGUAUAUGAUACAUGCAUGUGUCACAGACCGCAGUUCAAAGCCCAUGACUAUCGCACCAAAUGCAUCCAAUGGAAGUUUCUUGUUUAGAUAGGGAUCAUUUGACCCAAAAGAACUGGCCCGAUUCGUAAGCUAUUAGAGAAGCAUGUCAGGUUGAAGCCUGGUGGCCUGAUGAUGAAGAUAUGACAACAUAAGACUAUCUUGGUAAAUUUGGCAGCUAAUCUUAGAAGAUUGCUAGGAAUCAUAUCUUGUAAAGAUUAGAUUAGAUUUGAUAUGACAUAUCUUGUAAAUCCCAUAAUUUAAGGGAUAUGAUUAAUCUCGUCCAACGAUGAAAGUUUUGUUUGAACUUAAAUUGAACUUUGUGUGAUGAAAUUUAACAUCCUAAAAAAGCUCUUUCUUUCUCUCAAGUAAAAUGUUUCUGUCUUGGUCCUCGACCGGGGACGCUCACACUUCUCUCCAUCGAGAUAAGGCUUGUCCUUGUUCUUUUUUGGUUGGCAUAAUAACCAUCUUUUACCUUUUUGCUUGCCACCUCUAGGCAGAGUGUAACAACUCGAUUUUCAGUGGUGUUGGAAACAGUGGUUCGAGACCACCAAAUCCCACGAGUAAGAUUCUAAAUUUUAUUAUUUAGUAUUUACAAGUUAAAUGUGAUUUUAGGAGAAUUUUUGAAUUAGUAACUUGUGUUUUAUAAGGAUUUAUUAGGUUAAAUAGUUUAGAAAAUGAGGUAUCGAGACCUUAAUUUUAUAAACCGAGCCGUAAAUAUUUUUAUAAAUAUUUACGAAGUGUCAUUAAGGUAGUAUUAAAGUUUUGUUAGAAAAUUUUAACGUUUUAGAUAGUUAAUUAAUCAAAAAGGACUAAAUUGAAAAAGGCACAAAACUUGCUAAUUAAAUGAAAUAGUGAUUGAAUGGCUUAAAUAAUGAAUAAAGGAGGACUUAAAGGGUAAAUAGACACAUGGGAAUGGUUGAGGUGGCAUAAGCAGAAAAGAAAUAAUAAAUUAGUGUGAAUUAAGGGUAAAAUUGUAAAUUUUAUAAAAUUAACUUAAAUAAAUUGAAUUUUAAAAUUUUCUAGGUCAUUCUUCUUCAAUUUCUCAGCCAAAAAUGCCAUAGGAGAAGAUUUUAAGCUGGUUUUACUUAUUUUGACUUCAUCUGAGUUCAAUUUUUGCCUUUCUUUUGAAAUUUUUAUGUUUUUGAGACUUUUACAAUUAAGUACAUGUUAGGAAUAAAGAAUCUGUUAGUUGUUAGGCAGUUGUUAUUCUGUUAUUCUGUUAAUAACCACUGCUAGCUGAUAUAUUACUGCUAACGUACUGCCUAUAAAUAUCCUUGUAUAUUUUCUUGUUGAUGAAUGGAAAUGAGUUUACACUCAACAUGGUAUUAAGAGCCAUAGUGUUUCUGGUAUAAAUUUUUUUUUCUUUUCUACGUUGUUUGUAUGCAUGGCUACAGAUGGUAAUCCUGCAGAUGGUACGCCGCAUCAUUCCAGCAACUAUGGUGCAGAAAUUCAUCCGUCAGAUUCUGGAGGUUCAAGUUUAACUUUUGUUCAGUACUUUGCCAAGCAUGACACCAUUAAACUCAGCAGUCAGAACUUCUUGCUAUGGAAACAUCAAUUGUUAUUGAUCCUUGAAGGGUAUGGCCUGGAAGGGUUUGUGCUAGGCACCACGAUCCCUCCAUCUGCGCUAAUUUCGGAUUCUGAUGGUCAGCUUGUUGCAAAUCCAGCGUUCAUUGUUCAUCACAAACAAGAUAAGUUCUUGGCAUCAUGGCUUUUAUCCACAGUUUCUGAUGAUAUUUUGAUACACUUAACCAAAGCUAAAACCAGUUUUGAUAUUUGGGCUACCAUUGAAAGACGAUUUGGUGCUAAGUCCAACAUCAAGUUAUCUAGUAUGAGGCAUGCCUUAUAUUCGAUCAAGAAAGCCAGUCUUUCAGUCAAAGACUAUCUUUCCAAAGUCAAGACUCUAAGUGAUGAUCUAACUAUUGCUGGGAUUCCAGUCUCUGAACAGGAACAGAUCAGUGUUAUCCUGGCCGGCCUUCCCGUUGAGUUUAAGUCUAUUCGGGUUCUUGCUACUGCUACUUCCUUGAAUCUUGAUCUUGUCACUGAAAUGCUACUCGAGUGCGAAGAACGUCAGUUAAGUCAGUUAUCUGAUGCAUCACUACAAGCAAAUCUGGUAUCCAGUAAGCAACAAAGUAAUUCUGAAACUUUGAAACCAAGUUCAGAUUCCAAUCGUGACACUAAUCGUGGACAAAUGGGUCCAGGCCGUGGGAGGUCUCGUGGUCGUGCUCGUGGUUCGGGUCGAGGGUGGUCUCGGUCUAAACCACAAUGCCAGUUGUGUGGUAAAAUAGGACAUUUGGUGCAAACGUGUUACCAUCGGUUUGAUGAGAACUUUGCUGGUUCUGAUUCAAGUUCGGUGAUGGCUGUUAACUAUCACCAAUUUCAUGGUGAUCCUACAAACUGUUGUUCCUCUCAGAGUUGUUGUCAUGCAUGCCCCGUCUCCUCACCAUCUUCAGUACCUGAUCAGAUGUGGUACCCAGAUUCUGGCGCAACCAACCAUAUUACUCCAAAUGUAAAUGGUCUUCAGAAUGCUUCGACUUAUACAGGUACCAACAAAGUGUCCAUGGGCAAUGGUGAGUUAGUAUCCAUUGCUAAUACUGGUUCUUCAACUUUUGUAGCUGGUUCUCGAUUGUUGCAUCUAAAGAACGUACUGCAUGUUCCGUCUGUCUGUAAAAAUUUACUUUCUGUCGGACAAUUUGCAAGAGAUAAUGCAGUCUACUUUGAGUUUCAUCCUUUUCUAUGCUUUGUGAAGGACAUACAGACAUGAAUGAUCUUACUGGAGGGCCACAUGCAUAAUGGCUUGUAUAGAUUUGAUGUUUCUCCUUCCAGUUCACAACGUCUCCUCUCUACCAAAAGAAUCGAGUCUCCUAGUGUCUGCAAUGUUCAGAUGGCCUCAUCUGUUGAAGUCUGGCAUGACAGGCUUGGACAUCCAUGUCCCAGCACUCUUGCACGUGUUCUAAAGUCUUGCGAUGUUCCAUUCAAGCACGACAAGCUACAUUCUGUCUGUACACCUUGUCAGAUGGGCAAGGCUCACAAACUGCCGUUUAGCACCUCUCGAACAGUUUAUUCAGCUCCGUUUGAGUUAGUAGUAUCGGAUGUUUGGGGACCUUCCCAUGUUACUUCGAAUGGUUGUGCUUACUAUGUGUCCUUUAUAGAUAUGUACAGUAGAUUUACUUGGUUGUACUUUCUCAAAUCAAAGAAUGAAGUUUUCCACUGUUUUCUUAAUUUUCAUAAAAUGGUUCAAGUACAGUUUGGGGCAACCAUCAAAAUGUUGCAGACAGAUGGAGGGGGUGAGUAUCGAUCCUUGACCAACACUCUGACUACUCUGGGAAUUCAACAUCGGGUAAUAUGCCCGCACACGACAGAACAGAACGGAGUAGCUGAACGCAGGCACCGUCACAUAGUUGAUAUGGGACUAGCGUUGCUAGCUCGUGCUUCAAUGCCAUUAGAAUAUUGGUUGUCUGCCUUCUCGCAUGCAGUCCAUCUUAUCAACAGGUUACCAACACCUGUCUUGGAGCACAAAACUCCCUAUGAAAGAUUGUUUAAAGCUAGACCAGACUACUCUCAGCUGAAGGUUUUCGGGAGCGCUUGUUUUCCAUACCUCCGACCUUUUCAGCAACAUAAGCUCCAGUUUCGGUCACAACAGUGCGUAUUUCUUGGAUUAAGUUCUAACCAGAAGGGGUACAGAUGUCUGGCUCCAGAUGGCCGAAUUUAUGUCUCAAGACAUGUGGUGUUCAAUGAGACACUAUUUCCGUUUCAGAAUGGGUUUAUCUCGUCAAGGAUUGACACGAGUGCCAGGUUCUGUCGUCACCAAUCUGUUAUCCCGAUAGUUCGCUCGAGUGACCCGUUGGUCUCAAUACCAGUGCAUGCACCUGAAGCUCCCACACAGUCUUUACGGUGUCAUCAGUCCCCCAGUUCUAGGUCUGCCCACAGGGGUUCGGAUAAUGUGGUCGACUCAACCAUGUCUCCAUCUACUGUACAGGUAUUCCCUACUACCAACAGACACCCCAUGUGCACUCGGUCAAAGAAUGGAAUCUUCAAGCCCAAAGUCUUUUCCACUAUUGUUGAAGAGAAGGAACCAAUCACGAUUGAUGAGGCGUUCAAAAGCACUGCUUGGACUGCAGCAGCACAUGCUGAGUAUCAAGCAUUGCUGGCAAACAAAACGUGGGACCUUGUCACGUUACCUGAAGGGCGUCGAGCAGUAGGGUGCAAAUGGAUCUUUAGAGUUAAACGUCAUGCUGAUGGGACAAUCGCUCGCUACAAGGGUCGAUUGGUGGUCAAAGGUUAUUUACAGGAAGCAGGCGUUGAUUUUUUCGAGACCUUCAGUCCAGUGAUCAAGCCAACGACGAUCAGAGUGAUCUUGUCUCUCGCAGUAUCUCGAGGGUGGCAUCUCAGACAAAUCGAUGUGAACAAUGUAUUUCUGAAUGGAGACCUGGAUGAAGAAAUAUAUAUGACUCAACCACCAGGGUUUGAGCAACACUCGGCUGAUGGGAGACCUCUUGUUUGCAGGUUGCGAAAGGCACUCUAUGGGUUAAAACAAGCCCCUCGUGCAUGGUUUCAGAAGCUACGAGACUUCCUGGUAGCUACUAAUUUUAUUGCAUCUAAGGCUGAUAGUUCCCUUUUCAUUCGACAAGAAAGAUCUCAAGUGCUUUAUGUCCUCAUAUAUGUUGAUGAUAUAAUAAUUACAGGCACUAACUCUUCUGUUAUAGACAAGUUUGUAAAAAGUCUUGAUGUUCAAUUUUCCUUGAAAGAUUUGGGUCCUCUAAAUUACUUUCUUGGGAUCGAAGUAACAUACACUUCGAGUGGCGUUUUUCUCAGCCAGAAGAAGUACAUUCUGGAGCUACUUCGACGAGCUUCCAUGGACACAUCCAAUCCCUCUCCUACGCCAAUGGUAACUACAUGUAAAUUGAUGGUUAAUGAAGGGGAUCCAAUAGAAAAAGAGAGUAUGUUCAGGAGUAUUGUGGGAGCCCUACAGUAUGUGGUCAUAACAAGACCAGAUAUUGCGUUUUCAGUCAACAAGGUAUGUCAAUACAUGCACAAGCCUCUCGAUACACACUUCAAAGCUAUAAAACGGAUUCUGAGAUACCUACGAGGGACACUAGAUUAUGGACUACAGUUCACUCGCAACUCCAAAAUUUUCUUGAGGGCUACUCUGAUGCAAGUUGGGGUUCAGACAUUGAUGACAGACGAUCAACAUCGGGGUUUUGUGUUUUCUUCGGUGGGAAUCCAAUAUCUUGGAGCUCCAGGAAGCAAAAAGUAGUAUCGAGAUCCACAGCAGAGGCCGAAUAUCGCAGCUUAGCUCAUGUUACUGCAGAAAUAGCAUGGAUUCGAUCGUUGCUGACAGAACUUGGUAUUGAGGUUCGUAGCAAGACAUUGGUUUGAUGUGACAGUUCUGCUGCCAUUGCUAUAGCAAACAAUCCGGUCAUGCAUUCUAAGUUCAAACACGUAGAGCUAGACUUAUUUUUUGUAAGGGAAAAUGUGGUGAAUGGCUUGCUGCAAGUUGGUCACGUCUCUGGCCAAGAGCAAGUGGCCGAUGUUUUGACCAAACCAUUAUCAGCAGGGCAGUUUGAAAAAUUCAGAAAGAAACUUCGAGUAAUUCCCAUGGAAAGUCGUGAUAUAUAGCAGCAAGAACAAAUCUCAUACAGGAACGAAGGAAGUCAAGAUGCAUGGGCCAUGUUAGGAAUAAAGAAUCUGUUAGUUGUUAGGCAGUUGUUAUUCUGUUAUUCUGUUAAUAACCACUGCUAGCUGAUAUAUUACUGCUAACGUACUGCCUAUAAAUAUCCUUGUAUAUUUUCUUGUUGAUGAAUGGAAAUGAGUUUACACUCAACAAUACAACUACCUAUUACAUUAGUUUUUGAUUUUAUUGGAAAUUUUGAAAGCUACCAUUGAUUAAUUCUGGAUUGUUUUGAUAAAUUAACAUGGAUUUAGAGCUUUAAUUUUGUUAUAUGAUGAUUUUAUCAAGUGAUUUUGAUAGAUAAUGAUUUUAGGACUAAAUUGUAAAAAGGGCUAAAUAUUAAGGUUUAGUAUUAAAUUCUAUUUUUCAAGUGUUGUAUGAUAGCUUAGAAAAUUUAGAUAAAUUUUCAAUUGAGAAAAAUUAGCUCAUUUGAUAGACUAAUUUAUUGAGGGACUAAAUUGCAAAAGUUGUAAAAUUUGGGGAAAAUUGUGUAAUUUUGAAAAUUGAAGGGUUUUAAUUGUGAAGUGAAUUGAAACUGAAAUAUAUGCUAACGAAUGAAUAAUUUUAUAUUUUAGAUCAAGAGCCUGUAGACAAUCGUGAAAAAGAGAAAUUAGCAAAAUAGUUUCUGAACUACUACAAAUCUUACAAUUUAACCCAGGUAAGUUCGUAUGGUUAAACUUUAAUAUUUAUAUAUUAAAUUUAUGAAUGUUAUUAUUUAUUUAUUCAUAUCUAUUGUUAAAAAAUUAUUGUUAAAAUUAUGAAAUUGAACUAAAUGUUCAAAAUGAAUGGAGCGCGGGAUUGAGUAUAAUCGUUAUGUGGAAAAAAAUAGCAAAGAAAGAAUUGACAGCAAAUUACCCAAGUAAACUGAGGUUCAGCAUUUGUUGCGAACUUUCGUGUUUACUUUCCGUUUAGCUCUCACUAGUUUCUGUUUAACUCAUUUGAGUUUCCGUUCAACCCUAAUGGGUUUCCGUUCAUCUCUUUUGAGCUACUGUUUAACCCUUAUGGGAUUCCGUUCAGCUCUUAUGAACUUCCGUUCAACAUUUACGGGUUUUUGUUUAGCACUUAUGUGCUUCUGUUUAGCCUUCGGGCUUCCGAAAAUGAUGUACUCAUAUUCGUAAGCCGUUCUCCGAUUUGGUAAGAUUUGGUAAAUGACUUAUGUGAUUGAAAUUGAAAGAUUUAUCGUUUAUUAUUAAUAUUGAUUUAAAAGAAGUGUGUUCAUCGAUUUAUGUUGUGAUUGACAGGGAGAGUGCAUGAAUAAUUUACUAUUUAAUUUAUUAUAUUAAGUUUGGUAAGAUUUAUGUUUAACCUAUUGAACUUACUAAGCUUCAUUAAGCUUAUUUGUGUUGUUUAAUGAUCUUGUAGAUUAACGUGAGGUUGGGAGAUCGAAUCAACACAUCAAGCCACACUAUCCAACUUAAUCCGGUAGCUUUUGUAACAUAUGCUUUGGUUUAUACAACAUGUAUAGGGUUGGUUUGGAAAUGAAAUACUUAUGUAGAUGUUGAUAAGUCAGUGAAAUGGAUUAAAUAGGUAAGUUUAAGAAAUUGGGUAUUUAUGAUGUUAUGUCAUGAUUAAAACAUGAUUUUAACUUGUAUUGAUUUCUUGUUUGGGAUAUAUUGAUGUAUUGAAAUGUUGUGUAUGGGUUGAUAUCAAAAUGGGUGAGAAAAGAGGCCUUAAAAUUACCUAUUUUUGUCCACACGGGAAGAGACACGGGUGUGUGUCUCAGCCGUGUGUGACACACAGCCUAGCAUGUAACACCCCUAACCCGUAUCCAUCGCCAGAAUAGGGUUUCGAGGCAUUACCAGAUAUUUCAGAACAUUUUCGGAUAAUUCGAGUCAUUUACAAUUCAAUUUAGGUUUCAUUAGAUAACAUCAUAUACUAUCACAUUUAGCCAUUAUUUAUCUCAUGAACAUUUGGUUCAUGCUUUCUAUUCACAUUUUCAUAUUCAAUUCACUAUUUUUUCCUGUCAAUCACAAUUUCAAAUGACAGAUUCAUGUAAAUGAGCUCAAUAUCAUUAGCUGUUUAAUUUCUGUCACUUAAAUUCACAUACACAUAAUUUAUUAACAUAACCUGUCAAACACAAUCUCUGAAUGAUGAGAUUACAUAAUUGAGCUAAAUUUCACUGUUUAAUAUGCUUUAUCACAUAAAAUUUGCUUAACACUUGCCAUAAUUUGUCAAAUUAGAGAACAUCUUACGGGAUUGAGUACUUCAUUUUCACAUUACCAUAGUAUAACUAUGGUCUUGCACAUCGUCACAUAUCACACACCAAAGCCAUAGCCCAUCUAUGGUCUUACACAGAAACACAUAUCACACCGAUGCCAUAUCCCAUAUAUGGUCUUACACUAAUCACAUUUAUCACUUGUCACUUAUCACUGAUCAGAUAAGUGUAGCUAAAGCUACCACUUAUCACUUGUCACUUGUAAUUGAUCAGAUAAGUGUAGCUAAAGCUACCACUUAUCACUUGUCACUGAUCAGAUAAAUGUAGCUAAAGCUACCACUUAUCAAUCGUCACUUGUCAUUGAUUAGAUAAGUGUAGCUAAAGCUACCACUUAUCACUUGUUACUGAUCAGAAGUACUCAAAUCCGACGUUCCGCUUAAUUUAAUCAUUUAUUCGGUUUUCGUACUUUUAUUUUAUUCUCAAUUCAUCAACAAAUAUAUCUCAUCAUACAUUAUAUAAUUCAUGAAAUUAACAUUUAAUCAUUAAAUUUCAGCCAUAUGAACUUACAAUUCGAUUUUUAUAACAUAACGAUAAUCAUAAUUUCAUAAUAACUAUUUGAAAUAAAACAUUAUAUCAUUUCUUGUAAUGGCCCAAAUUCAAGGUUAUCGGAAUAGUGGUUUCGUAACCACAAAUCCGAUUUAAAGAGAAAUUUAUUUUAAUAUUUUUGCAUGAAUAUUGGUAUGAUAGGAAAAUCAUAUGAAAAUAUCGAUACAAAAAUUUUACCGAUUUAGUGAUUAGUUAGAAAAAGAAAUUAUUAAAGAAAUUGGGUAAAAAUAAGGUAUCGAGACCCCAAUCUCGUAAAAUCGAGUCAAAAAUAUUUUUAUAAAUAUUUAUGAAGUGUUAGUAAUAUGGUAUUAAAAUUUCGUUAGAAAAUUUUAAUGUUUGGGUAGUCAAUUAAGUGAAAAGGACUAAACUGAAAAAGGUAAAAAAGUUACUAAAAGGAUUAAAUAGCUCAAUUUUUAAAUGAUGAGGGACAUAAAUUGCAAAUAACCCCAAAAGGAGAUAUUUUGGGCGACAUAAGCUGAGAAAAAUCAGGAGAAUUGAAGAAUUAAGGGUAAAAUUGGAAUAUUGCAAAAUUUACUUUAAAACUUAGGACUAAAGUGGAAUUAUCUAGAUUUCUCUUUAUUUUUUUGCAUUCUCAUGAGCCAAAAACGUCCUAAGGGUUUCUUCAAGCUGGUUUUUCAUAAUUUUUGCACCAAGUGAGUUAAUACUUGCCUUUUUCUUGUAAAUUUUGUGUUUCUAAGACUUUUACAACCAGGUCCUAUUACUAAAUUCAUUAGUUUUUUAUUUUAUGAAUGAAUUUGAAAGUUGCUAUGAAUAUGUGUUGGAAUUUUAUGAUGAAAUUGAAGCUUUAAUCUGUUUAUGAGAUGAUUUUAUUAGGUAAUUUCAAUAGAAAUUGAUUUGUAGGACCUAAUUGUGAAAAAGUUUGGAAUUAAAGUCUAGUACUAAAAUUCUGAUUUCCAAAGCUUAUAAAGUAGUUUAAAGUGAUAGGAUAAAGUGUUAAUUGAGAAAAAUCAGCUCAAUUGAGAGGUUAAUUGAGCAGGGAUGAAAUUAUCAUUUAUUGAAAGUUUAGGGAAAAUGGUAAUUAACUUCAUACACUAAAACAGUUUUGGACAGCAGCAGUAGUCUAACUUUGAAAAAUCACCAAAAAUUGUAGAGAUUGAAUUAGAGGAUGAAUAAAAUAUUAAAUUAAAGCUUAUUGAGUCUAGUUUCUCAUAAAAGAAACAGUUUAAUCAAUGGAAUUGCAAAUCAUGAGAUAUAAUAGAUUUUGUGAGACAAGGUGUAAUGACCCAAAUUCAAAGUUAUCGGAAUAGUGGUUUCGUAACCACAAAUCCGAUUUAAAGAGAAAUUUAUUUUAAUGUUUUUGCAUGAAUAUUGAUAUGAUAAGAAAAAAAAUUGUAUGAAAAUAUCGAUAGAAAAAUUUUACCGAUUUAGUGGUUAGUUAAAAAAAAUUAUUGAAGAAAUUGAGUAAAAAUAAGAUAUCGAGACUUCGAUAUCGUAAAACCGAGUCAAAAAUAUUUUUAUAAAUAUUUAUGAAGUGUUAGUAAUAUGGUAUUAAAAUUUCGUUAGAAAAUUUUAAUGUUUGGGUAGUAAAUUAAGUGAAAAGGACUAAAUUAAAAAUUGUAUAAAAGUUACUAGAAGGAUUAAAUAGCUUAAUUGUUAAAUGAGGAGGGACAUAAAUUGUAAAUAACCCCAAAAGGAGAUAUUUUGGCGGCAUAAGCUGAGAAAAAUCAGGAGAAUUGAAGAAUUAAGGGUAAAAUUGGAAUAUUACAAAUUUUGCUUUAAAAGUUGGGACUUAAGUGGAAUAUCUAGAAUUCUCUUCAUAUUUUCUGCACUCUCAUCAGCCAAAAACGUCCUAAGGGUUUCUUCAAGCUGGUUUUUCAUAAUUUUUGCACCAAGUGAGUUAAUUCUUGCCUUUUUCUUGUAAUUUUUGUGUUUCUAAGGCUUUUACAACUAGGUCCUAUUGCUAAAUUCAUUAGUUUUUGAUUUUAUGAAUGAUAUUGAAAGUUGAUAUGAAUAUGUGCUGGAAGUUUAUGAUGAAAUAGCAUGAAAUUGAAGCUUUAAAUUGUCUAUGAGAUGAUUUUAUUAGGCAAUUUUUAAUAGAAAUUGAUUUAUAGGACCUAAUUGUGAAAAAGUUUGAAAUUAAAGUCUAGUGCUAAAAUUCUGAUUUCCAAAGUUUAUAAGGUAGUUUAAAUUGAUGGAAUAAUGUGUUAAUUGAGAAAAAUCAGCUCAAUUGAGAGGUUAAUUGAGCAAGGAUGAAAUUAUCAUUUAUUGGAAGUUUAGGGAAAAAUGGUAAUUAACCUCAUGCACUAAAACAGUUUGGACAGAAGCAGUAUUCUAACUUUGAAAAAUCACCAAAAAUUGUAGAAGUCGAAUUAGAGGAUGAAUAAAAUAUGAAAUUAAAGCUUAUCGAGUCUAGUUUCUCAUAGAAGAAACGGUUUAAUCAAUGAAAUUGUAAAUCAUUAAAAAUUGUAAAAAAAUGAUUAUGAGUUAUAAUUUAUAUGGUUAGAAGAAUUAAUGAGUCUAUUUUCAGAAGAAAUAAAGUAAAACAUCAUCCGAAUUCUGUACAAAGAGAUAAUUAAUUUUUAGUGAAGAGGGGUUGGAACUGUCAAAUAGUGAAACAGGGGAAACUUUAAAGAAUAAACUGUACUUAUUGGCUGAACCAAAAAUUCUAAAAAUUUUAUGGUAAGAAGAUAUGUGAGUCUAGUUUCAGGAAAAAUUAACAUAUCUUAAUUUGGAGUUUUGUAGCUCAAGAUAUAAAUAAUUUAGUGACAGUGACUCAGUGAGGCAGCUUUGAAUGCACUAUAAAUAAUAAGGAAAUUAUAGAGAAUGUUACACAUGAACAUGAAAUGUAUUAGAUUAAUGAUUAAAUUUAUUUAUUUAGAUCCAGAAAGUUCAAAUACGAAGCUAGAUCAAGGAAAAUAAAAAGUUCCGGAUUAGUAGAUUUUUGUUUACGAACAAUUAUCGAGGUAAGUUCGUGUAACUUGAAUUAUAUUCAUAAAUGCUUGGAAUGUUUGUUAUUGAUGUGAAUAUGAUUUGGAUGUUUAUUGUAUGAUAACUGAUGAAGUAUUGAUAUUCUGGAUGAAAAGAGGAAAUAAAUCCUUGUUGAAUGAAAGGAAAAUUCGAUGGAUAUCUGAAAAAGGAAUUGACGGUAAAAAGGAUCUAGCACGGACGGGUGAUCCUAUCCUGAUAUAGCCCUCCCGAAGAAUAUGUGGAAAAUGGAUUUAGCCCGGACGGGUAAUCCGAAUUAGGGUCUGAAUUUAGCCUGGACUGGUAAUUCAGAUCCAAGCUCAUUAGAGUAAUUGUCGUUGCAGGGGAUUUAGCCUGGACUGGUAAUCCCGACAAUACUCUAUGAGUUUAUAUUAUAGGGGAUUUAGCCUGGACUGGUAAUCUCGCUGUAAGGAUGAGGUUCGCGGGAGUGUGCUAUCUGAAAUGGAAAUGUGCGCACAUGAAUAUGAAUUGACGGACCCGGAUUUGUACACUUAGGUGUACCCCUGAAUAUCCAUCGAAAUUCCAAGUAGUUCAACAGGAUAAAUAUGGAAAAAUAACAAGGAAAUGGAAAUCAUGGAAUUGAUGAGCUCAUCAAUCAUUUAUCUUUGUAAUGAAUUUGUAUGAUGUUGAGUUUGUAUGUGAUAGGUAUAUGUUUAUGUGAAUUGGAUGUGUGCUUGUGUUAUUAAAUGAUAGAUGUAUAAGUAUGGUAAGUAUAAUUCCUGUUGCAUGAACUUACUAAGCACAAAGUGCUUACCCUGUUUCUUUUUCCCCUAUUUUGUAGUGUUAAGAGCUCAGAGGUCGGAUUUGGUCGGAGACGCAUCACACUAUCAACCUUAAGAUCUCGGUAUAUAAAGAAACUUUAUUUUGGAAAUCAAUGGCAUGUAUAAGCUAGUAAAGUAUAUGUUAAUGUGAAAUGAAUGUAUAGUUAGCCAUUGGUAUGGCUAACAAAUUUUAAUUUUGGUAAGUGAUGAGAUUAUCUUAUGAAUACAAUAAAUCUAUCUUGAAAAUAUAUUGAAAUGAAUUGGUUGUGUUGGAUUGGUCUCGGUUUUAAAAAAAAAUUCGGUAAAAUCUGGUAAUGCCUCAUACUCUAUUUCGGCGACGAAUACGGGUAGGGGGUAGUACAUUUGUUGGUAUCAGAGCUACGGUUUAGCCGGUUCUCGGACCGACUAGCAAAUAUGAGAUUAGCUAUACAUGCCAUUUAAAUUAUCAUUGAUAGUGUGAUAUCUCCUGACCAUUUGAAAUGUGAUUUUCUUAUAGUAAAUGUCUGCCGACCGAGCUCAACCCGAAGAAGUCGAGAGUCAUGCUCCGGCUUCAGAACAAAGAGAAGCUGAAGCUACUAGUAGUAGAAGGUCCGAGACAAAGGCUCAAAAUGAAGAAGCUAAAAUGGCUUUCUAUCAAAUGAUGAAUGAAUGGUUUACUCAGUAUAUAAGAACUAACCCUGUAGUGCAGCAAACUCAAGCUCCCCCUCGUCCUCCUCCUCCUCCAUCAGUUCCCGAGAUUCCACAGGGUACAGGUACUAAAUCUAUCAGAAAAGGGAAAGCUCCGGUUGAUAAAAUCAGAAAAUAUGGGGCAGAAGAAUUCAGAGCUGCAAUUGAUGAUGAUUCUGAACGGGCUGAGUUUUGGUUAGAGAAUACUAUUCGGGUUAAAUCUGAUCAGAUAGAGGAAUUAUCUAAUGUGAUUUCGGUUAUGACAGCUCAGAGGUGUGUCAGAAAAGGGUGUGAUGCUUAUUUGGCAUAUGUGUUAGACACUAAGGUAUCCGAGUCAAAGAUACAUGCAGUGCCAGUUGUAUGUGAAUUUUCUGAUGUAUUUCCAGAGGAAUUACCGGGGUUGCCACCAGAAAGAGAAGUGGAAUUUUCUAUAGAUUUGAUUCCGGGAACUACUCCAAUCUCCAUAUCUCCGUAUCGUAUGGCUUCUACAGAAUUAAAGGAGUUAAAGACACAGUUGCAAGAACUUGUUGACAAGGGUUUUGUUCGACCAAGUCAUUCACCUUGGGGUGCUCCGGUUUUAUUUGUGAUAAAGAAGGACGGGUCUUUAAGAUUAUGUAUUGAUUACCGGCAGCUCGACAAAGUCACUAUAAAGAAUAAGUACCCAUUGCCUCGGAUUGAUGAUCUGUUUGACCAGUUGAAGGGUGCCACUAUAUUUUCAAAGAUUGAUAUUCGAUCGGGCUACUAUCAGUUACGGGUAAAGGAGUCAAAUGUACCGAAGACAGCUUUCAGAACCAGGUAUGGGCACUGCGAGUUUUUGGUUAUGCCUUUUGGGCUGACUAAUGCACCUGCAAUAUUUAUGGACCUGAUGAAUCGGAUAUUCAGACCAUACUUAGACAGGUUUGUCGUAGUUUUUAUUGAUGAUAUCUUGAUCUAUUCCCGAGAUGAAAAUGAGCAUGCAGAACAUUUGAGAAUUGUGUUGCAAAUUCUGCGAGAAAAGCAGCUAUAUGAUAAAUUCAGUAAAUGUGAAUUUUGGCUUCGAGAGGUGGGUUUUCUCGGACAUAUUGUAUCCGUAGAAGGCAUCAGGGUAGAUCCGAGUAAAAUCUCAGCUAUUAUUAAUUGGAGUCCACCGAAAAAUUUAUCUGAAGUUAGAAGUUUCUUGGGUUUAGCUGGUUAUUAUCGGAGAUUUGUACAAGGGUUCUCUAUGAUAGCUUCUCCGAUGACCCGUUUAUUACAGAAAGAUGUUAAAUUCGAGUGGACCAAUGAAUGCCAGCAGAGUUUCGACCGAUUGAAAGAUUUGUUGACGAGAGCACCUGUGUUAGUAUAGCCGGAACCGGGUAAAGAAUUUAUUAUUUAUAGUGAUGCAUCAUUAAAUGGUUUAGGUUGUGUCUUGAUGCAAGAAGGUAAAGUUAUAGCCUAUGCUUCGAGACAACUUAAGCCACAUGAAAGAAAUUACCCAGUGCAUGAUCUUGAAUUAGCUGCUAUUGUAUUUGCAUUAAAAAUAUGGCGACAUUGCUUGUAUGGUUAGAAAUGUCAUAUUUAUACUGAUCAUAAAAGUCUAAAAUAUCUGAUGACACAGAAAGAUUUGAAUUUGAGACAGCGUCGGUGGCUUGAAUUGAUAAAAGACUAUGAUUUGGUUAUUGAUUACCAUCCGGGUAAGGCUAAUGUUGUAGCUGAUGCUCUGAGCCGAAAAUCUCUGUUUACUUUGCGAGCUAUGAAUGCCCAAUUGUCUUUGGUUGAUGAUGGUUCAGUCGUAGCUGAGUUGAGAGUUAAACCGACAUUUCUACAACAAAUAUAUGAAGCUCAGGAAAAUGAUGAGAAGCUACAGACUAAACGGGUACAAUGUGAGUCAAGUAAUGAUUCAGAAUUUCAAAUUGGGAUUGAUGGUUGUUUAUUAUUCAGAGGUUGAGUAUGUGUACCGAAGAAUUCAGAGCUUGUACAGAAGAUUUUACACGAGGCACACAAUGGUAUUAUGUCCGUACAUCCGGGAGGUAAUAAAAUGUAUAAUGAUUUGAAGAAGAUGUACUGGUGGCCAGGUAUGAAACGUGAUAUUUCUGAGUUUGUAUCAAGAUGUCUGAUAUGUCAACAGGUCAAAGCUGAACAUCAGGUACCUUCGGGGUUACUUCAGCCAAUCACUAUAUCAGAAUGGAAGUGGGAAAGAAUUACUAUGGAUUUUGUGUCCGGAUUACCAUUGUCUCCGAAGAAGAAAGAUAUCAUUUGGGUAAUCGUUGAUCGAUUAACAAAAUCAGCACAUUUUAUCCCGGUACGUAUGGAUUAUUCUUUAGAUAAAUUGGCUGAACUGUAUAUAUCUGAAAUUAUCAGGCUACAUGGAGUGCCAAUCUCCAUUAUAUCAGAUAGAGAUCCCUGAUUUACAUCUCGUUUCUGGGACAAAUUGCAAGAAGCCUUGGGUACUCAAUUGCAUUUCAGCACUGCAUUUCAUCCUCAAACAGAUGGCCAAUUGAGCGUGUAAUUCAGGUACUGGAAGAUAUGCUCCGAUGUUGUAUAUUAGAGUUUGAAGGUAAUUGGGAGAAGUAUAUACCUUUGAUUGAAUUUUCUUAUAAUAAUAGUUAUCAGUCCAGUAUUAAAAUUGCUCCGUAUGAAGCUUUGUAUGGUAGAAAAUGUAGAACACUGUUAUAUUGGACAGAGCUCAGUGAAAAGAAAAUCCACGGGGUUGAUUUGAUUCGGGAAACCGAAGAAAAAGUAAAGGUGAUUCGAGAUAGUCUAAAAGCAGCUUCCAAUCGUCAGAAAUCAUAUGCUGAUCUUAAACGAAAAGAGAUUGAAUUUCAGGUGGGUGAUAAGGUAUUCUUAAAAGUUUCUCCUUGGAAGAAAGUUCUCAGGUUCGGUCGAAAGGGUAAAUGGAGUCCAAGAUUCAUCGGGCCAUAUGAAAUCAUAGAAAGAAUUGGACCAGUCGCUUAUCGAUUGGCGUUACCACCGGAACUCGAUAGAAUUCAUAAUGUUUUCCAUGUGUCUAUGCUACGACGGUAUCGAUCAGAUCCUUUACAUGUUAUUUCUCCGACAGAAGUGGAGAUUCAACCGGAUAUGACUUACAACAAAGAACCGGUCAAGAUAUUGGCACGGGAAACAAAGGAGCUCAGAAAUAAAAAGAUAAAUUUGGUGAAAGUAUUAUGGCAAAAACACGGGAUUGAGGAAACGACAUGGAAACUGGAGGAGGCAAUGAGGAAACAAUACCUGAACCUCUUUACUGGUAAGAUUUUCGAGGACGAAAAUCCUUAAAGGGGGAGAGAGUUGUAAUGACCCAAAUUCAAAGUUAUCGGAAUAGUGGUUUCGUAACCACAAAUCCGAUUUAAAGAGAAAUUUAUUUUAAUGUUUUUGCAUGAAUAUUGAUAUGAUAGGAAAAAAAAUCGUAUGAAAAUAUCGAUAGAAAAAUUUUACCGAUUUAGUGGUUAGUUAAAAAAAAUUAUUGAAGAAAUUGAGUAAAAAUAAGAUAUCGAGACUUCGAUAUCGUAAAACCGAGUCAAAAAUAUUUUUAAAAAUAUUUAUGAAGUGUUAGUAAUAUGGUAUUAAAAUUUCGCUAGAAAAUUUUAAUGUUUGGGUAGUAAAUUAAGUGAAAAGGACUAAAUUGAAAAAUGUGUAAAAGUUACUAGAAGGAUUAAAUAGCUUAAUUGUUAAAUGAGGAGGGACAUAAAUUGUAAAUAACCCCAAAAUGAGAUAUUUUGGCGGCAUAAGCUGAGAAAAAUCAGGAGAAUUGAAGAAUUAAGGGUAAAAUUGGAAUAUUACAAAUUUUACUUUAAAAGUUGGGACUUAAGUGGAAUAUCUAGAAUUCUCUUCAUAUUUUCUGCACUCUCAUCAGCCAAAAACGUCCUAAGGGUUUCUUCAAGCUGGUUUUUCAUAAUUUUUGCACCAAGUGAGUUAAUUCUUGCCUUUUUCUUGUAAUUUUUGUGUUUCUAAGGCUUUUACAACUAGGUCCUAUUGCUAAAUUCAUUAGUUUUUGAUUUUAUGAAUGAUAUUGAAAGUUGAUAUGAAUAUGUGCUGGAAUUUUAUGAUGAAAUAGCAUGAAAUUGAAGCUUUAAAUUGUCUAUAAGAUGAUUUUAUUAGGCAAUUUUUAAUAGAAAUUGAUUUAUAGGACCUAAUUGUGAAAAGUUUGAAAUUAAAGUCUAGUGCUAAAAUUCUGAUUUCCAAAGUUUAUAAGGUAGUUUAAAUUGAUGGAAUAAUGUGUUAAUUGAGAAAAAUCAGCUCAAUUGAGAGGUUAAUUGAGCAAGGAUGAAAUUAUCAUUUAUUGGAAGUUUAGGGAAAAAUGGUAAUUAACCUCAUGCACUAAAACAGUUUGGACAGAAGCAGUAGUUUAACUUUGAAAAAUCACCAAAAAUUGUAGAAGUCGAAUUAGAGGAUGAAUAAAAUAUUAAAUUAAAGCUUAUCGAGUCUAGUUUCUCAUAGAAGAAACGGUUUAAUCAAUGAAAUUGUAAAUCAUGAGAUAUAAUAGAUUUUGUAGGACAAGGUCAGAAUGAAUUCGGGUUCCCCUGUUCUGACUUUGUAAAAUCAUUAAAAAUUGUAAAAAAAUGAUUAUGAGUUAUAAUUUAUAUGGUUAGAAGAAUUAAUGAGUCUAUUUUCAGAAGAAAUAAAGUAAAACAUCAUCCGAAUUCUGUACAAAGAGAUAAUUAAUUUUUAGUGAAGAGGGGUCGGAACUGUCAAAUAGUGAAACAGGGGAAACUUUAAAGAAUAAACUGUACUUAUUGGCUGAACCAAAAAUUCUAAAAAUUUUAUGGUAAGAAGAUAUGUGAGUCUAGUUUCAGGAAAAAUUAACAUAUCUUAAUUUGGAGUUUUUUAGCUCAAGAUAUAAAUAAUUUAGUGACAGUGACUCAGUGAGGCAGCUUUGAAUGCACUAUAAAUAAUAAGGAAAUUAUAGAGAAUGUUACACAUGAACAUGAAAUGUAUUAGAUUAAUGAUUAAAUUUAUUUAUUUAGAUCCAGAAAGUUCAAAUACGAAGCUAGAUCAAGGAAAAUAAAAAGUUCCGGAUUAGUAGAUUUUUGUUUACGAACAAUUAUCGAGGUAAGUUCGUGUAACUUGAAUUAUAUUCAUAAAUGCUUGAAAUGUUUGUUAUUGAUGUGAAUAUGAUUUGGAUGUUUAUUGUAUGAUAACUGAUGAAGUAUUGAUAUUCUGGAUGAAAAGAGGAAAUAAAUCCUUGUUGAAUGAAAGGAAAAUUCGAUGGAUAUCUGAAAAAGGAAUUGACGGUAAAAAGGAUCUAGCACGGACGGGUGAUCCUAUCCUGAUAUAGCCCUCCCGAAGAAUAUGUGGAAAAUGGAUUUAGCCCGGACGGGUAAUCCGAAUUAGGGUCUGAAUUUAGCCUGGACUGGUAAUUCAGAUCCAAGCUCAUUAGAGUAAUUAUCGUUGCAGGGGAUUUAGCCUGGACUGGUAAUCCCGACAAUACUCUAUGAGUUUAUAUUAUAGGGGAUUUAGCCUGGACUGGUAAUCCCACUGUAAGGAUGAGGUUCGCGGGAGUGUGCUCUCUGAAAUGGAAAUGUGCACACAUGAAUAUGAAUUGACGGACCCGGAUUUGUACACUUAGGUGUACCCCUGAAUAUCCAUCGAAAUUCCAAGUAGUUCAACAGGAUAAAUAUGGAAAAAUAACAAGGAAAUGGAAAUCAUGGAAUUGAUGAGCUCAUCAAUCAUUUAUCUUUGUAAUGAAUUUGUAUGAUGUUGAGUUUGUAUGUGAUAGGUAUAUGUUUAUGUGAAUUGGAUGUGUGCUUGUGUUAUUAAAUGAUGGAUGUAUAAGUAUGGUAAGUAUAAUUCCUGUUGCAUGAACUUACUAAGCACAAAGUGCUUACCCUGUUUCUUUUUCCCCUAUUUUGUAGUGUUAAGAGCUCAGAGGUCGGAUUUGGUCGGAGACGCAUCACACUAUCAACCUUAAGAUCUCGGUAUAUAAAGAAACUUUAUUUUGGAAAUCAAUGGCAUGUAUAAGCUAGUAAAGUAUAUGUUAAUGUGAAAUGAAUGUAUAGUUAGCCAUUGGUAUGGCUAACAAAUUUUAAUUUUGGUAAGUGAUGAGAUUAUCUUAUGAAUACGAUAAAUCUAUCUUGAAAAUAUAUUGAAAUGAAUUGGUUGUGUUGGAUUGGUCUCGGUUUUAAAAAAAAUUCGGUAAAAUCUGGUAAUGCCUCAUACUCUAUUUCGGCGACGAAUACGGGUAGGGGGAUUACACAAGGUCAGAAUGAAUUCGGGUUCCCCUGUUCUAACUUUGGAAAAUCAUUACAAAUUGUAAAAAAAUGAUUGAGUUAUAAUUUAUAUGGUUAGAAUAUGAGUCUAUUUUCAUAAGAAACAAACGGAAACAUCAUCCGAAUUCUGUACAAUGAGAUAAUUAAUUUUUAGUGAAGAGAGGUGGGAACUGUCAAACAAUGAAAUAGGGGAAAAUUUAAAGAAUAAACUGUACUUGUUGGAUAAACUAAAAAUUCUGAAAAUUUUAUGUUAAGAAGACAUGUGAGCCUAGUUUUAGGGAAAAUUAACGGAUCUUAAUUUGGAGUUUCGUAGCUCAAGAUAUAAAUAAUUUAGUGACUGUGACUCAGUGAGACAGCUUUGAAUGCACUAUAAAUAAUAAUGGAAUUAUAGAGAAUGUUACAUAUGAACAUGAAAUGUAUUAGAUUAAUGAUUAAAUUUAUUUAUUUAGAUCCAGAAAAUUCAAAUACGAAGCUAGAUCGAGGAAAAGAAAAAUUUCGGGAUUAGUAGAUUUUUGUUUACGAACAAGUGUUGAGGUAAGUUCGUGUAACUUGAAUUAUAUUCUUAAAUGCUUGAAAUAUAUUUUCUUGAUGUGAAUAUGAUUUGGAUGUUUAUUGUAUGAUAAUUUAUGAAGUAUUGAUAUUCUUGAUGAAAAGAGGAAAUAAAUCCCGGUUGAAUGAAAGGAAAAUUCGAUGGAUCUCUGAAAAGGAAUUGACAGUAAAAAGGAUCUAGCCCGGACGAUCCUAUUCUGAUAUAGCCCUCCCGAAGAAUAUGUGGAAAAUGGAUUUAACCCAGACGGGUAAUCCGAAUUAAGGUCUGAAUUUAGCCUGGACUGGUAAUUCAGAUCCAAGCUCAUUAGAGUAAUUGUCGUUUCAGGGGAUUUAGCCUGGACUGGUAAUCCCGACAAUACUCUAUGAGUUUAUAUUACACGGGAUUUAGCCUGGACUGGUAAUCUCGCUGUAAGGAUGAGGUUCGCUGGAGUGUGCUCUCUGAAAUGGAAAUGUGCUCACAUGAAUAUGAAUUGACGGACCCGGAUUUGUACACUAAAGUGUACCUCUGAAAAGCCAUCGAAAUUCCGAGAAAUUCAACGGGAUAAAUAUGGAAAAAUAACAAGGGAAUGGAAAUCAUGAUAUUGAUGAGCUCAUCAAUCAUGGUAUAAAUUAUUGACGCAUGAAAAUUAUUUGAUUAAUUUGAAUGUUGAGUUUGUGCAUGAUAGGGGAAUAAUGUGUUGAAUGGAUGUAUGAAUGUUUAUUGCAUUGUAUUGAAAAUAUUAGGUAAGUAUAAUUCUUGUUACAUGAGUUUACUAAGCACAAAGUGCUUACCCUGUUUCCUUUUCCCCUGUUUUGUAGUGUUAAGAGCUCAGAGGUCGGAUUUGGUCGGAGACGCAUCACACUAUCAACCUCAAGAUCUCGGUAUAUAAAGAAACUUUAUUUUGGAAAUCAAUGGCAUGUAUAAGCUAGUAAAGUAGAUGUUAAUGUGAAAUGAAUGUAUGGUUAGCCAUUGGUAUGGCUAACAAAUUUGGUUUUGGUAUGUGAUGAGAUUAUCUUAUGAAUACGAUAAAUCUAUCUUGAAAAUAAAUUGAAAUGGAUUGGUUGUGUUGGAUUGGUCCCGGUUUAAAAUUUGCAGGGAGGAUUAGAUUUUUAUAAAGGGGUUAUAUUGAGUUUUUAAAAAAUAUAUAUAUUUAUUCGGUAAAAUCUGGUAAUGCGUCAUACUCUAUUUCGGUGACGAAUACGGGUAAGGGGUAUUACAUUUCUAAUUCAACGUUUAUCGAUUAUAAUCGGGCAUAUGACCAAUUUAUACACAAGUCAUUAAUAUAUUUUCCUCCUCCUCCUCUCCAUUCCACAUCCUUAAUGUAUAUAACACGCUUAUAAGUAACAUUAUCUAUAAUUUCACUAUUUACUUAAAUGUAUAUUCAAAGUUGUCCAUCCGUGUCAUAGUCACUAAAUUAUUUUUAUCUUGAGCUACAGAACUCCAAACUAAGAUCCGCUAAAUUCCUCUGAAACUAGACUCACAUAUCUUCUUACCAUAAAAUUUUUAGAAUUUAUGGUUUAGCCAAUAAGUACAGUUUAUUCUUUAAAGUCAUCCCUGUUCUGCUAUCUGACAGUUUCAACCCUUCUUCACUAAAAAUUAAUUAUCUCCUCGUAUGGGAUUCGGAUGAUGUUCCCGUUUGUUUUUAUUGAAAAUAGACUUAUUAAGAAUUUAAACAUAUAAAUUUAAGCCCCUAAUUAUUUUCUCCAAAUUUUGAUGAUUUUCCAAAGUCAGAACAGGGGAACCCAAAAUCAUUCUGACAUUGUCUCACAAAAUUUAUUAUAUCUCAUAAUUUACAAUUCCAUUGCUUACACCGUUUCUUCUAUGAUAAACUAGACUCAAUAAGAUUUAAUUUCAUAUUUAUUCAUCUUAUAAUUCGAUUCCCAUAAUUUUUGGUGAUUUUUCAAAGUUAGACUACUGCUACUGCCCAAAACUGUUUCAGUGCAAAAUGUUGUUUACCAUUUUAACCCUAAACUUUUAAUAUAUGAUGAUUUCAUCCUUAGGCUCGAAAAAUGAAAUUCUUACAAUUUAAUCCUUGUUUCAAGACUAAUCAUUCUUAUACAUAUCAAUAACAACCCAUGAAUUCCAUGAAAUUUUAGAAUUUUUCCAUAAAUUCAGUAAUUUUCAAUUUUUAUCCCUGAAACAUGUUUUCAUCCAAAAUUCUCUAAUAAAACACCUUUAGACAUCCAUUAACAUCUCAAUUUCAUCAUCAAAUAGCAAAAAUUAUAUGAAAUUAUCAAUGGUAUCUUCUGAAACCUUCAACAAAAUCAAAAACUAAUAGAAUACUAAGUUGGACCUAGUUGUAAAAGUCCAAAAAUAUAAAAAUUUCAAGGAAAAAGCAAGAAUUAAACUUACUUGAAGCUAAAAUAUGAAACACCAGCUCUAAACUCUCUCCCAUGUCUAUUUUUCACUGAAAAUUAAAGAAGAAACGGUCUUGAAAUCCUUAAAAUAAAUUUUGGCCACAUAAACUUUAUUAUAAUUCCAAUUUUGUCCUUAAAUACAUAAAAAUCUUUGAUUUUUUUAACAGUAUGCCGCCUCAGCCACUUAAAUUGGUCCAUUUACUCUUUUAGUCCUUCCUUAUUUAAUUGUUAAGCUAUUUAACCACUUUAGCAAGUUUUGCAUCUUUUCAAUUUAGUCAUUUUUAAUUAACUGACUGCCAAAACGUUAAAAUUUUUUGACGAAACUUUAACACUAUCAUAUUGACACUCCGUAAAUAUUAUAAAUAUUUACGGCAUGGUUUAUAACAUCGAGUUCUCGAUACCUCUUUUCCUCAAUUUCUUGACUUAAUAAAUCUUUAUAAAACACAAAUUACUAAUUUAAAAAUCUCUUAAAAAUCAUAUUUGGCUCGUAAUUAUUAAAUAAUAAAAUUUAUGAGUUUAUUUUCUGAAUUUGGUGGCCUCGAACUACUGUUUUCGACAUUUCUAAAAAUCGGGCUAUUACAUAGCACAUGGCGUGUGGUCUGACUGUAUGUCCCCUGCAUCUUAAAAUUUAGAAACAGAAUGCCUAGGUUUUUGCACACAGCCUAGCACACGGGCGUGUGGCUUAGCCGUGUGACCCCUGCACCUUACACAUGGCCUAGCACACGGUGUGUGGCAUGGUCGUGUGACCCAAGUUAGAGAGUUACACGGGUAUGGGCAUGGGCUGAGACAUAGUCGUGUGCCUCACAUCGAAUGCCCACACGGCCUAAGACACAGGCGUGUCUCUAGCUCACACGGCCUGGCCACACGGGUGUGUAUCCCCUGCACCUAAGGAAAAUUUUGAAAUUUUGAGAAAAAUUCUUCGAGUUUUCGGUUUAGUCCCAAUAUACUUUUAAUGUGUAUUUUGAGCCUUGAGGACUUAUAUAAGGGACAAUAUGAGUGUUUUAUGAUUGGUUCAUGAUAUGUAUAUUAACUGUUAUGAAAUGUCUGCAUUUAAUCUGUAAAGUCUGGUAAUGCUCCAUAACCCUAUUCUGGCGACGAAUAAGGGUUAGCUGUGUUACACAGAGGCAUACCAUAGUGGUCGAUUUUCUAGAUGUCUCCCUCUCUUUCUUAUCCAUCCUCUCUCUAGUUAAAUGAUACAUGCAUGGAUGAGGUGAAAUUUAUUAAAGUAAAUUCAGUCAACCUGUCAAUUUUCAAGCUCAAAAGAUCAUUCAACUUGCAAUGAAUUUUGGAUAGGAUUCGGACAUUUAUGGGUUGAGAUGUCUACAUAGCACACGGGCGUGCGGGGCCAUUUCAAAAAGGUACACGGCCUGGCACACGGGCAUGUGGCUUGGCCGUGUGACCCAAGUCAGAGAGUUACACGGGCACAGACACGAGCUGGGACACAGCCGUGUGUCCCUACUUCGAAUGCCCACAUGGCCAAACACACGGGCUUGUGACUUGGCCGUGUGACAUGGCCAUAUGAACCCUGCAGUUAAAAUUUUUCUAACUUUUUCUUAAAAUUUCCAAAUGUUCCCGAUUUAGCCUCAAACCAUUUCUAAAGUAUUUUUAAACUUUCAAAGACUUUAAUAAAGGACUCUAUGCAUGUUAAUAAUGAAUCAUUAUAUUAUUUUUGAAAUGUCUGAAAUGAAUGAUUAGAUUACGAUUACUUGGUAAUACUCUGAAACCCUAUUCUGACGACGGAUAUGGGUUAGGGGUGUUACAUGACCAUUUUAGAUAGUUUUUCUUUCUGCUUAAUAUUCAUGUUCUUCUCUCUAGCCUCAACAUUUUCUUUUUCAUUAAGAUCAAAAUAAAAUCUAGUUUAAUUAAUAGAUGAUUCUACAUUCUGACAAGUCUUACAGCUUUGCACGUUAUGAAGGAAGAGUAUUGCAGGAAGACCAUGCAUAGGGGUUGCAUGUAGUUGAAAUGUUAGUAAAAUGUCUGUAAUGAGGAUUCUAGUGAAAAUCUUAUGAUUUUUUAAGUAGUUCCUGCUAUUAUGUUAGGAAAGACAAUCGAAAUAGAAACUCUAGGUCAAAGUAAAGGUAGGUCUUCAGUGAGCCUCUGAACCUGACUUUUGCUUGUCAUUUUAUGUUGAUUAUGCUAUGGUGUUUACCCUUAAACACCUAGAGAAGUAUUUUGAGUGUCAAGGGAUUAAUUGAGAGGAGAUCUGGUUGGCAAAUUGGUACAGGAGAAAGGGUGAACAUCUAGAAUGACUCGUGUAUUCCUGAACUUAGGAAUGAGAGAAUUAUACACCAGAAUAUUGAUGUUAGAUUUUUUACUGUUGCACGUUUGAUCAAUUCAGAUUCUUGUACUUGGAAUGAAGGAAGAGUUAGAUCCCUCUUUGAUGCUGAUCAAGCUGAGGAAGUUCGUACAAUUCCACUUUCCUAGACGAAGCCUUCGGAUACGAUUGUGCAAUUGUCUGAGCGGAUAGAGGAAUACUCCAUUAAGAGCAGUUACAAAUUGCUCAUAGAAGAAGAGCUACAGAAUAGAGAUUAUUACUCUAUGGAUAUGCCUAAACAAUUGCAAUAUUUUUUUUACAAAGAUGUGGGCGUUAUAAAUCCCAGCAAAAGUAAAAAUUUCUAUGCGGAAAUUCAUUAAUAAUUUUCUUCCUACUUUUGGGAAUCUUAUCAAGUGCAAGUUUCAAAUUGCUAAUGUGUGCCCUUUGUGCAACGAAGCUGAAGAAACAGUUGAUCACCUGUUGCAGUAUUAUUUUGUCUCUAAGAAAAUGUUGAAUUACCUGAAGGUUGCGGUGCUCCUUGUCUUACAAUACUCGGAUUACAGAAUGUGGUUAGUAAAGACUUCCAUAAAUGCAGAUAUCAGAUCUAAAAAGAUGAUGGUAAUUUCUUAUAGGGCUAUCUGGUACACACGAAACAAACUGAUUCACAAGGGUUUUAGAAUACAUUAAAGGAGUUGACAGGCUUUAUUAUGGGAUACUUGCUAGAAAUUGAGGCUAUUGAUCAGGAGCUAAGGCCAUCUACGUUCCUACGUAAAUAGGAAAUAAGGGUGCCACUAGAUCCGAGCUACAUAAAGAUAAAUUUUGAUGCAUCUUUUAAUGCUAUGUCAAAAACCUCUACUUCUGGGAUUCUAGCAACAGAUGCAUUUGGACAGAUUAUGGGAGCGUUUCUUGCCCACAUCAAGAUGUUGCUAAUACGUUUGUAGCAUAAGCAAGAAUAUGUGAGCAGGAUGUCAUUUUUAUGCAUGAACUAGGGUUUCGUCUGGUCCAGGUUGAACGGAAUUCACUUUCAAAGAUUAAGAAAUUAAACCCCUACACAGUGGAGUGCUAAGUCCGAUUAUUCAAGACAUUAAGGUAAAUAUUGGUUUUUUUUUAGCGAAUUAAUUUUCGUUUUGCUAGAAAGGAGGCAAACGCAAUGGCACAUGUUUUAACUAGUGAAGGACACCAGUUUCAGAGCCACGGUGUUGGAUGGAGGAAGCACCAGUAACAGUGGACCGGAUGGUGAUCGUAGAUUAGCACAGAUGGUUGUCUCAUACAUAACUGGGGCAACGUUUAGCUUUGGUGUUUGGAGAUUAUGCUAUAUGUACUCCAAAGAUGUUACCAAAGUGACUUUUCUCUCUGAAAUUAGUUAAUGGAUUUAGAUGCAAUAGGGUUGAUGAAAGAUUUUCAGGGAGGUCUUCAAUUGGCUUCAUCGGUCGUUUGGUAUGCAAGGGAAGAGGGUAAUGGGUUUUUAGCUUUCCUUGUUUACUUUUUGGUAUUUAGUUAUUUCUUUUAUUUUUCUUUGGUUUUCUCUAAAGUUUUUUUGUUGUUUUUGUUAGUGGGACGGUUUAAGUCCCUUGACUUUGUCUUCCCUAGGUAUUAAUGGAUGUAGUUGUUAUUAUUUAAAAAAGAAAAGAACACAAAAUUAUAUAUAUUUAAAUUUUGGACACAUUUAAUAAUAUAUGUGUUAUAUUUAUGUUUACACAACUAACAUUAAAGAUGUUAUAAAAAAACUAAACAUUAAAAAAUUUAUAAGAUAAAUAUACAUUUUGUCAAAUCAAGUUAUGAUUACUUUUAACUCAAGUUAACAAAAAAGUUUGCAACAUCUUUAGGUGGGUCGUGGAGGAAGUUCCAAUGAUUGAAGGCUCCCUUGCAACAUUUCUAUUACUCUAGUCAUUGACGGUCGAUCUAAUGAAUUGGUUUGAAUACACCAAAGACUCACUGCAAUCAAUUUUCUUGUUAUUUCUUCUUCCUCUUCUGUUAUUUCUUCAUUAAGAUUCAAGUUCAUAGGCUGAUCAAGAUGCUUAUAAAUCCAUGAAGGAAAAUAUAUUUCACUAGUUUGAGACACUUCAACAUCAAUAUUUUUUCUCCCUCCAACCAUUUCAAGGACCAUCAUUCCAUAACUAUAGAUAUCAGAUUUAUGAGAAACUCCUCCCAAAUUUCGAAAAAACACUUCUGGAGCAAUGUAUCCAGCAGUUCCUCUAGCACCUGUCAUUGAUACAACACUCUUCUUUCUUUCACAUAAUUUAGAUAAGCCAAAGUCAGAGAUCUUGGGACAAAAGUUCUCAUCUAAAAGGACAUUAUGAGGCUUUAUGUCAAAGUGCAAGAUCCUUGUAUUGCAACCUUGAUGCAAGUACUCCAGUCCUCUAGCAAUUCCAAGGGCAAUGUCAUACAAAGUUUUCCAUUCCAAUUGACGACUUUGAUUAUCCGUUCCUUGACUAUAAAUGAACUUAUCCAACGACCCUUUUGGCAUGAAUUCAUAAAUCAAAGCUCUCUUCGAUCUUUCAAAGCAAAAAGUCACUAUAUUAACAUGAGAAGUUCUGCUAAUACUAGCUACUUCAUUCAUAAAAUCCUCUCCAUUGCUCUUCGUUUCAUUUAGGGAUUUAACUGCCACAAGACGACCAUCAGGCAAUUUUCCUUUAUAUACACUUCCAAAACCUCCUUGACCUAAUUUAUCAUUAAAUUGAUUUGUCAUUUUCUUUAUUUCUCCAUAAGAGUAUCGCUUUGGAGAAAAGGAACCAAACUUUAUGAUGAAUGCCUCAAUCCUAGCAUUGUCAUUCAUCUUUAUUUGGUGGAGAUAAUUUGAUAAUAAUUUCCUUUUGAACCUCGGGACAAAGCAGCAAACGGCAAAAAUCAGUAGAAUUCCAACAAUAGCUGAUCCUGUUUAUGAAUUAUGAAUCAUUAAUCGAUUUUUGUUAACUCAUAAAGAAAGAUGAUAUAUAUAAUAUUUAAUUAAGUAAAAAUAUUGGUUAAACAAAAAUCUUAAAAGAAAGCAUAUAACUUCUGUUAGAAAGUAUCGCUGUCAAUUUAAAAGAAAAGCAUUAUAAGUUAGACAAAGUAUAUAUAUUUCUUCAAAACUAAUUAAAAUUAUACACUUUAAUUAUCGUAAAUCUUAAUUAAUAAAAUAUUACUUUGGAUGGGACAUGCUGAUUUUGAUUCCAACUUUAAAAAUUAAUUAUAGUAGCAAUAAAACCACAUAUUAUUACCCAAUAAACCUCAACCUAUAAGACAUUAUAGUAGUAGUUAUUAUCUACCAAAUUGUGUGUGUUUUGUGUGCGUAGUAGAUAUAUAGUUAAUGAACAAAAGAAGAAGAAGAUAUAUAGUUAAUUCAAACCACAUUAUUAUCCCAAAAAUUGUUUCGUACCUAUUAAUAUUGAAUAUGUCAACUUCAAAUUGGACCCACCUACAGGAAACAAUAUACCACGUAAAGCAACACAUUUGUUAUUGCACAAUUUUAAUGAUUACGAUUAAGUUUUUAUCAAUAGUAAUAAUUUAUACUAUUAUAAAGCUGGUAUUAUUGGGUUAAUUAAAAACCCUAUUACAAAUUAAAUAAUAGCAAUUUAUCAGGUUAUAUUAGUGGCUAGCAGUAGUAAUAAUUGAAAAUUUUGUCAGGUUGUAGAAGUGGAAAAGUACAUACCUGGGCGUGGGCUAUAUGUUGGGGCCAAUACUGGGCCUGGGAGGGGAGCUAAGCCGAGACAUUGUUUGAGCUCUGGCGAGUUGUAAAAUCCAGAGGGACAGUGGCAGAUUGUUCGAUUGUUGCUGUCGGAACCGCAGGUUCCACCGGAAGCAUUGCACUUGUGGCAACCUGUUUUAUUCUCCACUCUUUUCGCUGCACUUCCAUUAGUCCUGUUUUCAAUGUUUGUUCCAAAACCAAAAGCAAGCAAGGAUCAUUGAGAAAAUGUUUCCGGAUUCCAUCCUCCGUUGGAAUAAAACUUUAUAUUGAAAUUGGUAUGCAUUUAUUACCUGGUGGAAGGGGAUGGGCAGAAAGUGAUGUCAUAAUCAGCAGCAAAACAACUGAAGGUACUGUUUGCAUCAUCUUGGGGGUAGCUAUAAGCAUUAGGACACCGACUCUUGAAGAAUUGUUCGUAAGAAGUGGGCUUGCACGUAUUUGUAGUAUCACAGCAAUAUUGGGGGGGCCCAAAAGCAGUGCAGGCACUCUUACAUGCAACUGUCUCACUCCCAUUGACAACCUUAAGCUCCGAAGGACAGUCACCAUUCAAAUCCGCAACACAUCCAGUUGAGUUACAGUCAUCUCCAGUUCCACCAUGUGGGGAUAUCAUCAAUGGUAGAUUGAAUCCAUCAACAAGGCUAACAUCAUAGAAAUCGGAUCCCACAGAACUAUUGAAAUAAAACUCUGCAAGGGUGGCCUGGAUGGAACUAUUACCAGAACACUCUGGUCUAGAUGUGCCGCAGUCCCCGGUGAGGCAAGAGAAAUUGCCAGAAGAGUCAGUACCACAAUGAGUUCGACCCGAUAUCCGACCUGACCAAGAUGGUGGAACAGAAAUAGAUGUUGAUUCGCCUGGUUGAAGAAUGAAACCUGAAGGGGAAAUUUGUGUAGAUUGAGGAUAAGACACUACCGCUGGCCAAACUGUAUAGUUGCAAUUGUUUACAAUAGUAAACGUUGAUGAAUAAGCACCUGUAAAACCGGAAAAUGGAUUUAAAUCAACACCAAAAAAGAAGAAGCAACAAUCAACCUUUCUUUGUUAGUCUUGAAUAUUUAAAUAAUCAUUAAUACUUAAGCCUAUAUAACUGGAUCAAAGAGGUGGAUUGAAGCCGGAAAGAAUGGUUGGGAUGAUUGGCAACGGUUGACAUGGGGAAUAUGGAAAACAGAGAAAUUUCAAGUCAGAAACCAUAAUGCAGGCCAGAACUUUCACAAUAACUUACUGCAGCGGCUGAUGGCAUGGAAAAGCGGUAUCUGAACAGUGACAAGACAAGCAAAGGAUCCAAGCAAGCAGAAUUUCAAACAGGACCUUAGAGAGGCUUUUGUAACAGAUUGAAAUAGGAUAUAAUCAUUUGUGUUGCAAUAAACACCCAAAAUCAAGAGGAAGUUAUUAAACUUGCAGCUCAGGCAAUCAAGUGUUGUACGUUACGAGUAAAAAUAAAAUAAAAUCAGAUUGGGGAGGGGAGGGGAGGGGAGGGGAGGGGAAGCAAAAAGUCCAAUGAGAAGUACAUUCAUACAUACCUGAGACAUUAGUGCUUUGUGAGACGGUAAGUCCGAGCACGACGAGUAAUAUGGAAAACAAAGGUAGAUGUGAUGAUGAAUUCAUCUUCAGAGAACAAGGGAAAUGAUGAUUGAUGUGUAUAUUCGAUAAAAAGGAUUAGAUUGCCUCAGCUCAGCUCUAGGAAAUUAGGGGAGUGGUCGAAACAAUGACUUAGAAGACUUGGACUUUUGUUUUGUGGUUAGGUUUGACUAAAUCCAACGCUCACUGCGGCGAAAUUGGAUACUACAGCUACUCUACAGCGGCGUCUUUAAAAGUAUGUUCAAAUCCCACUAAAUGGAAACUAUGAACUCUCUAAUUUUGUGAAAAGUGUCGCUUUAUAUGACUGCCAUUUGUGCAUGAUUAAUUAAAUAUUGGUGCACCAUUCUAUUAUCUUCCUUAUGUUUGAGUUAAUUAAAUAUUUUAUUAUUAUUUUCAUUCCGUAACUAAUUUUAAGCCAACUAUUUAACUUUUUGUUACUUAUUAUAACUUAAUUGUUAUUCACCUCUCUUAAUUUAUAAAUUUCUAUAAUUAAAUCCUCUAUUAAUAGUUUAUUAUUUAUGUUUUGAUCCCUAUUAAUUUUCAAAUGUUAUAGCUUAAUAUGAUUAAUACCCUUAAAUCUAAAUUGAUUAUUUAAGGUAGCCUUCGGUGCGAUUGAAAAUGGUCACUUUCUUGAGAAUUUAAUCAGGUAAAAAGUGAUUCCAACAUUUAAUAUGUCCAAUUUUAUUUACUUUUCUUGAAAUUUUAUUUUCCCUUGUGAGUUAUUUUCUUAUAAAUAUGGAAAUGUGAUUCCCAUGAUAAAAUAUGGGAAAGUUACUACUUGAUUUUCUCUUACUUCAAUGGAGUUUUUGCAAAUGUUAUAUAUACAUUUUUUUUUAUUCCAAAACAAGUUUUAUAUAGACAUGAUUUUAUAUGCACAUUAUUAUAUUUUAAAAAAAUAUAUGAAGGAGAAAUUUGAAACAAUUUUGCUUUCAACUAACAUUAUAAAUUAAAAAUAUUUAAAAAUAUCAAUUACAAAUUAUUAUUAAAUAUAUAAUCCUAAUAUUUGUUAAAAAUAAAAUUUACUAAAAACUUUAAAUACAUGACUAUUAUAUUUUCUUUAAUAAUGGUAAAUACAAAAAGAAGAGGAGGGGAGAGAGAUGAGGCUUUGACAAAAUUGGUAUCAUUUGUUACUUUGAGGCCAUGAAUCCCUCAGUAAAUGGAAUAACAACCAUUUGGGUAAGGGCAGAUUUCCUUUCCUGUUUUGGUAGGAAAAACUAAGGACAUGUUUCUUAAAUAGCUUUUAGGGUUUAAACAGAAGAGCAAUGAGAAGUUGAUUUUGCGGGUAAAGUUGAAAGGUGGUUGCAAUUUCUGUUUAGAUUGAGAGUGGAGAACGGCAGAUUGUGAGCGAAAAUGGAGAUGGAAAGGCAGAGGUUAGUUUGGAAAUAAGAAAAAAGAAUUUAUACAGAACAGAAAAGCCAAAAGAGAAUAAUUACACAAUAAAUGGUUUGGUAAAUACUCUAAAAAUUUUUUUUUUGAGUGAAGUUGGCCUUCAUUAAAUAAAGAGGAACUAAUGCGUUCCAUCAAACCAUAUCAAAUCAUAAUAAAGAAACAAAUAACCCUAAUCAGUAAAGAAACCCCUUCCCCCUAACUAUAAGUAACAAAUGAAGCUAGAAUCUGAACAAUCUUCUUGUAGACACGACCCCAGCGAGGACCUGCAUGAAAAAUCAGAGAAGAAACGCAGGAAAAUCUUGCCUGGGGAACCUUUUGGAGUGAAAGAUACUGUGAUCUCCAAAAUCCAAAGCCAAAACCAUUGAAAACUACCCCCCGGAGCUUCGUGACGUCCAUUACUGUCAAUCCAGAGUCGUUGAGCGCUUUACCUCUAAAGGAGCUUCCUCAAUCCAAUAUUGUGGUGCUGGAAGGCGACACCCACUUCUUGCAAGAACAUGAGCUGUUGUAUUCGCCGAUCUGCCAACAAACCCGAAUGUAACACUAUCAAAACCUCUAACCUUCCCCUUAAUGUCUUGAAUAAUCAGACUAGUACUGAUCUGUCUGAAUCUAUGUUGUUUAAUUUUUUCAUGACUGUGAGUGAAUCUCCUUCCACAUGUAUCGAUCUAAACCCAAGCUCUUGAGCAAAGGUCAUUGUUUGUUCGCAUACAUGUGCUUCAGCUAUGAAAGCGUCUGCAACGCCAAAAUGCGGGUAAGUGCAAGCUGCCAGAAUUUCCCCAUUUUCAUUUCUAUCUAAAACACCCAAAAUAGGAAUAUUGGUAUUAGUAUUGAAAGAAGCAUCAUAGUUUAGCUUUAUGUUGUUUGUGUCUGGAGGAACCCAAAUCUCUUAUUUAGGAACGAAUGAGGAAGGUCUCAACCCCUCAAGGGCUUCUAUUUCUAUGAGAUAACCCUUAAUAAAUACCACUAGUUCCGGUAUAUUUGGCUUAAUACCAUCAUGAACCAACCUAUUCCAAGAAUGCCAGAUUACCCAGUAAGCAAUUACAAGAACCUCCUUUUCCUUAUCAGCCAGCUGAUUAAAACCCAUUGCUAACCACUGCUUAUAAUUUGAAUAUUGUGACAAAGGUAACAUCCUUGUUUUCAAAGAGGCUAGUGUUUGUUUUGAGACAAUACACGACCUCAAAAGGUGGUCCACAGAUUUUUCAGUUUCUUUACAUAGAGGGCAUAAUCUAUCAACAUGCAUCAUACGUUUAGAUAAAUUCUCGAAUGUAGGUAGAAAGUUAUGUGUAAGUCUUUAGAAUGUAAUUUUGAUUUACCUUGGAAGAUGUAAAGCCCAUAGUUUUGUAAAUAGCAUUGUAAUUAGAUUAGGUAAAUCCGUAGACUGGGAAGUCUUAAUUAGCAUGUAAUUCUUGGUCAAGCAACAACUUGUAACCACUAUUUGGAGAAUACUCACCCGACCCUUCAUAUCGCCAGACCAACAUAUCUAGACAGUCUGCUUGUGCUAGUGGAAUCAUCAGCACCUUCUCAGCUUGUUUGUACAAGUAUCAAAAUUAAUUAGUUGUGAGACAGUAUUUUGACACUGUAUUUUCCUAUUCCCUGGCCCAGGAAUCCAAGCAUCAUUCCAGAUGUUUACACUAUUACCCGUGCCAAUUCUCCAGCCAAUUCCCAUUUCAAUUAGGCCCCUUGCACUUAAAAUACUCCUCUAGGUAAAAGAAGCAUAAGAUCCUAACCUUGCCGACAUGAAAUUUGAUUAAGGAAAAUAUCUAACUUUUAAAACUUUUGCCAAUAAACAAUCACCAUGCGUAAUAAUAUGCCAACACUGCUUGGCCAAUAAUGCUAUGCUGAACUUGGAUAAAUCACAAAAACCCAACCCUUCUUUCGCUUUCAAUAAACAAAGUGGGUGCCAUGCAGACCAAUGUAUACCUCGAAGCGUAUUAUUAUUCCACCAUUAUUAAAAAUGUUAUCCAACUGGGUAUAAAGUGUCUUUGGAAAAAGAAAACAUUGCAUAGCAUAGACUGGUAGAACUUGCAAUACGGAUUUUAUGAAAACCUCUUUCCCACCUAUGGAUAGAAAUCUCAUACCCCAACCUUUCACCUUCUUACUAAAGCAAUCCAAAUAAUGCGCAAACGCUUGCUUUUUACUUCUACCAGCCAUGACUAACAAUCCCAAAUACUUCUUGGGGUUUUUCAAAAUCCGAAAGCCCAACAGCCUCCCCACAACAUUUUAGACAUUCAAAUCCACAUUAGCUCUAAAAUAAAGAAGAGACUUUUCAUAGUUGACCUUUUGUCUCGAAGCUUUUUCAUAUUUAGAAAUGAUUUGUUUUAUAUUUUGAGCUCCUUCCCUUAAAGCCUCACCAAAUAAAACACAGUCAUCCACAAAGAAGAGGUGAUUUAUUGCUAGUCUCUCCCUUCUUAUACACGCCUCAUUUAUUCGCCCUACUGCUUUUGCUUCAUUAAGAAUAGUCGAGAACCCCUCAACAAACAAUAAAAACAAGUAUGGACUAAGGGAUCACCUUAAUGCAAACCCCUCGAAAGGAAAAAAAAGAUUCACUAAUGCUGCCAUUAACCCCGACCAUAUAGGAAACAAAGGACACACAUCAUAAUUAGCCUCACCCAAUUUUCGUGAAAACCCAAGUGUACCAUUAUCCCUAUUAGAAAGUCCCAUUCAACUCUAUCGUACGUUUUGCUCAUAUCGAGCUUAAGCGCAAAAUUUCCUAGUUUACCCAAUCUCUUCACUUUGAGUCAGUGCAAUAUUUCAUAUACAACAAGGACAUUAUUUGAAAUUUGCUUGUUAGGAAUAAACUCUCAUUGAGCUUCAUCAACACACUCUCCCAACAGACCACUUAUUAUAUUCACUAUUACCUUGGUAAUGAUCUUAUACAACACAUUGCAUAAACUAAUAGGCCUAAGUUGUGUCUAGGGGAGAGCAUUCAAUCGAAUCGAAUCAAAAAUUUUUGAGUUAAUCGAGUUUUCGAAUCUCAUUUUAUCAUCCUAACUUUAUUUGAAGUUUUCUCAAAUCGAGUCAAGUGAGAUAGAAUUCGAAUCAAAUCAAAUCGAAUAUAUUUGUUCGAGUUAAAUUUUAAAAAAUAAUUUUGGGUCCUUGUAACCACUAUCACCCAUUGUAAUAAAAUUUGUCCACCUUAAUCAAUUUUUUUAUUAAAUUUCACCACCUCAUAAUUUAUUUAUUAAUUUUUUAUAUAUUGGUUAGCUUCUUUGCUUACUUAGUUGUUUCAAUUAUCUUCAGAUUCUUGUCACUAUGUAUUUUGGAAUUAAAAAAUAUAUAAAUGCAAAAAUAUGGUUUUUUAAUAAAAGUUAUUUUAAAAAUAAAAUGUGAAAUUGAUACCAAUAUAAAAUUUUAACACGAAUAUUUUAUGGCAUAAUUAAUAAUUCAAUUUUAAUAUAAAUAUUCAAUAUGACUACACACUUCAAUAAUAUAAAUAAUAUAAAAUGUGAAAUUUAAUUUAAUAAUAUAAAUAGUAGAUAUAAAUAAAAUUAUUACUAUUUAUGUUUAGUGAUUUUUUUUGGAUAAUUUUGAUUUUUUAUUUGAUAGUAAAGGUGAGAAGUAAAAGUUUAGGGGGGAAAUAAAAAGUUUUGGGGAAUAAAAGUUUGAGGAAAAGUAAAUAGGAGGGAGUAAAAUUUUGGAGGGAAAAUAUUAAAAAAAAAAUUGGAGGGGGAGGGUUUUGGGUAGAUGGGAGGUGGGAUGAGAAGGGAAUAAAAAUUUUAGGGGAAAAGUGGGAGGGAGUAAAAUUUUUGGGGGAAAAUAAAAGGUUUUGAGGGUUUUGAGAGUAAAAUUUUGAGAAAAAAUGAAUAGGAGAGUAAAGUUUUGGUGGGAAAUGAAUGUUGGGUAGAUUGUGGGGUUGGGAGGGGAGUAAAAAUUUUUGGAGGAAAGUGGGAAGGAGUAAAAGUUUUGAGGGAAAAGUAAAAAGGUUUGGGAGUUUGGGGUAAAAAUGUAAAAUAUUAUAGUUUGAUAUUCAAAUUACUCGAAUUAUUCGAGUUAUUCGAAUUCGAAAACUCAACUCGAUUCGAACUCGAAAUUUGAAAAAAAAUUCGAGUUGAUUCGAAUAACUCGAUUCGUUUAACUCAAAAUUUGAAUUUUUUUUGUUUUUUUCGAGUGAGUCGAGUCGAGUUUUGCUCACCCCUAGCUGUGUCAUAUUGCAAGGAUUAUUUACCUUCAAAAUCAAAACAAUAUGAGUCCUAUUGAGUUCGUUGAUAGUAAUCUCCCCACGAAGAAACUCAAAGUAAUAGUUCGUAACAUCAUUACUUAUGACAUGCCAAUAUUUUUGAUAAAAUAAAGUAGGGUACUUAUUAAUACCUGAUGUUUUAAGAGGCGACAUAGAUUUGACCGCAACCCAUACUUCUUCAGGUAGAAAAGGUUGCAGCAAAUCCACAUUCAUCUUUGGCGUCACCUUUCUCUAGACGUUAGCAUAAAUCCUAGAAGUAUCCUCUUCAUCCGAGGCCGUGAAAAGUUCUAUGAAAUACUUAGAGGCAAUCUUCAGAACCUCUUCCUCGUCAGUUACCCCUUCCCUUUUAAUGCCAACAAUCCCGUUUCGCUUCCCUCGACCACAAACUACCUUAUAAAGAAAGUGGUAUUCCUGUCCCUAGUCGAAAGUCAGUUAACUCAGGCUCUCUGUUCCCAAAAUAGUUCUUCCUUAUCAUCCUCCAAAUUUAGCCUAAUUUGGAUAUUCGUUAAUUCGGCAAGGAUAUCAUCAUCAAGCUUAUUAGUGUAAAGCUCAUUCAUCCUAAGUUCUAGCCUUUGUUUAUUGGCCACUCUGCUUCUUUUAACCUAAUGACUCCAAUUUCGCAAUGUUUUCCCCAAACCAUUUAAUUUAAUCAGUAAAGCAUCCGUAGAAAAUGACCAAAAAUUGUAAAUUUCUUUCUCACACGAAUCCUUCAAACACCAAUUUGCAUCAAAACGAAAUUGACCCUGACCUCUUCGUGGCCCACUUUGUCAACUGAUUGUGUUUAUCACAAUUGGAUAGUGAUCAGAUAAUGAGUGCGUCCAAUGCGUCAUAGAGUAAUCCAAAAAUAAACUCCACUGAGCCAGAUUUCCCACACAUCUAUCAAGUCUUUCUCGAAUAUUGGUUGUCGCAAAUCUACCCUUCUCCCAUAUGAACCCGCGCUUUAUGAACCCUAUAUCACUCGAAUAACAAUCUUGUAACAUAAUUCUGAAAGCCUCUAUAUUUCUUUCUAGACGUAAUCUACCACCUCCCUUUUCAAAAGAGUAAUCUAUCUUAUUAAAAUCACUAGCUACUAAUGACAGGAUAGACUGAUCUUGACCCAACUACGAAUUAGAUUCUACGAAAUACUUUUUAAUCGUUCUUCAGGAUUACCAUAAAAACCCGUGAAGCACCAUACCACCCUUUCCCGAUCAUCAUGAAUAUCAACAUCAAUAUGAUAUUGAGAAUAACUAUGUAGAUUAACCACACAAUUCUGUCUCUAUCCCAAUAACAAUCCUCCUUUAGUACUCACUGCUCCCACAUUAAUACCAUUCGUGUAACCAAAUUUCCUCUUAACAAUCUCUAUAUUUCAUGUACUGAUUUUUAUUUCCAUUAGAAAUAAAAUAUGGGGACAUAUUUCUCUCAGCUUAUUCUUGAGACGACAUACUGUCUGUGGCCUCCCUAAACCAUGAACGUUUUACCUUACGAUUUUCAUUGCAUCCGGUUGCUCUGCAUAGUAGAACUAGUCGGUCGAAUAUAACCAUAUUCUGAUACACCACCAUUGCCUUUAAUUUUACCGGUGGGAACCUGCCCCACCACUCUGUCAUUUAUUCCCUUUAACGUAUUGGAUAAGAUAUUUUUCCCUAUUUGAACCCAGCUCAAUAAGCCAAAGAUUAGUAGGUCUACCCCCUUUCAUGUCAGUAUCCAAGUGAGAUACACCUGCCCUAUCCCGAACCGGUUGGCAUAUGGUAGACCCCACUAAUUGUAGAUUAUGAUUGGGAUACAAAUUGGUAGCAUUAUCCCCCAAAAUUAUGCCUUAAUUGACUCAUUUCCUUAUCCACCCUUUGACUCAUGAAACUAUCUGGUUCCCGUAACCUUUGACUCACUGCCGAUGAGCCUCUUUUCAUUGGUUCUUGCAAAGAGAUAUCCCAUCCAAAUUGGAUUUUUUUUCGGAUCUAUUCGCACCCUCAAUGGGCGAAAUCUCUCCCUAUGCCCAAGCAUACCACAAAGAAAACAAAACAAAUUAAGUCUUUCAUAUUGAAACGAGCAUAAACUGUUCGACUAACGCCUAAUUAAAUCUUCUUACGCUUUAAUGGAAGGCAAACAUCCAACCAGACCUUAAUUUGCAUAAAUCUUUUUGCAGCCGACAAAGAAAUCUUUGUAUCAUAUUCAAGAAAACUACCUAGAAACACUUAGAACUAUCGUACCAUAGCCUUUGACAUUAGACCCUAAGGUAGAUCAUGAAAUUGCAUCUAAAACUCAACGAAAAAUAAUGGCAACAUGAUAGAGUCCUCCUCUGGUUGGAUCAUAUGCAGCAAAAACAAAUGAUUGUUAAAGAACUAUAGUGUUCCUUCCAAAACGCGUUGCAUAUCCAUUUCAUAAAAAAAUGAAAUAAAACUCGCUUUUCUCCUAGAUCUUUAAUAAAAACUCCACCAAUAAGGUGCCAUAAAUCAACCAAAGUAUUCCUUAGCGAAGGGAAAUGCACCACGCUAUCUACUAGGCAACACCCUACUAAACAGAACUUGAACUUCUCCUCUACCUCACUCUCCUCCCCUGAAACACUUCUUCCUCCUCAUCAACAAGCCUCAAAUUCGUUAACUCGUCUUCUAUAGCCCUCACCUAAAACCCUAAAGAAAUUAUGUUAAAAGACAGACUAAAAUCGGCGUAUUGGUAUAGAUUAAGCCAAUAUUUUAUAUUUGAGCUCCUCCAGAUCUAAUGGUAUAGAUUGAAUUACAUCAACGGUUAAAAUUAGUGCCUAUCUACAAUAUGAGAGUUCUAAGGGAUUUAAACUCUAUACAUCAUUAUUCCUUAAGAUUUACAAUAAUUACCUUGGCAACUUUAGUUUUAAUAGAGUGUUUCAUUAGGCCACCAAGGCUCCAAGUAGAUGAGUUUCUCCAUAUGUUCCAUGAAUCGAGCCAAUUGAAGUGGGUCAAAUGAGCCCCAUUUAAAUAGUUGACCUUCAUGGGACGCUUUAUGUGCAUUUGUCACAGGUUUUGAUCUGUAGCCUAUGACAUUCUCCCUAACUCAUUCUCGCAAUGCCCUCGUCGCGUCCUUGGAAUGACACUAGUUUGGCUCAUCUUAGAACUACCUCAAUGCCUCAGUUGAUGCCCAACUAGUCUCUCUAUCAGGUAGUUCCACUCUUCGAAACAUUUGCCUUGGUUUAUGUCUCCGCUGUCACCUAACUCGAAUUGUAUUUCUCUCUUGUACAUUUCAUUUGCAAGAGUCUACCGCUCUUACUUGUCCCCAUCAUGACUUGCCUCGAUCGGAUAGUAGGAGAGAAGUUAUGAAUAUAGUGGAUAUAUAUAAUGGUAGUUUACUAGAAGUUACACUUAUGUAACUCAUUUUAGCAAAGGGAAUGUUACAUACAAACUUAAAUGCAAGUGCACGGUUUGGUCAAUGAGAAGAGGGAAAGACAAAAAAACAGUUGCAUUCUAAUGAAAGGUUAAUAAGUAAAAUUAUUAAUAAUAUUCUUAUAUGAGAUUCUAAGCUAUGCUCUCUAAGACAUUCUAGUUAUGGGGCAAACCAAAGAAUCCUGCUAAUCUUUUCAAUAUAAAGUGAUCCUACAAUAAACAAUAUUUUCAGAUACUACUAUUAAUAGAAACAUUAAUAACAAAAAAUGAGUUUCCAUAUUUUACCUCUUGUAUGAGAGUUUUUAUUUUAUGUUUUUUAUGAAAAUGAAUUCUCAUGCAUAAAAAAAAAAUAUGGUGAGAAUGAUAUCGAAAAAAUUCAUCGAAUGGAAAAGAAAAACUAAAAGAAUAUCAAAGAUUACUAAUAAAUGCAACAUUUAAAAACAAUAAGCUAUUCAUCUAACCUACGUUACUUGGGCUCGAGUGUCUAUAUCGAUAGGGGCGAAGCUAGAAAUUUUUUUUAGGGAGGGUCGAAAUGAAAUUUUAAUUUUUAAUGGUCUAUAUCUUUAUAAUUUUUAAAGGAUUAAAUUAAAUUUUCAUAAUUUUAAGGGGGCAAAAUGUAAUUUUAUAUUUACUAAUUUAAAAUUUUCUAAAUGACCAAAACAAUAAUUUUCUAUUUUAGGGGAGACCGUGGUCCCUACCUACCCUUUGGGUUCGCCGAGAUAGAUAUGUUCAAAAUUUAUAAAUUUGUUUCCAUAUAUUGAAGAUUCUUGAAGAGUAUCUUAGAUAUGUGUCCAACACUAAAAGGAAGCUCUAUUAAAACUUAAACAACAAUGCUAAUUAAACUUUUAAUGAAACAUAUAAAAUUGACAAAUUUUAAAACAUGGCAGUCAUUACAAACAAACCCCAAGAUUUCACUGCCCACCGUCUUAUGUUACUUAUAUUUGGGUUUAAGUGUGAUAGACAAAUAUGUCUAUUAAAAAUUUUCUAAAUAAUUUAUUGUAUUUGGAGAAUUUUUAAAGAUUAUAUUUCGAUAUAUAUGUAUUUGAUAGUUGAUACUAGACCUAUCCAUGGCCGCCCGGCCCGACGGCCCCCCCCGAAAUAUGGGAGGGUUCGAGUAAAAAUAUAGGCCCGAAAUAUGGGCUUAAAAAACGAGGUCCGUUUAAAAAACGGGCUGGGCCUCGGGCACCACUUUUUUGGCCUGGGCCCGGCUCGGCCCGAAUAUAAUAAAUAUAUAUUUUUUAUUUUUAUUUUUUAAUUUUAAAAUACUUUUAAAAUAAAUUUUUUUUAUUUUUUUAUUUUUAAAACAAAUUUUUAAUAUUUAUUUUAAAAAUUGGCCGGGCCAGGCCGGGCUCGGGCUUAUGAUAUUUUUCUCAGGUCGGGCCUGGGCAAAAUUUCAGGCUCAUAUUUCGAGUCGGGCUGGGCCCGGGCCUAAGAGGCGGGCCAAAAAAUUUUUGGGCCUGGCCCGAACUCGGCCCGGCCCAUGGACAGUUCUAGUUGAUACUAGUGUAAAAUAUGAAUAUUAAACGGAAGCGUGAAACACGAGACUAUAAAAAGGAAUAUAACUGGACUGUCAAUAUUCGUUAUUGAUAUAAGAUCGAGAUAAACAUGGUCAAAGGGUUUGUUUCCUUAAAUAGCACUAAGUUGUAGCAAUCUUAAAUAAUGCAAUAAUGUGGCCAGGUUUUGACUCUCUCCGCUGCUAAUAUUCAUUAUCAAAUUUCCUGGAAUUUUACUAUCCAAAAAACCAAUCAUGCUGGGAGUAAUUACACUUCACAGUUAUUGCGUCUAUAAUCAUAAAUGCAAUUUAAAUCAUUCUUUAUUCAUGAGUUUAAAGAUUUGAUCAAAAUAAAAUACAUUUUAUGAUUAUUCGUUUUUUUUAAGAACACUCAUGAUAAGAGAAUUAUUUAUUGUUACAAGUAAUAUAAAGAAAAAAGUGCAAUUUUAAAUCCAUGAAAAAUGAGUGUUAAAAGAUGAUAAAAAGAUACAGAUACUUCAAUAAUAAGUGAGACCAACAGAAUUGAAAUUGGGUUGAAGCAAUGGCUGAUGUCUUCAUCUUCCUCCUGCAUUUUGGUACGGUCAAGUGUUAGUGUGGGGUACGUUACAUUUGAUGAGAACGCUUUGGAUAUGAUAAUAAAGGGAAUCUCCAACAUUAAUAAUAAAAAUGAUACACAGAAGAAAAGCAAGUUGUUUUGGGUUGAAACAUUGAAACCAGACCUCUGACGCCUGGCCCAAUAAGUCCGACCUUUUCGGACCAUGUUUUUGACUGAAAUCUCCGGUUGAAGUUUAAAACCGUCCAUUAAAUUUAGAGUAGAGUAGGGUUUAAUGGUGAGUUUGGAUGGGUGGUGGGGUGCGGUGUGGUAUGUUUAGUUUAUUUUUUGCCUCACGUUAUAAUAUCGUUAUUGUAUUUAAUCUCACCGCCACCUAUACUUUCUAUACUAACUGCAAGUAAACGCACCGUCUAUCUAAACUCACCCUAAGUCGUAUAUGAAAACGAAAAUCCUUUUUAACAUUGUUUUAUAAGACUCAAAUGGAGUUUUAUUACUUCAAACAAACCAAAUAUUAGUUGAAGGUUAGUUCAUUUUUUUAAUCUUCAACCGUUUGGUAUUUAGAAGUCAUAACAAUCUAAUUAAAUUUAAAGUUAAUUUAGGUCUUUAUCUUUAAAAUUCAAGAAUAAUGUAAAUUAUAAAUAUAAUAGUCAUAAAUAUUUUUCAAAUCGAAUUUGACAUUUUUAUAAAUUUCAGAUAUAUAUUUUAUUUAGUCUAAAUCAUGAAAAACAUAUUAUUUAUUUGAAUUUAUUAAAAUAAAAGUGAUCCAUGCAAAGCUUCCAUCAUUCUAGUGAAGUGACUAAAGAUCCAAAGAGAUACAUACACACAUGCCAUGUGCAUAUCAUUUGUCAAAGUCGCCGUCAGGCGACCCUUCCUAUACCCACGCUCACGCCCACGCCCACGCGCCUUCUUGCUUUUUCCUACCUCCUUUUAAUGGAUAAAAUCCCAUUUAGCUGUCAUUUCCCAUCUCUCAAAACAUUUAAAGAAACUUCGCUUCGUUACGGCAGCUCCCGUCUCAACGCGCCUCCCUUACCAUUCCACGCGCCACCUAUCUUCGUUUUCAUUUUCCUUCUCUUUCAUUUUCCUUCUAUCUUAAAUGAAAUGAGAAAGAUCUGAAGGAGAUUGGAAGUUGGUGAUUGAGAUUUGAGGUUUCUGAGGAGAGUGACUUAUUUUGGUAAUUUUAAUGAAGGAUGAACAACGUCUGGUGCUAAGAAGAAGAUGGGAGGAGUAACGUCUUCGAUUGCCGCGAAAUUUGCGUUCUUCCCGCCAAAUCCGCCGUCAUACAGAGUGCUAGAGGACGAGUUAUGCGCUGGUCAGCUUUACAUACCAGAGGUACCGAGGAGGGACGGUGUCGACGUCUUGAAGCUACGCACGCGCCGCGGGAACGACAUCGUCGCCGUCCAUAUAAAACACCCCAAGGCUUCCGCUACUCUCUUGUAUUCUCAUGGAAAUGCCGCUGAUUUAGGACAAAUGUUUGAGCUUUUCGUCGAGUUGUGUAAUCGCCUGCGGGUUAAUCUUAUGGGGUAUUUUUAUUUUCUUUCAUAAUUUUUGCAACAUAUAGAACAUGAUAUUUUAAGUCGGCUUCUUAGGCUUUUACUGUUUUAAUUGUAUUAGAUUUCUUUUAGCUUAGUAAAGUAGUUCGUUUGGGGUUUGGUCUGAUUUGCUUGUGAUUUUGGGGGAUUUAGGGUUCUAUAAGUGUUGGAAAAUUCUGGUGAAGUGGAACUUGCUUGCCUUAUGUUCAGCUGUAUUAUUGAGGUUGAAGCUAGUUAUGGGAAGAACAGAGAUUCUGGUUACCAGUAAGUGAAAGUUAUGCUGAUUAUGGUAUAUUGUAAGAUUGAGCUAAUGGUUUUACUUUAAUUGGCUUCAUUUGUGCAGUACUAGAGAGAGAGAAUAAAAAAAAUAUAGGAGAAAGAGAGACUUGGACAAAGAGUUACUGGUGAAGGCGAUGUUGUUGAUUUAAAGUUUCUUAGGGGUGACCGGUUAUUUGUUAUCCUUUCCUUCUAUUGUUUCUUCAAUGUGCGGACUUUUGCAAUAUUAUUGAGCAUGGAUACUGCUCAAACGUGAUUUAAAUACUUUGGGAUAUUUUUUUUUUCUGUUUACUGAUCGUGGACUGAAGGCAAUGUUGAAGAAGAUGGUUUAUGGCAGGGUCAUAUUAGUUACGGUUACUUGCUUGUUAUUGAGGAGCUUUAUGUUAUUGGUUAUACAUUUUUGCAAAUAGUGCUUCGAUGCUAAUGCCAAAGCCCUAAGGACAUUGGCAUGCAGGCAAUGUUGUUAAAGAAAAAAGAAAAACUGUAGGCACAUGAUUAGAAUGUGCGAGAAGUGUGUAGUCCUUUAACUGGAUGUUCUGUUUCUAUAGAAUAUAGGCCACACCUUCAUAAUAGCCCUAUGUUACUAUUGAGGCAUUAUGACUAACUGAAGAGACAUUUUUCAAGUUUUGAAUAUUCUAGCUUUUAUUUUAUGCUUCAGAAUACUAUUAGGGACGCUUAAUUUUACUGUGUCCUAUUGUAGACUGUGGAACAAUGCAAUCUUGACUUCCUUUGAUUAUUAGGUUCUAUUAUGUUGCUGCAUUAUUUUCCUAUAAAUUCCCAUGUUUAUGAAUUAUCUGCUUCUGUUCCUUCCUUCUCUGCCAUUACCACAUCCAGAACUUUUAUUCUAUAUUUACCAUCAAUCCUUGAAGUUGAUGGGAUCUUCUCAUUGUUGCUUAUCUAUGUUCAUUUGGAAAAGCUAGAUAUUUAGUAACUCGGACUGCAGUAUGAGUAUGAUGAGCAUAGUGUUUGUCAUGCCAGUGGACAAAAAUGUAAAUGGAGGUAGGUUUGUUUGUGUAAUUAUGUGGUCACAUGUAAGUUUUUAUUACGACUUAAAGAUAUACUACAGAAGUUAUUGAUGACAUAUAACUGGGAUAAAGUGCUAAAAGAGAAGGAAACAUUAUCUUUUUAAGGUCAAAUUUAGGAUCCCAUGCAACUAGCUCAAGCCAUACUGUCUGUACAGUUGAUUGGUCAGGGUGCAAAAUUGGGAUCAAGUGAAAGAAAAGAGAAGGAAACAUUCUCCUUUUUAAGGUCAAAUUUCUUGUUUGUAUAGUUGAUUGGUCAGAGUAUUACUCCUUGCUGUUUGGGCGGACUGCAAAGUUGUAGCGACUAAAUUAUUAUCACCUAACCUCCAAAGUGAUGACUGAUAAUUAUUGAUAAUGUUAUUUCAGUUAUGUUAGAUUAUGUUAUGCAAAUGUAGGAACAAUGCAAAUAAUAAUAUUUCCUAGCUUUUCUUACUGACUUAAUAAUCAACCACUUCUGUAGGGAAUUUCUUUUAGGCCCUGUUUCUACUUCUAGAAAAUGAUUUAUAAGAAGUUUUUCAGCGGUAGUUUAGUGUUUUAGGGCUGUAAUUGCUGUACUGUCAAGUUGGAUCUUUGUAUGUUGCCUUAUGGUAACUAUUAACUCUUUCAAAUUUCUUGUGACUUAUGCUGAUAUGCGUUCUCUUGUUCUUGUAAAUAACAAAUGUUGGCAGCUUGGAAAUGAUUGUCUUCUGUCUGUUGUCAAACUUCUGAUGUUUGUUGUAGGUGCUCUCCAUAACUAUGUAAACAGCCAGGAAGGUUUUAAAAAAUAAAAAGCAAGCUUAAUGCUUCCUUGUAGAUGAAAUUUUUCCAAGAGAAAACUAGAAAAGUUUGCUUUCAAAGUAGGCACUGACUUUGAAUUAUCUAUUGAACUUAAAUAACUGAGCACAUUAUUCUCCUGUGGAGACUUUUGUAGAAGAAACUGAUCAAGGGAGUCUUCAAUCCUUAGAUGUAUAGCGCAUUGCAAAGUUUUGUGAAUUAUAAUGCAAAAAGGAACUUUUAGAUAUAUCUUAUCCUAUAAAUUAUUCUUGGGAUAGUUUUUAGACAUGACAUGAUUGUACAGAUAAUUAGAGUUCCUGAAAAGAAAAUGUUUUAUCAUCUUUGUGCUUGAUAGGUCUAUUUUAGUCUAGCCAUUUAUCAUAUAUAUAUAUACAUUUGUUUUCUGUUCCUAAUGUCACUCAUUCUUUUCUAGGUAUGAUUAUUCUGGCUAUGGACAAUCAAUUGGAAAGGUAGGUCUCUUUGCUUCUCUUCUCUAGUUGCCAAUUUCGGGAGCAAAAGUUGCCUUUAUUCAUAUUAGCUGUAGCAAUUCAACUAUCAUAAUGGGCAUUUUAAAUAAUUACACAGUUAUCUUUUGGCCAAUCCUUUCCUCCUUUUCUGCUAAUAGAACAGUGUUCAUUUUACUGCAAUAGUUUUGCUGAGUGUAAUAAGCCUGUUGGGCAGCUUUUCUUUAUUAUAUAAUAUCUAAAUGUAUUGGUUGAUAGAAAUGUUUUCAGGUUUCUAUUUUUAACCCUUAAUUUUGAUAUCUUACACACUAGUUAAAUUCUUGCUAGUACUGUGGGGCUCUCUCAUUAAUUGGCUAUGUUCAAUGUGUAUCAAGAUUUGAGCAGCCAUGUCGUUCUGAUUUAUUGUACAUAAUGAACGAACAUCUUACUGCUUGCUAAAAACUUGUAUUCUAAUAGUCACCUUCUUUUAUUUGAAACAGCCAACAGAGUGUAAUACAUAUGCAGACAUAGAUGCAGCUUAUAAGUGCCUUAAGGAAGAGUAUGGAGUUAAAGAUGAACAGUUAAUAUUGUAUGGUCAGUCAGUUGGUAGUGGACCUACUGUUGAUCUUGCUUCUCGUUUGCCGAACUUGAGAGGCGUUGUUCUUCAUAGCCCAAUUUUGUCUGGCAUGAGAGUAUUGUACCCUGUCAAAAGGACAUACUGGUUUGACAUUUAUAAGGUAAGUCUGCAUUUUUCACUGUUUUUAUAUUUUCUUGUUUUGUCUUGUUGACCUUCAUUACCAGAUUUUUUCCCAUUCUAAUUUUCAGAAUAUUGACAAAAUUGGAGCAGUGAACUGUCAGGUUUUGGUAAUUCAUGUAAGUAUUACUUCCAUUGUUUCCUCUCCAUCUUGUUUCAUCACCAUUAUCUCCCUUCUCUUUCUCUAGCCUCUGUUUAUUUGACACGUUAAUAUUUGUUAUAUGGUUCUGGUAAUUAAUUAUUUCAGCCGUUUUUGGCAUUUUUUAAACAAAAGAACCUAUUUGGUUUCAAGAAAAUUCAAUCUUGACAAAAGCAUCCCGGGUCAUUUAUCAAUCAAAAUACUUGCUCUAAAUGAAUAUUCAUACACCUUCAAGUGCUUUAGCUUAAUCAGUCUAGAUUGUUAUAUUGUUCUGGCUAUAAAUAGAUUACUGAGAUUCUGAUGCUAAAUUAAUGAACUUAACAGCAUUUUCUGCUAGUACCAAUUUCAUUUUAGAGUUUCUAAUGAAUUAAUUUAUCUUUUAGCACUUCGUAUUGUGCCAUGCAUUUAGGUUUCAAGAAUUUAAGACUAUGAAGAAAGAGAGUGAAUGUGUGUGUGUGACUGGAGAGAAACAGAUAAAUUUGAGCCUUUUUGGGUCUUUGAACCCAGCACUAGAGCUGUUCGAUAUUGUUCUCGUUUUUCCUGUACAUUAUCAAUUUAGGGUGAGUAGUGACCAUGGUUAGCUUUGAGCCUUUGACAAGUUAGGUCAUCUACAUGUCAUGGUCCAGCAUACAGGUCGUGACAUCCAAGGAAAGCUUGUACGAGUUUCCUUUUUUUAUUUUUAAUUCAUUUUCUGUUGGCAGGGGACAGCUGAUGAAGUGGUUGAUUGUUCCCAUGGUAAACAGCUUUGGGAGCUUUGCAAGAAUAAGUACGACCCUUUAUGGGUAAACGGAGGAGGACAUUGCAAUCUGGAGCUCUACCCAGAAUUCAUUAGACAUUUGAAGAAAUUUGUACUGUCUCUACAUAAAUCAAAAGCAGCCACAAAUGGUUCUGAAAAAAUAGCGGUGAACUCUGACAAUCAGACAAAACCACCUGAUGGUGGAACUUCGGAUACUUUUAAACUGGAUGCUGACCUUCCAGAAGUUUCUAGAAACAGCUUAGAUAGUCGACUGGAGAAGUCUAAGAAGUCAAAUAAGCCUGAGAAGUCUCGAAUGAGCACAGACCGUGUUGAUAGGUUUAGACGAAAAAAGGGCUUAGUUUGGUGAUUACUUACACAAAGAACAUGUUAAAAAUAAAAAAAGCAUGCAGAUGUAUCGUGUUUGAGGUAAUUUACUUUCCUUUUUUAACCUUGAGCUUUUGUAAUGUUUUGAGAAUGAGUGUGUGAUGAUUCUCAUAAAAUGUUAUAAUUUUUCUGUAUGUAUCUUUCAGAUCAAACAAAGUGGAAUUCAAGUUUUAAAAAAUCUUCCAUUAUCAAUCCAUAUCUGUGAAAUCAAACAGUCCGAAUCUAAAUGAAAAUAUACUGGUUUUGGGCUAUGUAUUCGUGUGCUUCUUUUUCGUAUUGGCAGAACUUUACUGUGUUGAAAUUUUAGACACCAACAUGAUGAUCGUUGUGUGUAUUUUAUAUUAUCUUCUUUUCAUAAUUUGGACAUGGUAUGAGGUAUCGGUGGUUAUCGGUUGCACUGGAGCUUAAAUAGUUAGUGAAACCUUUUAGGUGCAGUCGCAUUGCUAUGUUUAAUGUUUGUGCGUGAGAAUUAAAGUUUUUAGAAUUGGAUUAAUGGUUGAAUCGGUUAGGUUAUCAAUUUGAUUGGUCUGAUUAAUUCGUAUAGUCUAAUUAAAAAAUUGUUUAAAAAAUAAAAAAAUCGAUUCAAUUGAUUUGUAUUAAUUCACAGUUCAAUCAAUCUUAUGCAUCUCUUUAGAUUGAUUCUCAAUUUCUGGUCAAACCAAUUGAUCUGAUCUAACAACCAUGAUGAGAAUAGAAAAAUAUAUACUCAAAAGGAUAAGAUGAAAUCCAAAGAAACCUUGGUAAAAUUAAUGUUAUGACUAAAUAAUAAUAAAAUAAAAUAGCCAAUUGUUGAAGGAUAACUCCACCUAAAAAAGUUUGAAAUGUUUUGUCUCUCGGAAGUCGACGAAUCCCUCAACGAAUUGAUAUUGUCCUUGGUAUAGGUUUUGUUUCUCGAUUUUUCUUAGAGCUCAAGUUCCUCAAGAGACGGUGGUGGAUUCAUAGAGUGAUAGUGCCUUGUUAGGUGUUUGAUAAUGCGCUUUUUUAUUUUUUUGUUGAGGGGAGAUCGAUUUUGUCGAAAGCAGUUUGCAAAGUGUAAUCUACCUAGCCCAAGUGGUAGUUUUUUUACCCAAUACUUUCUAUAUGUUAAUGCAUGUGCUUAAAUCUCACUAAACACAAAUAUGUUCCUUGAUGGGUAAUCAUGCAAACACACAUAGUUCGCUUUCUCAAGCAUCCGAUGAAGUGCUUACACUUCGUAGGCUUUUCUCGAACGAGUCACUACUAAGUAAAAGUGUUUAUGAAUUAGGUCAAGCCCAAACUUGAUUUCAUAAAUUUUCAAAGUUCAAGCUUGUCUUGAUCCGCCCAAAUGGCCUAUUCAUUCAUAAAAGAAAAAAGAAAAAAGAAAAACAAUAAAACAACAUUUGGGAAUGAUAGAUCAUACUUGUUUGAAGUUUGAAGGUAUAACAAGAGAGAUGAUUAAUACGAACAUUAAAAAAAUAUCAUAAUCAACCACAAACUAGAAUUUUUACUUUCAAAAUGAUCAUUUCAUUUAAAGUGACAUAGCGCAUGAUUGAUUAUACUUGUUUACGAAUAAAUAAUAGAUAAUGUAAGCUCAAAGCAAUCAUAUUUUAAUAUUGUAUCUGGUUAAAAGUAAUUAUUAAACCACUAAUCAAAGAAAAAGAGAGUGUUGGACAUCAGAUAUGAUCGUCUAAGGGUGAGUUUGGAUGGAUGAUUGGAUGCGGUGUGGUGCGGUGAGUUUAGCUUACUUUUUGUCUCACGCUACAAUAUUGCUACAGUAUCUAAUCUCACCGUCACCGCUGUUUUUACACUAACCGCAGAUAAACGCACCGCCCAUCCAAACUCACCCUAAUUCUAAGAAGUCCAAGUGAGUUCAUUAGUAGUGGUUUUUGUCCAUCUCCAGGUCAAGAUUGGAUCCUAGAUUUUAAGGUGUUUACUCAACUUUGCCACUGUUACUCUGUUUUAUGACUGCCCAUUUUCCAUCUCAUCCAGUCUUGGACACUUCCCUUGCAAGUAAUAGAAAAUAAUAUCAAAUCCAGAGUGAUGUUCAGCAAUUGUGAAUGUUCCCAUUCUUAAAAAUUCCUUGGAAAGACAUACCAAUCACGCCUUUGAUUUGAAAAGAGCCUUGGAAACAGGAUUCGUGGUGCAAUGGAAGGAGGAUUCAAAUGCAUGUGGGAACUGCAUUGCUUCCGGUGGAGCCCGCGGUUUCAUGGAACAGCAAACAUUCUGCUACUGCCCAUUUGGAUUUGAGAGUUGGUCGGAAGAUCCCAACCAAUGCCAUCGCGUUGGUACCGGAAACAAUAAUCUCUCAGGUAUGCAUAUACUACCCCUUUGACCAACUAAACAAGUUUCUCUAUUAUUUUUAUGCUUUAAUAUUUAAUACGUGUAUAAGUAUUAUGUGCUAUCAUUGAACUACAUUAAAUCUCCUCACAAUAAGUAAAAUAAUAAAAUAUUUGAGGACUUAUAAAUAAAUAUUGAUAAAUUUAUUGAAUUAUAAUUUUUAUUUUCUUAGCUUCUUUCCAUUGGUAAAAUUUUUCCAAAUUGGGUUUUGUUUUUUUGUGUUAUUAUUAUUAUUUGUAAUUAUUUCAUUGAUUUUUGAUCACUAAAUAAUUAUUGAGAGAUCUAAAUUUGUCAAUAAUGUUAAUGAAGAUAAAAGGUAAAGAAUUGACUAUGGAGAUAUAUUGUUAUCGAGAUCUAAAUAUCCAUGAAAGUAUUCAUCACCUAUGGAAGUAUUGUUGUCAACAAUAUCUUUUUAUUACGUAAUUGUUAAAUUUGUUGAGUUGUUAGUUCUCUAUGAUGAGUUGUUAGUAGAGGUGCUCAUGGGCCAGGCCGGGUCGGGUUCGGGCUGGGCCCAUAAAAACUUACGGCCUGAGUCCUAGGUCCGGGCCCGGCUCGGCCCGAAAUAUGGGCCUGAAAUUUUGCCCAAGCCUGGCCCAUGAAAAAAACCAUAAGCCUGGGCCUGGCCCAUUUUUUUAAUAAAUACCAAAAAAUUAUUUUAAAAAUUAAAAAAAGUAUUUUAAAAAUAUUUUAAAAUUAAAAAAAAUUUUAAAAAAAAAGUAUUUUAAAAAUAUUUUAAAAUUAAAAAAAGUAUUUUAAAAAUAUUUUAAAAUUAAAAAAUAAAUAUAUUUAUUAUAUCGGGCCGGGCCGUGCCUGGGCCAAAAAAGUUGUGCCCGAGGCUCGGCCCGUUUUCUAAACGGGCCUCGUUUUUUUGCCCAAGCCCAUAUUUCGGGCCUAUAUUUUUACUGAAACCCUCCCAUAUUUUGGGCGGGCCAUCGGGCCGGGCCGGGCCACCCGGUCCAUGAGCACCUCUAGUUGUUAGUACUCCCCCUCUCUCCCUUACAGUAAUCAUUAAAUUUAUACUGUUAAAUUUCAAAAUACUUAAUGGAGCAAAAAAGAUUGUCAAAAUAAUUCUAAAUCAAGCCAAGAAAAAUCCUAUACCUCAGUUUAUAUAUACGAGACGGAGAAGAGAAAAAAAUCAACAAAAUAAUUCUAUUUGUUAGAUGAAUAAAAAUCAAUGAAAUGUUAUAAAACAAUCAAAUAAAAGAACACUUAAAGUAAACAUAGAAUUUUCUCAUAUCUUCUUUUCAUUUAUAAAAGAACUAUAUAUAAGCUAUUGGCAUUCAAUGCAACAUAAAUGAAUGAAGCUUAUUUAAUUGCUUCAUUAACACGUACAUUAAGCAUCUUUAAUAAUGAAUGGGGGGUUUAACUCAUUACUUUUAUAAAUGUUUAAAGGUUAUAGACAUCCAUUUAAUGUAUUUACAAUACUUCCCCUUGGAUGUCUUUUAAAUAAAAAUGUGUCUCAUUAAAACAUUUAUUAGGAAAACCCUGUGGGGUAAAAGCCUAAUGAAGGAGAGUAUACAAUCUCCUAUUACAAGUUGCCUCGUUAAAAACCUUUACCAAGAAAAUCCAGUGAGACAAAAUCUUAGUUAAAGGAAAAGAGUACAAUGUGUUUUUUACUCUCCCUUAUUGCAAUAUCACAUUACAUCUUUCAGUUGACGCAUUCCAAUCUUGUGUAGUAUUCUUUCAAAUGUUGAAGUUGGCAAUGCCUUAGUAAAAAGAUCUGCUAAAUUAUCACUAGAACGAAGAUGUUGAACUUCUAUAUCACUUUUCUUCUCAAGAUUAUGAGUGAAGAAUAAUUUUGGUGAAAUAUGUUUCGUUCUGUCACCUUUGAUAUAACCACCCUUUAAUUGGGCUGUACAUGUUGUAUUAUCUUUGUAUAAGAUAGUUGACAUAUUUUCUUGUAAAGACAAAUUACAUAUCUUCUAGAUAUGUUAGGUUAAUAACCUUAGCCAAACACACUCUCGGCUUGCCUCAUGCAUUGCAAUUAUUUUAGCAUGAUUUGAAGAGGCUGUAGCUAAUGUCUACUUUGUCGAAUGCCAUGGUAUGGCAGUCCCUCUACAUGUAAAUAAAUAUCUCGUUUGAGAUCGACCUUUAUGCGGAUCCGAUAAAUAUCCAGCAUCAACAUAAACAACUAAUAGAGAUUUUUAAUCAUUUGAAUAAAACAACCCCAUAUCAAUGGCCUCUCUGAGAUAUCUAAAUACAUGUUUAAUUCCAUUCCAAUGUCUACGUGUUGGAGAAGAACUAAAUCUUGCUAAUAAGUUUACAGCAAAAGCUAUAUCAGGUCCUAUGUUGUUUGCAAGAUACAUCAAUGCUCCUUUGGCACUUAGAUAUGGUAUUUCAGGACCAAGAAACUCUUCAUCAUUCUCAUAAGGACGAAAUUGAUCUUUAUUCACUUCUAACGAUUGUACAACCAUCGCGGUACUCAAUAGAUGUGCUUUAUCCAUAUAAAAUUUCUUUAAGAUUUUUUUCGUAUAAGUUGACUGAUGGACAUGAAUUCCAUCUUUUAAAUGCUCGAUCUGCAGGCCAAGACAAAACUUUGUUUUUCUAAGAUCUUUCAUCUCAAAUUCUUUCUUUAAAUAAUUUACUGCAUUUUGAAGUUCUUCAGGAGUUCCAAUAAUAUUUAGAUCAUCAACAUAAAUAGUAAUUAUCACAAAGUUUGAUCCAUACAUUUUUAUAAAAACACAAGGGCAGGUUGAAUUGUUUUUAUAACCUUCUUUUAACAAAUAUUCACUAAGACGAUUGUACCACAUACAUCCAGAUUGUUUUAAUCCAUAUAAACUUUUCUUUAAUCUGAUUGAGCAAUUUUCCUAGGAAACUCUAUAUCCUUCAGGGAUUUUAAAUCCUUCUGGGAUUUUCAUAUAAAUUUCACUAUCAAGUGUACCAACAAAUAGGCCGUAACAACAUCCAUUAGAUGCAUGUCAAGUUUUUCACAUACUACUAGACUAAUAACGUAUCUAAAUGUAAUUGCAUCCACCACAGGAGAAUAUGUCUCUUCAUAAUUAAUGUCGGGCCUUUGCGAAAAUCCUUGUGCUACAAGUCGUGCUUUAUAUGUUACGAAUUCAUUUUCUCAUUUCGUUUUCGCACAAAUAUCCAUUUCCAUCCUAUUGGCUUUACAUAUUUAGGUGUUCGGACUAUAGGUCCAAAAACCUCAUGUUUAGAAAGUGAAUUUAAUUCUGCUUGAAUUGCGUCUUUCCAUUUUGGCUAAUAUUUUCUAUUUCUACAUUCCUUAAUAGAUUUAGGUUCAAGAUCCUCAUUUUCUUUUGCUAUUUCAAUAGCAAUAUUAUAAGCAAAAUUGUUGUCGACAACUACAUUUUUUCGGUUCUAUAUUUUUCCUGAAGUAAUAUAACUUAUUGAGAUUUCUUUGUUAUCACCAUUUUCAGGUACCUGAACCUCUUUUGGAGUUUUUUGAUUAGUUAUAUCUUUGGCCUCUUCUUGGGCACUUGCCUCCACAAUAUUACCAUAUUGAAUAAUUCCUCAUUUCUUUUUACGAGGAUUUUCAUCUUUGGAAUCGAUUGGCCUUCCACGCUUCACACAUGGAUUACUUUCUUUUGCACUAACAAUUUGCCCUAUUAGGAUAUCAAUUCGUAUUGGAGCAUUUUCAGCUGGUAUGUAAGAUUUUACAAUUCUCUUUAGGUUAGUAAAUGAAUCUGGCAGUUGAUUGGCAAUGUUUUGCAAAUGUAUGAUCCUUUAAACUUAAUGAUCACUAAACUAACUAUAAUUACGACAAAGACGAACACACCUAUCAAACAAUAGUAUAGCUAUGAGUAGGGAAUAUCGUAUCCACGAGGACUAAAAGUACUAGUAAUUACCAUUUUUCUAUUCUUCAUCCAAUAAAUUGAGAUGAUUGUUUUUAAUCUAAAAUUACUAAACUAAUUUAUCUAAGAACGCAAUAGAGAAUGAAAUAGGAAAAUAAUCGAAUAAUAGUCAAAGAGAUAGACAAUACCUAGGAAAAAAUCCACCUAGACUUCACAUAUUAUUAUGAAUCUAAAUUAAACAAUUUAUUCACUAGUGUCUUAAUCCGUAGAAAUCCCUAAAUUAUGUUAAUAUCUCUUUCGAGAGUAAGAACAACUGACUCUAGGUUGAUUAAUUCAAAUCUCUUUCUAAUUAAAACCAUUAUCGUCGCAUUAACUCGAUUUAUGGAUUCCCCUAUUAGAUUUGACUCUAAUCCGGUAGAUUUAUGUCGUCCUAUUUCUAAGAUUGCAUGCAACUCCACUCAAUUAUGCUAGAUCCACUAUUAAACAAUGACUUUUGCUUCACUGAAAUAGUCACAUUAAACAUGAAUUAAUAUCCCAAAAAUAUUAAAACAUGAAAUAAGCAUACAUAAUUGAGAACAAAAAUCAAGUAUUUAUCACGUAAAAAUAGAAAUUAAAUAAGAAGAUUCAUCAUAGGCUUCAUCCUCUCUAGAUAUCUAUGAAAUUUAGUUCAUAAUUCUGAAUAGAAAUAUCUCAAAGUUAGGAUAACCACAAGACUUAAAGAAACUCAAUAAAACUUUGAAAGAAAUUAAAUGGAGAUCUUCAAUCUUGAGUGAGAUCCGCUUCCGAGUUGAUUCUGAUGGCGUUCUUUGAGUCUUUUCUUCGAUCUUCUCUGAUUUCCCCAUUUUCUAUUCUUCUAAUUGGUAUUUAUAGUCUUUAGAAUGCUAAAAAAGCUUAAAAAUUGGGUUUUUCUACGUAUUUAAGAAGUAGAGUGCCAAAUCGACAUGAGCUGGCACAUGUGCAUGUGGCCAGCCCGUGUGAAAAUGCCCAGGCCAUGUGGAUCCUUAAAAUAGCUCUAUUUGUCUGAUUUUGGCUCAUUUUUUCUCUCAUUUCACUCCCAAAUGCUUUCCGAAGUAUAUAAAUAUGAAUUUAAAAUAUUAGGAGCAUCAAAUUCACUAAUUUGCAUAAUUAAUCAUCCAAAAAUGCAUUAAGAAUGAGAUUAAAAAAUGUUACUUUUAUAGCUUAUCAGAACUUCUUGUUCACAUUGACUUGUGCGAGGAUCUACUUGAGAUAACGAUGAUCAAUUCCAUGUAAUUUCUUUUACCAGUUGUAUUUUCUCUCCCCUUAAUGUUGGGAAUGUUGUUUCAUCAAAAUGACAAUCAAUAAAUCGUGCAGUAAAUAAAUCUUUAGUUAAUGGUUCAACAUAUUUAAUUAUAGAAGGAGAUUCAUAACCAACAUAUAUUCUUAACCUUCUUUGAGGACCCAUCUUUGUAUGCUGUGGUAGAGUAAUUGGAACAUAUAUUGCACAUCCAAAAAUUCUAAGAUGGGAAAUAUUUGGCUCUUGACCAAAAACGAAUUGUAAUGGGGAGUACUUAUUAUAACUUGUUGGCCUUAAUCGCACAAGUGCCACUGCAUGCAAAAUAGCAUAUCCUCAAGCUAUAAUAAGGAGUUUUAUUCUCAUAAGCAAUGGUCGAGCUAUUAGUUGGAGGUGUUUGAUAAAUGAUUUAGCUAAACUGUUUGGCGUGUGAACAUGAGCUACAGAAUGUUCAACUUUAUCCCAAUUGACGCAUAAUAAUCAUUAAAAGCUUGGGAUGUAAACUCACCAGCAUUAUCAAGACGAAUAGUUUUGAUUGCAUUAUCUGGAAAUUGUGCUCUUAAUCGAAUUAUUUGAGCAAGUAGUCUCGCAAAUACCAAGUUGCAAGUUGAUAAUAAACACACAUGUGACCACCUACUAGAUGCAUAUAUUAAUACCAUAAAAUAUAUAAGUGGUCCACAUGGUGGAUGAAUGGGCCCACAUAUAUCACCUUGAAUACGUUCUAGAAAUGCGGGAGAUUUAAUCCCAACUUUAGCUGGUGAUGGUCUAAUAAUCAAUUUUCCUUGAGAAUAAGCAACACAAGAUAGAUUCUUUAAUUCAAGAAUCUUUUGGUUUUUUGAUGGGUGCCCAAUUGAAUUCUCGAUGAUUCUUAGCAUCAUAAUAGAUCCGGGAUGACCUAAUUGGUCAUGCCAAAUAGUAAAAGAUGUGGUUCUACAAACUUCUGGCUUGUAGUAACAUGUGACUCAAUUGCACUAAUAUGUGUAUUGUCGAAACCUUUUUGGAAAUCAAAUUUUUAUUUUAAAACGAAGACGGAUUCACCACCAAUCCUUUUUAAUUAGGUGUGAUCGGAUCACCUUGAAACUUAAUCAUUUUAAUAAAAAAGUUAAAUUUACUAAAACAAUAAUUUUCGGUCUACAAAAUCCAAGAAGUGGGUUCGGGAGUCAGUUAUGUAUGAGAAAGGAUUAUCUCCCUCAUAACGCCCAAAAUUGGUACCUAGUUGAUUACUUGAUGUCUUAGCGUCGAAAAUUGAAAAUUUGAAGAGAAUUUAAAAUACGAUCCUCUGUUACAUGAUGUUAUUUGAUGGCAUUUAAAAUAUCACUAUCUAAAUUAAAUUUUAUGGAAAAGGCCUUCAUAUUUUGAGUUAAUUAGGAAGAAAAUCGUGCCUCAUAAGUUAGGGCACGAUGUUUCAAAUCCUAAAAAAUAAGAAUAAUCGCCAUUUAAUUAUUACCUAAGUCCUAUGUGCCUUGAAUUUUAAAAGAAUGUUCGAUUAUUUUGGUUCAAGGAGAAAGCCGUACCCCAUAAGUUAGGGUACGAUUUCUCGAAUCCCCUAAUUAAAGAACAUCAUCUCGGUUCUAAUUAUUUCUUAUGCGUCGGGUAAAAGCUAAUAUAACAUUUAAUGCAAUAUGUGAUUAAUUUAUUCGAGUCUAGGUACAAAAAUGAACGAGUAUUUAAACGUGUUGUAUAAUAUAGUAGUGGCAAAGAUAGAAUAAAAUAGCUUACGUGGGUAAAAAAUGAUAAUAAAAUCAUAAAAAAGUAGCAGUGGGAAUAAAUUUUAGUCGAUCAAUAAUACUACUUAAUAAUGGUAAUAAUAGUAAAAUAAUACGAGGAAGUAUGAUAAUGCUAUGAUCACGAUUGGGAUAAUAUUAGCAAUGACACAAUGUUAAAUAUAAAACAGUAAUUAGCAAUAAUAAUCAUUUAACAAUAAUAUCAACAUUUAAAAAUAAGAAAAAAACUAAAAUGAAAUGAUUAAGAAACUUGAGGAAUAAACCUUUAAAUUACGUAAUUUAAAGGGUAAAAAUAUAAAUAAGGAAAUUAAAAGUGCUGGAAAUUAAAUAAUAGAAAAUAAAGGGGUGGAAUUAAAUAAAUAAAAGACUAAAUUAAAAUUUAAACAAAAUUUAAACCAUGAAUUGCAAAAAAAAAAGAAAAAAGAAAAGGGGAAUAAAGGGCUAAAUUGAAAAUAUAACAAAAUUUAACACCUAAAUUAUAAGAAAAUAGAAUGUAAAGGAUUAAAUUAAAAUGGAAUAGAAAAGUUUAGGGACUCAAAGGGCAAUUAAUCCAACCAAGUACACGUGUCACUCCCUAAAGGGUCAACAGUCUGAAGACCAAACUGGAAACAAAUCAAAAUUAAAUGGUAUAAUUUUAAAAAGAAGAAAAAAAACGAAAUUAGGACCACAUCGAAAAAUGUCUAAAGGCCAAAGGACCUAGGAAGUAAUUUGACCCUUCUUUUGAAAACACGCGGAUCCAAGGGAUCCGGAUCGGGUCAUCGAGUUGAGCUUGAAACGACGUCGUUUUGGGUUUCUAAAGCUAAGCCCAAAACGACGCCGAUUUGAGAAGACUAUAUAAGUAAAAAAAAUGAUAAAAAAUUCAUUUUUGCAUCAGUUUUUUUAAAAAAACCACUUCCUUCCUUUCUUUUUUUUUUCCUCUCAAGCUCUUCUUGGUUUUUCUUUUUUUGUUUAGGUUUUGGGUUGGUGUAUUUGGGCUUUAGGGGUUUUUUUUAUUUGUUUGUUGUUUGGGCCGAACAAAAUUGGGCUGUUACAUGUAUAAUAUAAAUCUAAUAAAAAAGCAGGUAGCCUUUCCAAAACAUAUUUCUUUCCACAUUCAAUAUUUGUAAUAUAAAGAUAUUCAAUAUUUUUCUCAUUCAUAGUCUCAAUAUGAUAUCCCUUAAAACGAAUAUAUUUAAAACUCAAUAAAUUUCUUUGAGACUCAGUGGAAUAUAAAACAUCAUCAAUGACAAAUUUUGUACCUUUAGGAAAUAAUACAAUAGGUUUUCCAGAGCCUUCAAUAAGUUUUGAAUUACCUAAUAUUGUAUUCACAUGGGCAUUACUCAUUGUCAAAUGAGAAAAGUAUUUUUUUUUAUCUUUGAGUAUCGUAUUGUUGUAGCACUAUCUACAAGACACAUGUCUCCAUUGAUUUUGGGUCCACCGAAAUUUUGUUGAAUAUUCAUAUUCUUCAUAAAAACAAACAAAAAUAAUAUGAGAAACAUUACAAAUAUUUAUGAAAUAUAUAAAUUAUUCUUUAUGCAAGAAAAUAAAACAUACUUAAAACAACAUAAAAAUGUCAAAAUAACAUCAAUUUUUUCUAAUGAUUUUCAAAGAAAUCUGUCACAUCUAGGUGAGUUAUAUUAUUAAGGUCAUGAAAUUUAUCACCCUUGUAGGCAUGGUCAGUUUUAGUAUUAUAGUGAAUAUCUUCAUCUUUUUUCUCCAUUUCAUCAUUUUGGGAUAUAAAAUUUUUCUCUAUAUGCUUUCCCUUCUUUUUAAUGGAUGCUUGAUAAAGUUUCACUAAAUGCUUAGAUAUAUGACAAGUAUGUGACCAAUGCCCCUUCAUACCACAUUGGUAGCAUAUAUUCUAAACAAUCUUUAAAGGAUUAUUUUCACCACUUCUUUCUUGUCUUUCAUUGUUAUUAUUUUUCUGGUGGUUAGAAAUAUCAUUGUUAUGACCACCAUGAUAACGGUUACUAGUACGUCCUCGACCACGUCCCCCACUACGUCUACGACCACGACCACGACCUCUAUAUUUUCUAUUUUCAUAAUUUUGUGUAUUGUUACAUUCACUUUAGGGAAUGGUGCAGAACCAGUGGGACGAAUUCCAUUAUUUUUCAUCAACAGCUCAUUAUUUUCUUCAGCCACCACAAGGCAUGAAAUCAAGUCAGAAUACAUUUUAAAACCAUUUUCACGAUAUUGCUGCUGCAGGAGCACAUUAGUAACAUGAAAGGUUGAAAAUGUUUUCUCUAACAAGUCUUCAUCAGUUAUGUUUUCUCCACAUAAUUUUUUGUUGAGAACUAAUUUUGAAAAGUUCUGAAUUGUAUUCACUUACAGUCUUAAAAUCUUGCAACCGUAAGUGCAUCCAAUCAUAACGAGCUUUAGGGAGUAUCACCGUUUUCUGAUGGUCAAAUCGUUCUUUCAAAUUUUUCCACAACUCAAGAGGGUAUUUCACAGUGAGAUAUUACACUUUUAAUCCUUCAUGUAGAUGAUGACGGAUGAGAAUCAUUGCUUUUGCCUUGUCUUGAUUAGAUGCUUCUUUAUCUACUAAUAUAAUAUUUUCUAAACCUUUAGCAUCUAGGUGAAUUUUAGCAUCAAACACCCAUGACAAAUAAUUCUUGCCUGAGAUGUGUAAGGCCGCAAAUUCAAGUUUGGCAAGAUUUGACAUUAUAAUCACUUGAAUCAAAAAAAAAAAAUUAGUAAAAUAGUAAGCAUUCUCAAUAUAUAUACCAUAUUUGCUAAAUAAUAAUAUGUAUGUCAAAUAUUGGUAUAGAGAGGAAUAGUCAUAAUAAUAACUUAACACAAAUUAUAUUAAUUGAAAUUUCUUUUAAUAAAAAAAACUAUGUAUAGAUAAUUAUCAUUAUUAGAUUUGAGUUGUAAAAAUAAAUGUGCAAAUUUUAUCCAAAGCAAAUAUUUCAUCUAGAAAAUAAAAUAAAAUAAUUAUGAAAAUACAUAUACCAUAUAUAGUUUAACGAGAGUUAUACGGGCAAAUUAUAUAAAGUCGAAAUGACGUGAACUUUACUAUGAACUCGUAGAAGCUCGUGUUGAUAACGUCUUAUAAAACAAUCAAAUAAAAGAACACUUAAAAGUAAACAAAGAAUUUUCUCAUAUCUUCUUUUCAUUUAUAAAAGAGCUAUAUAUAACCCAUUGACAUUCAAUGCAACAUAAAUGAAUGAAGCUUAUUUAAUUGCUUCAUUAACAUGUACAUUAAGCAUCUUUAAUAAUGAAUGAGGGAUUUUAACUCAUUACUUUCAUAAAUGUUUAAAGAUUAUAGGCAUCCAUUUAAUGUAUUUACAGGAUGAAAUAAUUAUUUGAUAAUUAAAAAUUAAUGAAAGAAUUUUAAAUUGAACCCAAAAAAAUCUCAAAAGUCAAAACCUAAUUUAGGGAAGAAGUUUUGGUACUCAGAGAAAGAUUUGAAAUAGGUAAAACUUUUUGCAAAAGAAUUACAAAUAUAUAUAAUAAAAUAUUUGGUAAACUGCUAGUAGAAUUUUUAAACUCCAUAAAUAAGGUUAGGAGUUGAUAGUGUCCUAUAAAAAUAUAAUAAAUUAUUAAAAGGCAUAUAUAUUUUAAAAAAAGAAAUAUAUAUCAAUUUUUUAAUAAUUCUUGUGAAAUAAAAAAAUGCUAUUAAUGUAUCAAAACUCACCAUACUGUUAUAAAAUAAAGAGAGAUGGAGAGAAUAAAGAACAAAGAAAGUAUGAAAGCAAUAUAGAAUGUACUUUAUUGAUAAAAAAGGAUGAUUACAACGCUUCAUCAGAGUCUUUAUUUAUAGGUAUAAGAAGUAUAAAAGAAGUAGAGAUCUAAUUCUAAUAACUAUUAGAAUUUAAAGUACAUUAAAACUUUAUAUUGAUCAUGAUGAACAUCCACUUAAUAAGAUAUUCAUAACACUCCCCCCUUGGAUUUCCAUUGGUAGAUAAUGUGCCUCGUCAAAACCUUAUUAGAAAAAAACCUUAUGGGAUAAAAUCCUAAUGAAGGAAAAAGAGUAAAUAAUCUAUAAUACGCAUAAUAUGCUGCCUCAUUAAAAACCUUACUAGGAAAACCUAAUGGGACAAAACCUCGAUUAAUGGAAAAAGAGUGCAACGCAUAUGUACUCUCCUCAUGAAAACUGUAACACCCCUAACCCGUAUCCGUCGCCGAAUUAGGGUUAUGAGGCAUUAUUGGAAAUAACAAGAUAAAACAUAAUCAUGGAACACUCUUAAUCACUUAAUCAUGAAGUUACUUUUAUGACUUUGACAGACUUAACUAAUCACAAAUAGAUUCAAUUACAAAUCAUAAAUUACAAAUCAGCACUAUUAAAAUUUAUCAUUUAUUCGAUACUUAAUAGUCAACUUUAUUGACAUAUACUAAACCAUCAAAACAAUUAACGAUGCAAGUAUUAUCAUCACAAUCGAAUUCUAGUACUCAUGGCACAUUCGGACUUAUAUACCUUUCAUAUCAAUUUACAUUUCGGACUUAUAUACCUUUCAUAUCAAUUUACAUUUUAACUUAUUACCAAAUUCAUAUAUAGAUGUGCAAUUCAUUUGAGUCAAAUAAAUAAAUAAAUAAAAGCAAAACAUCCAGAUAUAAUAUGUUAUGUCAAAUAAACAUAUUUAUUCACAAAAUAAAUAAAAAAACUUAUCAAUUAACAACCACACCAUUACAUAUUCAUUCUAUUAUAACAAAUAAUUUGCCAUAACAUUUAAAUUUCUCAAAUAUAUGAGUCACAACCGAAUGCAUGUAGUAUUAAAACAAUAGAUAUGUCAUGCUUAAAUAGCCGACAAAUUUCAUGUAAUUUAUACACAUUUAAUCAAAAUCAUUUAACAUAUUCAAACCUAAUAUUUAUCAAUUCACGUAUAUAUAUUCAAAACAUUAUUUAACCAUUUAAUACAUAUCAUGUCCGAAAAUAUGAGUUCUUUACACGUAGACUUAUAACAACCUAUAAGGCCGAACAUACAUAGGUGUUUAAUCAUCCAUUAACUAAGAAAUAAUAUUCAAUUCAUGAACCUAUUUUUAAGCCAUAUAAGCUUAACCAAAGCAUCAUCUAAAUCCAAUAUGUCAAAAGCAAUAAUACUAAACUUUACCUAUCAAACAUAUUUGCCUUAGCCGAAUAUAUACAUUACCUAAACUUAAUUAACCAUGCACAUGAUAACAUAAGCAUAUACUCCAUAUUGCCCUUAAACUAUAUGCAUCAAAGCCAAAUUCAAACAAAAAGAGAUAAGCCAUUUUCACAUGGCUUUUAAUUAAACAUACACAUUGGUUCCAAAAUCAACAUUUUAACUAUGCUAUACAUGCCAUAUACUUGAAAAUAACUUAGCAAAGUACCCAAAGAAAAUGUCGAUAGUGUGAUAGGCUUGGCUGACGAUCCCCGAGUAGCGAUUUUAAAAUCUAUAAAACAAAGUAAACAAAUACAAACACACAAUAAGCUAAUUGGAACUUAGUAAGUCAUAAGCAUAAACACGUAUAAUAAUUAUGACUUGUAACAUUGAAUUAAUAAAGAUAAAAUUCACAUCAUUCACAGUAAAGAAUUAUCAUCUACUACUAUAUUAUACGUUGAUCACAUAUACAAAAUACAUGGCCGAAUAUGGUCUUUCAUAAACAUAUAUAAACUUUUACUCUUGUCAUCAUGCAUAAUGCUAUAAGCCAAAUCAAAUUUGUAUACAAUCAUGAUAUUUCACAGCUUAUAUUCACAUAUCUUAUAUAAUGUCAAGAAAUCAACUCACCUCGUUUUCAUAUAUAUAAUUAACUAACACAUACCUGAACAGGUAGUUCAAUUUCACAAUCAAUCUUUACUGAACAUUUCCCGUUGAACCGUUCGGAACUAAAAAGGAUACGCGGAUAUUGGAAAACUCGUACAACGCCAACGUCCCAGACGUGGUCUUACAUGUAAACAUAUAUCGAUGCCACUGUCCCAGAUAGGGUCUUACACGUAAACAAAAACUGAUGCCAACUCCCAGACGUGGUCUUUCACGAUAACACAUAUCAAAAAUCCUAUGUCAUGAAAUAUGUAUCCUAACUAUUUCCUAGGGUUCGUACGAGACUUCCGGAUACUAAAUCUCGAAUGAAUCGAACUUGGAAUUUAAUCUCCCAAUCAUAUAUGCAUUCGGCAAUACCAAAAAAAAAUCAUGAUAAUCUCAUUCAUAAUAUAGCAUAAAUAUAUAUCAUAAUUUAUCAACAUUUAUAUGCUUAUCGACUUACCUCGGAUGUUGUUAAUUAUUAAAUCAGCUACUCGACCACUUUUGUCUUUCCCCGAUCCAAAUUCGAUUUCUUUAAUUUUUGAUCUAAACAUAUUCAAAUUAAGCUUAUUUAAACACAAUUCUAUUCAAUUUAGCCUAAAAACACAUAAAUGGUCAAAUUACAAUUUUUCCCCUAACAUUUCACACUUUUUACAAUUUAGUCCUUUUUGCUCAAAACACAAAACACACAAAAUUUGACUACACUCCUUAAGGGCCGAAUAUUCCUAGUGUCCAUACAAGCCCACACAUUUCAUUUAUUUCACAUUUUAGCCCCUCAAAAAUUUAUUUUUAUAAUUUAACCCUAAUUACUCAAAUUCAUCAAAAAUUCAAAGACAAAACAUGUUAAUCUUUCACAUAUCUUUCAUAUUUCAUCAUCAACUAUCACAAAGCUCAAGCAUUCAUCAAUGACAUUUCUCAAAAUCAUCAACAAUUCACAAAAUUUAGACAUGGGUUUUGAAGUAUUCAAAACAACGAUCUCAAAAACGUAAAAAUUAUCAAAAACCGAACAAAAACUAACCUUAAAUUAAGCUUCAAAAUGGCCGAAUGUUUCAAGCUUUCAAACCUUGUUUUUCUUUUCUACAUUCGGUGAAGAAAGAUGAACAUAAAAUGGUGGUAUUUUUUAAUGUUUUGUUUUAUUAUAACAUAUAUUAUUAUAUUAUUAUUAUUUUAACUUUUAUUAUUAUUAUUAUUAUUAUAUAUAUAUAAAUCACAUAUCAUCAUUAUGCCAUCCAUUACCUAUUAUUAUUGGCUAAAUUACAACAUAAGACCUCAAACUUAUAAAGACAACAACAAUUAGGCACUUUCUUAAUUAACCAUCAAAUUUUUAUUUUACGAGAUUAAGCCUCUUUUUUUUCAAAUUAAGCACACAAACAAUAAAAUUAAUUCACGAAACUUUCACACAUGUAAAUUCACACAUAAUUAACACAGAAAAUAAUAUUAAAAUAUUUUUUCAACUCGGAUUUGUGGUCCCGAAACCACUGUUCUGAUUAGGGUUAAAAUCGGGCUGUUACAAAAACAUCACAUAUUUUCUCAUAUUCUACGUAUUCAAUCUUAAAUACUAGUUUUUCAAAUGACUAUUUUAAUGUAAUUGAUAAGUAUUUAUAUUACCAUUCUUUUAAAAGUCACGGGUUAGGGAAAUUUGGGGGAAAUAUAUUUUGAUCUAUUCAAGAGAUUCAACAAUAACCAUAACAAACUUUAAUAAUGAUUCUUUAAUAAAAAACACAAAUAGGUAUUUUGGAUCAUUUUAUGAUCCUCCUUCAACUACUAUUCACUAAGUCAAAUUUACCACAUAUGUUCAAAUUAUUUCAAUUCAGAUAAAUGAACAAUUUCUCGAGAAUUUCAAUAUACUUCUAGCAUCCUAAAUCCUUUAAAGAUUUUAAUAUAAACUUUACUAUCUAGUGAUUCAUAAAAGGUUGUAAUAAUAACCAUUAGGCGCAAGUUAAAUAUUUUAUGAAUUGUCAACUUAAUAAUAUAUCUAAAGGUUAUUGCAUCUACCACAAAAUAAUAUUAUAGAUUUUCAUAAUCAAUGCCAGGACUUAGUGAAAACUUCAUAUUUUUAUCCCACUUUUACAAAACUACUUCAAUUGCACCCUCAUUGGCUUUAUACCUUUAGAUAUUUGGACUACUGGUCCAAAAACUCCACGAAUUUAAUUGUACUUGAGUUGCGUCUUUCUAUUUUGAUUAAUUUAUUCCAUAUUUAUAUUUCUCAAUAGAUUUAUUUAAGAUAUUCUUUUUAUUUCAUUAUUUCAAUAAUAAUAUUGCAUGCAAAACCAUUGUCGUCCACUUUUAUUAUUUGGUUCCACAUUUUCUCGAAUUGACAUAACUUAUCGAGAUUUCUUAUUUUCAUUUUUUUAAAAUUCAGUUUUAGGCAUCUGAAUCUCUUUUGAAGUUUUACUUAUUAGUUAUGUUUUGGGUUUCUUCUUGAGCACUCGCCUCAACUAUAUAACCAUCUAGAAGAAUUUUUAUCUUUGAAACCAAUCAAUUUAUUAUUUAUUCUAAUUGAUUGUCCUAUUGGGACUUUGAUUCAAAUUAAAAUAUUAGAUGGUAUAUAACAUUUGGUUAUUCUCAUUAAGUUUGUAAAUACAUCUAACAGUUAACUUGUAAUGAGUUGUCCUUAUUGAACUUCUGGUUCAAAUUACUCUCCCCCUAACUCAUUACCAGUUAUUAUUUCUCUCCCCCUAAUAUCGGGAAAACUAUCGAAUCAAAAUUGUAAUCACAAAUCAUGUCAUAAUUGAAUCUGGAAUACAUUCAAACAUCUAAUAAUAUAAAUAAACUUAUAAUUAAUAUAUAUUUUCAACUUUCUUUGAGGAUUCGCUCAUCUUUGUGCAUUGUGGUGGAGCAAAUGGAACAUAUACGCACAUAAAAGAAAUUCAAAGGUGAGAAAUAUUUAGCUCUUGAUUAAAAACCAAUUGGAAUAGGGGGUAUUUAUAACUUAUUGACUUGAUGUGUACAACACAUAAAUCAACAUAAUCUCAUGUUGAAAUAGGAAGUUUAGUUCUCAUAGGUAAUGGUUUUGACAUUAAUCAGAGAUGUUCAAUCAAUAAUUUCUCUAAACCAUUAUGCGUAAACUUUUACAAAAAUUUUUCAAACUCAAUCAAUAAAAGAUUGAGAUAUAAACUCAUCAGUAUUAGCAAGAGGAAUUGCCUUAAUUGCAUGAUUUAAUAUUAAUUAUUUAAACAAGUAAUCUUGCAAAUGACAGGUUGCAAAUUGAUAACACAUAUGUGAUUAUUUUGUAGAUGCAUCUACCAAAAUCAUAUAAUAUCAAAACCAUCCACAUGGUGGAUGAAUGGGCCCAUAUUCGUUUCAGAAAUGCAAGACAUUAAAUCUCAACUUUAGCUAUUGAGUUUCUAAUAAUCAAUUUUCAUUGAGAACAAGCAACAUAUGAUAAUUCAUUGAGAACAAGCAACAUAUGAAUGGACCCAUAUUCGUUUCAGAAAUGCAAGAACCAGAAAAUUUUUUAAUGAAUGUCCACAUGAAUUCUUAAUUAAUUUUUGCAUCAUAUAUGAUCUAGGAUGGUAUAACCGGUCAUGCCAAGUAGUAAAUGCAUUUGUAUCAGUAAACUUCUGUUUUACUUUAACAUGUGUUUCAAUUGUACUAAAUUGUAACAAAUUAAUAAUUUUACUAUCAUUCCUUUUACUUUGUAUUCACAUAUAAGUGCUAUUGUGACGUUUACUAUUGGAAAUGUCUAAAUAAAUGUGAAUAUUAUAAUGUCACUAAUUCAACAAAAUAAAUAUAAUUUUCAAACAAUUAUAUGAAAUAUUCGCUUCAGAGAAUAUGCCAAAAUAUUCAUAUAUCUAUUUUUUUUUUUGCAACUUUAGGUACAUCCAACCAUAACGAGCUUUAGAUAGAAUUAUCGUAUUUUAUUGCUCAUAAAUAGAUCUUUCACAGUCAAAUAUUUUGCUUCCAACCCCUUAAUGGGGAUGAUGACAAAAGAAGAUCACAAAGAUUAUAAAAUAAAUAUAAAUUAAUAACCCAAUCCUCUCUUUUUCAUCCUUUUAUAGCAAUAGUGAUUCAUAUGAAAUAUAAUAUUUUCCUCAUUCACAACCUCAAUAUAAGAUCCAUUAUAAAUAUCUUUUAAAACCAAUGGACUAACCAUCACAAGAUAUUAAUAAAUUAGCUCUUCUAGAGCUUUCGACUAAUUUUGUACUAUCAAAUAUUAGAAUAAUAUCUAUUUGUUUUAGUACCAAAUAAGAUAAAUACUUCCUAUACUUUCUAUCUAUAGUGAUAGAAUUUAUUACUACAUUCACAUAUCCUUCCUCAAAAAAUAUUAACAGAAACAAAAUAUUUAGGCAUAUGCCACAUAUGUGGCCAAUAAUCUUUCAUAUCACAUUAAUAACAUAAGUUAUCUUUCUUGUUGAGAUAUAAACUCAUCAGUAUUAGCAAGAUGAAUUGUCUUAAUUGCAUGAUUUAAAAUUAAUUAUUUAAACAAGUAAUCUUGCAAAUGACAGGUUGCAAAUUGAUAACACAUAUAUGAUUAUUUUGUAGAUGCAUCUACCAAAAUCAUAUAAUAUCAAAACCAUCCACAUGGUGGAUGAAUGAGCCCAUAUUCGUUUAAAAAAUGCAAGACAUUAAAAUUUCAACUUUAGCUAUUGAGUUUCUAAUAAUCAAUUUUCAUUGGGAACAAGCAAUAUAUGAUAAUUCAUUGAGAACAAGCAACAUAUGAAUGGACCCAUAUUUAUUUCAGAAAUACAAGAACCAGAAAAUUUUUAAUGAAUGUCCACAUGAAUUCUUAAUUAAUUUUCGCAUCAUUUAUGAUCCAGGAUGGUCUAACUGGUCAUGCCAAGUAGUAAAUGCAUUUGUAUUAGUAAACUUCAGUUUUACUUUAACAUGUGUUUCAAUUGUACUAAAUUGUAAAAAAUUAAUAAUUUUACUAUAAUUCAUUUUACUUUGUAUCCACAUGUAAGUGCUAUUGUGACGUUUACUACUGGAAAUAUCUAAAUCAAUGUGAAUAUUAUAAUGUCACUAAUUCAACAAAAUAAAUAUAAUUUCUAAACAAUUACAUGUAGUAUUCGCUUCAAGGAAUAUGCCAAAAUCUUCAUAUAUCUAUUUUUUUUUUGCAACUUUAGGUACAACCAACCGUAACGAGCUUUAGAUAGAAUUAUCAUAUUUUAUUGCUCAUAAAUAGAUCUUUCACAGUCAAAUAUUUUGCUUCCAAUCCCUUAAUGGGGAUGAUGACAAAAGAAGAUCACAAAGAUUAUAAAAUAAAUAUAAAUUAAUAACCCAAUCCUCUCUAUUUCAUCCUUUUAUAGCAAUAGUGAUUCAUAUGAAAUAUAACAUUUUCCUCAUUCACAACCUUAAUAUAAGAUCCAUUAUAAAUAUCUUUUAAAACCAAUGGACUAACCAUCACAAGAUAUUAAUAAAUUAGCUCUUCUAGAGCUUUCGACUAAUUUUGUACUAUCAAAUAUUAGAAUAAUAUCUAUUUGUUUUAGUACCAAAUAAGAUAAAUACUUCCUAUACUUUCUAUCUAUAGUGAUAGAAUUUAUUACUACAUUCACAUAUCCUUCCUCAAAAAAUAUUAACAGAAACAAAAUAUUUAGGCAUAUGCCACAUAUGUGGCCAAUAAUCUUUCAUAUCACAUUAAUAACAUAAGUUAUCUUUCUUGUUGAGAUAUAAACUCAUCAGUAUUAGCAAGAUGAAUUGUCUUAAUUGCAUGAUUUAAAAUUAAUUAUUUAAACAAGUAAUCUUGCAAAUGACAGGUUGCAAAUUGAUAACACAUAUAUGAUUAUUUUGUAGAUGCAUCUACCAAAAUCAUAUAAUAUCAAAACCAUCCACAUGGUGGAUGAAUGAGCCCAUAUUCGUUUAAAAAAUGCAAGACAUUAAAAUUUCAACUUUAGCUAUUGAGUUUCUAAUAAUCAAUUUUCAUUGGGAACAAGCAAUAUAUGAUAAUUCAUUGAGAACAAGCAACAUAUGAAUGGACCCAUAUUUAUUUCAGAAAUACAAGAACCAGAAAAUUUUUAAUGAAUGUCCACAUGAAUUCUUAAUUAAUUUUCGCAUCAUUUAUGAUCCAGGAUGGUCUAACUGGUCAUGCCAAGUAGUAAAUGCAUUUGUAUUAGUAAACUUCUGUUUUACUUUAACAUGUGUUUCAAUUGUACUAAAUUGUAAAAAAUUAAUAAUUUUACUAUAAUUCAUUUUACUUUGUAUCCACAUGUAAGUGCUAUUGUGACGUUUACUACUGGAAAUAUCUAAAUCAAUGUGAAUAUUAUAAUGUCACUAAUUCAACAAAAUAAAUAUAAUUUCUAAACAAUUACAUGUAGUAUUCGCUUCAAGGAAUAUGCCAAAAUCUUCAUAUAUCUAUUUUUUUUUUUGCAACUUUAGGUACAACCAACCGUAACGAGCUUUAGAUAGAAUUAUCAUAUUUUAUUGCUCAUAAAUAGAUCUUUCACAGUCAAAUAUUUUGCUUCCAAUCCCUUAAUGGGGAUGAUGACAAAAGAAGAUCACAAAGAUUAUAAAAUAAAUAUAAAUUAAUAACCCAAUCCUCUCUUUUUCAUCCUUUUAUAGCAAUAGUGAUUCAUAUGAAAUAUAACAUUUUCCUCAUUCACAACCUUAAUAUAAGAUCCAUUAUAAAUAUAUUUUAAAACCAAUGGACUAACCAUCACAAGAUAUUAAUAAAUUAGCUCUUCUAGAGCUUUUGGCUAAUUUUGUACUAUCAAAUAUUAGAAUAAUAUCUGUUUGUUUUGGUACCAAAUAAGAUAAAUACUUUCUAUACUUUCUAUCUAUAGUGAUAGAAUUUAUUGCUACAUUCACAUAUUCUUCCUAAAAAAUUAUUAACAGAAACAAAAUAUUUAGGCAUAUGCCACAUAUGUGGCCAAUAAUCUUUCAUAUCACAUUAAUAACAUAAGUUAUCUUUCUUGUUGAGAUAUAAACUCAUCAGUAUUAGCAAGAUGAAUUGUCUUAAUUGCAUGAUUUAAAAUUAAUUAUUUAAACAAGUAAUCUUGCAAAUGAUAGGUUGCAAAUUGAUAACACAUAUGUGAUUAUUUUGUAGAUGCAUCUACCAAAAUCAUAUAAUAUCAAAACCAUCCACAUGGUGGAUGAAUGAGCCCAUAUUCAUUUCAAAAAUGCAAGACAUUAAAUUUCAAAUUUAGCUAUUGAGUUUCUAAUAAUCAAUUUUCAUUGGGAACAAGCAACAUAUGAUAAUUCAUUAAGAACAAGCAACAUAUGAAUGGACCCAUAUUCGUUUCAGAAAUACAAGAACCAGAAAAUUUUUAAUGAAUGUCCACAUGAAUUCUUAAUUAAUUUUCGCAUCAUUUAUAAUUCAGGAUGGUCUAACUGGUCACGCCAAGUAGUAAAUGCAUUUGUAUUAGUAAACUUCUGUUUUACUUUAACAUGUGUUUCAAUUGUACUAAAUUGUAACAAAUUAAUAAUUUUACUAUCAUUCCUUUUACUUUGUAUCCACAUGUAAGUGCUAUUAUGACGUUUACUACUGGAAAUAUCUAAAUCAAUGUGAAUAUUAUAAUGUCACUAAUUCAACAAAAUAAAUAUAAUUUCUAAACAAUUAUAUGUAGUAUUCGCUUCAAGGAAUAUGCAAAAAUCUUUAUAUAUCUAAUUUUUUUUUUGCAACUUUAGGUACAUUCAACCAUAACGAGCUUUAGAUAGAAUUAAAAUAUUUUAUUGCUCAUAAAUAGAUCUUUCACAGUCAAAUAUUUUGCUUCCAAUCCCUUAAUGGGGAUGAUGACAAAAAAAGAUCACAAAGAUUAUAAAAUAAAUAUAAAUUAAUAACCCAAUCCUCUCUUUUUCAUCCUUUUAUAGCAAUAGUGAUUCAUAUGAAAUAUAAUUUUUUUCUCAUUCACAAUCUCAAUAUAAGAUCCAUUAUAAAUAUCUUUUAAAACCAAUAGACUAACCAUCACAAGAUAUUAAUAUAUUAGCUCUUCUAGAGCUUUCGACUAAUUUUGUACUAUCAAAUAUUAGAAUAAUAUUUGUUUGUUCUAGUACCAAAUAAGAUAAAUACUUUCUAUAAUUUCUAUCUAUAAUGAUAGAAUUUAUUACUACAUUCUCAUAUCCUUCCUCAAAGAAUAUUAACAGAAACAAAAUAUUUAGGCAUAUGUCACAUAUGUGGCCAAUAAUCUUUCAUAUCACAUUAAUAAUGUCGAAACCAUUUUUUAUGGAUUUGAAAAAUGGGAAUCGACUUUUAAAAAUGAAAAUGGGAGUCGCCACUGAUCCUUUGUUGAGGUGUGAUCGGUCCACCUUAAAACGGUUUUGGCCUACGAGAUUUGAGAAAAUAGGUUCGGGAGCCGGUUAUGCACGAAGAAGGGUUAACACCCUCGUAACGCCCAAAAUUGGUACCGAAUCGAUUGUUUAAUGUCUUAAUGUUGAAAAGAUUUUAAAAUACGAUCCUUUGAAAAGAAAAUUUGAGUAAAAUGAAUUGGACGAUGAGACUCACCUAUUUCAAAGAAAUAAAUCGUCACACUCAGUAAGUUAGAGCGCAACAUUUUAAAUCCUCAAAAUUAAAUUUAUCUCUUGACUUUUGAAACCUAUACAUUUUGAGAAGGAUUUCCGAUUAUUUGGGUCAAAUCAGAAAAUCAAAACCCAGUAAGUUAGGGUUCAAUUUCACAAAAUCCCUAAAUAUCAAAUAUUGCCUUUAUUUUUAUUCAUUAUUUAGAAAAAAUCCUCAUCUCGAGAAAACCAUACGUCGUAUUCAAUGCGUUAAGAUACAACAUAUCGAAUUCCCGAUAAUGAGCUUUUUAUUUGUGUGUUUUGAUUAAAGAAUAAACUCGAUUAUUUAGAUUCGACGAGGAAAAUUGGAACCCAAUAUGUUAGGGCUCAAUUCUUUCGAAGAUCCUAAAUACCGAACUCUGCGUUAUCUUAAAAUUUUUUUUGAGUAAAUUGAUUUUGAUACUUAAAUGAUAUUAAACGUAAUCUUUUGAACGGAUAAAAACGAUUGAAUAAUAAUGUACCAUGCGAGAUGAGGAUUCAUAAACUAAAGCAUACACUAAUGAGUAACAAAGAUUUAAUAUAUACGAAUAAACAAUAUCAUAUACAUAAGAGCAACAAUUUUAUAUCCUACAUUAUGCAAAUACUAACAUCCAUAUUAGCAAGCAAAAUGAAUUAAAAAACUAAUAUUAAAAAAAUUAACAAGCGAAUUAAAUAAAAUGGAACAAGUUUUUAAAUAAAAAAAAAGCAACAUUAAAGAAGGGAAAUUAUAUAUUGAAAUAAGUUUAAAAUAAUAUAUAUACACAUGAAAGUUUGAAAUAAAUGAAAAAUAUAGUUAAAAACAAAUACUUCAUAAAAUAAUAGUAUCCCAAUAAAUUUAAAAAUAAAUAUUAUAAAACUAUAAAAAGUGUACAAAUUAUAUUUAGUUAUCAUAAAAUUAAGAUAAUAAGUAUUAAAUUUUAAUAAUAAUAUAUGAAAAAUUAAAAUAACACGCGAAAGAAAACUUUUAGAAAAAUGGUUCAAUUGAUUUAAAUAAUAUCAAUAAUGAAUUUAUACUAAUAAGUUUAAUUAUUAAAAUAACAUUAGAUUAAACUUAAAUAUAUUAAAGAAAACAGAACCAAAAUAUUUAAAUUAAUUAAAAUGAACAAAUUAAAAUAGAGAUUAAAAUGGAUUUAAUGCUUAAUCGAAAAAAGAAAAUAAAUAAAAAGAAAAAGAAAAGAAAAUUAAAAGGCAAAAUGAAGCUUGCGCAUUACAUGAGGGAUUAAAUGGGAAAUAUUCCCCGCCCUUCAAAACGCAUAGUGGCAGAAGGGACCAAAAUGAAACAACAAUGACAUAUCAGGCAGAAUCUAAAAAACUAAAAAGAUUGAUUUGGAUGCGCUUUAAAGGCGAGGGACUAAGCGCGAAAAUAAAGCACCAGAGGCCAAAAUGCGCGGAUCCAGCUGGUUCGGGUCGGGUUGGACGCGCGGGUAUGCAAAUACGACGCUGUUUUGGUGGUCACUGAUUCAGGCCCCAAACGACGCCGUUUCAACACCCCAAAGAACCAACUUUAAAACCCUAAACAAGGUUAUUCGACCACUAAAAAAAUAGCAUAAAAAACCUUUGCCUUUCCUCUCUCCUCUUGCACCAUUCUCAGGCUAAAACCAUCCCUAACCUCUCUGGUAUCCACGAAACCGAUGAGAACGAUGACGGGGUCACAGAGGCAUGUACUCCCUUUCCCUUUUAUUAUUUCUGUUCUUAACAAACAACUAAUGAACACAAAAUAAAAGAAAGAAAAAAACGGUAAAUAUAAAACAAAAGAAACUCAGAAAUCACCUCUUAGUAUUUCAAUUUUUUUCGUGUUCUAAAUUCGUGUCCCCUUUACAAUAUUCAAAUGGCCUUUUUAUGGCCAGAAUUACAGAAAAUAAAAUAAAAAGAAAUCCUCCCAAAUCCCCUCUGUUGCCCCUUUUCUAUCAUUUCUUUUUUACUGCCGUGUGUUCGUUGCAGGUUGUUUGUCCUUCUUGCAGGUACGGAGCAGUGGACGUGGAGGCAUGUGAAGGCAUCGCGCAUGUGUGAGGAGUGGCUCGAAGGUGUGGUGGCGUACGCACGAGAGGGGAGCAUGCUGGCUGCGGCGCUGGUGCUAGGGCUGAAUGCCUAGGGUUUUUGCUUGUGGUUAAGGCUAGUGGGGUUAGGUGAUUGGGCUCAUUGGGUUGGGGAUAUUGGGCUAGGCUAGUGUUUGGGUACUUAAUUUAACUGGGUUUGUAAUCUGGACAUUAUGUUUUUUUUGGACCAUUUUUUUAUUUUAUUUGGUUUAUUUUACUAACAGGCCAGGCAAAUUAGGCCUAUUACAGCUACCCCUCUUUUCUCGUUGUCAUGAAACGGGAACAAAGCAAAAACUAAAAAUGGCCGAUUUUUCCAGGUUGAUUUUGGACCUUGGUGCUCUUCUUCUUCGAGUUGCCUCAUUCCAUCCUACUGCAUCUUCAGAGGUAUAGGAAUUGGUGUUUCGAUCCACUCCACUGUAACAUCAGGGUGAUAGGAUUUGUAACUCGUAACCUUAAUAUGUUUAACUGUGAUGUCGAGGAAGCAAUAUUCGCUGUUGUAGCUUCAAUCUGUUCCACUACACUGCCUGGGAAGUAAGAUUCGCUGUUGUAGUUUUAAUCUUUCUAACUGCAAUAUCGGGGAAGCAAGAUUCGCCGUUGUGGCGUUAAUCUAUUCCACUGCACCACUUGAGAAGUAAGAUUCGUUGUUGUAGCUUUAAUCUUUUUAACUGCAAUGGCGGGGAAGCAAGGUUUGCCAUUGUGGCUUUAAUCUGUUCCACUACAUCGCUUGGGGAGUAGGAUUCGCCGCUGUGGCUUUAAUCUUUUUAACUGCAAUGUCGGGGAAGCAAGAUUCACCGAUGUGGCUUUAAUCUAUUCCACUGCACCGUCAGGGAAGUAGGAUUCGCCGCUGUGGCUUUAAUCUUUUUAACUGCAAUGUCGGGGAAGCAAGAUUCACCGAUGUGGCUUUAAUCUGUUCCACUGCAUCGCCUGGGAAUUAGGAUUCGCCGCUGUGGCUUUAAUCUUUUUUACUGCAAUGUCGGGGAAGCAAGAUUCACCGAUGUGGCUUUAAUCUGUUCCAUUGCAUCGCCUGGGAAGUAAAACUGGUAUUUUCGAUCUGCUUCGUUGUCGAUGCAGGAAGACAAGAUCCGCUAUCUUCACUGAUCUGUUGUCUGGGGAACAUGACCUGUAUAAUGAACCUAAUUAUGCCUAAUGAUUAAGAUGCCAUGAUCAAAAUGAAUCCAAUGCUCCUAACUAGACAUGUGAAUAAUACUUGCAUGAACGCAGAAUUUUAUUUUUUCCGAGAAUGAUCCCGUUUAGGUUGUCAUUACUCCAAGUUUAUUAAGGCUUUGUGACUGACGUGCUACAACGCCUUCUUGCUUGACUGGCUUUUCUGAAGAAACAUUUAGCCAGGUUGCCCCCCACUGUAAACCUCAAAGUUUAAACCAUUAGGGCGCAAAAUUUGUACCAUCAUUCUCCCACUGCAAUCCAAGGGUAGAAAUAUGUGGCUUUUACUCAAUCCUCUCUUGUCACAAUUCAAUGAUACAGGACCUAAAUCGUUCUAGUUCCUUACACCAUUCUCAGGGUGUCAUACCAAAGACUCAUGCGCAAAUGAAGGCUCUCUUCUCUGAGGUAACCUCUUCCUAUUGCCUGAUGAUCAUUGCUUGCUCAUUUAUUUAAGCUUUGUCAUUAACACAACAUCUUGUCAUUUUGUUCAAUCAAUGCAUUUGACCACAAAAUCCAAAGAGAUAGUCCAAAUUUAGACUCUUCCUUCUCAAAUUUCCAACCUUUAAAUUUGGUGUGUUCUAAACAAUAGUCCUGUUUCAGGUUCCUAUAUUAUUUAGAAACUUUUCAGAGUAAUAUGCAAAACUUCCCUUGUGAAAGUUUUAUUAGUCCAUUAAUCAUUAUUCCAAUGCAUAAGAAUAAAGUUAGUCCUGGCAUAGCUCAAAAUGAAUAAGUUAUCAAAAAUAGUAAAGAAGGAUAAUAAAGAAAUUGAUCGGGAAUGUAUAUCUUGGAAAAGAAAAAAGUAUUCCAAGAACAACAAAUUCAAUAUAAAUAAGUUUUCGCCUUGACCUCUCCUUUUCUUUUUCCUUCUCUCUUCUUUCAUUUUCAUUUUGACUUUGAUUUUGAUUUUUCUUUUUCUUCUUUUUUUGUUUUUGAUUUUGAUUUUUUUUAAUUUUUAAUUUUUAAUUUGUCUUUAUCCUUUCCUUUUUCUUUUUUUAUUGCUUUUUUUAUUUUUUUCUUCUUUUUAUUAUUUAUUUAUUUAUUGAAUAUGAACUCAUAGGGUUAGGCAAAUCCUUGUUAUCCUUUUCGAAGAAUCUUCUUUAAUAUCGAAUUUCCUUCAUAGAGACUUCUAGGGCGAACCUACGACAGAAAACUUUUGCUCUUCCUCUUCAAUCAGGAUAAAAUCCAACAACAUCUUGAAGGGAUGAAAACCCGACUUCAAAUGGGCAAAACUAUGCUGACUCAACGAGAAAGGCAUUUCCCCGGCAAAGAAUUACAUAAUUUAUACUGUAGAUUUCUGACAUCGUACUGUUGUGCAGAUUUCAUUAUCAGUGCUUAACCCGGGCAUAUCCUGGUAUGAUCAUACAAAGACAUUUUUGAACUCUAGAGGUAACUCAACAAGGUCUUGCUUCGUCUUUGCAGUCAGGUCAAUUCUAAUUUUCACCAAACUCACAAUUCCUAAUGAUUCCUUGUGGGGUAGGAUCUGUCUAUCCUCUUGUUCAACCAUCCUUAACAAGUCCAGCGAUAAGCUACAAUUUUUGUCAUUUUAAAAGUCAUGAGAUCCCUCUAAACACGUGCCCCGCUCAAAAGGAAAAUCUGGGUCUGUAGCAGAGUUAUUCACGUAAUUGAUAUCUGGGGACCCAUAAUAAGUACCGAAGAAUAUACAAAAGAAUGUAUAAAUUCAUGAAUAAUUAUUUGGACCAUAUGAUUAUGAAUGAAUGAAUAAUAAUUUGGAAGAAAAUCCAAAAGAAUGAAAAAAUCUGGGAUUGUUUGUAAAGAAUGAAAAUAUUGGCUCAGUAAUAAUUGAAAAGAUGUAUUUCAUUAAAAUAAUAAUGUUCAGACAUGAGCCUAUUUCACAAAGGAAAUUUCUAUCAUUUUUAGGCUAAAAACAACAAAAAUGUUCUAAACAUUACUCUAAAUAAGUUCUAAAAACUACAGGGCUUUUUUCCGCAGCCCAAUUGCUUAGAACACUCCCGAAUUUAUAAGGGCAGAUAUCUAACAAGGUCCCUUCUUCAGUUGCUUUUCGUUGAUGUGAACAUUUCCCACUCUUCUUCAUGCAUUGCAUUCACUCCAUUAUCAAUUAUGAUUAGGUAACGGAUUUUCUGCACUGAAGUCAUCAAACUUGACAACACCCAUGUUAAUGAGCCUUUCAACAAGCUUUUUAAAGAUGGUGAAAUUUUCUAUCGAAUGUCCCCCAAUUCUCCCAUGAUAAUCACACUGUGCAUUUGCAUCAUACCACUUGGGGUACGGAGGUUGCAAGGGCUUUGAGUAGAAAUGGGCAACAAUGUGCGCAUCGAAUAAGCGUUGAUACAGCUCCUUAUACGACAUCGGAAUUGGUGUGAACUGGAGUUUCUCAGAACUUGGUUUCACUCCAGAUUCUUGUCUCAGUGCACCUUAUUGACUAGCGACCACUUUAUCUGGAUGACUUACUGACCUUGAGUAACCUAUGUUACUCAUCUCAUCUUCUUUUCUCUUUGAAACUAACUUUUUGUUACUCUCUCCACCAUCUAUUCUUCCAUUUUUGAUGGCAUUUUCAAUCAUUUCGCCAUUCAUGAUUAUAUCUGAAAAACUCUUCGAAGCACUUCCCAACAUUUGAGUGAUGAACGGGGCCUUCAAUGUGUUGAUAAAGAGCAUUGUCGUCUCCUUCUCUAGGUGUGGCGGCUAAACUUGGACUGCAACCUCUCUCCACCUCUGUGCAUGUUGUAUAAAGCUUUCAUUUGAUUUCUUUUCCAAAUUUUGCAAGGUGAUUCUAUCGGGGGUCAUAUUUGUUACAUGCUCGUAUUGUUUCAUGAAUGCCUGUGCUAGGUCCCUCCAUGAACCAAUCUCGGUACAGCUCAACUGAUUGUACCAUUUCGACGCUGCUCCAAUGAGGCUAUCCUGAAAAUAAUGUAUUAAUAGCUGAUCAUUGUUAAUAUACCCAGUCAUUCUCCUACAGAACAUGGUGAUAUGGGCUUCAGGGCAAUUGGUCCCACUAUAUUUCUCAAAUUCAGGCAUCUUAAACUUGUGAGGGAGUACUAAGUCUGGAACCAAGCUCAGAUCUUUAGCAUCGAUUCCCUGGUGACUAUCGGUGCUUUCCAGGGCUUUGAAUUUUUCCUCCAACCAUUUACACUUAUCCUCCCAUUGUUUUGACAGUUUGACGUUUGCCUUCUCUUUUUCAGCCAUUUCAUUGAAAUCAGGAAUAACAAGAAUCACUGGGUUAUCUCUAGGAUUAGAACCUAAUCCAGCCUGAAAGUUCAUCGGCAUUGAAACAACAUCUUGAAACUACUGAGGCCUAAUUGAAACAAAGGAUCUACGCGGAUGCACCUCAGCUUGAGUUUGCACAUGCGGAGGCGUAAAGCCUGGAGGAUAUAGAGGUCCAUCCUUCUCUUCUUCUUCAUUUUUAACCAUAGGACCUUUCCCCUUAUUUACUCCAUUGGUCAAUAGUUGUGUUAGCUUGGUCAUCAUGUCGUUUUGAGACUCCCUCAUUUUUUCUGUCAUGUCAUGUUGAAUUUUUUCCAACUGCUCCUUCAUUUGUUUCUGUAGCUGAUCUUGCAUUUCUUUUUGUAUUUGCUCCAGUUUCUCUAUUCUUUGAUCCAUUUCCUUAGCUUUGCAACGAGUACCAUAAGGGUGUUUGGUUGGUUGGUUUUCCAGAUUAGCUAAAAUAAAUUUACUCUAUUAGGCACUUCCAAUGGAUUUUAAUGCAUGUAAUGCAAAUGCAUGAAAUGAAUGCCUCAAGAGACGUUGAUUCUGAUUCAAUUACACUUAGAAAACUUUACUAGAAGCAAAUUCCUUUACAUAAAGCAGAUGCAUGUACGACCUCACCCUUAUAUUCCAAGAGACAACAUCGAUCCCUUCCUUCAUCCGUAUGUAAAUCUCGCAAAUUUCCAAGGGAUGCCACUGCUAGCUCUUUUUCUUGAUCUUGGUCACGAUCCAUCAUCUGCCCAUCUUCAUAAGGCUCUUCAGCUUCUUCAAGGGAGUUGGAACGUCGAAGGCUCUGUAACACCCCUUACCCAUGUUCCUUGCCGAAAUAGAGUAUGAGGUAUUAUUAGAACUUAACACUUAUAAUUUUUUUUUAUAAAAAUUUCGGCAGCAUUUCUGCUUGUUUUUACAUAAAAUCCCCUGCAACUUUCCAAAAAUAAUUUCAAACAACUUCAAUAUUUCCAACCAAUUACAGAUAUAUGUUCAGACAUAAUUUUUCCAUUAAUAAUCACCAACAUAUUAAACCGAACAACACUAUAUAUAUAUUUGUACCACUUCACAUAAAGUCAUCUAUACAUGCCAUAUUUCAAAAUAUUAAUUACAAAAUACCCAAAAAGUUGAUGAUAGUGUGGAUGAUUUCCUGACUUCGUCCAAAUUCAAAACUGGCUGAUGUCACUACAAUCAAGGGAAAAUAAAAACGAGUAAGCAUAUAGCUUAGUAAGUAAACAUAUGACAAAUAAAUAAAUUUCUCACAUGAUUUCAUAGCAACAUAAUUUUAAUCACAUAAAUUUCAGGGUUCGUUUAAUUUCCAGCAAACUAUCAUUCUGCGUCACUGACGCUAAUUUAUUUUUAUCUGAAGCUACAGAACUCAAAAUUAAGUUUCGUAAAUUUUUCCUGAAACUAGACUCAUAUAGCUUUCUACCAUAAAAUUUUCAGAAUUUUUUACUUAGCCAAUUAGUACAGUUUAUUCUUUAAAUAUUCCCCUAUUCCACUGCCCAACGGUUCUGACCUCCCUUUACUAAAAUUUACUUAACUCUCUGUAAAAAAUUCAAAAAAUGAUCUCGUUUGUUUCUAUUAAAAAUAGACUCAAUAAGUAAUCCAGGAAUAUAAAUUUCAGGCCAUAAUUAUUUUUGUACAAUUUUCGGUGAUUUUCCAAAGUUGGAACAGGGGAUUCUGAAAUCAAUCCAACCCUGUCUCAAUAAAAUUCAAAUAUCCCCAAAUAUACAACUCUUUUGCUUGCUCUAUUUCUUUCAUAUGAAAUAGACUCAUCCAGCUUCAAUUUCAUAUAUUAUUAAACCUCCAAUUAAUUUCCCACCAUUUAUGGUGAUUUUUCAAAGUUGCCCAACUGGUGUUGUUCAACACAGUUUUGUAUUUAAAUUGUUUCUUUUGCAUUUUUGAUAUUUCCUCCCAUCUUAUACAUGGGUCAAUUAAGUAUCAAACCCAAUAUUCCUCCCAUAAACUUUUCCAUCACAUAUAAAUAUUCACCUUCCUAAUUUACUCGUUGAACACUCGGAAUGUUAACCGUUAUCGGUGGAUUCAGCACUUAGCAACCACCAAUGAGUCGGGGAAUCAGCACUUAGCAACCCCUUUCACAUUUAAGAUACGGUGGGUUCAGCACUUAGCAACCACCAAUGAUUCGAGGAAUCAGCACUUAGCAACCCCUCGGGGGAAUCAGCACUUAGCAACCCCCUUCACAUUUAAGAUACGGUGGAAUCAGCACUUAGCAACCACCAAUGAGUCAGGGAAUCAGCACUUAGCAACCCCCUUCAAAUUUAAAAUACGGUGGAAUCAGCACUUAGCAACCACCAAUGAGUCGGGGAAUCAGCACUUAGCAACCCCUUGGGGGAAUCAGCACUUAGCAAUCCCCUUUUUAUUCAAUGUAAUCCGGCCUAUUCUGAGUGUUCAACCGGAAACCGUAUUUUUCAACACUUUACCACCUUUCCCUACUUAGCCACAUUUUUUUAGAAUCUUUGCCAAAUAUUUAUUCUAUAUUCAAAUAAAUCUCAACACAUAUCAAAUAAUAUCAAAAUAAUGCAUUAUUUCACAUGUUUACUUACCUCGGUGCAAAAUAUCGUAAUUUUGCAAUUUACUUCACUACUUUCUCCUUUCCCCGUUUGAGGUAUUCUUCUCGUCUUUCUUGAUCUAUAAUAACAAAUUUAACUCAUUUAAUGUUCACAUUUAUUAAAAUAAUCCUCCAUCCAACUUUUUGAAAAAUUACAAUUUUGCCCCCAAACUUUUGCAUAAUUACACUUUUGUCCCCAAGCUCGGAAAUUAAACUUCAUCACUUAUUAUUAUGUUUUAUGACAUGCUGAACAUUUUUCCCUUCUAUGGCAACAUCAAAUUCUCACUCUAGCAGAUACUUUUGAACAUUAACAAUUUUUACCGAUUAUGUCAAUUUACCCGUUUUCGUUUAAAAUCGCUUAGCAAAAGUUGUUUAACAUAAUUUCUAGCUUCAUAUUCCACCAUAAAACAACAAAAUAAACACUUUUCAGCUACGGGUAUUUUUCCAAAUAUAAACCCUAACAUGAAUUAUUGAUAAAAUAAGCUAAACCGAGCUACGAGGAUUUCAAAAAUGCAAAGAACAUUAAAAACGGGGCUAAGAUGCACUUACUAUGAGCUUGAGAAAGCAAAGAAACCCUAGCUAUGGUGUCUUCCAAAAUUUGGCAGCAACUAUGGAGAAGAUGACACCAUUUCUCCAUCUUUUUCCCAUUUUAUUUCUUUUUAUUACCAAAUGACUAAAAUGCCCCCAUUUAAAAAAAAAUCUAUUUCACCCAUUUCUUAUGUCUAUUUUUGUCCAUCAAUUUACUAAUGGUCUAAUUACCACAUAAGGACCCCCAACUUAUAAUCUCAUAACAAUUAGACACUUCUAACAUGUAGAACUCAACUUUGGCACUUUUUACAAUUUAGUCCUUUUUACUAAAUUGAGUGCCCAAACGUCAAAAUUUUCGAACGAAAUUUUUUUACGAAAUUUUUCCGUAAAAUUGUAGACCAUAAAAAUAUAAUAAUAAUCAUAUUUUCCCUUGUCGGAUUUGUGGUCCCGAAAUCACUGUUCCGACUAGGCCCAGAAUCGGGCUGUUACAGCCUCUUAGACAAUCGCCUUGAAUCCUCAGGCCACGAAGCAAGGGUCACGAACUCUUUCAUCACCCUUAUUGUGUUUCUUAGAAUAUAUUCAGGCAUUCGUAUUGUUUUCCACUUUAUCAAGGAAUUCGUAUUCCAUGACAAGCUUUCUAAUUUAGUAAUCGAACUUGAAUCGAUAUCUCUUUCCUAAGAUGCAAAUACAAUGCAACCAUAAUCAAAACACAACAAGAGGGGUUAGUACAAAAUAGAAGCAAGUAAGGAAAACAAAAGUACCUAGUCGGGUAGCCACUAGGGAUUUGGAGUGGCUCUAUCUAGGUUAAGUUCCUAAGUCCACUAUAUGAGGUUUGGUUCUAAAGAUAAGGUACCCAAACCAGUCGAUUCCUCGAUCUUCACCCAUUAUAGGCUCAUAUAGACCGAGUUCAGUUCAGGGGAAUACAUUUCCCUAUGGCUGCACGGAGAUGAAAAUCUCACGAAGACAUAGGUACAGAUGUAUCCCGAAAGUGAUCCAUUAUCCUGCACGGAGGUGAAAACCUCACGAAGGAGUAGCUUCUCACUCCCACUUAAAAGGGUAAGACUAAAUAGUCUUUAUGCAAUAUGAUGCCAAAAUAUAGAGCUCAAUUUACAGUAAUCAUGUAAACAAAUGCAAAGAGAAGAUCGUAAUUUUUCAAAUCAACUUUUUAAUUUUCAACGAUAAGACAAAAAACAAUCAAUUUUACGGCUUGACUCUCUAAAUCUCCCCAGUGGAGUCGCUAAGCCGUCGAAACCAUUUUUUAUGGAUUUGAAAAAUGGGAAUCGACUUUUAAAAAUGAAAAUGGGAGUCGCCACCGAUCCUUUGUUGAGGUGUGAUCGGUACACCUUAAAACGAUUUUGGCCCACAAGAUUUGAGAAAAUAGGUUCGGGAGCUAGUUACGCACGAGGAAGGAUUAACACCCUCGUAACGCCCAAAAUUGGUACCGAAUCGAUUGUUUAAUGUCUUAAUGUUGAAAAGAUUUUAAAAUACGAUCCAUUGAAAAGAAAAUUUGAGUAAAAUGAAUUGGACGAUGAGACUCACUUAUUUCAAAGAAAUAAAUCGUCACACUCAGUAAGUUGGAGCGCAACAUUUUAAAUCCUCAAAAUUAAAUUUAUCUCUUGACUUUUGAAACCUAUACAUUUUGAGAAGGAUUUCCGAUUAUUUGGGUCAAAUGAGAAAAUCAAAACCCAGUAAGUUAGGGUUCAAUCUCACAAAAUCCCUAAAUAUCGAAUAUUGCCUUUAUUUUUAUUCAUUAUUUAGAAAAAAUCCUCAUCUCGAGAAAACCCUAUGUCGUAUUCAAUGCGUUAGGAUACAACAUAUCUAAUUCCCGAGAAUGAGCUUUUUAUUUGUGUGUUUUAAUUAAAGAAUAAACUCGAUUAUUUAGAUUCGACGAGGAAAAUUGGAACCUAAUACGUUAGGGCUCAAUUCUUUCGAAGAUCCUAAAUACCGAACUUUGCGUUAUCUUAAAAAUUUUUUUGAAUAAAUUGGUUUUGAUACUUAAAUGAUAUUAAACGUAAUCUUUUGAACGGAUAAAAACGAUUGAAUAAUAAUGUACCAUGCGAGAUGAGGAUUCAUAAACUAAAGCAUACACUAAUGAGUAACAAAGAUUUAAUAUAUACGAAUAAACAAUAUCAUAUAUAUAAGAGCAACAAUUUUAUAUCCUACAUUAUGCAAAUACUAACAUCCAUAUUAGCAAGCAAAAUGAAUUAAAAAACUAAUAUUAAAAAAGUAACAAGCGAAUUAAAUAAAAUGUAACAAGUUUUUAAAUAAAAAAAAAGCAACAUGAAAGAAGGGAAAUUAUAUAUUGAAAUAAGUUUAAAAUAAUAUAUAUACACAUGAAAGUUUGAAAUAAAUGAAAAAUAUAGUUAAAAACAAAUACUUCAUAAAAUAAUAGUAUCCCAAUAAAUUUAAAAAUAAAUAUUAUAAAACUAUAAAAAGUGUACAAAUUAUAUUUAGUUAUCAUAAAAUUAAGAUAAUAAGUAUUAAAUUUUAAUAAUAAUAUAUGAAAACUUAAAAUAACACGCGAAAGAAAACUUUUAGAAAAAUGGUUCAAUAGAUUUAAAUAAUAUCAAUAAUGAAUUUAUACUAAUAAGUUUAAUUAUUAAAAUAACAUUAGAUUAAACUGAAAUAUAUUAAAGAAAACAGAACCAAAAUAUUUAAAUUAAUUAAAAUGAACAAAUUAAAAUAGAGAUUAAAAUGGAUUUAAUGCUUAAUCGAAAAAAGAAAAUAAAUAAAAAGAAAAAGAAAAGAAAAUUAAAAGGCAAAAUGAAGCUUGCGCAUUACAUGAGGGAUUAAAUGGGAAACAUUCCCCGCCCUUCAAAACGCAUAGUGGCAGAAGGGACCAAAAUGAAACAACAAUGACAUAUCAGGCAGAAUCCAAAAAAAUAAAAAGAUUGAUUUGGAUGCGCUUUAAAGGCGAGGGACUAAGCGCGAAAAUAUCCCACUAGAGGCCAAAACGGGCGGAUCCGGCUGGUUCGGGUCAGGUUGGACGCGUGGGUAUGCAAAUACAACGCCGUUUUGGUGGCCACUGAUUCAGGCCCCAAACGACGCCGUUUCAACACCCCAAAAGAACCAAUUUUAAAACCCUAAACAAGGUUAUUCGGCCACUAAAAAAAUAGCAGAAAAAAACUUUGCCUUUCCUCUCUCCUCUUGCGCCGUUUUCAGGCUAAAACCAUCCCUAGCCUCUCUGGUAUCCACGAAACCAAUGAGAACGACGACGGGGUCACAGAGGCAUGUACUCCCUUUCCCUUUUAUUAUUUCUGUUCUUAACAAACAACUGAUGAACACAAAAUAAAAGAAAGAAAAAAACGGUAAAUAGAAAACAAAAGAAACUCAGAAAUCACCUCUUAGUAUUUCAAUUUUUUUCGUGUUCUCAAUUCGUGUCCCCUUUACAAUAUUCAAAUGGCCUUUUUAUGGCCAGAAUUACAGAAAAAAAUAAAAAGAAAAUAAAAUAAAAAGAAAUCCUCCCAAAUCCCCUCUGUUGCCCCUUUUCUAUCAUUUCUUUUUUACUGCCGUGUGUUCGUUGCAGGUUGUUUGUCCUUCUUGCAGGUACAGAGCAGUGGACGUGGAGGCGUGUGAAGGCAUCGCGCAUGUGUGAGGAGUGGCUCGAAGGUGUGGUGGCACACGUACGAGAGGGGAGCAUGCUGGCUGCGGCGCUGGUGCUAGGGCUGAAUGCCUAGGGUUUUUGCUUGUGGUUAAGGCUAGUGGGGUUGGGUGAUUGGGCUGAUUGGGUUGGGGAUAUUGGGCUAGGCUAGUGUUUGGGUACUUAAUUUAACUGGGUUUGUAAUCUAGACAUUAUGUUUUUUUGGACCAUUGUUUUAUUUUAUUUGGUUUAUUUUACUAACGGGCCGGGCAAAUUGGGCCUAUUACAAAUAACAUAAGUUAUCUUUACCCUUUGAAGAGUUAUCUUGAGAACUCUCAUUGUUCUCUUAUUUAUUACUGUGUUCCCACUUUUAAUGGUUCGUGAUUAUAUCUUUUAUUUUGUCAUAUUAUUAAUAUUAAAUGUCAAAUCUAUAUUCCAUAAAUGUCCUUUAUUCAUUAAGUGUGUGGGAGGGAUACAAUGGAUUAUAACUUAUUCAAAGUGUGGAUAUUGCAUUUAGAGGGUACAAAUUCAAGUCGAAGCUAAAUCUAGUAUUCAUAGGUAUGAAACAAUUUGAUAGAAAUUUGAUUUUUAAUAUAUACUCAUAACACAAGUAUACAAAUCAAAAGUAGUAGGUUAUGAGUAAUUAGAGAGAGCAAAUUUUGAGUCACUCUACGGAUUUUAUAUCAAUGCGCUUAUUUAACGAAAUUUGUCAAAAGAAAAGGUGGAUGGGCGUUGGGGGUGAGAUAAUUGUCAUAAAUGCUUACUCUGUCCACGCCAAUUGAAAUUUAAAUAUAUUGUUUUACCUUUACUCAUAUUCUUACAUUUCUUCUUUUAUAUUUUUAGUAUAUACUAAUAAUAUAUAUGUUUAUAUAUAUUACAAAAGAAUUAUGUAAGUCGAAAUUAUAUUAUGAAUAAAUUAUAAAUAUAUAAUACUGUGAUAUUACAUUGAGACAUCAUUAGUAAAGGAAAUGGGUGAAGCAAGUAGGUAUGAAGUGGGUUGUGAAAUUCUCUUUGAAGUUCGCGACAUCGAGUUUCUAUUUCUGCAUUCCUGAUUCUUUCUUGUUGAGAUUUUUACAUUGGAAUUUUCCUAUCCUCAAAAUUGCGACCUACUGUUGAAGUUAUAACGUCAAUUUCCUGACUUCAAAGUUGUGACAUCAUGUUUUCGCCCUCAGUAUUGUAACAUGAAUCCUUCUUUGUCGCGAUAUUGUCCCUGUAUUUUGUAAUUCUUAUGUUUUAGUCUCUAAUUUAUUACAGGUGUUUUCUAAGAGUUUUCGUAAACCCGCUUAUAAUUCGGAUCUGAAUAAAUAAUGUGUUUUAUUAACUAUCAAAACUAAAUUGCUUGUAUGCUUCGUCUACUAAAUAUUGAAAUAGAAUCAUAAUUGCCUCAUAAACGAAUAAAACAUCUCAUUAUCUUAGAUCCGACAAUCAAGUCGAGCAUGGAAUAUUACUAUUUUAGUGAAACCUGUGGUGUCAGCAUCAACUAUCUAACAUUCCUCUGCUACUAGCCACUUGGGAGUUGCACUUGGCUAGAGCUGGAACAUCCUAAAGAAUGCCACUACGGUCCUUUCCUACCACCCCCAACCUCAGGCAUGUACUAUCCCUUUUUAUUAUGAUUAGCUUAAUAAUAAAUCCUUAGAAUAGGUCAAACUUUUUAUAAAAAAAAUUGCAAUAUAUUAAUUAUUAAGAGAAAAAUAUUUGAUACACUAUCGAUGUAUAAGUCUUAUGCACCAUCAUGACAAUAAAAUAAAAAAUAGUGGGGACUUAUAAAUAAAUAAACAAUAACUUUAUUUAAAUAUAAUUAAUAAUUAACUAUAAAUAAAUGCUAAAACCUUAAACUCAAGAUCCUAGACCUAAGCCAUUAAACCUAAUGCCUUAAAUCUGAGAGUUAUUAAUAUUUGUUUAUAAUUGUUAUGAUUAUUUAAUUAUAUUUAAAUAAAAUUAUUUGUAUUUAUUUAUAAGCCUUCGACUAUUUUUUUAUUGUUUUCAAUGAUAAGAUGUAAUGUUAUUACUUAUCGAUGGUGCAUGAGAAUUAUGCACUGAUGUUGCAACAAAUAUUAUUCCAUUGUUUAUUUGGUUAACCUAAUUAAUACUCCAUGAGCUGGACUGGCAGUUGCUAUAACUAUUGCCAUAUGCUUCGUUGUCAUGUGGUUCAAAGGAAAUUCAUUAUCAAAUCAUAUAUGUCAAGGAAAGAAGAAAGAGGAUACUAUAGGAUUGAGGCAUUCGUCAAAUUUCUCUUACCCCAAGGGGAUAGUCUUACGGAGAAAUAAAGAAAAUGACAAAUAAAUUUAACAAUAAAUUAGGCUAAUGGAUAUGGUAAUGUAUACAAAGGGAAAUUAUCUGAAAAUCAUCUCGUAGCGAUCAAAGUCUUAAGUGAAUCAAAAGAAAAUGGAGAGGAAUUCAUGAAUAAAGUGGCUAGCAUUAGUAGAACAUCUCAUGUUAAUAUUGUGAGUCUACUUGGUUUUUUGCCUAGAGAAAUCAAAGAGAGAUUUGGUUUAUGAAUUCAUGCUCCAUGUAUCAUUGGAGAUGUUCAUUUAUGAUAAAAGAUCGCACCAUCAAAAUCAUCGAUUGGAGUGGAAAGCUUUGUAUGACAUUGCACACGGCAUUGCUAAAGGACUCAAAUUUUUGCAUCAAGGUUGCAACACAAGGGUCUUGUACUUCAACAUAAAACCUCACAAUAUCCUUUUAGAUGGGAACUUCUAUCCCAAGAUCUCCGAUUUCGGUUUAUCUAAAUUAUUCAAAACAAAAGAGAGUAUUAUUUCCAUGUAUUGUGCUAGAGGAAUAAUUGGAUAUAUUGCUCUAGAAUUGGUUUGUCGAAACUUUGACAGAGAUUCCUAUAAAUCUGACAUCUAUAGCUAGGGAAUGAUGGUCUUCGAAAUUGUAGGAGGAAGGAAAAAUAUUGAUGUUGGAGUGUCUCAAACUAGUGAAGUAUAUUUUCCGUAUGGAUUUACAAGCAUCUUGGUCAAUCUAUGAACUUGAAUCUUAAUGGAGUAGUUGAAGAAUAAGAAAUAAUAAGAAAGUUGAUUAUAGUGAGCCUCUGAUGUAUUCAACAUGAUCCGACUGAUCGUCCAUCAAUGACUAAAGUGCUGGAAAUAUUACAAGGAAGUCUUCAAUCAUUGAUAAUUCCACCUAGAACAUUUCUAUAUUCUCCUAUACACUUGCUUGAACUUUUGUAAGAUCAUCUAAGAUUUAGUCUUAAAUUGGUUUGAUGCUGCAAGUUUAAUCCAAAAUCUAUAUAACUAUAUAUGAUAGGAAGGUUCAAAAUGGUAUAUUUCAAUUUUGAUCCCUUUAAUAUGUCUAAAUUUGAGAUUUAAUCUUUAUACUUUAAUUUUUAACAUAAUUUGAUCCCUAUAUUUUUAUAAUGUUAUUACUAGUCAAAUAGUUAAUAUUGCUAACUUUUCAAUUAAAAUGUUACAUGGUCAUACAUAAUUUAAAAUCAGAUUUUUAAAUCUAAAAAUUAGAGGGAUUAAAUUCUUAAAAAUAAAAGUAGGAAGACUAAAUUCCAAAUGUACGAAGAGUAGAGACUUAGAGCCAUGGUUAUUUGAACCGGACUGGACCGACCGAGGUAUCAGUCCAGAGAGAGGCAUUAGAUUGGUUCACUCGUGAGCUAGUCUUAAAGACUGACACAUGGUUUCUUAUUUCUUCUAUGUUUGCUCAGUCUUACCUUUUCCUUUUGCAAUUUUAUAAAAAUGAUUAAAUUUUAAUUUUGGUCCUUCUAUUAUGCCUAAAUUUUAGAUUUAACAGCUACACUUUAAUUUCCAAAGUAAUUUGGUCACUAUAUUUUUAUACUAUUAUUAAUUAGUCCAAGUAGUUAAUAUUAUUAAUUUUUCAAUUAAAAUAUUACAUGAUUUUAUAUAAUUUAAAUGUCCUAAGGGUCUUAGAGAUGGAUACAUAGCUUUCUAUUUCUUUUAGGCUUUCUUUUUUCUUUUUCUUUUUCUUUUUUGUACAUUAUAAGACAACAAUCAAAUGCCACUUUGUGUCUUAUAUUAUGUUCAAACUUGAGAUUUGAUCUUUAUACUACUUUAUUUUUUUAUAUAACUUGAUUUUUUUUUUACUUUUAUAAUGUUAUUAGUUAUUUUAAAUAUUUAAUAUUGUUAACUAAUUCAAUCAAAAUGUUGAUGUCAAUUUUUCUUAGGAACAAUAUUCCAACAAAAAAAAUUAUUUUCUCAUUACGAGUUUGAAUGAAUGUUUUUAAGAAAAAAAUCUAUAUAAAUAUUUUCAAUAUUGUUUUUAUUGUUACGUGAUUAACAAUUAAUUUUUUUUAAUUUCAAAAUAUCACAUCAGCGAAUUUAAUAGAAGAAGUUUAACCUUGGUAACAAUUGGACCUAAAAUUUUAAAUCCAAAAAGUAGAUGGUUUAAAUUUCUAAAACUGAAAGUAGGACUAGAGAAUAUUUUAAUCUUCAAAUUUGUACUUCAUAGUUUGACACAAACAAAUAAUCAAUCCAACAUGAAGCGAGGGAAUCAUACUAGUUCUAAUAAUAAUAAGGGUAAGAUACACCAUUAGUCACUUAGCUAUUAGCAUGUUUUUGUUUUGGUCAUCAAACUAUAAAAACAUUGAAUUCCAUGACUAACAUUUCCAAUCGAUUAUGUUUUGGUCACUUUUAGAUUGUUAACAAAAUUGAUGAUGCGGUCUUUUUUUAAUUGGUGUAAUAACACCCAUUUAAUCUUUAAUACUUAGACAUUAAUAGAAUUUGUAAAUCUGAAGGGUUAAAUUUAUUGAAUUAUUAAGAAUUGGGAGCAAACUGAUAGAAUUCAUAAAUGUGGAGGGUUAAAUUUGUUGAAUUAUUUAGAAUUAGAACCAAUUUGAUAGACUAUGUAUGUGUUGAGGACUAAAUGUAUUAUUAUACCAAUUAAAAAAAGGUCACACUAUCACUUUCAUUAUUGAUUUAAUAAAGAGUGAUCAAAACAAAAUCGAUAGAAAACAUUAGUGAUGAAAUUAAAAGAAAAAAUUAUAGCUUAAUAAGCAAAAUAAAAACACAUUAAUAAUUGAAUGAGUAACGGUCCAAUUUACUCCAUUAUUAUGUUUGGAUAUCACAAUUAUGAUGAAAAACAAUGAAUUUUAUGGUUAAAAAAGCUGCAACAAUUCAAAAUAUGUUAAAUCACAUUUUCAUAAGAUAAAAUUUGGAAAGGUUAGUCACAUCAAAUAGUUUAAUUUAAAGGCAUAAUGAUAAAUUUAACAUUCAACGUUUAUAAAUUUUGUUAACUUUUUUUAAGUUAACUUUGGUCAUUAACUUUUCAAAAAAUAGUCGAAUUGUUUUUUAACAAAAAUGUUGACUAAAACAUUAAUUUUUAAUAUUAUUGGCGUGACAACUCGCAUGACAGUUAAUGUGCACGUCAUAUUGUCAUAGUACCAUUUGUCUUAUAUGUCACGUCAAUAAAUAAUUAAAAAUUUUAAAAGUAAAAAAAUAAUUAAAAUCAAAAUAUAAAAAAAUGCUCAUAAAAGUUCAAAAAAAAAAACAUGAAAUACAUACUGAUUGUCAUACAAACUGUUGUGAUUAAAAAUUUAACAUUUUAGUUAAUAUUUUCAUUAAAAAAUAUUAUUUCAACUUUAAAAAAUAUGAAUGAUUAAAUUUGACUUUUUUUAAAAAAAAAUUAAGGAUUAAAUUUAGCUAAAAAUAAAAUAAAAAUUAAAUUAAGAAAUAAUAUAAAUAGUAAAGAUUAAAAUUUCCAUUAUGCAUAACUUAAAAUAUGAUUUGAAAAGAGGGUGAGUUAUAAGUUGGAAUGAUUUCUUUGUAUAACUUUGAGAAAUAUUAAAGUAUGAUUUGGAAACAGGAUUUGAGCCCUGAUUUAUGUCUCAUUAACAUAUCAAUAGGAAAAAUAUGUGCAAAAAAUGGAUAAAUUUGAAAGAACAAAAAAAUUAAAGUAAGGAAGAAAUUUCCUAAGAGCUUCGGAGACUUGACUGAUAAAAAUGUCUUAUCAAAAUGGAGUCACAUUCCAAGUAGAUAAUGAAGCAUACGGUCCAGUUGAUUGGUCUUGGGUUCAAAGACUUUUCUUUGUAACUACAUACGGCAUGCAUACUAUAUGAUACAAUAUGACGAAAAGAAAAAGAAAGAAAAUGAUACCAUUAUAUAAUACAAAUUAUUUACGUUUCAAAUUUAUUAUUAUAAAAAAAAACAUCACAUGUCAAGAAUCUUGAUUAGUUGAUGAUAUUUUUUUAAUGGAGAUAACGGUAGGAGUCAUAAUGGUUCGACUAAAAAAAGCGACAUAGUUUGAAGGCUGCUUAUUAAAUUCAGCCUGAUUAUUAUUUUGAUAUAAAUAUCAAAAUUAUAUAUAAAUUUUGAUUCAAUGUGCAAUAUCAUACAUAAACUUUGAUUUUAUGUAAUUUUAUACAUGAAAUUUUGAUUUGAUUCAAUUUUUAUAAAUUACUAACAAUAUUUUCAAAUUAACACGUUGAUAUAUUGCAAUCUAAUAUGAGAAUAAAUGUAUGUAUUCAUUUUUAUAAAUAUAUACAAUUGAAUCAAAAUCAAAAUUAAAAUUUUAUGUAUGCAUAUAAAUUUGAUAUUUAUCCAAGUUAAAUUGGGGUAGAGGUAAUAUGUAUGGAUGAGUGUUUAAUAACUAUUUUAUGCAUUUAAAAUAUGUUGUUAGCCUUUGUAUUUGUAUAGAAUUUGAGAUUUGGUCCUUGUAAUUUAAAUGCUAAGCAUUUAAUUCUCUACUUUUUCAGCUUAAAAAUCCUAAUCGGAUCAUUUUCGUUGUUGGUAGUUUUUAUCAAAAUUUAUCUAUUUAUAAAUGUUUAUUUUCUAUCAAUCCUAUGACAUGUCAUAUAAGGACAACAUAAUCAAAAUUCCAAGUUGAUAAAUUUUGACAAAAUAUACUUAGGGUUUUAAUGAAUGAACUAAGAUCUUUAAAUCGAAAAAGUAGAAUGAUUUUUUUUGAACUUUUUAAGUACAUAGACUAAACUUCAAAUUUUGUCAAAGUUUAAGGGCUAACAACAUAUUUUAAUAAAAAAUUUGGGACACCACACCUACAAGAAAAUAAUAAAAAAUAAAAAAUUUAUGACAUAGUAAUAUUUUAUUAGUGACUAAAAACUUAGUGUCUCCGUUAUAUAAAUUAUUCUCAAUUAAUAAUUGUAUUACAACUUUGCUUUGAAUUAAUUGUUAAAUAAGUUUUCUACAUAUUGUGAUUUUGUAAAAAAUUAAUAUAUAGUUUGUCUCUUAAAUUUGUCCAAAAAGUACAUAAUUAGUAUUUGAAUUUUUUUGGAUCUAGUUGGUACUUUAACUUGUAUUCUGUCACCUUAACUGGUACCUUUGCACUAACAUAAUUAGUUUGUGCUAACAUGACAUUGAUAACCAAUUUAGUGGUGACAUAUGGUAGCAUCACAGUAUGCCACGUGGUGAGAAUAAAUUAAAAUUUUAAAAAUAUUUAAAAUAUAUAAAUUAAUAAAAAAUGUGUUUUUUUCACACUCUAGACAAUCAUUUGUUUAGAUUCAUUUUAUAUGUAUUUUUAGUAAGUUAAUAUAAUUUUUUUAUAAAAUAUCAGCUUUUAGGUUAUUACUAUUAUAUAUAUAAUAUAAAUUUAGAAAAAAAAUAUAUGCAAUUAAAAUAUAUAAAAUAUUGAAAUAUUUGAAGCUAUUACAAUGUAUCAAGGGAAAUGCCCACUUCCUUCAUUUCUACGACAUUGCCAUGUUUAGAAUAUUGGAAAUUUAUUGAAGCAAAUCUUUGGGUUGUGCUAAUAUCCUAGAAUAAUUCAAACCUAUCAAUGAGAAUCAAUUCACUUGGAGAAAUUUAUCUAGAAGGUUAAAUUAAAUCUAAUCGGAUCGUGUGUAUCAAAUCUCUUGGAUUGAGGAAGUUGGAUUGAAUCAAAACUCUGAAGACUUAUUUGCCAACAACCUAUUUUACCUUGAUUGUUAGUAUUAUAUUAAAUGUAGCUAUUUUAAAUGUUGUUUAGAAGGGAUUGUGAUUGAUCUUCACUAUUUUAGCAAGUCUUGAAAACUCUAUAUGAUUUAAAGACUUGUAUAAGUUGAUGUACUGAUUGUUAAGAGUACUUAUCUAUUCAAGUGAGGAACAUUAUUUGUGAAAGUGCAUUUGUGAUUGUUAAACCUUUGUAUUGUGGUCUUACAGAUUAAAUUCUCAAGGGGAGAAUUUAGUGACGGGAGAUCUAGUCUUUGAAAUAUAAGAGUGAGGAUUCUUUACUAGAGUGUGUUAAAAUUAGAACACUAUCUAUAUUUGAUGCAAUGAUACGUAGAGAAACUAAACUGUAAACAAUUUUACUCUCCCCUAUUUACAUUGUGCAUGUUGCAAUUUUUGCAAAAGUGCCCAUAUCUGCAGUCACUUCUGCUCAUACUUUGUUACUUGUAGAUUUAGCAACUGUUCCAAGUCAAUAUAAAUAACUUAUAAUAUUUUUAAAAUAUAUAAAAAUUUAUGAUAUAUAAUAUAUAAAUAUAUAAAAAGAACUAAAAUUUUAUAAUAUAUAUAAGAUCUAAAAAACACAUCUACAAUGAAUCUGGACAAAUGGAUCUUUGGAUGCAUUUUAAUCCAAACAAGACAACCAUCUAUCUAGUUUUAUUCUUGAUGUAAAUUUUUUUAAUGUUUUUUUUUAUUAAUUUAUACAUUCUAAUUUUUAAAAUUUUUAUAUAUUUUAAAUUUCAAAAUAAUAAUAUAAAUAACUUGAUAUUUUAUAAAAAAAUAUAAACUUAUUAAAAAUACAUCAAUCCAGGCAUAUGGUUGUCCAGACUUAAAUAUAUCUAGACAACCAUUUGUCCAGGUUCAUUCUUGAUGUGACAUGAAUCUAGACAUUAAGAUGUCUAGUUUCAAAUGUUUCUAGACAACCAUUUGUCUAAGUUCGUUCUUGAUGUAAAAAAUCAUAUGUUUUUUAUUAAUUUAUAUAUUUUUAAAGAUUUGUUAAAUUUUAAAUUUAUGCCCACCACGUGUUACCAUUGGAUUAACUAUUAGUGCCACGUCAGCAUAAACUAACAAUGUUAGUACUUUGUGAUAGGAUACAAAUUCAAAUACCAACUAGGCCUUAAAAAGGUUCAAAUUCCAAUUACAUACUUUUGGGCAAGCUCGGUGUUUCAUAAUUCACGAAUUGUAAUACUUUCAGAGAUCCGUGAGUGAAAUUAUUUUUACUAGUAAGUACUUGAAAUGAAUAAAUAUUACUGUAACUCCCCAAACCCAGCCUAGACAUUAUGGUCGUAUCUGGCAAUGUCAUACAAUAGUGUUUUUGAAACCUCGUUGUUACAAUGAUAACAUUUCGUGUUAUUAUCUUUAGUAAACCUUUGUUAGAACUUAGGAAGUUGUCUUUAUUCAUUUAAAACAUUUGUUUUAAAACAUCCCUUAUUGUGGAAGCUUUAAUAAAAUAGUCUAAGUGAUCAUGCAUUUAGAAAAUACCUUAACUUUUUGAAAAUCGAAUUUCUUACGACCAGCAGGUAUAAAUCCAUAAAGUAAAAUAAAUAAAUAAAAACUCAAAAUUUAAAACCAAAGUCCCAGAGGGUCCAUAAAUUACAACCCAAAUAAUCAAUAAUAAUCAAAUCAUAAAUCGUAAAUUGAAAAUCAUGAAGUCCAAAUAUUAUUGUGGUCACCGCUGAGUCCUCCGUCGCACCGAUCUGUCUAAGUCUGGGGAUUACCUAUGCACAUUAAAUAAAUCAGUGACAGUUUGGGCCUAGCUCAUCUCAGUACAGUGUAAAAAAUACAGUAGGGCCUUAGCCCAUCAUAGUAUCAGUAGUAGCAACAGCUAUGAAAUUGCAAAAUCCUACCCAACCAACCUCUACACACCAUCUCUGUCCAACCCUACACUCCAUGUGGGGAUAUAAUCAACCCACCCAUCCCUACACUCCAAGUAGUACCGAAUGUGGCACAAAACAGUAGUUUGCAGCUGAGCUGCCAGUAAAUUAGGCUUAAAGCCUUUCAAUACACUUCCUCCGGAUAACAACCCCAACCCAAUGCAAUGCAACAUACCAUGGAUGAUAUGCUAUUAUGCAAUUUCAGUACAAAUAUUCAAUUCAGAUAUUAACAUGCUCAGUACAAAUAUCAUUCAGUCAAUUUCACACAUUUAGGGUUCUAAGUAGCGCUUACCGACCUUAUAGUAGGUUUACAGUUGACUUGGGCGACCCGUGCAAUCUUAGAACCAGUUCGGUAAAAAUGGGCCCACACGGCCCACUCGACCCAAAUUGGCCUUAGCCGUGUGAUCCAUUUUUUAAUGUAACCCAUGCUAGCUAAAUAUUCAUAUAUGUUUUCACUAUUUACUUUUAUGAUCAUUCAGAGUUGUCUACUUGAGUCAUUGUCACUAAAUUAUUUAGAUCUUAAGCUAUAGAAUUCCAAAUUAAUAUCCAACACAACUACUCAGAAUUUUGCCCCAACACAACUCUUAGCCAAAAUUGGAGCAAAAAUACUAUCUCCACACCAUCACAGAGAAUUGAACCCAAGACCUCCUUCACACUAACACUCCACUUAUCCACUAGACCAGCAAGCCUAUUCUGUUAAUUUUUUGCCCUCUUUUACUUAAAAGACUACUGACCAAAGAUAGGGCCAAAAUUUGCCCAAGUCCUAGCUUGAACUUGGGAACUUUCACACACCCAGAACACUUAACCACUGAAGCAGAUACACAGUUGAGUCACACUUUCACAAGAACAAAAAAAAAAUUUGGGGCGUUACAAUUACCAUCAAUAUCAUACCUAAUAAAAAAGGAAAAAUAAUUUUUAAAAAGGGUUUUUUUGUAAAAGAAAUAUAAGUUUAUUUAUUAAUAAGUAGUUAAAAUAUGUCAUAAGUCUCUAUGCUCUUUGUAAAUUUAGAAUUUAGUCUUUGUACUUUUAUUUUUAGAAAUUUAAUCCUUCCACUCUUAGAUUUUAAAAUUCAAAUUCAACUGUUAAAAAUAUUAAUAUUAUUUUUUAAAAUUCAAGUUCAUUCUAACGUCAUAUUUUUAGUUACAUGACUGCAAUAGAAAUUCUAGUCUGCAUAUCCUCAAUUAGGGCCGAAUCAUGUUGCCUCACCAUGUUACUAUCCAUAUUUAAAUCCAGGAUUCCACUGGGUUGAACUUCCAAAGCAACAGCUCGUUGCUCCAUGUGGACAAAAAUUGGGCUAUUAGCAGCCAAAUCCUCCUUUUCAAUUGUCCCAAAACCCGUUCCAUGUCCCAGCAUGUUUGGUUGAUUAAGGCCUAUUCCAGAUGAGCCCACCUCUUUUCCUAUAUGUCCAAAAGAAUUCCCUUUAUAGAAUCUAUUUGAAUUAACCCUAGCCCAUUGUCUCUCGCUCGAUAUAAUUCCAUCAUAAUCACCUAAAAUAGUGGUGUUCUUGCUUGUUAAAUUCAGAGCAUCAAAUAUUGUCCCAACUGAUCCAAAAUCCACCUUUUUAGACGGUAAACUCGUUCUUUCCCUGGGAUUUCGCUGAUUCUUUCUCUCAACUAUCAUCUAUGGCCUGUAGGCCACCACCUUUUCCAUCAUAGCUUGGUCAGUCCUUGUUGGAGCCUCCGUCGACAACUUCCCCUCCCUUGAGCCAGAUCUAUAACACUGUUUGGACACACAUCCUUCAAGUGGUCGUAACGCCCGCAGCCAAAGAAUAUCACCGUCAGCGAUUCAAACUCAACCUAUUGAAGAGUGUCGUUUAUCAAUACUUGAGAAGUCAGUGGCUCAUCAAGGUUAACGUAUACUUUCAUUCUCGCGAACUUUCCUCUCAUUCUACUAUCUGUGUUGAAAUCAAUUUUUGAGACUUUACCAACCAUCCCUCCAAUUUCUUCAAGAAUUUUCCGUUUGUAUAGAAACCCCAGAAGCCCUGGAAGUCUAAUUCGGGCCUUGAAAACAUUCGAAUUAAAACACCCCCUACCUAUAUUCAUCACUGGAAUAGGGUACGAGGCAUUACCGAAGUUUUCUGAAUUAAUUUUUCCAUUAUUAAGAAUUAAAUACUAUUCUUUUAUUAAAGCAUAUUAUGAUGUCCCUUAGAUGGGCCUCUGAAACCCAAAACAUACACCGAUAUCAAACCAAAUCAACCAAUUCAAUUCAACAUAUUUUCAAGAUAGAUUUACACAUAUCUAUAAGAUAACCUCAUCACAUACCAAAACCAGGAUUUGAUAGCCAUACCAAUGGCUAACUUUACAUUAAUUUCAUAUUAACAUUUACUUUAUCAACUUAAACACGCUAUUGAUUUCCAAAAUAAAGUUUCUUAAUAUACCAAAAUGUUGAAGUUGAUAGUGUGAUGUGUCUUCGACCGAAUCCAACCUCCAAGCUCUUAAUACUACAAAUCAAUGAAAAAGGAAAUAGGGUAAGCAAGUUGUGCUUAGUAAGCUCAUGUAACAAGAAUUAUACUUACCUAAUAUUUUCAAUACAAUACAAUAAAUAUUCAUACAUCCAUUCAAUCUACCAUUUACCUAUCACACACAAACUCAACCAAAACAUUAAUCAAAUAGCAUCAUAUGAGUUCGAUACAAAGAUUAAUGAUUGUUAAGUUCAUCAAUUCCAUGUUUUCUAUGACCCUUAUUAUUUCUCAUAUUUAUCACGUUGAAUUUCUCAAAAUUUCGAUGGAUUUUCAAAGGUACACUUCUAGCAUACUAUUCUGGGUCCGUCAAUUCAUAUUCAUGUGCGCACAUUUCCAUUUCAGAAAGCACACUCCUGCGAACCUCAUCCUUACAACGAGAUUACCAGUCCAGGCUAAAUCCCCUGCAACGACAAUUUACUCUAAUACGCUUAGAUUUGAAUUACCAGUUCAGGCUAAAUUCAGACCCUAAUUCGGAUUACCUAUCCGGGCUAAAUCCAAUUUUCACAUAUUCUUUGAGAGGGCAAUAUCAGGAUAGGAUCACCUGUCUGGGCUAGAUUUUUUUACCGUAAAUUCCUUUUUAAAGAUCCAUCGAAUUUUCCUUUCAUUCAACCGAGAUUUCUUCCCCUUUUUAUCAAAUAUAUCAAUGUUUCAUCAAUUUUUAUACAAUGAAAAUUUAAAUCAUAUUCACAUCAAUAACAUACAUUUCAAGCAUUUAAGAAUACAAUUCAAGUUACACGAACUUACCUCGAUACUUGUUCGUAUUCAAAAAUCUACUAAUCCCGAACGUUUUCCUUUCCUCGAUCUAGCUUCAUAUUUGAAUUUUCUGGAUCUAAAUAAAUAAAUUUAAUCAUCAAUUUAAUAAAUUUCAUGUUCAUAUGUAACAUUCUCUAUCCACUAUUAUUUAUAGUUCAUCCAAAGUUGUCUACUUGAGUUAUAGUCACUAAAUUAUUUAUAUCUCAAGCUACAGAAUCCAAAAUUAAAAACCACUUGGUGUUUAUGAAACUAGACUCAAAUACCUUUCUACCAUAAAAUUUUCACAAUUUUUGGUUCAUCAAAUAAGUUCAGUAAAAUCUUCAAACUUACCCAUGUUCUGCUGUCUGAUAGCUUCGACCUUUAUUUGCUAAAAAUUAAUUAUCUCUUAGUACAAAUUUGGAUGAUGUUUCUAUUUGUUUUUAUUGAAAAUAGACUCAUUAAUAAUUUAAACAUGUAAAUUUUAACUCCUAAUUAUUUUUCUCCAAUUUUUGAUUAUUUUCCAAAUUCAGAACAGGGGAACCCAAAUUCAUUCUGACCUUAUCUCACAAAAUUUAUCAUAUCUCAUGAUUUACAAUUCCAUUACUUACACUGUUUCUUCUAUGAGAAACUAUACUUAAUAAGAUUUAAUUUCAUAUUUUUUUCAUCCUCUAAUUCAAGUUCCACAAUUUAUGGUGAUUUUUAAAAGUUAGUCUACUGCUGUUGUCCAAAACUGUUUUAGUGCAAGAUAUUUAUUACCAUUUUUCCCCUAAGCUUUUAAUAAAUGAUAAUUUCAUCUACGAUCAAUUAACCUCUCAAUUGAGCUGAUUUUUCUCAAUUAACAUUUUAUUCUAUCACUUUAAACUACUUUAUAACCUUUGGGAAUCAAAAUUUCAGCACUAGACUUUAAUUCCAACCUUUUCACAAUUAGGUCCUAAAAAUCAAUUUCUAUUGAAAUUACCUAAUAAAAUCAUCUCGUAAAUGAAUUAAAGCUUCAAUUUCAUGUUAUUUCAUCGUAAACUUACAGCACUCAACCAUGGUGACUUUCAAUUUCAUCCAUGAAAUCAAAAACUAAUGAAUUUUAUAGUAGAACCUAGUUGUAAAAGUCUUAAAAACACAAAAAUUACAAGAUAAAGGCAAGGAUUAACUCACUUGGUGCAAAAAUUAUGAAAUACCAGCUUAAAGACCCCCUCCUAUGGCGUUUUGGCUGAUGAUAAUGAAGAGAAAUCACAAGAAAUCUAGAUAUUUCCACAUUAGUCCUAAUUUUAUUUAGUUAAUUAUGCAAUAUUCCAAUUUUGCCCUUAAAUCAUCCAUUUUCUUGCUGAUUUCAUGCCCUUGCCGUCCAGCCCAAAUAAAUUUUGGGUCUAAUUUCCUUUUAAAUCUUUCCUCAUUAGACACUUAAGCUAUUUAAUCAUCUCAACCACUUUUACACCUUUUCCAAUUUAAUCAUUUUCAUUUAAUUGACUACCCAACAUUAAAAUUUUCUAAUGAAAUUUUAAUACAACAUUACUAACACUCCAUGAAUAUUUAUAAAAAUAUUUUUGGCUCGGGUUUACGAGAUCGAGGUCUCGAUACCUUAUUUUUACCCAAUUUCUUCAAUAAUUUCUUUUUCUAACUAACCACUAAAUCGAUAAAAUUUUUCUAUCAAUAUUUUCAUACGAUUUUCCUAUCAUAUCAAUAUUCAUGCAAAAAUAUUAAAAUAAAUUUCUCUUUAAAUCGAAUUUGUGGUUACGAAACCACUGUUCUGAUAACCUUAAAUUUAGACCAUUACACGAAUAAGGUUGCAUCAAAUUGAAAUCCAUAGUCCAAGGUUGCACGAUAUGUACUUUUUCAUAAUCCUCUGUUUCAAAAUUUUCACUAAAACAUAAUCGUUCUCUAUGUCCAUUAAGUGGAAUGACAAUGUUGGCUUCCAUAGACUACUAACUCUAUUUUGUAAGACCUUAUAUCCAAUAGACCAUCCCAAAAGCUUAAUAACCACCAUUGUUGCCAUGUCUUUGAUCAAUAAAUGAUUAAUUCUUUUAGAGAAACUGAUUGCAGGGAUGCCAUUGAUCAAGGAUCUUGUAAUAUCGACAUCCAAAAGUUCAAAAUCGUCAUAUUCAACAAGUCGAGACUAGGCAUCUGAUGCCUUAGAUCCAUCAGACCUACCACCCAAAAGUCUAUCUUUCUAGGAAAGCGUCGACUUAGGUUCUGAAUCAACCGCCAUAUUAGAGCCCUCAUCCGUAUAUGAGUCCUUGAAUAUUACUUUUUUGGUUGAAGGAUUUUCAGAGAAACCAAAAAUAUUACUUUCAUUCGCCAUUUUGAUUGAAGGAUUCACAAUUUUAAAUCCAUUUCUCUGCUUCAUCAUCUCUUCAAUUUUAAAUUAAUUAAUUUAGCUCAACAUAGUUAACAUCGAUUGUUUGGAUAGAGUGCCUAAUUAAUUCUAGAGUGAUUCUUUACUUUUAGUUCUUAAAAUUUGUCUCUUAGGUUUCGAUGUUGAAACUAUUUCUAACUCGAAUUUACCUUCAUUGUAAUUAUUAUCUAAUAUGUACACUUGUGUUACACAUUCCACCCUUGUGGUUGAGACAAUCAAUCCUUUCUAUUUGUUAUCAUUACUAAUACUACUACGAUUGAAAUUAGUGAAGUAGAAUCCUCAAAUUUUAAGGAUUGCGAUGGAGUGACUUGCUUUUGUCGCUCUCAAGUUAAAAUCACAAUUUCCAACAUAAAUUCUCAAUAAAAAAACAUAUGGGUGGAUAAAAUAUAAUAAAAAAAUUAAAACAAUAUUUAAGGCGUGAAUCACUUUCUUUAAGGACCGACAUUUAAAGCAUGCAUUGAUAUAUGUUCCUAUUGUAUUAUUACUAAGCUAGCCUAAUUAUCAACGUUGUAAAAAAAUGUUAUUUAAAUGGGAUAUAUAUAAAAUUAUACAUGAAUCUAAAGGAUUGCGAUGGAGUGACUUGCUUUUGUCCCUCUCAAGUUAAAAUCACAAUUUCCAACAUAAAUUCUCAAUAAAAAAACAUAUGGGUGGAUAAAAUAUAAAAAAAAAUUAAAACAAUAUUUAAGGCAUGAAUCACUUUCUUUAAGGACCGGCAUUUAAAGCAUGCCUUGAUAUAUGUUCCUAUUGUAUUAUUACUAAGCUAGCCUAAUUAUCAAAGUUGUAAAAAAUUGUUAUUUAAAUGGGAUAUUUAUAAAAUUAUACAUGAAUUUUCAUUCAAUGUGCAUUUUGAUGUUUAAAGUUUGAUUCAAUAUCAUUAUACACAUGAAAUUUUAAUUACAGUUCAAGUAUAUAAAUGAAACUUUGAUUUUGAUUCAACUAUACAUAUUUGAAUAAAUAAAAACAUCAAUUUAUUUUUAUAUCAAACAAACAUAAUUAUUUGUGUAUGAAGUAUGUUAACGUACAAUGAUGUUUUUGAUAAAUGUGUUAGAAUUUUUGAAAAUUGAAUCAAUUUAACAUUUAAUAUAUAAGAUUGCACAAAACUGAAAUUCACGUAUAGAAUUGCAUACUGGACCAAAGUUCAUGUGUAGUGUUGGACAUUAUCCCUAUUAAAUUCUCUAUACUAUGUAUUUCUUGAGAAUAUGAUAUUGCUACCAUCGCAAAAUAAUAACAAUCCAACAAUGAAGCUAUUAAAAGCUAGAAAGGUUAGAUUUGAUAUUCUACAUUUACAAUUAUUUGAGUAUUACUCAUCUGUUGUGAUUUGUGAUUGACGGGAAUUCUGUUAAGAAUAAUUCAAAUAACAAGUUCUUAACAGAAUUCCAGUCAAUCACAGAAUUCCUCUCAAGUUCGUCAUUUAAAGUUAUAUUUGAGUGUGUUGUGGCUUGUGUAAAAUAACUAAAGUAGUGAAAUGUUGGAUAAUUGGGGAUGUGGUGUCAUUGAUGGCACAUUGGUUAGGUACCUAGGUUGGUUGUUUAACUUGAUUUGAGUAGUUGAGAAUGCAUUCCAAAGUCUUGUGAACAUGUGUGUAAGUGUAUAAUUAGGUACUUAAGCAUUUGUUUGUGAAAUGAGCAUGUUUUGAGACAUUUAAAAGCACAAAAGGCUUGGGACAUAGGUUGUCACCCGAUCGUGUGCCUCUAGCAUGUUAUGGUACAGGUUGAUCCACACAGGCAUAGAGAGUUACACGGCCUGGCGACACGGCUCUGUGACCUUAUAUUACACGGGCAUAGUGAGUUACACGGUCUGCGCACACGAGCUUGUGGUUUGUCACACGACCAUGUUUAGAACCACACAGUCUGGGUUCUGCCACACGGCCAUAUGACCCUUAUUUUGAAAUUUUUUAGUUUUUUUUUGAAACUUUCUGAUUUACUUUGAAUUGGUCCCUGAUUGUUCCUAAACUAUUUUUAAGGCCACAUAAACUUGAUUUAAGGCCCAUAAAUGUAUGUAUUACUCCAAUCUGAAUUAUUUAUGAAAUUCUAUUAAUUAAUUUUGCAAACUUGAUGCUAUUUGUUAUUGAUUGUUCUAGUUUGUAUGGUAAUAUGUCAUAACCCUAAUCCGACGACGAGUACAGGUUAUGGGUGUUAGAUUUAGUGGUAUCAAAGUUAUAGUUUAUUUGAUUCUUGGACUGAACAUAACAUGUUUGAAGUUUAGAGAAUUACAUGCCAUAUAAACCUAUAAUAGUGUGAUAUGAUUGAUCUGAUCUAACCUCUAUUUUUCUUACAGAUUUAUAAAUGUUAAUAGAAUUUGAUUUUGAUCAUACUGACCUUGAUGAGGUAAAUGGCCCCACAACCGAUUUUGCAAAUGUUUGAUAGUAAAAUCAAAAUGUCCUUUUGAUUUAAUGAGUUAGUGGUUCACAAAAGUAGUGCGAGCCAAUUUAGUGGUAAAACAGUCGAUGACUCAACUAGGGUUAGGUACUGGAUUGAAAAUUUCUAGGAAUAUUUUUGAUGAUAUGGGUUGUUUAUUUGAUUAUUAUCUUAGAUGUGACAUGUCCUUAACAACAGGUAAGAUUUUAACUAGUAUUCAACAUUAACGGUGGUUGUAUCGAAAGACUAGAUUAACUAGAAUUUCUUUAGAUUUGAGUUUAGAAAGAAAAAUGUCAUCAAAUGUAGUAUGGAUAGGAAUUUGUACAACUCAGUAAAUAUAAUCGAGAAAUUGUACCUAUAGAUUGUGUUAAACAGUUGUCUACGCCUCAGAAAGGCAAACACAUUGGUCAGAGAUAUAACAUUGGAAUUAAAUAUAAUGGAACCGAAGACACAAUUGUUAGAUCUGAAGCUACCGCAUCUGAUAUUAUUUCUGGUACGUUCUAUCUCUUUGGUAUUAUUUAUUGUAUAUGCAUUGGGUGAUACUGGAUUAACUUACUUAUAUAUUUGCACUACAUUAGUAACGAAUAAGGAUAUAUUUCUUAAGUCAGUUGAGUUUGAUUUCUAGUCAUAAUCCAUUGGGUAGAGUGUAAUAGUUAACUUGGUAUAUCGAAAUUGUCUGUUGAGAAUCUAUGGUUGUGAUUUUCCUAUUGAUUUGAUAUUAUUACCAUUUCAUGAAUUUGAUAUUAAUUUGGGAAUAGAAUGGCUAAGCUUAUACGAUGUUGUAGUGAACUAUAGACUGAAAUAAAUUGAUCUAUAUUGUCAUAAUUGUGAAAGGAUUAUGGUUGAGUUUGAUUAAUUUAGAUAAUACUACUAGAUUUAUUUCAGUUAUCUCUGUACAUAAAUUGACUUGUAAGCAUUAUAUAUAUGUUUACUUGACACUCAAGAAAUGGGAUCAAAGAUUUAUCAUGUAUCUAUUGUCAGCGAAUUUCUUGAAUUGUUUCUUGAAAAAUUUUCGGGAUUUUUGCUUAAACGUGAAAGUUGAACAAAUUCAGGAUAAAGAAUAAAUAUAUUUUAUCUCGUUAGACGACCUGUUUGAUUAGUUAAAAGACGUAAUAGUGUUCUCGAAGAUAAAUAUAGAUUUGGAUGUUAUUAGUUGCUAGUAAAGAUUGUGACAUAUUGGAAAUUGUUUUUGAGCUCAAUGUGGCCAAUAUGAAUUUUGGUAAUGUUCCCUAGAUUAAUUAAUGUCUUUAUGAAUUUACGAAUUUGAUAAAUCGGUUUUUCAACUUCAUCUGAACAUAUAUUUUCUCGUUAUGUGAAAGUUAGUAAAUGUGGGUUUGACUCAACGAGAUUGGUUUUCUUUAUUAUGUAAAUUUGGUAGAUGAGAUUCGUAUAGAUCCGAGUAAAUUCUCUUCUAUUAUUAUUUGGAAAAUCUGAAAAAUGUUUAUAAAAGUUAUGACCAGCUCAAAGACUUACUGAUAGAAGUUUUGUAUUGACCCAACUUGAAUCCGGAAAGGAGUAUGUUGAUUAUAGUAAUGGUUUUGUAUUAGUUGAAUUGAAAAUUUGGGGAUUUCAAGAUGAUGACCUAAAAGUGAAUAGCUAAGUGAAAGCAAAUCCAGAGUGAGUUGCCUACAAGAUUUAUAGUGGAUACUGAUGGUAUGAUGUAAUUUAACAACAAAUUGUGUGUUUCGAAUAAACUAAAGUUAAAACGAGACAUUUUAUUUGAGGCUCGUAGCAGCACAUAUUCUAUUCUUUUAGAUAAAAACUGAAUAUCAAGUAUCAUCAGAAUUAUUACAGCUUGUCAUGAUUAAGGGUGAGCAAAACUCGAUUCUACUCGAAAAUUUCGAGUUUGAAUCGAGUUGAGUUUUCGAAUUCGAAUGUGAUAGCCCGAAAUAGGGCCUAAUCGGAAUAGUGGUUUUGUAACCACAAAUCUGAAGUGAAAUAUUUUAAUUUUAUAAAUUUUUAUUAGUUACUGAUUGAUUGAAAUAUUGUGUGAAAAUAUGGAUAGGAAAUUUUAAUGAUUUAGUGUCUAAUUGAAUUUUUAGGACUAAAUUGAAAAAAAUGCAAAGUGUGUCUAAUUAGUGAUUAAAUGACUUAAUUGAAUUAUUGCAUGAAAUUGGAAGUGUUUAUGUGGCAAUUAGACCAUAAAUUAGUGAUAUGGACACAAAAGGGUAAUUCUAGAAAAAUAUCUAAGUAAUGAGUUAAGGGCAUUUUUGUCCAAAUUGAGUAAAAGACAAAAUAAAGAGAAAAUAAGUGUCCAUCUUCUUAAAAAUCAGAUGGUUGCUCUCAAAAAAAUUCAUGUCACCAUAGCUAGGAUUCUUGAUUUUCUAAGCUCAAUUGUAAGUGAUUUCUUGCCCCGUUUUUAAUUAUUUUCGUAUUUUUAUGCUUAUUGAAGCUUGAAUUUCAUGUUUCUACCAUUUAAUUUAAAUGAAUUUAUAGUUUAAAAAUUGACCCAUUCAUGAUAUAAUUGUAAAUUGAUUAGUGAUGUUAGAUAAUGAAUAUUUGGAGUGUUAAUUUCAAGUUUUACUAGAUGAAUUUCAAUGAAAAUGUUGAAAAAGGGCUAAAUUGUGAAAGAUGGUAAAGUGUGCAUAAAGUUGUGAUUUUGUGAAAUUGAGGGCUGUUAUGAGCAUGAAAUAUGAUUUAGUAAAGUUUUAAAUUUAGGAAUUUAGUGAAUUUUAUUUUUACGAGCUUAGGGACAAAAGUGGAAUUUUUGAAAAGUUAUGGGGAAAAAUGUAAAUUUUCCAAAAUGUUGUGUAUGAAUUGUAUUUGAAUGAAAUGUUGAUAAAAUGUAUUAAAUUGUGUUAAUAUAGAUCAAGAAAGAAGAAAUAGUGGAAGUGAUCGGGGAAAAGAGAAAGUUAUCAACUAAAUUACAAAAAUAGUCAUUUUGCAUCCGAGGUAAGUUAUGUGUAAAUAAUAGUUAUAUUUUUAUAAAUUGUGAAUUAUAUUUGAUAUGUGAAUUAAUAUUGAAUGUGAAAGGAAAAUUAUUUAUGAAUUAUUCAAGUGAUAAAUUGUUUAAAAUAAAGUGUUAAGUGUAAAUUCCCGGUUGAACUUAGGAAUAGAAGUGGAUACAAGUGACAUGUCACUAGAGAUCAGUGUUACAGUGUUACAGUGAGUUCCGGGUGCUGGGUGAUCUAGCAUGUGUUGCAGACACCUGACAGCUUGUGUGAGCAGGCCCGUGGACAUUUCCAGUGUUAUUGAUCAGUGGUAGCUUCUGCUACGUUUUAGUGGUAGCUUCGGCUACAUUUCAGUGGUAGCUACGGCUACAUAUCAGUGUGGCACUUAUGUGCUAAUUCUCUACGUAUCCAUGUAUAUUCCAAGUGUUCAACGGGAUUAAUAAUGAGUUAAAGUGAAUAUGAAAUGAAGUGUGUAUGCAGGUACAAUUGAAAGAAUGAGCAUAUGUGAUAAAUGUUAAGUGUGAAAAAGUAUAUGAAAGUGAAUUGGUAAGAUUGUGCAUGUGUAAGUGAUUGAAAUUGCUAAGAAAUGUUUUGAUUAGUUAUAUGUUAAAAGUGUUAAUUAUUAAAUGAGUACCUAUUAUUUACAUGUAACUUACUAAGCUAUUUGUAGCUUACACAUUUUCUCAUUUCCUUUCUUUUAUAGUGAUUUGAGCUUGUUCGAAUUGGGGAUCGUCGGAGCUCGUAUCACACUAUCAUAACCAUCUCGGUAUUAUGUGUUUUCAAAAUGUUUAAACUAUGGCAUGUAUAGAGUCUUAAUCAUUUUGAGUAUGUCCAUAUGAUAUGACUAAGAUUAGUUAUUGAAAUGGUUGAUAAAGAUUAUGUUUUGAUAUUAUGUAUGUGUAAAUGGUAGCUAAUACAAAGAAGCAGUUUCUUUGAUAGCAGCAGUGAUGUGAAUGUGAAAAAUCACCAUAAAUAGUAUAAAUGGAAUUAGGGAGUGAAUUAUAUAUAGAAUUAAAUCUUAUCAAGUCUAUUUUUACAUGAAAGAAACGGUGUAGGCAAAAGAAUUUUAUAUUUUGAGAUAUUUGAAUUUUAGUGAGACAGGGUCAGAAUGGUUUUUGAAGUCCCUUGUUCUGACUUUAGAAAAUCAUUAUAAAUUGUACAGAAAUAAUUAUAGGUCAUAAUUUAUAUGUAUAGAUUCCUUAGUGAGUCUAUUUUCAAAAGAAAUAAAUGGUAACCUUAUAUAAAUUCUGUACAAUGAGAUAAUUGAUUUUUAGUGCCAAGAUGUCAGAACUAUCAAGUAGUGAAACAGGGGAGACUUCAAUGAAUAAACUGUAUUAGUUGGCUAAACCAAAAAUUUUAAAAAUUUUAUGGUAAGAAGGUAUAUGAGUCUAGUUUCAGAGAAAAUUUAUAUAUUUAAAUUUCGAAUUUCGUAACUCGAGAUAUAAUUAAAUUAGUGACAGUCACUCAGGUGGACAUUUUUAUUGUGAACAGUGAAUUUAAUUUUGAAAGCAAUUUUUUUUAUGCUCCAAAUUGGUAAGCUAAAUUGAAUAACAUCUCGUACUCAAUUCCGGCGACGGUCUCGGGUAAGGGGUGUUACAUCGAAUAACUCGAAUAAUUUGAAUAUCAAACUAUAAUAUUUUACAUUUUUACCCCAAACUCCCAAACCUUUUUAUUUUUCCCUCAAAACUUUUACUCCUUCCCACUUUCCCCCCAAAACUUUUACUCCCCUCCCAACCCCCCAAUCUACCCAAAAUCCAUUCCCACCAAAAUUUUCCUCUCCCAUUUACUUUUUCUCAAAAUUUUAUUACCAAAAACCCUUAAAACCUUUUAUUUUCGCCCAAAAUUUUUACUCCCUCCCACUUUUCCCCUAAAACUUUUAUUCCAUUCCCAUCUCACCUCCCAUCUACCCCAAACCCUCCCCCUCCAAUUUUUUUUAAUAUUUUCCCUCCAAAAUUUUUCUCCCCCCUAUUUACUUUCUCUCAAACUUUAUUCCCCAAAACUUUUUAUUUUCCCCUAAACUUUUACUUCUCACCCUUACUCUCAAAUAAAAAAUCAAAAUUAUCCAAAAAAAAUCACUAAACAUAAAUAGUAAUAAUUUUAUUUAUAUCUACUAUUUAUAUUAUUAAAUUAAAUUUCACAUUUUAUAUUAUUUAUAUUAUUGAAUUGUUUAGUCAUAUUGAAUAUUUAUAUUAAAAUUGAAUUAUUAAUUAUGCCAUAAAAUAUUCGUGUUAAAAUUUUAUAUUAGUAUCAAUUUCACAUUUUAUUUUUAAAAUAAAUUUUAUUAAAAAUUAUAUUUUUACAUUUAAUAUAUUUUUUAAUUCCAAAAUACAUAGUGACAAGAAUCUGAAGAUAAUUGAAACAACUAAGCAAGCAAAGAAGCUAACCAGUAUAUAAAAAAUUAAUAAAUAAAUUAUGAGGUGAUGAAAGUUAAUAAAAAAUUUGAUUAAGGUGGACAAAUUUUAUUACGAUGGGUGACAGUGGUUACAAGGACCCAAAAUUAUUUUUUAAAAUUUAACUCAAACAAAUAUAUUCAAUUCGAUUCGAUUCGAAUUCCAUCUCACUCGACUCGAUUUGAGAAAAUUUCAAAUCAAAUUAGGAAGAUAAAAUAUGAUUCGUCAACUCGAUUAACUUGAAAUUUUUUUAUUUGAUUCGAUUCGAUUGAACGCUCACCCCUAGUCAUGAUUCCUGAGUGGAAAGGGGCCAAUGUACAAUGGAUUUUGCAUAUGGAUUUCUUGUAUCACCAGGGAAGAAAUUUUUGAUCUGGGUUAUGGUUGAUAGAUCUCAUUUAUUCCAGUCAGAACUGAUUACUUGCUUGAGAAGUAGCUGAGUCAUAUGUGUCAGAAAUUGUUAGAUCGUAUGGAGUGACAUUGUUUAUUAUUUCUAAUACCGAUUUGAGAUUCACUUCUAGAUUUCGUGUUAAAAAUUUCAAGGACAAACUUUCCUAAGGGGGAGUUGUAACAGCUUGUUUUUCAGAGGUGUCGAAAAUAAUAGUUUUGGGACCACAAAUUCGAUGAGUAAGUUCGUAUAAUUAGUAUUUAAAUUAUAUGAGUCAAUAAUAAUUUUAUAUUAAAUUUUGAUGUGAUGAAUUUUAACUAAUUGAAUUAAUGGUUAGUAUGAGUGGUUGUUCCGGAAGUCAAGUGGUUUUAAAAAAUAAGGUAUCAGGACCCCGUUUCUGUAAGCCAAGCUCGUGAAUAUUUUUAUUAAAUAUUUACAGAGUCAUAUUAUAGGUGAAUUGAAGUUUGGUCUGGUAAUUUUAACAAUUGGUUGCUUAAUUAAGGUAAAAGUAUUAAAUUAUAAAAGAGGUAAAAGUUAAUCGCUAUAGAUUUAAGAUAGUAAAGGGAUCAAAAUGGUGAUUAAACCAUGGUCAAAAAGUCCAAGCGGUGGUGGAUGUAAUUAAAUUACUAGCUUUUGGGCUAUUUACUCAUUUAGUCCUAACUAGUUUAAGGCUAAAUUGAAAUAAAGUUUAAUUAACUAAUAAUUUAAUAUAAUUGAAGGACCAAUUGUGCAAUUAAACCCUCCUUAGAUGGUAAUUAAACCAUAUACUUAUAUUAUAGACAUAUAUGGACAUGAUUUAGUAAUUUUAUAAGUUGUAAUAAAAGGGUAAUUUAGUAAAUAGUUAAAGUAUAAGUUAAAAUUAAACAAAUUAAAUGAUAAUAUGAACAUUUUCUUUUCUUCUUUGUGGAAGAAAACCUGGAUAGCCAUUGUUAGGGUUGGGAAAGCUUCGUUCAAGCUUUAAUAUCUUAUUGGUAAGUGAAAUUUCGCCCGUUUUUAGUAAUUUUUAUGUUCUUGAGCUUGUAUUAGCUUGAUUUAGCUAACCCGAGGACUAAUUUAUAAAACUGUUAAACGUUGUGGAUUAUGUCAUUAAUGAUUUUAGCGUGUUCUUGAAGUUUAAUGGUAGAUUAUUAAACUUGAUUGCUAAAUAUGAUUACUUUAUAAAGUAGUUUUUGUUAAUUUUGAUGUUUAAGGACUAAAAUGAGAAAUAGCAAAAUUACAUGUACCUGUUGUGUAAUAAAAAUAAACAUGGACUGUAUUAGGGUCCCAAAAAAUUUAGCUAAGCUUGAAUUUGGUUGAAAAUUGGUUAAAUUGCAAGUUUGAGCUAAGGGACUAAAUCGUAAAAAAUGAAAUAUUAGGGUAAUUUUGUAAAAAUGCAAAAAGACUUAAUUGCAUAAAUUGAGUUGAUUUUUCUAUUAGAAUUAGCGAAUUGAAUAAAAUUAUUAUUCUAUAUCAAGAAUGGGUUGAAAUCGAGGCAUAUAGAAGUUGUAAAAUAGUCCUUGUGCUUUGACGUUGCUGCACUUUAGUCUGGUAAGUUUGUUUGGUUAAUUUUUAAUACAUUUUUAAAUGCAUAAUAGAUGAAAUUCAAUUUUUGAAUGUUUAUUACUACCAAUGAUACUUUGUAAGUGAGAACUAAUAUAUUGACACGACAACACUGUUUUUCUUUUGAUUGAGAUAUUAUGAGUCGAUGAACGUAGGAUAGAGUACGACUGGCAUGCCAAUAGGUUAUUUGCGCAUGGUACGAGCUUGGAAUGGGAUGUGAUGAGGAUUUCGACACACCUCCUGUUCACUGAAAUACCGAAGUCUUGCAUUUGUUACGGACUAUCAUGUUAUAUAUCAGUGUUUUUUUGGCACGUUAUCGAGGGUAAACAUUAGCCUACAGGCUAGACACUUGGCGCCGAGGCGUGUUAUCGGUUGGAUUAGCUCAUAUGAGCGUUUGGCAUGUUCUCAAAUGGUUAACUGUAUACUCGUAUCCAUAUAUCAUUCAUCGGGCAUGGUUUUACUAAUCACUGAAUAUUAUUGAAACGUGGAAAAUUAAUUUCUACUAUUAUUUGAGCAUUACUCACCUGUUGUGAUCUAUGAUUGGAAAGAAUUCUAUUAAGAUCCUUGUUGACAAGAACUCGGUUUAUUAAUCUUGUUAUUUGAAUUAUUAUGUUUAAUUUGAUAAGCCUUAUCAUUUAAUUGAUGAACUUAGUAAGCUUUAUAAAAACUUACUCAUGAUUUGUUGUGCUUUCUUGUAGAUAACAUUUUGUGGGUAAUCGGGCGAUUGGAUCAACUCAAAGAAAUCACACUAUCUUAGGUUCUUUGGUAAAUUAUGAAUUCGAUUUAGCUUAUAUGGAAUUCAAAAUGGAACCAUUGAUCAUGUUCCAUAAUGUUUCAUAAAUACAUGUAAUGUGUCCGAGUUGUGCAUUUUGAUGCUGUGGUAUGAGUAGUUAAUGUGAUAUAUGUUUAAAUCCAUGUAUAAGCAUAAGUGAACAAGCAUGAAAUGUUAAGUGUGGUAUAAAGGAAUUAAAGGUAAGUUAUAUUUGAGUGUGUUGUGGCUUGUGUAAUGUAACUAAAGUAGUGAAAUGUUGGGUGAUUGGGGAUGUGGUGUCAUUGAUGGCACAUUGGUUAGGCACCUAGAUUGGUUGUUUAACUUGAUUUGAGUAGUUGAAGAUGCAUUCCAAAGUCUUGUGAACAUGUGUGUAAGUGUAUAGUUAGGUACUUAAGCAUUUGUUUGUGAAAUGAGAAUGUUUUGAGACAUUUAUGAACACACAGCUUGGGACACAGGUUGCCACACGGCUGUGUGUCAUGCACGAGCAACCCACACGGGCGUGUGCCUUUAACAUGUUAUGGUACAAGAUGAUCCACACGGAUACAGAGAGAUACACGACCUAGCGAGACUGUCAUGUGACCUUAUGUUACACAGGCACAGUGAGCUACAUGAUUUGCGCACACGGGCGUGUGGUUUGUCACAUGACCAUGUCUGAAACCGCAUGGUCUGAGUUCUGUCACACGGCCUGGACACAUGGCUGUGUGACCCUUAUUUUGAAAUUUUUUAUUUUUUUCCUGAACUUUUUUUAUUUGCUUCGAAUUGGUCCCUAAUUGUUCCUAAACUAUUUUUAAAGCCCAUAAAUGUAUGUAUUACUCAAAUCUGAAUUAUUUAUGAAAUUCUGUUAAUUAAUUUGGUAAACUUGAUGCUAUUUGUUAUUGAUUGUUCUGGAUUGUACGGUAAUAUGCUGUAACCCUAAUUCAAUUACGGGUACUAGUUAUGGGUGUUACAUAUAUACAAUGGAUGGAGGUAGUAAAGUGUGCAUAAUAAAAUUAGAAUAUAUAAAAUUUCAAAAUAACGUUUAGUUGAGUGGUAAAAUAAAAUUUUUACUAAUACAAUUGGCAAGAGUUCAAAUCCUACUAAAUAUAUAAUUUUUUAAAAGUAAAAAGACUAAAAUAGCCUCAAAUAAUAUAAGUUAUUUUAAUAACAGAAUGGUAUCUCCAUAAUUUUCUAACUGAGUUGGUGCUCAGUUGAUUCAGGACACUAACUCAAUCAAAAGUUUAAAUAAUAGUAUAAAUUUAUUAAAAUUCUGGUUAAAAUAAUAAAAUUAAAGCAAUUUAAAAUUCAAAUUGUUUUUUUAAGAUAUUAUAAAAAUAUAAAACUACAAACGUACUCACUUUUUUAUAUUUAUUACUUUAUAAAAGGAAUAAAUAUAAAAAGAUAAAUCACUAGAAUGAAGAAAUAAGGCAAAAAAAUUUAUCCACAGAAUAUUAUUAUUUAUAUUAACUAUUUAAAAUGUACAUAAUAAAUUAAAUUAAUUUAUACUUUAUGUAUCAUUAUAUUAAAUUAUGUAAAUAUAAUUUAUUAUUAUAUUUAAGUUUUUAGAAUAUUUAAAAUAUAUUAUUAAUUUUACAAAUAAUUUAUCUUAAUUACUUAAAACCUAUUUAAAAUUCAUACUUUAUGUAUUAUUAUAUUAAAAUUUUUAAAUAUUAUAUAACUUAAUUAAUUUUUAACUUUUCGUUUAAAGAUUUCAUUUUAACUUUCAAACAUAAUUUUUUAGUCACUUAUCCGGAGGAAUUAUUCAACAGUAAUAUGAAUAAAGAAGUAGGCUUAUGUGACACAGCAAUUUCCAAGUGAUGAGAAAGUUGAGGGCAAGGAGCGAAAGCGUGUUAAAGUGUCUCCAUCUCUUGCUUCUAUUUUGAACUUUUGCAUUUCCAUUUACUCACUGCUACACCCACACCCACACGACACGACACGACUUAUGGAUGCUCAAAGUCUUUGCAAGUCAACUCUCCUACUCUAUAUUCCAAGUCUUUCUUUCAGCUUGGUUUUAAUUGUAUUUCAUUAGAGCUGAGGCAGGCAAUCAACCCUUUCUUCCUCCAUCUCUCUGCCCUCAAAAUGAUUUCUCCUUCUUUCUCAUCAUCUCUGCCUCUGCCUCUUCCUCUUCCUCUUCCUCUGUUUUGUUUAUUAUUUAUCAUGCUUGGGACCCCUGUUUCACUAACCACUGCCUGGUUUGAGCCUGAGUUCGAGAACUGCCGUGAUAGCAAGUUCAAAUGUGGGAAUAUCACUGCUGGAUUUCCUUUCCAUGGAGGUGAUCGAGAAAAAGAAUGCGGACAUCCAGAUUUAGAGCUUGAGUGUGGCGGUGACAUUACCACGAUGAAAAUUCGCGAUGUACGGUAUCGCGUGCUUGAGAUCCUACCUGAUCGUCAAAUCCUAAGAAUUUUGAGUGAGAAGGUGAUCAACAAAGGCAUUUGUCCGCCUCGAUUUCCAGAUGAAGAUUGGAUCCAAGAUUCUCCGGUGUUUACUCCUGGUCCCGGCUUUGCCAGUGUUACACUGUUUUAUGACUGCCUCUCUCGCAUCUCACCAGAUCUUCUAUUCUUUACUUGCAAUAAAAAUUAUGGUCAUAGUAAUGUUUCGGUAGCAAUAGCAAAUAAUACUAGUAUCCAUCCAGAGGCAUGCUUAUAUCGUGCCAAUGUUAUGAUUCCUGAAACUUCCUUGGAAAGCCUCCGCAAUCAUUCCCCGGAUUGGAAAGGAGCCUUGGAAACAGGAUUCGAGGUGCAAUGGAGGAAGAACUAUGCAGAAGAAUGCUGGAAAUGCACUUCUUCCGGUGGAGCCUGCGGUUUCGGCAUCCACGAUCAAGCCAACUGCUACUGCCCACCUGGAAAAUGGAGUGGGCCGGAAGGCAAAGAAUGUCGGCCCCAUACAGGUAAGUACUAUCCCUUUUUACAACUAAACAAAGCUUUCUAUUAUUAGUAGUAGUAUGAUUUCCCAGUGGAUUAAACUUCAAUACAUAAUUAAAAUAACUGAAGUUGAGGAUUUGAUAGUUGUAGACUUGCAUUGCAGUAAAACCCAGACACCAAAACAAAUACAUAGAAAUGAGGUGACUAACAAACUGGGAUAGGGGUUAUGAAUUAUGAGAUUGAAGAAAUGGAGGUUGGGAAACUCUCUUGUUUUGAGUUAAUAGAAAAUAGGUUAAUUUGAUGUAUAGAAGCUACAAGCAUGAGUAUCAUGUUAUCUUUUUUAGGUAAGAAUUGGAUAACAGCAUCACUCUAAUACUCUCAUCUUUAUUUAUUUAUUUAUUUAUUAAGAGUAGGAUUCAUUUUAUGCAUAACUUUUAUUAUCUAAAUAAAACAAAUUCACAAUAUUGAUUUACGGCUUUAAAUAAAAUAUUUGUGCUCCAAUUUAGUUUUAUUAUUGUUCACUCAACCCAAACCACAAAUAAUUAAUUUCAAACAUAAAUUUAAGCAGUUGGUAAAAGAGUUUAAUUCAUAAUAUUCUUUAUAAUAUCUCUAUCGUUAUGGUUGACAAUUUUUAAGUUAAAAAUUUUAAACUUUGAGAUCAAUUAUUUUAAAUAUUUAAAUUCUUUAAAUUUAUAAAAAAAUAUAUUUUAAAAAAAAAUAUUUCAUUGAAACUUUUUUAUAGUAUAUCUUUUUUAAAAUUUUAUCUAUAUUAAAUUUUAGAGAAUAAUACUCAAAUUUUUUCACUAAAAGUCAAAAUUAUAAAUUUAGUCACUUUGUAUAGUUUAAAUUACAUUUUGGUCACUAAAUUUUUAAAAAAUAUGAUAUGGUCACUAAUGUUAUCAAUAUGUUAUAUUUUGAUUACUGAGCUGUUAAUUAGUGUUGAUGUUGUAAUGGUAAUUGAUAUGGCAUAUUAUAUCAUCAAUUUAGACAAAAAAAAUUAAAAUAUAAUAUUAAUAAAAACGAAUUUCAAUCAAUUUAAAUAUUUUUAAGUAUUAUUUAAAUAUUUAUAAAUUUAGUCAAGGACAAAUCCAACUGAUGAACUAGGAACAACAUUAAUUUUGUUUUAUUCUAUGUACUGAUAGACAUAGUCAAAAUUGUCGGUCUGAUUUAUUGAAUAAUGUCAGUCCCCUCUUUUCAUCAUUGGUUUGCAUAAUCUGAACAGAUCUGAACUCAUCUGACAAAGAAAGCAUUCAUGUUCCACAUGAUAUUUCCUUUUUCAUUUCCCAGAAAUUACCAAACUCCAGGAAAUUUCCUACAAUGAACAGGAAAUUCGGGGAGACUCUUGCUGCCAAACUCAUACACACGCGAUCAGCAUGUCUUCAUCAACAUAUCCUGGUUGCAAACAUAAAAGUGCUAUUGUGAUUAGUUGCAGUGAAUAUCGAUAGCGGAGAGAGUCGAAUCCAUAAAAUAAUCACCCUAACAUCGUUUCCCGAUCGGUUCUUAAUCCUGUUAAUACAAAACAAAGAUUUUUUAGUUGUGUGUGUAGGUUGAUAACUUGAUAUAUAGAAGUCAAGUUCCAUUUCAUUGCUUUGAUCUUCAUUUAGUCUAUCAGGUCAAUUAAUCCAACACAAAGAAGAUUCUUAAUAGAAGUGGGGACUUGGCACCCAAUUUCCAAAUUAUUUUGGUUUAAGUCUCCACUUCAGUUCUUCGAUUUGGAAUUAGGGUGUUUUUAGUGUUGUCAACUUAUGUUAUGUCCAAAGCAUUUCCUGCCAGUUUCCUUCAAAUUCUGCCAUCGAAGCUUUGGUCUUCUUCCCCGUAAUAGAUGCCCCCAUAGACUUCUGCAGCACUCUAGAACCAAUUUUCCAACUCCUGACGUAAUUUCCAGAUUAGAAAAGGAUUAAACGUGUAUACUAAUAUUGUAGAAUUCAACAUUGACCAUUCCAUAAUUCAUAAAUAUAUUCAACCCAUCACCCUUGUAACAUCAACAAGAUGUCUUCGCUUUCUCUUCCGAUAUCUUCCCUUCUGGCCCUCUUCUUUCUCGUUUUCUUAACCAGAGUUCCGACGAUUUUAUCCGCUGACGAUCCGCGGGCCUGCAGGGAAACGCUAACAUGCGGAAGCGUAUCAAGUAUCGGUUACCCAUUCUGGGGAAUGAACCGUCUGAGUUAUUGUGGCCAACCAGGAUUUGAACUGAGGUGCGAGAAUAAUGUAACGGAAAUCCUGAUGAAUGAAAACACCUUACGAGUUCUUGACAUAGACCCUGAACGACAGAUUCUUAAGGUAGCUAGGGAGGAUUACUGGAAUGGUUAUUGUUCCACGAAAUUUAUCAACACCUCAAUCGACUUCGAUCACUUCAAUUACGGCUCAAACAUUAGGAACCUCACCCUAUUCUACGGAUGCAACCCGCUGCCAACCUCGACAUUUCUUCCUAACUGCUCCAUGAAUAGUACACUUAUUGAUGUGUCAUAUGCUGUUAGAAACAUGUUGGGUGACCCUCGCUAUGGCAUAUGCCGUGAAAUUGUCGUAGUUCCGGUUUAUGAAGCUGCAGCAAAGGACCUGGAGGUGAACCCUAUGAUUAUGCAAGCUGCUUUAAGAGGAGGUUUCGAAUUGCAAUGGGAAGCGGAUAAUGAUCAGUGCAGAAGAUGCAGAGAUUCAGAUGGGAUUUGUGGAUAUAAUCAAACUUCAAAUAGUUUCACUUGCUUUUGCAGCGAUAAACCUAAUUUAACCACAUGUUUUCCAACAACUGAAGGUACGUUAUAGCUCUUCUUCCGUAUAUGUUUGCUCAGCUGUUUGUUGUUGCAGAACUUGCUGUUUCAUUGAAUAUCUCGAGUCUUAACUCUUAAGUAACCUUCACGGUUUGACUCAUUCUGAUGUUCAAUCUUCAUUAGCAGUAGCAGCAAAUUGGCCUUUGUUACUUCAGAUCGAAUCCUAAUCUCCCCAAGAAGCCAAUGACUUCAUUAACUCUGACCAUUUUGAUUGGUUAAUACCAGUUCAUCUUCAAAUUCCAUGGUCGCUUGUUCUCUUUCCCAUCACAACUGCAUCAGCUAGCAGAUAAAACGUAGGGUCUUACCAGUUGCUUAUAGAUUCGACCUAGAAAUACUUUCAGCCAAAGUAGUACUAUUAUUGAUUUAUUCAAUCAUUAAAAUCAGAUGAUAUUUUCCAGUUACAGCUUUCUUCAAGUUUUCAACAAACUCGAACUGAGUUUAUACCUUUAUGAGUUCCGAGUCCUGAGACUAUUAUGUUGAACUGGGUUAUUCAGACUUAAUAAUAUAUUAUUGCCAUGGUAGGCUACCUAAAUUUCCAUAGACUGGCGCUUAAUGGUGGCAUACAACAGAAGUUUCCGUACUCCUAAUUAUAAAAAGGUUAUUUUUACAAUUUUAAAUGUGAAAAUUUCUUUUUAUGUUAUAAAAAUAAGAAAUUUAUUGGGUUUCAAUAAUUACUAUUUUUUUUAAAUUUUUGCAUGCACCUAUAAUUAUUGAUUCAUAUUUUAAUUAACAUUUCGUGAUUUUUUACUAUUACAGAGAAAAAGGAUGGAAAGUCUCUCCAACUUGGACUAGGUAUUAUUCGGUACCCUUAUUAACUUAUGUUUAAAUUUUAUUCCAGUCCAAUUAGUUUGAUUUUUUGGUUUUAGUUUAAAUUGUACCAACUCUUAAAUAGUUUUACCUGAAAUUAUUUGAUUCUAACAUUAAUUCAAUAAAAAUAAUACAUAAAAAACCAAAUAAAACAAAUAAAAAAUCGUUAUGAGAAUAUUUUGGUUUUUUAAUUUUUUAAAUAAAAUUUUAUCUAAUUAUUUGUUUAUUAACUUUUUUUUCUAGAUUUCUAACAAACUGUGCAUGUUGUUAUUAUUUCAGUUCUUUCCACUGCUCUAUUUUCUUUUCUCCAUCUUAAUUGUUUCACUUACUUUCUCUAUAUAUUAUAUAACUAAUUCAUUGUUUUCAUACUGCAGGAGCAGGAUCGGCGGUAGCUAUAACCAUUCUCAUAUGCUUCCUUGUCUUGUGCUUCAAAUUAGGAAAGUCAUUACCUAUUAAUCACGGAAAGAAGGAAGAGGAUGCUAGGAUUGAGGCAUUCAUCAAAAAGUUUGGUUCUCUUGCACCAAGGCGAUAUUCUUAUGCAGAAAUCAGAAAAUUGACAAAUAAGUUUAAUGAUAAAUUAGGUCAAGGAGGAUAUGGUAGUGUAUACAAAGGGAAAUUGUCUGACUGUCGUCUCGUGGCAGUCAAAGUCUUAAGUGAAUCAAAAGGAAAUGGAGAGGAUUUCAUGAAUGAAGUGGCUAGCAUUAGUAGAACUGCUCAUGUUAACAUCGUGAGUCUACUUGGUUUUUGUUUUGAGAAAUCAAAGAGAGCUUUAAUUUAUGAAUUCAUGCCCCAUGGAUCCUUGGAUGGGUUUAUUUAUGAUAGAGGAUUGCAUCAUCGAAGUUGUCGAUUGGAGUGGACAACUUUGUAUGACAUUGCACUUGGCAUUGCUAGAGGACUCGAAUACUUGCAUCAAGGUUGCAACACAAGGAUCUUACAUUUCGAUAUAAAACCUCACAACAUCCUUUUAGAUGAGAACUUCUGUCCCAAAAUCUCUGAUUUCGGUUUGUCUAAAUUAUGUGAAAGAAAGGAGAGUAUUAUUUCCAUGGCUUGUGCUAGGGGAACAAUAGGUUAUAUUGCUCCAGAAGUGUUUUGUCGAAACUUUGGUGGAGUUUCUUAUAAAUCUGACGUCUAUAGCUAUGGAAUGAUGGUCCUUGAAAUGGUGGGAGGAAGAAAAAAUAUUGAUGUUGGAGUGUCUCAAACUAGUGAAGUAUAUUUUCCGUCUUGGAUUUAUAAGCAUCUUGAUCAGUCUAUGAACUUGAAUCUUAAUGGAGGAAUAGUUGAAGAAGAAGAAGAAGAAAUGACAAGGAAGUUGAUUAUUGUGAGCCUUUGGUGCAUUCAAUCUGAUCCAUCUGAUCGACCAUCGAUGACUAAAGUGAUAGAAAUGUUACAAGCAAGUCUUCAAUCAUUGAUCAUUCCACCUAGACCUUUUGUAUCUUCUCCUGUACGAUCUCCUAAAACUUUAGAACUUCAAAAAUAAUUUAAGCUUUGAUUUGUUUGAUGUUGCAAGUUUAACUCAAACUUCUAAUAAAAAUUAUGAUUGAAUAUUACAAUUAUGAUGAAAAAAACUAUGGUUUUUAACGUAAAAAAAAAAGUCACAACAAUUCCGAAUAUGCUAAAGCACGUAAUCGCAUGAGAAAAUUUGGACAAUUUCAGAUGAUGAAAUAGUUUUCUCUCUCUCGUCAUCGUAUGAAUUAGAUUGAUUUCAUACAAUAUUAUACAUUUUGUUUCAUAUAAAAUUACAUAAGGCAUUGUGAUGGGUUAUCAGUUGGAAUAAUGAUUAUUGGUAAAGAAAUAAUAACAGUGAAUCUGAAGAAUUUUCUUGUAUUAAUUUGAUAAGGAUUAAGCAAUCAGCGAUGUACUUAAUAGAGUGAAAAAAAAAAGCGAAAAGAUAAAUAGAGAAUAAUAAAAAAAUUAAAAAAAUUAAAUUGAUUUGAUAGAAGGAUAAAACAGAAAGUCAAAUUAGAAUAAAAAGGGGGAGAAAUGACAAGGUAAAAGGUUAAGUGUAAAUUUUACAAAAUUUUGCAAUUUUUAAAAAAAAAAUUAUUAUUUCUGUUAUUUUUUCAACUUUAAAAAAUUAUAUAUUUAUGUAUUAGUGUUUCCUGCGGAGCUAAUAUAGGAAAGAAAUAUGCAAAAUGUCAUAAAGUGUGACGAUUAUGCGUCGAAUAUGUGCAUUAUGGUCGGAUUUCUAAGUUGGUUCAUGUCUUUGAAAGUUUAUUAGAAGUGACCACAAUAGCAUGUUUUGGAGACAUGAAUUUCAAAAAUAAAAAUUCAGAAAAAUAUAGUUUUUAGCUGAAGUCAGGUAUUUCCCAAAAUGUGUCUUCUGCUUAGAGAGACUCAAAAUGAAUGUUAGUUAUCAGACAUGAGUAUGCUUACUUUUUCUAUUUUCUUUUCAUGUAUUUGAAGUACACCACACCUGCAUGCAUAACAAGUAACAACUCCAGUACCUUGCUCCAUCCCACAUUUUAUUAAUUAUUUUUAAUUUAGUCUUGUAAGAAAAAAUAUAUACAUUAUAAUUUAUUCAUGUACAUAUUUUUAAUACAUAUAACCUGCAUAUAUGUCUAAAAUUACAUACAAAACAUAUAAAAUAUUUAUCACACUACAACGUAAAAUCACUUGCAAUUAGAAGAUAGGUAUGUUGUUACUAAAAUUCGGUUUGAAUCGAGUUUUGGAUAAAAUCAUUUUGCAAAUUGGAUAAACAAUAAUUCAAAAUGAUUAUUUUAAUAAUAAAAUAUUCCUAUUUAAAUGUAAUAAUAAAUUUUAAUAUAAAAAUUAUUAGUAUUUUAUUAAUUUUAAAAUAAGAACAUGAGUUUUUCGCAUCACGAUGGACUUAAACAUCAAAAAAUCUGGAGAGUGAAUCUUGUCAAGAAAAAAAGAAAGAUUCUGGACAGUGACCAAACCCUGGCCUAACCAGGCCCACGGACACGCAUAAUUGGACCACGUUACUUGUCCAACAAAAAUUUUAUAUAAUAACAAAUAAAAAUUUAAAUUAUUACAAUUUCAUUAACCAAAAAAUAAAAUAUAUGUUACUUUUGUUUUAAAUAAAAAAUUAAUUAAUUAUAUAAUAUCUUUAUAUUUCAUACAUAAAGUUUUAUAAGUAACACAUUUAUAUAAUCUAAUCUAAUCUAAUAUAUUAUAAUUAUAUUAAUAUAAUAUUUCUAUAUUAUUGAUGCUUUCUAUCUGUGUAAAUCUUUCUAAACAACAAGGCAUGCUUUGUAUCUCUCCACAUUGUAUUUUGAACACUUCUUGAUGUUAAGUAUACAUUUGCAACUAAUGCGUUUUUAUCUUCAGUCAAUGAAAUAAGAUCACAUACAUCAUUAUCUUUCAUGAACUUAAUCUUUUCGUCCAUGGAAUAUAUCCAUAUUUGAAAGCUAGAACUUUUGUUGGUUGGACAAAAGUUGAUUAGAUCAUCUUACAUCACUCCAAUGUCAACUUCAUACUUCAGAGAAAUAUAAUACAAUCAUAUGAUAUUGCAUUCUUUUUUUCUUUUUAUAGUGGAUAUUUUUAAUGGCAUUAGCUAUUGAGAUUGUAGAGUUUGUUUUUUUGGAAUAAAUUCUUGUUCUUGAUUACUAGAUUCAAUGGCAUUGUUUUGAUCUAGAGUUACUGCUUUAACAAAUUCAGGUAUAGUAGAUUAUUCCUUCUCAUUGUCAAUAGCAAUUAAAGUAAUGUGUUGAGAACUAUCAACAUAUUUUUCUUAAAAAAUAAUGUCCCUAAUUGUCUCCUCCUUACAAACUCAAUAUCCUCAAAGAACUGUGUAUUAAACAUAUCAAAACUUGCGUUAGUAAUGGGAUCACAAAAUUUAUAACCUCUAGACCUUUCAAAGUAACCUAUGAAAUAGCAACUAACAGUUAUUAAGUUCAAUUUCCUUUCAUUUGGCCUAUGAGGCCAAACCUGAAUUGGACAUCCCAAAGUGUGCAAAUGCUUUAAGUUAAACUUUAUUUCUAUCCAAAGUUCAUAAUGGACCUUUUCUUCUGCCUUAGUCGAAACUUUGUUGAAUAUAUAUGUUGUGAUCUUUAAUGCUUCUCGAAAGUGAUUUAAAUUAAGUAGAAUGAUUAAUCAUACACCUUAUUAUGCCCUUAAGGGUAAUGUUUCAUCUUUUAGCAACACCAUUCAUAGUGGGUAACUUAACAUAGUGUACUGUGGGAUAAUACAACUUUCCUCUAAGAAUCAAAUAUGUUGAUAACCUAAACCAUUAUAAUUGCAUUAGUAUUCACGAUCAGAUCUAACACGUUUAAUUCUUUUGUCAACUUGGUUUUCAAUUUCAACCUUAUAAUACAUUAGCAUAUCUAGUGUUUGCAAUUUCUCUUGAAUGAGAUAAAUGUAGUCACAUAAAAAAUUGUUUAUUAACGUUAUGAAAUAUUGUUGACCAUUCCAAAAAACUAUAGGGAACAAUCCACUAAUAUUCGUGUAUAUCAGUUUUAAAGCGUCUAAAUUCCUAUUGGCAUCAAAUCUACUAACAUAUGUUUAUUUCCCCUUAAUGCAAUUUGUACACACAUCAAGAUCUAAAAAAAUCAAAUGGAUUCAGAAUAUCGUCAGAUGCAAGUCUCUAAAUUCUCCUUUUGGAGAUAUAACUUAAUUUUUUUGUAGCACAAUGAACCAAAUUCUCAAUGGUUAAUUUAUGUUUUUUAUCUAUUAUGGUAGUGUGCAAAGAUUCAUUAAAUGAAGCAAUAGUAUCAAGUAAAUAUAGAUUAUCAUAAUCAGAUAGUGAACUAGAACCAACCAAAUUUGAAUUUUGAAAAGAUAUUAAAUUUUCCAUUUCCAAAUAAACAACAAUAAGCAAAUUAGCCCAAUGCUGAAAUGAUAAUCAAAUUCCCCUUGAAAGAGUCUCAUUCAAAUCCAAAUAAAAUCUAAUUCUUAAUAGUAACCUAAAAUUUCCUAUUACCUUAAUUUCUAUCAAAAUAUUGUCGCUUACAUAAUUGUAUAUUUCAACAUUAUUUAACUUUCAGUGGGUUUGCUAGUCUUGCAUAAACACGUUAAUGUGGGUUUGUAACACCCCUAACCCGUAUCCGUCGCCGUAUUAGGGUUACGAGGCAUUACCAAACAAACACAAUCAUUUUUAAAACCAAACUGAUCACAAAACAUGGAAAUUAAAUCAUUUUCGCAUAGCUAUUUAUAAUUUACAAUCAAAAUCUAACCAACAUCAUACUCAAACCUAUACAUGCCAUAAGAUCGAGUUCAAAUAUUUAACAAAAUACCAAAAGAAGUCGAUAGUGUGAUAGACUAUGCUGAUGAUCCCCCAGCUCGUAACGCGUCACCAAAAUCUAUAAAACAAAUGGACAAAAACAAUCAAAGUAAGCUUUUAUAGCUUAGUAAGUUUAUAACAUAUUUAAAAUACAUAUAAACAAACGUAUGUAUAAUCAUUAUAUGCUUAAAAUCAAGUUACAUACAUAAUCACUAAUUGCAUAUGAAAUUUCCAAAUAUACUUAUCAUUUGCAUUUCAUUGAAUGCAUGUCUAUUAUCUUUUAAAUACAUAUGUCGAAAGCUUAUAUUUUUACUUAUCAACUACAUGAAUCAAAUGCACAUUUAUACUUCUAAUUCACAUGUGCCGAUUUCAUACAUGUAUAUUGAACAAUUUAAACCGAAUGUAUAUACACGUUUACGUAAAUAUUCGAUUGCAUAUAUAUAAUCAUAUGUUUAAUAAUUUUUAGAAUCGAAUGUGUAUGCAUUUUUAUUUCCUGCAUACAUCCGAAUGCACAUAUAUACCAAUCACAUUAUAUAAUCAUUUGUAUAUAUAUAUAUAUUGAACAACCGUAUAUCACCAUAUGUAAUUAUAAAUUCAACAAUCGCAUAUUACCUAAUAUACAUAUGCUUUUAUUAAUUGUAUAUAUCGAAAGCAUACAAUUAUAUUUAACCAAUGCAAAACCCGAAUGUAGGUAUACACUUACCUAGUAUAUAAAAACUGAAUGUUUAUGUAUUCAUCAAUUUCAUAUAAUCAAAAUCAUAGAUAUAUCAAUUGCAUAUUCUCACAUAAUUUGAACAGAUUCACCGGCACUUAGCCUGCUAGGUUUUAAAACCUGAUUCAGUACACCAGCUCUUAGCUUGCUGGACCUAUAGUCCGAAAUGUAUCACCGGCAUUAAGCCUGCUAGACGUAAGGUCUGAAUUAUUUCACCGGCAUUAAGCCUGCUAGGCACAUAGCCUGAAUAACUGAGAUGCAAAGUUAAUCUUUCAUAUAAAUCUUUAUAACACACAUAGAUCUUUCUCAAAAACUAUAUCUCGAUAAGAAUUGUUUUAUAUUCAACUCUUUAUAGCAACCUCACAUUCGAACCACAUAUACAUAAUUCACAACAUUAAGUUCAACUCAAGAAACUCAAAUCCUAUUUUCGAUUCACAUGUACAAUUAUAUAUAAUUAUUAACAUUAAAUUCAACUCAAAGAAACUUGUAUCUUACAUUCUAACCUCUUUUAUAUAUAUAUAUAUAUAUAUUUCAAAUCAUUUCAUUCAAUUCAAAACAUUGCAUCAUUUAUUCGAACCACAUAUAUACAUACAAUUUAUAUCAUUAAAUUCAACUUAAAGAAUUUGUAUUACACAUUCGAACAAUAUCAUAUAUUUAUUUAAUAUAUGCUAUUAACUUCAUCUUAUUAAACUCAAGCAUGCAUGAUAUAACAUAUUCAAUAUUUGUAAAAUAAAAUUUCAACAUUCCAAUUUCUACUUGUAUAUCCGACUAACAAUUUAUAUAAUUCAUAAAAUCAAAUUUAGCUUAUAGAACAUAAAAUUCAGCUUAUAGAACAUAAAAUUCAGCUUAUAGAACAUAUAUAUAUUCUAAUUUAAUGACAUACAUUUGCUAUUAGACUUACCUCGGACGAUAGAAAAUCGAAGUCAGACGAUUAUUCGACUAAUUUGGCUUUUCCCCGAUCUAACUCCGAUUUCUUUGGUUCUCGAUCUAAAUAUUUUCAAAAUAAGAUAAUUUAUUUAUUAACACAUUCAAUUUAAUCCAAAAACACAUAAUUUGGCAAAUUACUAUUUUGCCCCUAAUAUUUACACUUUUUGCAAUUUACUCCCUAUUGCAUAAAACACAAUUUAUAAAAAAUUUGCCCAUACCACACAAGGCCGAAUAUUCAUGGUUCUCAUACAAGUCCACACAUUGCAUUUAUUUCACAUUUUAGUCCCCCAAAAAUUUAAUUUCACAAUUUAGCCCUAUUUACUCAAUUUCACUAAAAAUUCCAAUACAAAACAUAUUAAUCUAUCACAUGUCUUUCAUUUUUCAUCAUCAACUAUCACAAAGUCCAAGCAUUCAUCAAUGGCACAUUUCAAAAUCAUCAACAAUUCACAAAAUUAAAACAUGGGUUUUGAAGAACACAAAGCAACGAUCUCAAAAACGUAAAAAUUAUCGAAAACCGAACAAAACGAACCUUGAAUUUAAGCUUGAAUAUGGCCGAAACUUAACUAGGUUUUAACGGCUUUCUUCCUUCUUGGUUUCAGCUAAGAAAGAUGAUAAUCAUCUAAUGUUUAUUUUAUGUUUUUAACAAUCAUAUAUUAUAAUAUUUGUAAUUUACUAAUUUAGCCUUAUUUAAAUAAAUAUAACUUAUAUAUAUAAUAAGGUUAGUUUUGUCCUUAGCCAUCCACUAACUAUUUAAUGGUCUAAUUGCAUGUUUAAACCUUCCAAAUAAAAAGGCAACAACAAAUAGAUACUUUUAGCUUUAACCCCUAAAUUUUUAUUUUACGCGAUUUAAUCCUUUUUAUUUAAUCAGACACUCAAACGGCAAAAUUAAAGCACGAAAUUUUCACACUAAUAAAUUCACACAUAAUGAACACAGAAAAUAAUAUAAAAAUAUUUUUCUAAAUCGGAUUUGUGGUCCCGAAACCACUAUUCCGAUUAGGGUCAAAACCGGGUUGUUACAGGGUUACUGCAUUGGAAUUUAUCCACCAAGUGUAUCUAGGUCCUAAAGUUAAAUUGACCUCAAAAUAAAUAAAAAUAAGAAGUGUACCUUUCUUUGCGGUACAAUAUUUGCAUCGUAGUUAUUUUUCUUUGUAUACUUUAUUAAAGUUAGACUUAUGCAUACUAAUUUCAACCUUUUUAUUCUUGACAAAUCUCUUUCCAAUGUCGAUCAUGAAAUUUUUGGCCAUGGUAAUCUUAUCAAACGUAGUGCCCCUGAAUGUUUUUGGAAUGACCAUCAUAAUCAUCAUACACAUAUGGUUUGAUCUCUCACACCUUUUCAUCUACCUCUUUCUAUUAAAGGCACUCUCAUACAUAAACGAUGGAGGAGAAUUAACCCUUAAUACAAGAUCGAGAACUAUCAUAAGACUCUCUUAUCAUGUUUUGAAGUUCAUGCCAUUUAAAAAAAAAAAAAGGGAUUGCAUUCAUACUUACAAUUAUGCCAAAGGAUGUAAUAAUAAGUUAAUCAAAUAAAAAAGCUCACAUAAGACCUAAAAUAGAAAAAAUAAUAAUAAUUUUGAGUAAUGGUAAACACCAUCAAAAUAUCAGACACUCCAUUAAUAUUUCAUCUUUGAAUAAAUAUUAACUUUUAAGUGAUAUCUUAGUGUAGCAAUCAAACACCAACAAUAAGAGCAUGUCUAUAACACCCCUCGCCCAGUCCGAUUGCCAAACUCAAGCUACGCGAUGCUACCACUAUUAUCAGAGCAAACCACUACAAUUUAUAGUAAUUAAUCAUCUAAACACCAAUUCAUGCCAUAAUUCCAUGUAUAAUAUGAAAUACUAUCAAAACCGAGUCUUAAACGAGCUUACAAAAGCUUUUAGAUUGACCUGAGCACGAAUAAGGACCAAUCUAAAAAAAUUCCAAAACAAAAAUGGAAAUAGGUAUCGAUACCCACUUCAAGUACCGAUACCAUUUUCACUUUUGAUGUUACAAAAUUAAGAUGAAAAUGUACAAGUAUCGAUACCUGGGAUUUAGUAUUGAUACCUUUGUUACAAAGUAUCGAUACUUAUCCCAGUAUCGAUACCGUUUUUAGGCUCGAUAUUUGAAAAACUCAUGGAAAUUUGUAAAGUACCAAUACCUUUGUCUAGGGUAUACAUUUUGCCAAAAUGCCGAAAAUCACACAUUUUGGUCAUUUUUACAUGCUCAUAGGCGUGUGCAAAAUUCGGGUAAAACCAAAAAAAUUCGGUUAACUGACCGAAUUUGGUUAAUUGGUCGGUUAACUGAAGUUUUUCGGUCGGGGUUCGGUUAAUUAUUUUUUAAUUUUUUAGUUAACAGUUAAUUCGGUUCGAAACCGGUCGAUUAACAGAAUUUUUUUGGUUUAACCGAAAAAAUUAAUAAAUAAAAUUAUAAUAUAUAAAUAGGCCCACUAUUCACCUAAACCCAAUCCAAAUCCAAGUAUCCAACCCAACCCAAAUACCCAACCCAACCCAAUCAUAAAAAUUACAAAUAAUUUAAUAAAUAAAAAUAAAAUUUCAAUUAUGUGUUAAUUUCAAGACUUAUGUAAUGUUAGUGAUUCAAAUACUUAUGUAAUGUUUUUAAUUAUGUAGUGAUUCAAUUUGGUUAAUUCAGGUAAUUCGGUUAAUAAUUUUCGUUAAUUCGGUUAAUCGACCGAAUUAACCGAAAAAAUUUCGGUUCGGUUAAUUUUUUUGAAAAAAUUCCGGUUCGGUUAACGGUUAAAAAUUUUGAAAGAUCGGUUAAUUCGGUUAAUGUUAUUUCGGGUCGGUUAACCGACUUAACACCCCAACAUGCUCAAUCAAACUCAAACUCAAAUGGUGCUUGUAGACACAUUUUGACCUGCAUAUAAUCCACUCAAAACAUACCAAUAUACUACAUUUCAUCCAUUCCAAAAUGUCUCAAAUGGAAUCCAAAACACAACACUUCUAAUUGAACAAUUCAUACUCAAUUUACCAUUCAAUUUAUCAUUUAAUACCAUCGUGUUAUCAUGCCUAAUCAUACUCACAAGUACCAUUAUGUAUCAUUCAAAACAUACUAAUUUCAUACCAAAACUCACAAUUAAACAUAUUUCAAACAUCUAAACAAAUAUGUCACAUUUGACACCAAAUUUACAACAACCUACUUAUAUCAUUUCAUGCCAUUCAACCAUUCAUUUCAUCUAGUUAUUUCAGGUUCAACUAUGCAAUUAUGGAUGCCAACCACAUAGAACACAACAUAACACCAAAUUUAUGAACAUAAACAAUUUUCCAUUACAACAAAAGUUCAUUUUCAACUAAUGCUUCAAAUCAAGCUUAACAUUUUAAGAUAACAUAACCACUCCUAAGAACAUGCCACAUAUAACCGAAUUCAAAUGCUCAAAAGUCUACCGAAUCAGGAGAUGGAUAGUGUGAGUUCUGAGGCAAUCCGAUCAACGUAUUCUACGAACUGAAAAUCUAUAAAGAAGGAAAAACAACUAGGUAAGCAUUUCAAAUGCUUAGUAAGCUCAUACAUAUACAAACAAUUAACUUACCUCAUAUGACAAGUAUUUAUGUUAAUCUAAUGUGUAUAACCAAAUUUACCUAACAUAUCAAAAACACAAGCACAACUAGGUGAGCUUAAUUCAUAUUCUAUCAUGUAACAUAUCAAGUACAAGCAUAACAUUUAAUAUAUUCUAAAUCCAAUUUAACCACAACUCAAUCAUAUGUAUACACUCAACUUAUCAUUAACUCUUCCACUUUGCUAGCUUUGAUCAUUAAACACAUUAUAUUAAUUCUACGUUUCACAUCUUGUAAACUACCCGAUGAAACACCGUAAAAGAACUAAACCUUUUAUGCUUAACUAACCACAUCUGAUGCUCGUCUGAGCUAAACAUAUAUGUUUGUAUCAGGUUACUCGUCCGGGCUAAACCUAUAAAAGGACAUUAGGUUACUUAUCCAAGCUAAACAUGUAUCACAUGUAUCUUCAAGUCUACAACAAAUGAUGGAACUCAGAAUCAUUGGAAAUCAACCUAUAACCAUGUGUACAAUACAUUUACAAAGUUCCAUCAGGGUAAUUUCCAUCAUGUAAGUUCAUAUAUUUAUUCCUUUUCAAUUUUAUCCCAAUCUCACCCUUUAGUACUAAAUUGAGAUUACUUUGAAGUUCAACAAAGCAUACAUAAAUUCACAAUAUAAUGUACAUAGAGAUUUAAGAACAUUUAUCCCAUAUGAACUUUCCUAGAUAAAAUAGCAAUCGAUAAGGUGUCGAGGACUAAUCUACAAUUUUCUCUUUUUCGUGAUUAUCUUUCGAUUGGUUUAAAUCUCAAUCUAUACCAUAAUUCAAUUAAAUUAUCAAUUCCAAACAUCAUUUAACAGCCUACUAUAGUUAUGUAUCAAUUCAAUUUCAUCUAUCGAAUAUGUUCUCAAGUUUUGUAUUUUAUUCAAUUUAGUCCCUAAAAUCGAAAUUGCCAUAACUUUCAAAUUUGAGUUUUGAUUUUGAAACUGAUCUCAAUUUCAUCCUUCUAGACCCCUCCAAUAUUAAAAUUUACAUAAAUUUUGUACCAAAUUUGAAAUUGUUGCAUUUUAGUCCCUAUGUUCAAAACUAACAAUUAAACUUUACAAACAAGUCAUAUUUCAUUUAUAAGCUUAAAAACUAACAUUUUAACACCAAAACUUCAAGCAUUCAUCAAUGAUAAUAUUUUAAAAUUUUAACAAUUUUGAGAAAUAAAGUAAAAAUUAACUAAAUUGAGCUGUCACUAUCUCAAAAACAUAAAAAUUACAAGAAAAGAACUUAAAAAACAUACCAAAAUGAUAGGCCGAAUGUUGAAAUGUUUGUUUAUGUUUUAUAUUAUAAUUAUAAGUUAACAAACUAUAAUUAAUUGGCUAAUUAAUUAAAGCUUAAUUACUUAAAAUUAAACAUGUUUAGCAAAGUUGGUGGGAUACAUUUGUCAUCCACCACCGUUUAAAUCUUUCAGAGUGGUCAAUUUGCCUAAUUGGUCUUCUAAUUAUUACACUUUUAUAGCGAUUAAUUUUUACUACUUUUACAAUUUAGUUCUUAUACCUUAAUUAGUCACUAAAGCGGCAAAAUUACCUAUUCAAAAUUCAAUUUACUUAUACGAUAACUCUGUAAAUAUUUAAUAAAAAUAUUUACGAGCUUGAUUUAUGAAAACGAGAUCCCGAUACCUCAUUUUCCGACACCACUAACUUUAAGGUCAUUACACUUGUACUUUAAUUAACUAUCAAAUUAAUAAAUUUAAAUAUCCAAACUCGAACUAAACUUCACAUUGAUCUCAUAAAUAUUAAAUAUUAAUAUUUACGGACUCAAUCAUCGAAAAUGGGAUUCCAAAACUACACCACUGAAAAAUGAAUUGUUACAUUAAUAUUAAACAAUAAAUCUUCGUUUGAGUCAAUUUAUUACUCAUACGUAAAAUCGAAAUCAUCAUAUAUAUUUAUUAUCACAAUUGAACAUAUAAUUAUGUUAAAUAUUUGUAUUUAUUUGAACCUUUCAUUAUGAUAAUGCAUUACCAUCAGUCUUUUAAAUAAUGGGUGAUCAAAAGGUAUCUUUCUUAUAAUUAUAAUAAUACAACGGUUUUUUGGGGGUUCAAAAUAAGAGUACAACGUUUAUUGCAGCAUUAAUGAUCGGCAUUGAUAAGAUCAUCCAAUUUACGAUUGAAUGUUCGACUUUAAACAAGAAUGUUGACUAUUAAAUAAUCAUCCAAUUACAAUUGUGCAUUAAGUUUAUAUUUAUCAACUCUUAAAACUUUAAUGUAAAUCUGAAAAUUCAUCAUCAAAUUUUAAGAAAAAAUCAUUUAAAAUUAAUAAUUUAUUCUCGAUUAUUUAACAUGAUAAAGCUUGAAUGUCACUUAUUAAAACCAUAGUAAAUUUGAUGUAAAAAGUAAUAAAUUAGACUUUUCAUGUUAGAUUAUCAAGAACAAAUACUAGUUGUAGAAGCAGUUCUUUGAUAUGUUGAAGUCUUUUAAUCUUAUCGUUUUUUAUCUUCUAAACUAUCACGUCAUUCUUUAGAAAAAGUGAAACUCUUUUCAAAAGAUCGGUUGCUAGAAAAUUUAUCUUAUGUGUAAUUUGGAGAUCAUAACUCUAAUAUGUAACUUUAAAACCUUAAUCUUAUUGUUUUUAAUUAGCUCAUCAUUAAUUACAAUUUAGUUAGUUGAGUACAAACACAUAUUUGGCUCAUUCUUCUUUUUUUAAUAAUUGAAUCCCAAUUAACCUUAACUAUAUUAGGUCACUUUUAAUUUGGGCUAACAUUUUAUGAUGUUAAAUUAACAUUUAAUUAUUCUUGUUCCAAAAUAAAAAAUUACAAUGCAUGGUUGCUGAAAAUAAAAUAUUCAGUUUGUGAUAUAUGAAUAUUAUAAUAUAUACCUCAUCAUCAAUUAAAAUGAUCUUUCGUUCUUUUCUACUGCCAUUACCAUUUGAAUAUAAUCAGCAUUUUUUUUAAAAAAAAUAUUACUUUAAUUUUUUAAAUACUUCUAGACUUCUAGUUUAUCAAUGUUAAUAAUCCCCAUUCUUUUUCUCAAUGAUUUUCUUUAAAUAUUGAUAGGAAAUGCUUAAGUGUUGAAAGCUCUUUAUAGCAGUAAAUCUUUAACUUUGAUUGUUAUAUAACUAUAACAUUAAUUGGAAAUUAAUCUAAAUAAUAUCUAUUAUUAAUAUAUUACAUCCAACUUUUAACUCAAACGAUUUUAUUGAUUGUUAAUAAUUAAUUAAUAUUAUUUUUAAAAAAAAUUAAUUAAUGUUACUUAUUCUUAAUACUUUAAAUCACAAAAUGAACAAAAAUGUUAUUAUAUAAAAAAGUUGAUUUCAUAUAAUUAUAAAUUAUAGAUUAUAGAUAUAAAUAUUGUAGAUUAAAGAAGUAGUUUUGAAAAGUGAGAUUUGGAUUGGGUUUGACCAAAUUAAUUGAAUAAAUGAAACCAUCUUUAUCAAGACACGUAUAUAUUCAUAUUCAUAUGUUUAGUUUAAGACAGACAUUUACUCUCUCCAUACUGCAUAUAGGCAUGCAAGGAUAUUUCUAAGUUUGUGUAAAUUAGUAAAGUCCACAAAUCUUUGGUGACACGCAAUAACACCAGUUUUUUAUGGACACUCACUUGACUUAGACUUGAAAAGAAAGAAGAGAAAAUCCAUGACUAAAUUACAAAGAUUUAUACAUAUUUGCAAUAACAAGAUAGCAGAACUACACUCCCAUUCACAUUUCUACAAACCUCUACCUAUUCCUUCUCUUACUCUUAAAUUACUACCCUUUAGACUUGUAUUCUUUUUUAAUUCAACAAUUACCUUGAACAAAGCCUAGGUGAGUGACUUCUUUGAACUAUCAAAAUAGCAUGAAGACUUAUUUACAUAAGGUAUAAUAGUUUAAGGGUUUUUUUUAAUGUACUAGCUUAAAAUUAUUGUUUUAUUUAAAUUUAAAUAUUAUGUGAAAUUUUUUUUUAAUAUUCUAUUAUCUUUUGAAUAGUAAAAAUAAACUUUUCAAAUCAAACCAGGCUAGUUCAAAUGACUUUGGACAAUUUGAAACAAGUUUGAAAAGGAUCAUUGUUUUCAAAAAGAUCAGUUUAAAACAAGUUCGAAAGACAUGUAAUAACACUUAACAUCUCAAUUACAACCAAUUCAACAAUAUACCAAUUGUGUUCAAGUCGAAAUAUGCCAAAAUGAUAUUUCAAAAUAACAUUAAGUAACCAAGUUCUAACUUCGACCAUUUACGGUACAAAACUAGCUUAAACCCUAGGUGAAUGUGUAACACUCCUAACCUGAGUUCGUCGUCGAAACAGGGUUACAAAGUAUUAUUAGAGUUUACAAAUCAAAUCAACAUACAUUUCAUAUCAUUUAACAUUCUUGUCAGAAACCAGUCGAAAUCAAACAUAUUGUCUCUUAUGCGAGCUCUCGAGGCCCAAAAUACACAUUAGAAACAAGUCGGGACUAAAUCGGGUACUCAAAGAAUUUUUCAGAAAACAUUAAAAUUUUUCAAAGUUACAGGGGACACACGGCUGUGUGACUCACACGGCCAGGAGACACGCCCGUGUCUCAGGCCGUGUGGGCAUUUGAAAUGGGGGCAUACAGCCGUGUCCCAACCCAUGUCCAUGAUCAUGUAACUUCCUGAUUUGGGCCACACGGCCGUGUCACUUGGCCGUGUGUCACACACGGUUGAGACACACGCCUGUGUCUCUGCCCGUGUGGACAAAAAUAGGCCAUUUCCAAGCCACAUUUCUCACCCAAUUUGGUACCAAUCUAAGCACAAUAAUUUGCACAUCAACAAGCCAUAACAUGGCAUUCAAAUCAAGUUAAAAUCAAGUCUUAAACAUGAAAUAUAACCAUAUACAACCAAUGUGCCAUUAGGCACCUUAGUUAACAAUUUAAAGACAUGCCAACCAAGUAUCUCAAUCUACCUAUUUGACUAAGUUCAUAUAUGCAUAUUCAAACCACAUUUUAUUUUCUUUCAUUCUACCAUAUCAAACACACAUCAAAUAUGAUAAGGCCACUUAUAUACACAUCAAGAUAUACCAAACACAAACCAUUCAAGUGGCUAGUCUCAAUAAAACAUUUAUAUGCCAGCAUUGGCCAAAAUAACUUAUACAUGUCAUUAUACCCGAAAUUAAUUUACUGAAAGUACCAAAAAGGAUUGAUGGAUAGUGUGAAAUAACUCCGACCAGCUUCCAACCCGAACGAGCUUCUGAAUUACUAUAAAACAUGGAAAAUAUAUAACACAAAGUAAGCAUUUAAGCUUAGUAAGUUCGUAUAAUACAAAAUUUAGCUUACUAUAUUUCCAUAAAAUAGGUAAGUAACAUAGCAUAUCUCAAUCAAUUUGGCCAAAAGCCUAAACACAUGAUCACAACAUAUUAGCCAUUAAAUCACAUAUAAAAUCCAACACAUAUGGUUGAAUUCAUCAAACAAUCAUAUUUCAUGUAUUUCAUGCAUAUACCGGUAAUAGAUCAUAUCAAAAUAAUAUGAUUUCAUAACAGAACUAUGCCCGUCGAACCAUUUAAAAUAUCAUUGGAUACAUGGGUAGUACACAAGAGGUGUACUAAACUGUAAUCCAUCAAUUCAUGUACAUGAAUGCUCAUACGAGCUAUAAACGGAAAGCUCAUCCUGGCUGAAUAGUGGGAAGCUCAUGUAAGCUGUAUAAUAGGAAACUCAUGCAAGCUAUAUAACAGGAAGCUCAAGAGAGUUGAAUAUUAGGAAGCUCAUACGAGCUGUGGUGUGUCCGCAACACAUGCAAGACCCCAACCAAAUCGGUAACCCUAAUGACAUGUCAUUUGUAUCCUACGAAUUUCAUAAGGUUCAAACGGGACUCAAUAAUUAUUGAAUAUACAGCCGGUAUUUAUUCAUGGAAAUUGUACAAUUCACAAACAAUAAUUCAAUUUAACUCAUAUAAAUGUAUAAUUUAAUUACACGAAUUUACCUCGACAAAUGUACAUAGAUACGAAGGCGACUAAUCAGAUAUUUUUCCUUUGCCUCAAUCUAACUCUGUACUAGGUCUAACAGGAUCUAUACGAAUGAAUUUAACUCAAUUCAAUAUAAUUCAUAUUCAAUUUAGUCCAGCACAUAUUUUUGGUAAAAUUACUUUUUUCCCUUAUACUUUUAAUUCUUUGCAAUUUAGUCCCUAGGCUCGAAAAAUAACUUUCAUGCAAUUUAAUCCUUACUCAAGCCGAGUUAAUUUUUAUACAUAUUAAUAGUGUCCCACAUAAUUCACAAUUUUACCAUAAAUUUAUCAUCUUUUUCAAUUUAAUCCCUAAUUGAUAAUUUCAUCAAAAUUCUCUUUACAAAAGUUGUUUAUCUAACAACAACCUUUCAUUUUAUAUCAUAAAAAUUCAAAAUUCAAACAUGCUCAUCAAUGGAAAAACCCUAAUACUUUAACAAUUUUACAACUUAAUUCCCGAGAUAGCUAGAUUAAGCCACUACGAUCUCGAAAACAUAGAAAUCAUCAAAAACGGGACAAGGAUACAUACCUAAUUGAGCAAAAUAAGCUUUCUAAUGUCUCAAGCUUCCAGGGCUAGAGUUUUUUCUUUUUCUUUUUUGUUUGGUAGUAGAUGAUGAUAAUAGAUUUUUUAUUUUAUUUAAUAUCAUUUUAACCACUAAUUUCCAAAAUUACCAUUAAUAAUUUAUUAAAUUUCCAAUGAUAACUACUAUUCAUGCUUAUCCAUUAAGCAUUUUAAUGGUCUAUUUAAUAAAUAAGGACCUCCAAUUUCAAAUUCUAUAGCUAUUUAAUACCAAUAGCUAUUAGAACUCAACUUUUGCACUUAAUGCAAUUUAGUCCUUUUCAUCAAAUUAGGUAUGUAAACGGAAAAUUUUCUUAACGAAAUUUUUAUACUGUAUUUCUAUCAUGUAGUAGACCAUAAAAUAAUAAUAAAAUAAAUAUUUUUUUCUGACUUCAGAUUUGUGGUCCCGAAACUAUUGUUCUGAUUUCACUAAAAACGGGUUGUUACAAAAUGCCAUAUACAAUUAAAAGAGUACUUUACAAACUUUUGUUGAGUUAGUGAAUCACUUCUUGGAUGCUAAAACUACUUCUCGAAAUCUCAAGGAUCAUCUAUGCUUGCGCACAGAGAAAACAAACUAUACGCUGAACAAUAGGGCCCAGUGGUACAUUUAUGAUUCAAGAUAUAAAUAACAAGAGCAUUAAAAAUAUGGUUCAAUAUAAAGAAAAUUUGUGCAUAUAUGCAUCUAAUAUCCAACCAAUUCAUGUCCUAGUUGUUAACCUUUCCAUCAUCAAUCAAAAUACAUAAGCAUGUUUAUAUCAAAUACUAAAACAACCUAUCCAAAUUACAAUAUGUAUGACCAACUCCAACUUACUUAUCAAUAGCCAACUAUUCAAUACAAACCAAUUCAAUAUUAGCCACAAACCAUUAAAAUUAUACCAUGCAUGUACUGUGACACAUAAUUUAUUUACUUUGAUAUCAUAUUAUUCUAACUUGUUUACGGAGUCUACCAACUCAUUUACAUUCGUUUUGCCUCCCAAUAAUCAAUUUCAUUUGAUUUGCAUACUUAACUAUACAUUUUUAAUAUUCUCCUCAUAUUGAUACAUAAUUUAAUCUAAGGGCAUCGAUUGAUAUCGUAUUCAUAUCAUUUACCAAGCUUACAUUUUGCAACCCCUAUUAACCUGACUCAGAUUCGGACGGAUACUUGAAUCGUCCAACCAACACACCAAGCUGGUGUUGCAAAAAUCAUGUUCGAAAAUAGUUUUCUUACACAGCGAAAAAUUAAAAUUCUAAAAAUCGAGCCGACUUUUUAUAUUUUUAGUAAUAAACCCUUUACCAAAAUCACACAUAUAUUUUCGGCUAGAUGAAUCCUUAUCAUUUCUGACUUUCAACUAAACGACCUUCUAUGUUAUUCUCGUACCAUGAACUACUUCGAGUGUGAGCUCAAACAAAUUUGAAUCAAACACAAAACCAGAAAUUCUUUACUUUACUUUUAGUAGGAAAACAAGCCUCUCUUUAAUAGAAACUGAUAGAAUUGUUAUUUCAGAAAAUAGAAUUUAUACUAAGAAAAUAAAUUCUCACUAUUUUCGGGCAAAAUAAAAAUAUCUGAAAGUUGUGUAUUUAGCCCUAUCAGUGCCAUCUAUUUAUAGGAACAAGAGGUGAAACCCUUAUUGAAUUAGUAGAAGUCUAUUUCAAUAGAAAAACUAAAUCCUAGUGUAACUAGGAUUAGGGGGUGGCAACCCUAGUUAAUUAUACUAGGGUUUUUCAUCCCUAGUAUUAACAUGAGGGGCUUUUGGGCCACUCCCGUAUCGGGUCCAAUUAUAAAUACUUCUUUAAUUUUUAACCCAGUACUUUAUAAUUCAAUCCAACCCAAAACUUAUUCUUUUUAUUUCCCAAAAUAAACAUAUUAAAUUAAUUAAAUAAUUUCCCAAUUAAAUAAUUUUCUUAACCCAAUUUUAAUUCCAUUAAAAUCAUGACUAAUUUAUCAUAAAAGACUACAUUCAACGAAUUUACUAUGACUAAUUAAUUUAUUUCUAUUUUCAAACUUCAAAUAAAUAAAUAAAUAAUCAAUAAUUCAAAAAACCAUAAAUUAAUUUUUAAGUCAUUUCCAUUUAGAGAAAAUCCUAUUCAUUUCUAAAUGUUUCCCAUUUCUAUCCAUUUCUGUUCAUUUGGUUCAACAUACAAUUCAUUUCCGAUUUUAACGAGCUAGUGGAGGGACUGACUGAACAUAUGUGAUUAGGGCAGAAAUGAUUUAUAAUUAAGUUCUAGCUUUCCGCCUAUUAAUUAUAAACUCAUUUAGUCACAAAGUCAUUUCACUAUUAUCGUGAUUGAGCUCUCCCUAAUGACAUACCAUUACGAAAGCAACUCGAUCAAUGCUCGUCUAAUGACUUUGUUAUAAGUGUGUUACCCUCAUAAGAUAUCUUUAAUCUCUUUGGGAUAAAUUCGCCCUCCCAAUAUGAUCAUAUUUUGUCUCAUGGUAACCAUUACAUCUUCCUUCAUGAAUAAGUCAAUUACUAUUAAAUAGUAAUCAAGUCAUUCAUCAUAAAGGCGAACGACUCAUGACCAUGUUUACUUUUCAUCUAUCAUGUAAUGUCAAUGAAAGGAUAUUAUUUACCCAUAUCUCAUGCUAUGAAUUCUACUGUUGUGAAUGGCGCUACAUACUACAUAAGUUGUAUACCCAACGUACCAGCUUUUAGUUCCAUAUUUAUUUGAACCUAAGUUUUACUUACAUCAAAGCAUACAAGUCACGUAUACAUAGUCCGUCCUCCACUCAGGAUUAAGGUAUGUCACAUUUUGAACGUCACAAGUGAUUAAAUCCAUGAAUGGAUUCAGGAUCUAUUCUUCUUGGAUUCAGUCCGAUGUACUGUUAGUCCAGUUAGUCACAUUUAUGUCUAUAUCUUUUAGGAGUCACCCGCUCCUAUGCCCAAGAUAAAACAUCUCUCCAAUUAAACUUGAUAGAUGACAUAUUAGUCUUUCAAUCAGUUUGCUCAUUUCUUAUUAAACUAAUGACAUGUUUAGGUCCGUCUACUAAUAUAACUUGUCUUUCCGUAUUAUGAUCCGAUCAUGUAAUACCACUUAGUAUUAGUUAAAAUUUAGAAAACCAAUGAACUAAUAUUUGAUUCUAUUUUGCUUUACAUGCAAAAACCACGUGAGGAAAAUAUACAACGGGUAUUAAUAUAAUUCAUGAACAAUUUAAUUAACAAAUCUGUUUGAAAAAAUUACAAGUGUACAUAGACGAAAAUACUAUACAUAGGGCACUAGAUCCAACAACUAAUAUCGAAGUGCAUAAUCAAAUAAGCCGAAGUAGGGUAACUAGCACGUAACGUGCAUAUUGACGUACAAAAUGCAUCCUGGUGCACAAAGCAUAUCCUUGGCGCACGAAGUGCAUAUCUAGCACACGAGGUGCGUCUUGGCACAUAAGUGUAUAAUCUCAUACACAAACCAAUUCUAUGACAUGCUAAAUCUAUCUGACACAACCUGAACAAUUAAUAGAACACCAAUAUUCAAUUUAUUUACAAGUUAGAACGAGCACAGUUGGUAAAAAUUUUUAACUCUACAAACGAGAUUAAAAAGUUGACAAGUGUCUUUCAACCUCUAGUAUGAAGUUAAAAAAUUCCAACCUCAACACAUAUCAUAAACUAUUUCCUAUUAUUUUUAAUAAAUUACACAAUUUUAUAAUAUGAAUGGCAAUUCUGUUGCUUAAAUUAACUAAUUAUAUUUUUAGCCAAAAAACUACUAAUUUUUUAAGUGUAUAAUUAUAAUUUCAUUUACAAAACACAAAUAGCUCAACGCUCAAAAAAUUUAAUCAAUAUAAAGCUUUUAAAUGCAAUUAACAUAACACCAUAUUCAUGUUUAAAAUUUCAAACAUUUAAAUAAAAAAUAUUUAUUUUAUCUUUAUUUUUGUGUGUAAAAUUAAUAAAUUAUUCAUAUUUAUUUUACGAUAUAGGAAUUUUUGUUGGAUGAAGUGCUCAAGUACAUUGUUAACAAUAGACUAAAACGGCAUGCAAUUUAUCGUACUAUCUGACUCCAAAAAACUUAAGAAAACUAUAACUACCGAAAUAAAACGAAAUUAUUCAUUGAGUAGCUAAAUAAAUAACCUUGUUUUGUACCCUACAAUCAACUCUAUUAGACACACACAUAUUGCUCAUGUCCUUUAAGCGCCUGCUGUCCAAUGAAUUUUCAAAGCAAUAUCUUCAAGUAUUCUGCCAAUGCUUUUGUCUUUACUUUUAAUUAAGCACGCAUACAUGCCUUUCGCCCAGAUAGCUGACACUAAUUCAUGAAACAAAUUGAAAUUCUUCUACUAUACCUGAAAAGAGUAAUAAUCAUUUGCAUCCCUCAACAAUGAAAGCAAAACCAUCAGCAUUGGAACCUGAUUUACGCCACGCCAGAUGGAUUUCAAAAGGUCUUCCUGUUUCAAUCACUACUUCCAAUAUUGCUGCUGCUAGUGCUUGGUUUUCUCAUUAUGCUUCUUCAUUACUCUUUUCUCUGUUAUCUUUUUUCCAGGAAAACUUUUUCCGCCGCUUGAAUAACUUCCUUCACCAGCAACUGGGUUCAAUUUAUUUUAUUCCCCCAUUAAAUCUCACUUUAUUCCUGAUAACCAACCCAGAUACCCCAUAAAAAAAAAAGAUGAUUAUAAUCCUCAAUACACAUCUGCAGAGCACACACAAGUCAUCAACUCCACCAAUUCUUUUCUUGAUUUCUGAAAUCCUAGGAAGGCAGUCCGUAAAAAUUUUCCAAGGGAAACAUUAGCGAUGGAGGAAGUGCCCAAAGCUUAGCCCAGAAAAAAUUUAUUGUAAUUCAAUAUUAAUUCAAAAACAAAAGGAAAAAUUUUAAAUCAAAAUUAAAGUUAACAAUAAAAAAAAAGAAGCCAAAAAUUCACUUAACAAAAUAGCUACAAAUUUUUUUUACAUAUUUUUAAUUCAUAAUUAUCAAAAUUGAAAUAUAUGACAACUAAUUUACUCUGGAAUAGUAAGCAGCAUCGGUCGCCAAGCUCUCCUUAAUAACCUGUACCGAAACGACGUCGUUACUGGCGUCAAAGUACCAGAUCUCCGAUCUGAAAACCUUUCACUGGAACUACUGGUAACCGGUAAUAAAUCUUCCGUUACUUCUUCGCAGAUUUUAUCAUCACUCUCUCUUUCUUCAAACGGCGGCGAUGCCACGAAGAGUUCCUUCAAUUUUCGCCGGCUUUUUUUACCAUUGGAGUUCUUCUUGCUGUCGGCGUUGGAGGUGUUUGGCUGUGGCGGAGGUGAAGGAGGAGGAUCCAAGUUAUCAGUCUGGCGGCGAUGAAAACGUCGACGGUCAGUGGCAGAAGAGCGGUUAAGAAGCAUGCGGAGCGUUUUGCGACGGCGGAGGUGAACGACGGGGCUGGUGGUGGGACUGCGACCUGGGCUUCCGGCGACGGCACACUGAGUUGCGAGAAGCUUGAAUUUGUGCAGAGUGGCCAUUUCUGUUUGAAGCGCGGUUUCUGUCUCAAGUAAGCAGAGGAUUUAGAGAGAGAAGGGAAAGAGAACGAGAUCUCAAAGAGAAAGGUAACAGUGAGCAUAAUUUAAAAUAAAAUAAAAUAAAUAUUAAUUUAUUAAAAGAAAUUGGAAGAAUAAAAAGGGUAAAGGGAGAAGCUUUUUGUUUGGAUCGUGGGAUGGUCCUUAUCUAUCUCAAUCUGUUUGGCCUUUUUUGUAAAUUUAUAUUGGUAGUACACGUGGAAUGCAAUAAUUAAUUUUUUCACAUUUAUUCUAAUAUCUGUAAAAAUAAAAAUAAACCAUCUACUAAUACUGAUAACUCAAAAUUACAAUCGAACUCACGUAAAAUCAAACUAUACCAGAAGAAGCAAACAGCACUUGUAUUAGGUCUCCAUUGUUUAGGAGAGCGAGAAUAUGUUUAGUAUUAUUUUUAGUAUAAGUUAUUUUUUUAAAGAAUAAAUGUUUUUUCAAAUAAAAAAUUGGUUCAAAAAUAUUUUUUUGAGAAGUUAAAAAGUUAGCUUCUUUUUAAAAGUAGUUUUUUCUCAAAAAUAUUUUUAAAAAGUAUUGCUAAAUUAAGUCAAAUCACCUCGAAAAUCCCCUUUUCAAGUUCUUGUUCUAGUGACGAUGAACAUUGCACAACGAACUUGAAAACAACAUGUAUGCAAUUGUUAGAAAAUAAAACAAUCAAAAUAUAUGAUAGAAGACUCGAGAAACCUGAACACAAAAGUUUUGGAAAAACAAGAGUCUAGCUUGAGAGAACCUCCUCAAAGGAGGAUCCAAAGGAAAGCUUUAUUGUUAAUCUAAGAUUUAAAAAAGCACAUGAUUUUUUAAUAGUAAUUAAAUUUUUUAAAACUAAAAAUACUGAAAAUUACAGUUUUCAACGAUAUUAUUUUAAUUAAAUAAACCACCUACAUAGUUUGAUUUUUGUAUUAUAAUUUUAUGGACUUUAUAAGUGUAUGUAAGUAAUUGAUGUCAUCAUGUUAAUUUAUAUAUUUUCUGAAAAAGAAAAGGAGAGUAGAGUGAAGUAAUUGGAGAAGAGUGAUGAAAAGUCCAAGGUUUGGAGGGAAUAAGAGCGUGGAUUUUACUUCAACCACCCAAUGGAGGCUAUCUACAAAAUUACAAAUCAAAACGUUAUUUUCUAAAGCCGUUAACUACCCCCAUUUAAUAUUCUUUUCUUUUCUUUCUUUUUUCUAUUUACUUUCUCUGCAAAUUAUUUGCAUCAUCUUUCAUCAUUUUUUCGUGAUAUUAUAUUAUUUACUUAAAAUACUUUAUUCAAUUAAUUUCAUGAAUCAAUUCAAUAUUAAUAUUAUUAGAAUUGAAUUAACUGAUUAAACCGAUCAGAUUAAGCAUCGAUCAUUAUGUUGGUCUGGACAAAAAGAUUAAAUCAAAAACUGUUAGAAACUAGUAAAAAAUCAAAAAUAAAGACAAAAAAUUAAUAGUUGAACUAAUAUUAUAAUUUUUUAAUUUUAUUUAUUGAUUUAAUUAUUAUUGGACUAAUAGUUGAACUAAGUAAAUCGAAAAUUCAUAGUUUAAUCAAUUUGAUCAUCGAUCCGAUAAUUGAAAUAUUAAAAAAAAUGACUAAAAAUUUUUAUUUAGAAAAUAACAACUAUUAUUAUGAGAAUAUUUUUUGUUUUUAUUUUAUAUAUUUUUUUCAAUAAAUCUAUAAAUAUCGAGAUUUAAACUUCACUUAUACUAGAUCACGUACCAAACCAUGCAUUGGGAAAUAUAAAGUUUUAAACAUAAUAUAUGUGUUAAUGUAAUGAAAUGAUUAAAUGAAUUUAGAGUUAAAAUUAAAUUAUUAUUUUUAUAAUAAUAAUUACAAUACACAUGACAUUAAAAUAAUAUAAAAUGACACAAAUCAUUAAGUGAAUAUAUCAUAAAAAUGUUAGUACAUAAAUUCCAGUGAGGAAAAUCUCAAACACACGAACAAAACUUAAACAGAAAAAGAAGAAAUAGGACAAGGCUCCAAGGCUUGUAUCAAACCACUAUUUUUAAGGUUAUAUUCGCCCCCACCUAUAUAUCUUCGGUGUGCAAAAGAGUUUCAAGGAUACAAUUAAGCCAAUGACUAUUUGUGUUUUGCAUUAACGAGAAUAGCCCACUAAACGCUGAGCAAUGUAUAACAAGAAACUCAAUUUCUACGAACGAUUUGUACAGUAAUACUUUAUAGAAUAAUCUAAUAAUAUUAGAAAAUGAAGGAAGGAAAGAAAGAAUUUUAAAAUUUGUUGGUGUAAUUUCCAAAUGAAAUUUUAUUCCUAUUUAUAGGAAUUUUCAUAUCUCUUCAUAGAGACAUCUUUCUGAAUAAUAAUGUCUUUAAAAAAACAUAAGUAUUCAUUUAAUAUUAUAACUAUUCAAAUAAUAUUGUUUGAAUAGUUAUAAUUCUUUUUUAAAAAUCAAAUGAUAUAACUUUUGACCAAUGACCAAAAGAUGUAUCUUUUGAUUAAUUACACACAUUCAUUUAUAGUUAUUGUAAUACUAUAAAUAUUUGAAAAUGUUCCAACAAAAUAUAUACAUGUAUCAAAAUCUACAUAAAAUAAACAAAUAAUAAUUUAGACACAUAAAUAUAAUAUGAAUACAAUACAAACAUAUAUUUUCUUAAUUAAAUCACUAUGAUAAAUAAUGCAAAAUAUGAGAUUGUAAGACAUAACAUAAAUACAACACAAAAAACACGAAUUGUUCCUUCAAUUGAACAGUUAUGACAAACUAUGCAGAACAUUAUCUGAUGAAAAAACACAUGGAAUCUAUUGAAUUAAAAGUCUCUCUUUCGACACUCACUUUGCCUUGGUUCCUUCGUUUCAACUUUGUUUUUAACCACUUUCAUUGUGGUUGUCAUGGGGCCAAGCUCAUCGGCACCACCAUUGAGAGCUUGUUAAUAAAUAAAGUCCACUCUGCUUCUUAUGGAAGCCCUGGUGGUAAGUCUCUAGUUUUUCUACUUUAGUUUCUUUUUGUUUACUUUGCUUUUUAGUGUUGUUUCUGAUAGUGUUGUCCCUGUUGAAAAAGUCUUAUCUUUUGUUGGAAUAGAAGUUGGGAUAAAAUUAGAGAGCUUACAUAACAAGUUUAAAACGUAAGUGAAUUAAAGGGAUAAGUAAAGAGAGAAUCAAUGCAUGAUAUUUGUUAACACGGUUCGAAUCCUACUCCACAAUGCCUCACUCGGAAAAUAAUUUUAUACAACAAUUCAUCCAAUACAAUUAUUUGCUAAAACCCAAUCUACCCUAUCUCCCUAAUAGUUACAAAUCACUCUUCCCAAAUACAUCACAUUAUAUACGAUCUCUCUCCAUAAUGUAAUACACCAAAAUUUUAGUCUUUGAGAAAGGAUAAGCAUUUUAAAGGUGAAUUAAAUAUUUGGAGAAAAGUAUAAAUAAUGAAAUUUAGUAAGGAUUAAGUUGUACGUUUUUGAAAGUUGAAGGACUAAAAGUGCAAAUUGAUCAUUUUUAGAAAGGUGAAAUUGAAUAAAUAUUUUUUUUAUGAAUGUGAUAAGGAUAUGUAUUGAUAUGUGGAUUUGGAAAAUUGGGAUAGAGAUUAAGUUGAAUAAAGUGAAAAAGAUAUAGGGGCUAAAGUGCAAUUUUUAUUUAUGGAGGAGGGACCUAAAUAUAAUUUUUUAGCUUUAAUUGAUAUUUAGAGACAUAACGAUGGGAUUAAAAUCCUAUAGCUGAUGAAGUGGAAAGUUUGUGGAAUUUAUAGAAAUUAAGGUUGAAAAGUGUUGAAAUUUGAUUGGAUGAUGGAAUAGAUGGACUAAAUUGAAAAGAAAAAAGUGUAAAAUUUUCUACACAAUUAGAAGGCUGAAUGAAAACAAAAAUAAAUAGGAAAGAAAGGGGAAAAAAUAAAGGGAGAAAAAGAAGAAAAAAGGGGAAAAAAAAGAGGAAAAAUCUCCCAUGCAUUUUUCUUGAGAUUUUCCUUAAAACCAUAGCUUAAUUUCCUAUCCUAGAGUGCUACCGAAAUAUUUUCAAUCAUGGAAACAACUUAGAUGAAGAUGAAAGUAAAAAAGAAAGCUUGUGAAAGUGAAAAGAAAGGAUAAUUUCAAGUGGAGAAAUAGGUAAGUACUCAAUCAAAAUCAAGCUCAUUUAUUUUAUUUUGAAUAUUUGAAUAUUUAAAAUUUUCAUAUGAAAAAAAUAAAUAAGAUAUGAUUAUGAAUAUUGAAUUUAGUAGUGAAUAUGUAAAUAAAGGCAUGUUAUUAAUGUAAAAAUAAUAAUAAAGUGAUAAUUUAGUGAUCAGUGAACUUCACGAAACUAAUGAUUAAAUUAUAAAGAGUGAAAUUUUAUUUAUUUGUCAUAAAUUGAUAAGUGAAUAGAUGUAUAGUUAAAUUACGAUAAAGAAGACUAAAUUGUAAUGUGUAUAAAAGAUAUUAUGUGAAAUCAAUAUUGUGAUUAAAGACUUAAAUGAAGUAUUAUGUGAUAGUAAUGAAGUGUAAAGUGAUAUAGUAAUUAUUGAAUUUUCACGAAUUUAAGGAUUAAAUUGUAAAAUGUUUAAAAGUUACUAUGUGUGCUAAAAUGCCUAAAAUGCACUCUUUCAUUAACAUCAAAACCUACUCAAAACAUACACAUUAACAUGUCAAAAAUACAACUUAAAAUGCCUAACCAAUAUGCCACAUUUCAACCAAAACCAAACCAAUCUAAUACCUACUUAUCAUGCACACUAUUCAUUAUUUAAGCAUCAUCAUACCAAUACAAUAUCAAAGCCUAAUAAUACUUCAAUUUAAGUCUACUCAUUAUCAUAAGCAUAUAAGGAUAUGCAUGAACCAAACCUACUAAAAUAACAUCACAACAUCACUUUUACUCAUUACACUUGUAACAUAACAACAUAAGCAAGUUCCUAAGUUACAACUUCAAAACAUAUAUAUAUACCUUAACACCUAUUAAAUGCCACUUAUAAUUGAGCCAAAAUGAAUUAAAAAGGCUACCAAAAGAGACGUUGGAUGGUGUGAGCCUUAAAAAUAAUCUGAUAGCCACAUUCGCCAAAAGUCAACUACAAAAGUCAUGAAAGAUGAAAUGGGGUAAGCAUUGACAUGCUUAAUAGGUUCAUAUAUAUUUAAACAAUAGUCUUACCUUAAAUCACAAUUGUGUAAACAAAAUACUAAAUAUUUUAUAUCAACAAGGUGAGCAUUUUAUAAACCAAAUCAUAUAACUUUUCAAUCCAUUCAAUACAAUACAUAUCACUAAGAUUCAAUUAGAACUAUUGAACAAGUGAAUCAUGUUAAAAAAUUGAUCAUAUCCAUUUACAUUCACAUUCUUUUCAAAUCACCACAUACACAAUCAAAUCCCUUUUUCUUUUAAACAAUUAGCUCAAUGAACUCAAAUAAUAAGAUAUAGAUACGCGAGUAACUACACCACACCAAGUUGCUCAAUUAAGCGAUAACUACACCACACCAAGGCACCAUAGUGCAAAGCUUGUUCUAUUGCUGUCAUGUAGACCUUUGAUUUUGUGUCCGUGCCUCACUGAUUGUUCUAGUCUGUUUCCUUUUCUUUCGUACUGAUCGUUGUGUGGUGAAUAUUCCUCCGACAGAUUGAGGUUGUCAUCAACUUUGUUACUAAGGGUAAGCUGAAUGUCUAGUUAGGGUUUGAUUUCUGUUAGGCUGAAUGUCAUAUUGUUAGAUUGAAUGCCUUAAUUCUUAUAGCCAAGUAAUUUAAUUCGAGUAAGGGUGCCAAAUAAGUGUUUUUGUUUUGAUGUGUUGUUUUCAAUUGGCUUGCCCUGGAUGUUGUAUGUAGGAUUUGGGAGUGUGUUGUAGUGUUGUUAAUAAAAAAAUCACCAGGUGUGUGACUCUAUACUCAUAAACUCGUAAAACUGUGCAAAAACCAAAAUAGACAACACCACAUGGCUGUAUGCCUAGCAGUGUGUUAGGUCGUGUGAGCCAUAGGGGCAUAUGCUUGACCGUGUUCCAAGUCGUGUAAGCCCAUUUUGCUUAAUUUUAAUUAGGGUUGUGUGGGCCGAUUUUUUUUUACCUAAUAUACAAAAAUAAUGUUAUAAAAAUUUAGAAACAUUACAAAAACUAUAAAAAGUUGUUGUAUAUUAUAAAAUAUUAUUAAUAUAUUAUGAAAAGAUUAUAAAAAUUAUAAAAAAGAAUAAAAUAUAAAUAUAAAUAUGACUAAUAUAUUAUGAAAAAUGAAAGGACUAUAAAAACAUUAUAAAAUUUUUAAAAUUAAAUAAAAAUUAUUAAAAAUUAUAAAAGUUAUAUAAAAUUAUUAAAACUAGGAUUAAUACCCGAUUAAGGUUGGCGUUUUCAAUUUUUAUGUAAUCUAUUAUUGAACUAAUCAUUUAUUAAAAUUUUAAAUUUUAUAAAUUAAAAUUAUGAUGAUCGAUUAGAAUUAAAUAAACUUUAAAUUAAUUCAUGAGUUAAUAUGUAAAUUAAUAAAGUUAAAUGCAUUAUUUAGAAAUUAAAAAAUUCAAACAAUUUAGAUUAAAAAAAAACUAAAAAUUUAAUCUCCCUAGCAUAAAAAAGAAAAAAGAGUAAAGAUUGGCAGUUAACCAAGAAAAAUGGUUUGGGGGAUUUUUGACUAAAAAUAGGGAAAGUAUAAGUUCAAAAAUGAAGAUCAUAUAUUAGAUAACUACAAUUUACAGAGUAAUGUUUAUUCUACCACAGCUCAUAGUCAUAGGUAAAAUCCUAUUACUUGAGCAACUCUUUAAUGCAUAAACACCAUUUAGAGUUUUGCUACAAUACAAUAAAUUCUCAACUCAGAAUUGAAAAUCCAUUUUCAUCUGCCUCUUCCAUCAUUUGCAGAAUACUCGGGAUUACAUCGAUUUUAUCUGUACCUGCAAAUAAGGUUGGACACAUACCUUGUUUGAAUAUGGUUGGGCAUAUAUACUUCCAGAAAAAAUAGAAAAUCAGAGUAAAAUAAGCAUACAUAUCAUUAACUACUACUAUAAUAUGUGAGAUGAAUUUUGACUCAAUAAAUACUCCAACCAGGCAUUUAAAUACUCAAACUUCACUCUCCCUUUUUUUAAAAACCAAACUCUAAUAGUUUAGGAGUACAAAUACUUCGACUAAUAUUUUAGGAGUAUAAUUUUGGUAAUUUUUUUCAAUUUUUUUUCUAAUUUUUUUAUAUUAAUCAUUGAACUUAAUUAUUUUUUUUAAGUUUGGUCCUUAUAAUGAUGUAGCAUUAUGAAAUUAUGUUAUGUCAUCGCCUAAUUUUGUAUGUGUCGAUGUGGUACAAUAUUAAAGUAUCACAUCAUCACAUAGACCAAAAUUUAGAAGAAUUGCUAAAUUAAUAUGAGAAAACUUGUUAAAUUCUUUCUAAAACUAAUGUGGACAAAAGAAUUAUAGACUAAAUUUAUAAAACUAUCAAAUUCAUGAAAACUUUAUCCAACAUUUUAAACAAAAACAAAAUAUCCAAGCAACAUAUGACCAAAACCAGAAGAAACUAGGUGGUAGUAAUAGUAGAGAAGCUAACCCAUUUCUCUGUCGCAGAAUCCGGGGAAAAUGCAGGAGGAAUGCUCUUCAGUAGUCCAACAUCGUCCGAUUUAAUAUCCACCACUUCAGUUCCCGAUCUAAUAUCCACCACAUCAGAUCCCGAUCUUACACCCUUAAUCUCUUCCAAUGCCUCCAACACUCCUUCCAUUGAAGGUCUCAUAUCCCUCUCCUGUUGCAAACACCGAAACGCCAAUCCUGCAACCGCCGUUACAGUGUUUUUCACCACAAAAUCAUUCUCGAACCCGAGAGAUGGAUCCACCAGUUCAUGCAAUGCUUGAUUCUGGAUUCUGCUGAUUGCCAUGUUAGCCAAAUUUAUGUCGUGUCGGUGCCUGCUGAUGUCCACUGCUUUUUUCGCCGAAAUUAGCUCGACCAACACGACCCCGAAGCUGUAAACAUCACUUUUCUCAGUGAGGUGGUAGCAUUGGUGGUACUCCGGGUCGACAUAACCCGGGGUGCCUUGCGGAGCAGUCGAGACAUGCGUGACAUCAUUAGGAAAAAGUCGUGAGAGUCCAAAAUCAGCCACUUUUACAUGGAAAUUCUUGUCCAGGAGAAUGUUGUUGGAUUUAACAUCGCGGUGUAUGAUUUCCUUUCUAUGUAGGUAAGCCAAUGCGGUCGCUGUCUCGAUGGCGAUUCUCAACCGAACAUGCCAGGUAAGCAAACCAGAGUUGGAUCGCUUUCCAUGCAAAUGAUCAGCCACGGUUCCAUUAGGAAUGUACUCAUAAACAAGGAGAAGCUCUCGACUACGUCUCGAGGUACAUCCAUAGAGCUUCACGAGGUAUGGAUGAAGGAUGAGAGUGAGGAUUUCGAUCUCGUUCAUGUACUGAUCGACACGCUUCAAAUUGUUCUCGUAUAAGCGCUUCACCGCUACCACACGCCCAUCCCUGAGUACACCUGAUCGUGCAAAUCAAAGAUAAACAUGGUGGGAUAAGGUUAAUAACAGGGGACUAAAGUAAAAAGUUGCAAAUAAGUUUGUCUUACCAUAAUAAACAGUGCCGAAUCCUCCUUCUCCAAGUUGUUUAGAAGGAUUGAAAUUGUCAGUGGCUUCCUCAAGUUCUUCAUAAUUAAAAACAUGGGCUCCAAAGUAAGUGCUUCCCCUUUCAAUGUCAUAUUUUGAAGUGGAAUAGGAUGAAUUGCUUUGAGAGUAAUUAGUUGUGGAAGUUGUUGGCCCUUUGCUUGAUGGAGACGUUGGAAGGUCUCUGCUAAUAAGCUGGGCUACAAUUUUCUUUCGCCGAUGUUGCCGGACACAUAAAGCUCCGAUUCCAACAAGUAUAAUGACACCGGCUGCUCCGAGGCCUGGAGGUUAAGGAAGAGAUUGCUUAAACCCGGUUACUGCAAUGCUAAAAGUUUUUAGAAACAAUGUAAUAUGUUAAUAAUGAGUACCAAAUAAUACCUAGGGCAAGUUUGAGAGCCUUUCCAUCCUUUUUCUCUGUAAUAGUAAAAAUAUCACGAAAUGUUAAUUAAAAUAUGAAUCAAUAAUUAUAGUUGCACGCAAAAAAUAUAUAUAUAUAUAUAGUAAUUAUUGAAACCAAAUAAAUUUCUUAUUUUCAUAAUAUAAAAAGAAAUUAUCACAUUUAAAAUUAUAAAAAUAACUUUUUUUAUAAUUAGGAGAAAGGAAUGAGAUAUAUUCUUAUAAAAUAUCAUUUUAAAUAAAAAGAAACUACCCUAAACUGAUGAAAUAAAAAUAUAUAUGAACUAUAUUUUAUUUUAAACUGAUCUAAAUUAUUAUCAAUGUAAUCAAAAUUCAAUGUAUUUUACGUGACAUAAAUUUAUUAAUGCACAAAAACGAUUAUGUUUUAAAGUUUCAAAUUUGAAUUCCACUUAUAUGAUUCUUUCUAUUUGAAAUGCAAUUAAAUUCUAGAUUAACUAUGUUACUAAGAUUUUGCUAUCAAUGUUAAAAUAUGAAAGAGAUAUGAUCAAAAAAGAAUGUGAAAUUUCAAAGUCUUUCUCUCUCCUCUCUCUUCUCUUUUUAAGUUGAAGCAGAAAAGAGAAAACCAUAAUCACCCUUCCCCUACCAGCUCCUUUCCUUAUCCCCAUAGAUUGUGCCUCCUCUCUUUUCGUUUCCCUUAUCUUUAGCCUUUCUCCUUUUCCACCAAAUUCUGCCUCCUCUCCCUUUUGUUUUUCCUCUAAAGGAUUUUUAAAAAUCACUGACUUUGUCGAAUUGUGUAUUUGGGUACAGUGUCCAACACGGAUUGGUUUGUUUCGAGAGUCGGAGUGGCAGUGUCCAGGUGGUAUUUUUGGAGUAGGUCAGGCUGAAAGGUGAGUGGGCCAUAGUUAGGUGGAGAUGGGCCAGCGAUGAAGGGUUAGCUGAAGUUUCUUACUGAGCCGCGUGGAAAAACAAAUGGGGAAUGUUGAAAUUUUUAGCUUAGGCCUAGCAAAUGGGUCAACUUUAAUGGCAUCAAAUUCCCAAGUUUUCAUGCUGCUAUAAUAGUAUGAAACGAAAGCAGCUAAAUUUACAGCGGAAGAAAUUUAACACAGUCUGAAGUUAGUCAAAAUAUAGAAUAAAAACUGUAAUGGGAUUUGCGUUUGGGAAAAGCAAAUAAAUGAGUUUCAAUAAUCCUAUUCUGGAAUGGCCCAAUGUCCUUGUUUCCUACCAUGACAGCCCCCCCGGACUAUUUAAUAAUAAUAAUAAUAUUAUUAUUAUUAUUAUUAGAGGGUCAAGACCAAACUACAUCCACCUAACCCUGAACUACUGUUUGGUCGGAACAAAGAUCGACGACAUCUUGUUCCAUCAGUUUCCGGCUUCGGGUUUCCCCAAAACACUGGGUUCUUGGAACCGAAAUCGUACGACUUAAAUCCCACUACAAGAGAUAUUUGAACAGGUACAGCAAACAACGAAGAUUGUACCUGGGGAACAAACGUCGCCAUCUGAGCAGUAACAUUCAAAUCCACCUGAGACGAGGUUACGCCCGCACUGCCCACCUUUGUUUACACAAUUAUUACAACGGGUAUCAUCUGCAGACCACCACAGCUGAAACCCAAUUUUAGCCGCUUCUUCCAAAUCAUCUGGAUCCCGGCCUUCCUCCAGUGACGGAACUUGGGAAUUCGGGACUGGAAUAAUCACACUGUUACUGCAAGAUCUCAGGAAAUUGCCGGUGACAGUUCCCGCGAAUUCCCUUGUCACAUAAUAACCUACGAUAUUUGUAUUGUUUAUUGUGCAGUCGAAUUGAUUGGAAAUCCCGAGAAUUGAUGUGAGAUUUUGUGGAGCUGUGAGAGGCUGACAACCAUAAUACAGCCUUAUAUCCUGACUAUCCCCGUUUUGUCGAAAAGGACUGGUUUCACUUUCAAAAGUGGAGUUGAUGAGAUGAGUGGGACAAAGAUUCUCACUGUAAUCGGUUCUAGAGACAUGAAGUGUUUGUGAUUCCUUGUUUAUUGCAAGAACUCGGUAUGUUGCAGAGCUGAUUGUGAUUUCUAGCUCACUUUCACUGCAGCUGAGCUUGAAUCCAGGAUAUCCACAACUUUCCGGCCGAUCCAAUCCCCAGAAAGGGUAACCGAUAUCCGAAAUAUUUCCGCAACUAGAUCGGACACUGCAGCUCAAAUAAUUAUUCGAAAACACUGGUUUUGGAGAAAGAAUCAGGACCAAGCUUAUGAUGAUGAUGGUGAACGAAAACUUGGAUGGCAUUGUCGGAGAGGAUGGAGAGCAUGAGGGAAAGAAACUGACAGUAGUUGGAUAUAAAAUGAGCGUCUGAAAGUGAAUUGGUGUCGAUCUUCAUGAUCAAAUAGUUGGUAUUUGACUAAUUCAAAGUUGAAAAUUUUCUAAAGGAAACUUCUGUUAUAUGCCACCAUUAAGUGCCAGUCUAUGGAAAUUUAGGUAGCCUACCAUGGCAAUAAUAUAUUAUUAAGUGUGAAUAACCCAGUUCAUUAUAAUAGUGCUCUCAGGACUCGGAACUCAUAAAGGUAUAAACUCAGUUCGAGUUUGUUGAAAACUUGAAGAAAGCUGUAACUGGAAAAUAUCAUCUGAUUUUAAUGAUUGAAUAAACCAAUAAUAGUACUACUUUGGCUGAAAGUAUUUCUAGGUCGAAUCUAUAAACAACUGGUAAGACCCUACGUUUUAUCUGCUAGCUGAUGCAGUUGUGAUGGGAAAGAGAACAAGCGGCCAUGGAAUUUGAAGAUGAACUGGUAUUAACCAAUCAAAAUGGUUAGAGUUAAUGAAGUCAUUGGCUUCUUGGGGAGAUUUAGAUUAGGAUUCGAUCUGAAGUAACAAAGGCCAAUUUGCUGCUACUACUUAUGAAGAUUGGACAUCAGAAUGAGUCAAACCGUGAAGGUUACUUGAGAGUUAAGGCUCAAGAUAUUCAAUGAAACGGUAAGUUCUGCAACAACAAACAGCUGAGCAAACUUAUACGGAAGAAGAGCUAUAACGUACCUUCAGUUGUUGGAAAACAUGUGAAACUAUUUGAACUAUGAUUAUAUCCACAAAUCCCAUCUGAAUCUCUGCAUCUUCUGCACUGAUCAUUAUCCGCUUCCCAUUGCAAUUCGAAACCUCCUCUUAAAGCAGCUUGCAUAAUCAUAGGGUUCACCUCCAGGUCCUUUGCUGCAGCUUCAUAAACCGGAACUACGACAAUUUCACGGCAUAUGCCAUAGCGAGGGUCACCCAACAUGUUUCUAACAGCAUAUGACACAUCAAUAAGUGUACUAUUCAUGGAGCAGUUAGGAAGAAAUGUCGAGGUUGGCAGCGGGUUGCAUCCGUAGAAUAGGGUGAGGUUCCUAAUGUUUGAGCCGUAAUUGAAGUGAUCGAAGUCGAUUGAGGUGUUGAUAAAUUUCGUGGAACAAUAACCAUUCCAGUAAUCCUCCCUAGCUACCUUAAGAAUCUGUCGUUCAGGGUCUAUGUCAAGAACUCGUAAGGUGUUUUCAUUCAUCAGGAUUUCCGUUACAUUAUUCUCGCACCUCAGUUCAAAUCCUGGUUGGCCACAAUAACUCGGACGGUUCAUUCCCCAGAAUGGGUAACCGAUACUUGAUACGCUUCCGCAUGUUAGCGUUUCCCUGCAGGCCCGCGGAUCGUCAGCGGAUAAAAUCGUCGGAACUCUGGUUAAGAAAACGAGAAAGAAGAGGGCCAGAAGGGAAGAUAUCGGAAGAGAAAGCGAAGACAUCUUGUUGAUGUUACAAGGGUGAUGGGUUGAAUAUAUUUAUGAAUUAUGGAAUGGUCAAUGUUGAAUUCUACAAUAUUAGUAUACACGUUUAAUCCUUUUCUAAUCUGGAAAUUACGUCAGGAGUUGGAAAAUUGGUUCUAGAGUGCUGCAGAAGUCUAUGGGGGCAUCUAUUACGGGGAAGAAGACCAAAGCUUCGAUGGCAGAAUUUGAAGGAAACUGGCAGGAAAUGCUUUGGACAUAACAUAAGUUGACAACACUAAAAACACCCUAAUUCCAAAUCGAAGAACUGAAGUGGAGACUUAAACCAAAAUAAUUUGGAAAUUGGGUGCCAAGUCCCCACUUCUAUUAAGAAUCUUCUUUGUGUUGGAUUAAUUGACCUGAUAGACUAAAUGAAGAUCAAAGCAAUGAAAUGGAACUUGACUUCUAUAUAUCAAGUUAUCAACCUACACACACAACUAAAAAAUCUUUGUUUUGUAUUAACAGGAUUAAGAACCGAUCGGGAAACGAUGUUAGGGUGAUUAUUUUAUGGAUUCGACUCUCUCCGCUAUCGAUAUUCACUGCAACUAAUCACAAUAGCACUUUUAUGUUUGCAACCAGGAUAUGUUGAUGAAGACAUGCUGAUCGCGUGUGUAUGAGUUUGGCAGCAAGAGUCUCCCCGAAUUUCCUGUUCAUUGUAGGAAAUUUCCUGGAGUUUGGUAAUUUCUGGGAAAUGAAAAAGGAAAUAUCAUGUGGAACAUGAAUGCUUUCUUUGUCAGAUGAGUUCAGAUCUGUUCAGAUUAUGCAAACCAAUGAUGAAAAGAGGGGACUGACAUUAUUCAAUAAAUCAGACCGACAAUUUUGACUAUGUCUAUCAGUACAUAGAAUAAAACAAAAUUAAUGUUGUUCCUAGUUCAUCAGUUGGAUUUGUCCUUGACUAAAUUUAUAAAUAUUUAAAUAAUACUUAAAAAUAUUUAAAUUGAUUGAAAUUCGUUUUUAUUAAUAUUAUAUUUUAAUUUUUUUUGUCUAAAUUGAUGAUAUAAUAUGCCAUAUCAAUUACCAUUACAACAUCAACACUAAUUAACAGCUCAGUAAUCAAAAUAUAACAUAUUGAUAACAUUAGUGACCAUAUCAUAUUUUUUAAAAAUUUAGUGACCAAAAUGUAAUUUAAACUAUACAAAGUGACUAAAUUUAUAAUUUUGACUUUUAGUGAAAAAAUUUGAGUAUUAUUCUCUAAAAUUUAAUAUAGAUAAAAUUUUAAAAAAGAUAUACUAUAAAAAAGUUUCAAUGAAAUAUUUUUUUUUAAAAUAUAUUUUUUUAUAAAUUUAAAGAAUUUAAAUAUUUAAAAUAAUUGAUCUCAAAGUUUAAAAUUUUUAACUUAAAAAUUGUCAACCAUAACGAUAGAGAUAUUAUAAAGAAUAUUAUGAAUUAAACUCUUUUACCAACUGCUUAAAUUUAUGUUUGAAAUUAAUUAUUUGUGGUUUGGGUUGAGUGAACAAUAAUAAAACUAAAUUGGAGCACAAAUAUUUUAUUUAAAGCCGUAAAUCAAUAUUGUGAAUUUGUUUUAUUUAGAUAAUAAAAGUUAUGCAUAAAAUGAAUCCUACUCUUAAUAAAUAAAUAAAUAAAUAAAGAUGAGAGUAUUAGAGUGAUGCUGUUAUCCAAUUCUUACCUAAAAAAGAUAACAUGAUACUCAUGCUUGUAGCUUCUAUACAUCAAAUUAACCUAUUUUCUAUUAACUCAAAACAAGAGAGUUUCCCAACCUCCAUUUCUUCAAUCUCAUAAUUCAUAACCCCUAUCCCAGUUUGUUAGUCACCUCAUUUCUAUGUAUUUGUUUUGGUGUCUGGGUUUUACUGCAAUGCAAGUCUACAACUAUCAAAUCCUCAACUUCAGUUAUUUUAAUUAUGUAUUGAAGUUUAAUCCACUGGGAAAUCAUACUACUACUAAUAAUAGAAAGCUUUGUUUAGUUGUAAAAAGGGAUAGUACUUACCUGUAUGGGGCCGACAUUCUUUGCCUUCCGGCCCACUCCAUUUUCCAGGUGGGCAGUAGCAGUUGGCUUGAUCGUGGAUGCCGAAACCGCAGGCUCCACCGGAAGAAGUGCAUUUCCAGCAUUCUUCUGCAUAGUUCUUCCUCCAUUGCACCUCGAAUCCUGUUUCCAAGGCUCCUUUCCAAUCCGGGGAAUGAUUGCGGAGGCUUUCCAAGGAAGUUUCAGGAAUCAUAACAUUGGCACGAUAUAAGCAUGCCUCUGGAUGGAUACUAGUAUUAUUUGCUAUUGCUACCGAAACAUUACUAUGACCAUAAUUUUUAUUGCAAGUAAAGAAUAGAAGAUCUGGUGAGAUGCGAGAGAGGCAGUCAUAAAACAGUGUAACACUGGCAAAGCCGGGACCAGGAGUAAACACCGGAGAAUCUUGGAUCCAAUCUUCAUCUGGAAAUCGAGGCGGACAAAUGCCUUUGUUGAUCACCUUCUCACUCAAAAUUCUUAGGAUUUGACGAUCAGGUAGGAUCUCAAGCACGCGAUACCGUACAUCGCGAAUUUUCAUCGUGGUAAUGUCACCGCCACACUCAAGCUCUAAAUCUGGAUGUCCGCAUUCUUUUUCUCGAUCACCUCCAUGGAAAGGAAAUCCAGCAGUGAUAUUCCCACAUUUGAACUUGCUAUCACGGCAGUUCUCGAACUCAGGCUCAAACCAGGCAGUGGUUAGUGAAAC